AGAGACAAAUGCCAGGCAGGCAACAGGUUGUUCCUCCACAGCAACAGCAGCAGUCCCAAAAUCCUCAGCAGUAUCUUUAUCAGCAGCAGAUACAACAACAGCUUUUAAAGCAGAAGCUUCAACAGGGAAAUCAUCCACACUCACAUGUGCAAUCUCACAUCCACCAGCAGCAGCAGCAGCAAAACUUGUUACAGCCAAAUCAGUUGCAAUCUGGUUUGCAAACAUCAACUGUUAUGCAGCCUUCAAUGAUGCAAACCGUCUCUGGUCUUCAACAGAACCAACCAUCUUCUGUUCAACAGUCAACACAACCAAUGCUCCAGCAACAUCCACAAUCAGUCCUCAGGCAGCAGCAACAACCUCAACAAUCUGCUGGUAUUCAUCAGCAGCAAACACCAAUGAUGCAGCAGCCACUAUUGCCUCCACAACAGCAGCUAAUGGGGCAACAAUCAAAUACCACUAACAUGUCGCAAAAUCAGUUAACUGGACAGCAAAACAUUGUUGGGGACUUGCAGCAGCAGCUAGGGCAGCAGAAUAACCUUCAAAAUCUGCAGCAGCAGCAGUUAAUGGCUCAACAAAAUAACCUCUCAAGCAUGCAUCAGCAACAGUUGGGCCCUCAAAGUAAUGUCACUGGUUUACAGCAACAGCAGUUGCUUGGAGCUCAGCCUGGUAACUCAAGCAUGCAAUCUAAUCAGCACUCUCUACACAUGCUGCAACAGCCCAAGGUUACGCUGCAGCAGCAAGCACAACAAAGUGGAAGUGCUUUGUUGCCGAAUCAAGGGCAGCAGUCACACUCACAGCUGCCACAGCAGCAAUUGACGGCACAGAUUCAAUCACAGCCUGGACAGCUGCAACAGCAAUCAAAUCCAUUACAACAUGAUCUGCAGCAAAGGCUUCAAGCAUCAGGCUCCUUGCUUCAACAGUCAAAUGUGAUUGAUCAGCAAAAGCAGUUGUAUCAACCUCAAAGAGCCCUUCCAGAAACGUCCUCAAGUGAGUUUUUCUCAUCAUUGCAGCUUUCUAACCUUGCUCCAACUUUAAUUUUGCAGCUUUGUGCUUUCAUGUUAGAUUAUAACAUAUUUAUUUAAAUUUCUUGAAAAUACAAUAAUGGUUCAAGUCAGCAAUGCUCUUUCUGGUAGCUUUAUGAGCUACGGCUGCCACUUAUGGCAUCAGAAAUGCCACUGCUAUUGGAACCAUUGUAAUCACACAUACAUUUGUUAUGACAUCAUGCCAUCCAGAGCAUUGCACCAACUGUUCACCUCUCAUAAUGGUUCAAGUCAGCAAUGCUCUUUUGGUAGCUUUAUGUGCUACUGAUGCCAUUGCUAUUGAAACCAUUGCAAUCAUACUCAUUUGUUACCACAUCAUGCCCUCCAGCUCAUCGCACCAACUGUUCACCUCUCAUUUUGAAUUUAACGGACGUGAGUUUUAAAAAUAUAUGUAUAACUGGACAAUGCAUUUGACGCUAGGGUAACUAAUCAUCAGCCAAUUGAUUUUUAUGGGAAGAAAGAAACUAGCAAGUGGAUUAACUCUGAGGCACUUAAGGUUUGGUGUGCUGAUAAAUCAUCACCUUGCUGGAAAAAUCUCAUGAUCACCUCCUCGAUGCUAAUUCUGUAAGGCAUGUGAAGUGUUUCUCUGUCUGUUUGAAUGAUUACAUAACGUUAAGAUGGAGUUCCGAGUACUCCCAAGUCCAGAAAGGACUUGUAUUCCUAUGUAGGAAAAUACUAAUGGUCCUAUCUAGGAUAGAGAAAACCUAAUAAAGCUCCUUAUUCUUUAGGAACAAUCAAAUACUAAAUAGAAAUAAAACCAAGACCUACAGCAUUGCAUUCCAUAAUUUUCAGCAAGUGUGAAAAUUACAGAAAGACCCUUGUGUGCGGAAAUCAUUAAAAAAAUACAUGAAUUCUAAUCUUUUUUUUGCCUGCAUCAAAAUUUUUGUAGCAUCCCUAGAUUCUACAGCAGAGAGUGGACAUGCAAAUGGUGCUGAUUGGCAAGAGGAGAUCUACCAAAAGGUAAUUUCUGUGGUUUACUGUUCAUUAGAUGAAGUUCAUGCAUGUCAUAGUCUUGCAAGAUUUCAAUGGAAAAGGUCUCCUGGAAUUUUGUACAAGGGAGUUUUAUUCAGCUAUGGUUGCGAUUAGUUAGGAAGCAUUGUAAGUUCCAUGAUUGCAGCAACUAACAAACGAUAAAUUACUGAUAAGAUGAUUAAAGGUAAAAUAUUCAGAUUUCUAGGUCAAGAGGGUUUUUUUCUUGGUACUGACACAACAAUUUUUUCUAUUGCAAAUCUCUCCCUUUCGAUUUUUUCCCAGUAUUUCCAUACAUUUAUUGUGUGGUGAGUUAUUAUUUUAUUAUUUCCAACAAGUCCAAUUGACAAUACUUCUUACUGUAAUAGACAGACUUGAAAACAAGAGUGAACUGUUUCUGAAUAGUCAUCGUUAUAUUUGGUUAAGUGAACAGUUAUUUUCAGGAUUACAAGCAAAUCUGUUCUGAAACAUGUGACCAUGGAAGAAAGGAAAAUAAGUGGACCUAAUCCAUUGAAUCAUGACCAUGUCCAGUAUUGUUGAAUUUUUUAGAAAAUGAGGUUGAAAUUCUGAAUCGUUUAAUGGCUGUAGUUGCAAUUCAUAACUGCAUAUUUGAUGAAGUCAAUUUUUUUGUGCCUGGGAGGGUACUAAAACAGGAAUAGGAGUGGUUGUUGAUAAUUAGGAUUUAAGGGUUAUAAAUCCAAAGUUAUAAAGCUAAGAAGUGUUUACCAAAGUCGUGACAUCCAUUGACUUGAGUUAGAACAAUAGAAAACAAUGGUGAUUGUAGUUUGCCGUGAGACAAAGUAACUGAACUUGACCAACCCCUGAAUCUUGUCUGAAGUGGUAACUACACAAUCCUUUGCAUCUUUGCAUGCAAUCAAUAACGAUAUUCUCUUUUGAGUUUUCAGCAUUGAUUCCACUCUGCUAUUUUUAUCUCAAACAAUAUAUGCUGUCCUCUGCCAUUUUAUUUAUUUAUUUAUUAUCAAUUCUCUCAAGUUCGCUUAUGUUUCUUUCUGACUCUGGCACGUGAAGAAAUCAAGCAUAUGAUUGAUAAUGUCUUGCUGUUUAUAUGUACUUCCUAGAUCAAAGUUAUGAAGGAAACGUAUUUGCCUGAAAUAAAUGAAAUGUACCAGAGAAUUGCUACCAAGUUACAGCAGGUAAAUUGUCUCUGUAAUUUUUUCCGAUUUAUUUGCCCACGCAUGAUUCAUAAACCCCCACAGUUGAGCUUUUGUAUUAAUUUGUUUUCCCCAUCAGCAUUGCUUGUCACUGUAUCAUCUGCACUAAUUACCUCCCCCAACCCAACCACCCCACAACCAUGCAUUGACACAGAAGAAUUGGAAUAGAAACAUUUUUUUCACUAAUGUUUUACUAGUUUUGCUAGAAAGGGUCAAUGCAAUUUUUAAUUCUCGUGUAUGUUAACUUUGCUUUCCAGCAUGACCCUCUUCCACAACAACCAAAGUCAGAACAGCUUGAAAAGCUGAAGGUAUUGAAGGUCAUGUUGGAGCGCUUGAUAACAUUCUUACAGGUCUCUAAAAACAACAUCACGCCUAAUUUCAAGGAGAAAUUGGGUUUCUAUGAGAAGCAGAUUGUAGGUUUUCUAAACCCAAGCAGAUACAGGAAGCCUAUUCCUAAUCUACAGCAAGGACAACCUCCCCAACCUCGUAUUCAACCUAUGCAGCAACCCCAAUCUCAAGUUCCUCAAUUGCAGUCCCAUGAAAAUCAACUGAUUCCCCAGUUGCAAUCAAUGAAUACGCAAGGUUCUGUACCACAGAUGCAGCAGAACAAUAUGUCAAGCUUGCUGCAUAAUUCCCUUUCAACUUUAUCUGGGGAUUCGACGUCACAAUCAAACAUGAUGAAUCCAAUACAACCAGGCUCCAAUUUAGAUUCUGGACAAGGAAAUGCACUGAGCUCAUUGCAGCAGACACCUGUAGGAUCUGUACAAAAGAAUCUCGUGAGCAUUUCCCAACCAACCAAAGUUAACACAUUGUCAACACAAAGUGGGGCGAGUAUGCUGCAGCCAAAUAUUCCCCUUCAGUCGAAUUCCAAUAUGAUUCAACACCAGCAUCUAAAACAGCAGCAGCAGCAGCAUGAACAACAGAUGCUACAAACACAACAGCUUAAACGAUUGCAGCAACACCAGAAUUUAAUGCAGAAUCAACAGAUGCAGCAGCAGCAAUUACACCAGCAAGCUCCGUCUCCUAUGCCAGGAGAUUCUGACAAACCAGUUUCUGGUAUUUCCUCACUCUUAAAUACUGGAAAUAUUGUACACCAACCAUCUGUUGCACAAGCACCGGCUCCAUCCCUUGCAAUUGGCACUCCUGGGAUAUCUGCAUCACCUUUGCUUGCAGAGUUUACCAGUCCUGAUGGUGCUCAUGGCGGUGCUUUGACAACUGUUUCUGGCAAGUCAAAUGUUACAGAGCAAUCACUUGAGUGCUUGAUUAAAGCGGUUAGUGAUGCUCUCCUUUUGGUUUUACUCCACCCCACCCUUAUUUUGGAGGUUUCUGAAAAAGAAAGAAACUUCUUUGUGAAUGAGAUGGUGAUGCUGUAAUUUUUUUUCCCAGGUGAAAUCUCUGUCUCCCAAAGCACUUAGUGCAUCUGUCGGUGACAUUGGCUCCGUUGUCAGUAUGAUUGACAGAAUUGCUGGUUCUGCAGCUGGUAAUGGAUCUAGAGCUGCAGCUGGUGAGGAUUUGGUAGCAAUGACAGGAUGUCAUCUUCUUUCGUUUUUGUCUUUUUUAUUUUUCACGUGUUUCUCACAACAUGGGAACUCGAGGGAAUAAAAAGUGCUGGGAAGUAAUUUUUGUUGGAACGUCUUGUGUAACAUCUUCUUUCGAUGAUGACCUCUUGGAUGUUUUGGUGAUAUCUCUACAUCCAAAAUCAUAUAGACCGCUACUGCUGGCACUUGCAGUAGCCAAUGAGCACUGAUAUAUAUUGCAGAGUGAGAUAAGGUUAACUCGUUGCAUUUUCAUAAAUAAAAGGGAUUUCUCUUCUUUUCUUUGUCAAUUACAGUGCAUGUGUAAAAGUUUUCUUACUCAGAGUAAAUGCUAUUGUAAUGUUUUCACAGAGACUCCCCUGUUUUGCAACUAAUUCACUUCUGAAUAUAUCUGGGAAACAGAAAGGCAAUCAACAAAGAGUAAGGCAUCUUCUGAAGAAACAAAGAAAUUUAAUACCCUAAACUAAGCAGCAGGUAGAAGGCAAAAACUGAGCACAAAUUUUCAGGAAGGGACAAAAAAAAUAAAAAAGAAAGCAGAGAAAAAUACAGACUCAAAUUCAACAACACCCAUUUUCUUUCCAUUGGAACACUUUAAAUAGUUUAUUAAAUAAAGCAUAUAAAAAAAUCAACUUAAUGAUCAAUUCUCUAUAAUUUCGGCAUUACUAAAAACAUCCAAACUAAUAAACUAUUAGUUAUUAUAGUCAUUUUAAUAAACAUUUUAGUUAUGAAUUCACCAAACAUUUUGAACAAUUCAUAUUGAUGAAUUAACAUGUCAAUUUUAGAUUUUUUGACUUACUAGUUCCUUCAUGAAUUACUUCUAAAGCAUGCUAUAUAUCUCUAAGCAUUUUUAUAGAAUAUAAUUCUAUCAAAUUCACUUUUACCCAAUGUAUAAUAUAAAAUAUUCAUGGCUUUAACAUCCAUAAAAAAUAAUUUUUUAUCAUUUUAUGUAUAUUCACUUCUAGUUUUAGAAAUCUCAAUACCAUUUUCAAUUUUGAUAGGUUUAGGAGAUCUAUUUUGUACGGAUAGCCACAAAUUAAAAUCAAUAGAUUGACAAUAAACUAUCAUACAACAAUUUAUUACUUGCUCUUUGGUGAUAGGAAUGUGAUUGUAAUAUUAUUUUUCAAGCUUACUCAAUCUCUUAUUCUUGAUAGCAUAACCAAUAAUAAAUGGCGAGCCAAAAUUUAUAUGUUACUCUCUGUAAGAAUUUUGACUGCAUAAAUGUAAAAGAAAAUAGUUUUAAAAAGACUAAAAGUUUUCUUCAUUAUAAAAACCAUGUCAGAAUUGUCUCUUUUUAUAGGCAAUUCUGACACUUAAUUUUAAAAUAACUUUUAAGACAAAAGGUUACAAUUUUCUAGUUUAAAACUACACAAUUAUAUUUCAAGUAGAGUUUUAACAAACACAACUUUUCAUUCACACCUUAACAAUCCCUCCACAUGAUAAAAAUUGUUUGAUCAUAAUAAAAUACAAAGUAGACAUGAAAAUAAAGAGUAGGAGCGAAAAGUCAUUGCAUCGAGCAAGAUAACUUUUGGCCUUGAACCUUUCAUAGUUAAAACUAUUGGAUUCACUCGGCUAAUCAGCAAACAUGAUAUUUUGAGUUGUUUAGCCUUUUGUGAGAAACCAGAUAAUAUAGAUUACACAUUUCAUUUUCUUACAAUUUUGGUUCUCACGGUUGUGUUCAUUUUGGCCUCGAAUACGUCUUGAUUUCAAAGAGCUUUAAAGAAUUUGCAUUUUCAAUCCUGAUAGAAGUGGCCUUAUUUCACACUCACAUAUGUGAUUCUUAUUAAGAGUAUCAUGUAAUACCUCACUUGAAUUUCUCAAGCUAUAAAAGUCAUUAAAAGCUUAGCUUAUCCUAUUUUCAUUGCAGAUAGCACUUUAUAUCAUAUGAAUGGGUAAGAGGGCUAUUAUUAAAUGACAUGUGAUUUGGUUGCUUCUUUGAAUCUAGAUCCUGGGAUCUCCAGUAAACUAGGUUGGGUCGCUAUCAUGACAAUUCAUUGAACUGUGUCUUAAUCUCAUUCCCCUCGAUGAUUAUUGACUUGCUCUAUUGUUAAGCAUUUUAUUAGUAAAUUAAUGAUAUUAUCAUUUAACUUUACAUGGUUAAUAAAGAUAAUCUCAUUUUAGAUCAACUAUCUUACAAUAUUAACAAUUGUGUCAAUACUUUAUGUGUGUGUGUGUGUGUAAGCAUGGUUAUAUUUCAUAUCAGCAUCAUAAUAAUAGCAAAUGUGAAGUAUGUAUUCAAGCAAAGAUGACAAAGAAGCCUUUUCCUAAAGUAGAAAGGAAUUCUCAAUUACUUGAGUUGAUCCAUUCUGAUAUAUGUGAAAUAAAUGGUAUGUUAACAAGGGGUGGGAAAAGAUAUUUCAUAACUUUCAUUGAUGAUUAUUCUCGUUUUACCUGUGUUUCCUUAUUAAAAACUAAAGAUGAAGCCUUUGGAAAAUUCAAAGAAUUCAAGAAAAUGGUAGAAAAUCAAAAGGAAAGGCAAAUUAAAGUUCUUAGAAGUGAUAGAGGUGGAUAAUAUUUUUCUAAGGAGUUUUCUACAUUUUGUGAGGAAAACAAAAUAAUCCAUCAAAUGACAGCACCUUAUACACAACAUAAUGGACUUGCUGAAAGGAAAAAUAGGACCUUAAUGAAUAUGGUCAAUGCCAUGCUUUUGAAUGAUAAAUUACCAAAUAAUUUAUGGGGUGCAGUCUUACUUACUACAUGUCACAUUCAUAAUAGAGUACUAUUUAAAAAAUCAAAUGUUUCUCCCUAUGAAGCAUGGAACGGUAGAAAAUCAAAUCUGAAUGAUUUUAAUGUGUGGGGGUGUGUAGCUUUUUGUAAAAGUUCUGAUCCUCAAAGAACAAAAUUAGGACCCAGAGGUCUUAAGAGUGUUUUUGUUAGUUAUGCACAAAAUUCAAAGGCUUAUAGACUUUUGGAUUUAGAAACUAAUGUGAUUAUUGAAUCUAUACAUGUUGAAUUUAUCAAAAAUAAAUUCAUAAGUGAUUCAAAUGUGUAAGAACCAAAUCUAAAAGUAAUGACUCCUAGCUCAACAUUAAGUGAAAAAUAUAAAAACCUAGAAGUAAUAGGUUCAACUGAACCUAGAAGAAGUCAAAGAGUUAGAAAGGAAAAACACAUAUAUACAGAUUUUAUUUCUACUUAUUCAAUUGUAUUUUUAGUGGAAGGUGAUAGAAAUACAAUAUUAAAAAAGACACCUAUGAUCUUAAAUAUGGAAGAUGAUCCAAAGACAUUUGGUCAAGCUAUGUCUUCUAGGGAUGUUGCUUUUUGGAAAGAAGCGGUAAAUGAUGAAAUGGAUUCAAUAUUGUCUAACAAUACUUGGGUCCUAGUAGAUUUACCUCCAGGUUCUAAGCUAAUAGGAUGUAAGUGGGUGUUUAGAAGAAAAUACAAUACCGAUGGUUCUAUACAAACCUUCAAGGCAAGAUUGGUUGCCAAAGGUUUUACUCAAAAGGAGGGUGUUGAUUAUUUUGACACUUAUUCUCUGGUGGCAAGAAUUACAUCAAUUAGAGUUUUAUUUGCAUUAGCAUCAAUUUAUAAAUUGUAUGUUCAUCAAAUGGAUGUAAAGACGGCUUUCCUAAAUGGAGAUUUAAAGGAGGAAGUGUAUAUGGAGCAACCUGAGGGUUUUAUACUUCCUGGAAAUGAAGAAAAAGUCUGUAAAUUGAUAAAGUCUUUAUAUGGUUUAAAACAAGCUCCGAAACAAUGGCAUGAAAAGUUUGACAAAGCAAUUUUGUUGAAUGGUUUUCAUCACAAUGGUGCUGAUAAGUGUAUGUAUUCCAAAUUUACAAAAUAUUUUGGUGUGAUUAUUUAUCUCUAUGUAGAUGACAUGUUAAUAUUUAGCACCAAUAUGAUUGGAAUUGUUGGAACCAAAAAGUAUCUCACUUAUAUCUUUAAAAUGAAAGAUCUUGGUGAAGUAGAUACAAUUUUAGGUAUCAAAGUUAAGAAACAUGGUAGUGACUAUGCACUUAAUCAGUCAGAUUAUAUUCAGAAAAUGCUCGAUAAGUUUAAGCAUCUCAAUAUAAAGAAGGCUAAUACCCCAUUUGACUAUAGUAUGAAGUUAAAUGAUUAUUAUGAUAAAGCUGUAUCACAACUAGAAUAUGCUAGUGCCAUUAGAAGUCUUAUGUAUGAUAUUCAUUGUACAAGACCAUAUAUAGCUUUUGCUAUAUGCAAGUUAUCAAGAUAUAUAAGCAAGCCGAAUACAGAUCAUUAGAAGGCUAUUGCAAGAGUCUUUGGUUACCUAAAAAGAACAAUCAAUUGAGGUCUAUUUUAUUCUGAUUUUCCAGCUGUGAUGGAAGGAUAUAGUGAUGCAAGUUGGAUGACUAGUUCAAAUGAUAAUAAGUCCACAUCAUGAUGGAUUUUCUCACUUGGAGGAGGUGCAAUAUCUUGGGCAUCUAAGAAACAAACAUGCAUCUCUCAUUCUACCAUGGAAUCAUAAUUUAUUGUUAUGGCUGCUGCAAGUAAAGAAGUAGAAUGACUAAGAAAUAUGUUGUUUGAUAUUAAGUUGUGGCCACAACCUAUGUCAGCUAUUUCUUUAUACUGCGAUAGUGAAGCAACUAUGUCUCGAGCUUAUAGUAACAUUUACAAUGGUAAGUCAAGACAUAUAAGCAUUUGACAUGGAUAUAUUCGAGAGUUGAUUACAAAUGGUGUAAUCACCAUUGUCUAUGUGAAAUCUAUGAAUAAUUUAGCGGAUCCGCUCAUAAAAGGACUAUCUAAAGACAUGGUACGAAAAAUAACUAAUGGAAUGGGGUUGAAACCUGUUUUUAAAGAUACCAGUAAUAGGAACCCAACUUCGGAUCAACAAGAAGCUUAUCUCUUAGUUUAAUGGGUAAUAAUAAGUUACUGUUUUGUAUAUGUUAGACACUGAUAAUUAAUUUGAGUCCCUAUUCUGAUAGUAUUCAGUGUAUUCUAUUACAUAAAGGAGGAUGAGCAUAGGCUCUUCAUGGAAUUUGAAGUUCGUGUCUAAUGUAAUAGAGACAUGUAUAAUUCCACCUAUAUGAAUAUAAAAGUGAUGCCGCUUUUGACAAGAGUUAGGGUUUUUUCUUGUAAAUAUUCAUAAAAAAAAUUAAAAUUAAGAUUUUAGCACAUGACCAUAAUAGUGCUAAACAGUUGUAAACCUCUUUAAGAGUUUGGAUAGUAUUAUGUGUGUAGUAUCUUUUAUUCUACAACAAAAGUUUUGGUUUAAUCUGCGGACACCAAUAACUUUAGUAGGAUUCAAGUUCUAACACUAAUUGAAGUUUUAAAAUGCAAAAUACCUUCUUGUAAGCAUAAUUCUAUAAAGUGAAAAGACCUUCAUUACAAACUAGUGGGGGAUUGUUGGUGUAGUUUGUAAAUGAAUAAAGAAAAGAUGUUUAUCUCACAUUGGAAAGAAACACUCCCUCCUAAUGUUUCUAUGUGUGGGUUUCUAUUGUGUAGUAAAUUAAGCCAUGGUGGACAAACUCUCCUAUUUGGCUUUCUAAUGUUAUUAUAUGGAUAUUUAUAAUAUCAAAAAAUAGCAUUUGGAACUUGAAACUUGGAUCUUAAUAUGAACAGUCAUAUUGUUUCAUCAAUAGUCAUAUUGUUUGAUGAACAGUCAUAUUGUUUCAUCAAUAGUCAUAUUGUUUGAUGAACAAUCAUACUGUUUCAUCGUUAUGUUUUAAGUCUAUAAAAGCAUGUUACUAUACAGAAAAGAGGCACAACAAAAAACAUACAUUCUUUUCUUGGUCUUAUCUUCUCAUUCUUUUAGAGGUUUAGAGGGCUUAGUUGUAUCCUGGAGGUAUUGUCUCUAUGUGGGACAAAUAAACACCUUAAAAAUAGUGUUUUCACGCCUCUAAGCCAACUCCAUAUUUGUUUCCAUCCUAAACAUUCAUAUCAAGAAACAUUGCGCCACGCCUGCUAAACGUCCACGAAAGAGUCGCCGACCGUUAUUCCCGCAUUAAAGUCCAUGCAUGGUCGCCUCAUUAUCUGGAGACGACCGCAUGGCAUUCUCUGGCUAUAAAAACCAGAGAAAGGCCAUGACAAAGAGGAGGGGGGGACAAAACAAAAGACAGGAGAAAAGAGGCAGGAGAGAGAGAGAGAGAGACCGAGAGAGAGGGGGCCGAAAACACAAACCAGAGAAAAAAAACCGGAGGAGUAACCCAGGGAAGAACACAGAAAAAACCAGGGGAACACUGGAGAACAAAUGAGACAGAAAUAGAGAGAAAUUGCUAGCCAACGCAUGAGCACCAACUAGCCUCGUCUCCGGUUGCACCACCCCCUGAAUAGACGGACGCGAAGGAGAACAGGGGAGUAAACGAAGAGAGGACAUAACACCGGGAAACCGAAAACUGAUAGAAAACCAGAAGAAAAGGAAGAACCACAGAGAGACGAACAACACAGGAGCUGAGAACGAACGAAAAAAAGAGAGAGAGAAGACAGAGAGAAAAAGCAGAGGCGUAAGGUGAAACAGAGAAGAACGACCAGAAAUAAACCAAAAGAAAACAGAAGUGAAGGGGAAGUUUUGGCCAGCCACCACACCUUCUUCGUCAUCCAGACCAGGUAAGUUCUCUCUUCUUCGUAAUUAUAAUUACAUAGGUAUUGUACAUAUGCAAAUUUAAUUCACUACUAUAAUUCACCGGUUUGUGCAUGCACGCGUGAAUCAGUUCACACAUGCCUGUUGUCCAGCUGGGUCACUGGCUUGGGUCAGUGACCAGGCUGGGCUGCUGGGUUUAGCCCAGCCUGACCGAGCUGAGCUGGAUCUAGCCCCCAAAAAAAAUUUAAAAAGGAAAAUAUAAAAAAAAACUAGGCAUGGGCCUCGGGCCUAGGUGGCCUAAUCCCCUUUAUUUAAGUCCCUUUUAUUUUGAUAUUCAACCAAAAUGACCAACUUUUCCCUCAUAUUGUUUUUAGGGUAUUUCACUGUAUAUUUGAUCUGUAGAUUUUUACUGCGAAAUUCGGUGUACGAUACUUUUUUUUUAAAAAAAUAUGCAUGCAUAUAUUUAAAUUCAUUUUAUUGGUUUAUUCACCAACGCUAGAGUCAGGAAUACAAUUUAUUUUGUUUUUGCUACGUAAUAUUUAUCAAUGCCAGAGUUGGAAGUAUCUGUAGUCGAAUAUUCACUGACGCUAGAGUCAGGAAUAUUACAAGCAAACCAUCAUAGCAUAAAUCAACAAACUCUUAAUAAUUUAAGACAAAACCAACAAUGCAGCUUAUCUCAGGUAGGGUGUGCUAGGGGUGUUAAUAUCUUCCCUACCCAUAACCAGUCUUGUACCAUAAAAUCUCUAUUGACUAGUUAGGGUUUCUAAUGACCAUAAUACUAGGUGGCGUCUCCUUAAACCAAACCUUUUUCCCAUAAAAGAACAAGAUGCCAGAAAUCUGUUCUUUUCAAGAAUUUUUAAGGUCAUCGCGAUGUCGGGUGCGACAAUACCCAAAACAAUUGCCUUGCUAAUGGGGAUAAAGUUGUCUUUCUUAAGGGAUCUAAAAGUUAUUUGUAUAUUGAUUGGGGAUAAUUUAGUAGGUUCACUCCUUUUUUCAUAUUAAAACUACAUCAUUGCCCUUGCAAUAAAAAAACAAGUGGCCUUUUGUUUUGGGUCUAUUUUGUCUUUUCUAUUUUAUUUGCACAAUAAAAUGACAUCAAUACCCUCGAGAGUUCAAAAAUAUUGACACUUGACGAGAGGUAUUUUUUAGUCUUUUUCAUGUUUUGUGUACUGUAAAAUGACAAAGUUAACCUUAGAAUAAAAUAAAUCUAAAGCUAGUGUGGGAUAACAUUUUCAUCUUUGCAAUAUAGCUUUUUGUAAUAUUUAGAUGCUUUUAGGGGCUAUUUAGUAAUUUAAAGUAUUGAAAUAUUAAUAAAUCAAUAAAAAAGCUGACAUAUGCGUAGCACGUGUCAGCGCGUGAUAAUCCACCACGUCAUUCAGGAGACUAAUAAACUAACCUAAACUCGUUCUUGCCCAACAGCGAGCCACAAACAAUACUCUUUUGAAUAUUAGAAGCAUGAACCACAUUGUUCAUAAUCGACUCUUUCAUAAAUGUCAUCCUUAACAUCACCUUUUUCUGGCCUAGGAUUUUGCACACUAAGAGCCUAUUUGACGUUGCAGUUGAAUCGUUGUUUUUCCAUUUUGAAAAAAAUUAUUCUUGCUUCAAUUGUUUUUGCGUUCUUGGAUUGUUAUGAUGUGUUAAUGUUAAAAAUGAAUUAAAAAAUAUAUUUUGAUACAUUUCCAAGUAAAAAACACUUUACAACGCAACCGCUACCACACUUUUAAACAAUCACUAAGAAGUUAUCCAGGAAUAAUUGUUCUCCAUUUGCAGUUGUUGCAUACUCAAAAAAAUAUUAUGUCAAAACAUACAUGACAGGUGGCUCCAAUAUCAAUCCACCACUUUUUAAGAUUGUGCACCAGGUUUGCUUCUGACAUAACUACAACAAGCUUUGCAGCUUUCUCAUCAACAUUCUCAAUGAUUUUGUUUUGUGCAUUUUUUCCUUACAGAUAUGCCUUUGCUUUUUACAAACAAAACAAGUUUCUUUGAACUUCUUUUUGCCGACACUAUUACCAUUAGAACUCUUGAGAGAACUUGCUUCAUAUUUAAGUUCACCAGGUUAAGAAUGUUUAGGAAUCGGGUUUGCCAUCGAGACCGCAAAGAUUACCAGGUUAAAUUAUUUUGGUUUUUUCCCCGCAUGAUAGAAUGUUUAGGAAUCGGGUUUGCCAUCGAGACCGCAAAGAUUACCAGGUUAAGAAGUACAUUGAAAUUAUUAACAAUAGAUUUAUCCAUUUAUUAUCUCAAUAACAAGAUUAACUUUAUAAUUAUAUAUCACACUUAUAUAAUCUGAAAUAAUAUUAAUUAAAAUGAAUCCCAAAAAUUUAACACACUAAUUCUGCAAAAAACAAAUUUAAUAAACAAUUUAACUUUGCAACUAUGUAUUUAUUUAUUUGUUUUUCUAUGAGACUCAAUUUUUUUUUUAAUAAUCAUCAAGAGUAUAUUGAAAAGGCCAUAAAGCCAAUAGACAGUGAAAUUUUUAACAGAAACUCAAUGUAAUUUUCAACAAAAACUAUAACAAUACAAAUAAUUACAAAUAUUUUUCUUUCAACAUCAACAUAAGAAAACAAUAUGCACUCUUCUAAAGUUAUGAUAAAAAAAAUCUGAUUGAUACUUAUGUUGUUUUAUGAUUAAAGUAACAAUAGCAUCUAAAGAGAAUGAAUUAGGUGUUGCACUAAUUAUGUCAAAAUAAUGCAAGUAAACACACUAAACACAUAUAACACAAAAACCAACAAUAUAAUUCAAGUGCUUAAAGUAAAUAUAUAAGAAAAAAGAGAUUGCAAACUCGAUUUUUAACGUGAUUCGGUAAGCUUACAUCCACAUCUCAAGUACUAAUCAUACUUAAGUAUUGUACUUUUUUACUAAUCCAAGUGAAAGAUACAUUGCCCUUGAUGAAUUCACACCAAGAAAUUACACCACUUGAUGAAUUUUUCUCUUUAAGAUUUUUCUCCUAGAAUUCCGGUUAAAUAGAAUUGCACUUAAUAUAUAUUAUUUCACCAUAAUUAUUAUCCAGAUAUGCAACUUUUUUUCUUUCCGAUCAUCUGUUUUCUUUUUUUCAUAUCAAUACAACAACAAAGGAAAAUACCAUGCAAUAUAAAAUGUAUUUCCCUGUAGAAUCAAUGCAACAAGUUUACAGACAACAGACGACAAGGAAUUUAACAUAGUCAUGGAAUUUAACUGAAGAUAUAUACACUUUACUUUCUCUAUUAAAAUUAAACUAUUUUUUUUAAUCUAUGUCAAUAUAUAAUCAAUUUGGUCUUGAAGAUAUAUAAAUAUACACAGAACAAAUAUGUUAGAAAAUAAAUUGUUUAAGAUUGUUAGAGCACCUUAAAUAGUUCAUAAAAUUAUUCUUCCCUUUUACUAUAAUGAUGAAGUACAAGGGUUGUUGAUGAUGACCUCUUGGAUGGCUACAUGAAGCUUGUUCCGUUUUAAAUUUCAAGGUUAAUCUAUUGCUAUGAGCAUACGUGUCUCAAUUUAAAACUCGAGUUGCAACUGAACUUAAAUGAAUGGUGUUGGAUUUGGGCCUUCUAUUUGUUUUAACUUCUACAGGGUUGAAAUGAUAGUGAUCUUAAAGUAGAAAAGCAGCAGACAAAAAUCAAUUAACCACAAUGGUGCAUGGUUUCCUAGUUUCUCAGCAUAAAGUUGAAUGUUUUGUUGACCUUUCUACAUCAAAAAUCAUAUAGACAGCUACUGCUGGCACUUGCAGUGGCCAAUGCAUACUGUAGAGUAUAUAUUGCAGUGUGAGAUAAGGUUAACUCGUUGCAUUUUCAUAUAUUGAAAGGAUUUCUCUUCUUUUCUUUGUCAAUUACAGCACAUGCAUAGAAGUGUUCUUCCUCAGAGUAAAUGCUAUAGUAAUGUUUUCACGGACUCCCCUGGUUUGCAACUGAUUCACUUAUAUAUCUUGGAACAUAGCCAUAAAUGAAAGGUUCUUCUAGUUCAAGAAAAUUAACCAUGAAGCUCGUAACUAGAAUUUUUAGACAGAAGGGUGGCCAAGCGAACUCCUAUACUCCGUACGUCUGGAAUAAUACAGGGAAAGGGUGUUUAUGUAUUUUGAUGUCUUAUAUUACUUGACCAACUCUUGCUUAUCUCAUUAUUUGUUUUAAUUUUUUGCUAAUAAUUCCACACAUUUCUGAUAUGGUGUGGUUUUUGAGUUCAGGGUUCUUGCUCAUUGCUGCUAACUUCUCUAUACUUGCCUGGUCAUUAAAAAUGAAACGUAAUGAUUUGCAUAUGCUGAAUGGAGACAUUAAAGAGGCAUCUUCUGUUUUCUGGUCAGGAGGGAUUACAAGAACUCAAGAAAUUUUCCAUAUGUUUUGAGGAAAAGAUUUAUACUACCACUACCAAUCAGGUAUUUGCCUAAUGUGAGGUUUAAUAAUUACGAUAUUAUCUAGACAUUAAUAUACACACGCAUUUAUGCUUGUACAAAUGUGUGUGUAGUGUGCCUACACUUCCUCACCGUUCAUUCUGUAUGCAAGGCUGAUUGGGAGUUCACAUUAUUUUGUUAAUUCUCUUGACAAGUGUUUUAUUUAGAGUGACCAAGUUCAAGUACAAGGGAAGAGUGCAAAAAGCAAAUAGCGAAUCAAUACAUAAAUAAUUAAAUAAAAAGAGAGGAAACAAAAGUAUAUCAUAGAGAAGAUGAAAUGAUAGAGCAUAUAUCCAUUUUCCUCCUCUUGUAACAUGGAUUGCUCUGAGAUCUGAUGUUUUGUUAUUAAUAUCUGAUUUCAGUCUGAUUAUAUAUCUACGAAAAAUAUCUCUGGAGAUGCUUUCGAUGGAGAUCAGGUCUCAAAAUGCCAUGCCCACUGUCCCCAUGGAUCCAGCAGGUAAUAAUGCACCCGAGCAUUGAAUUUCUAAACAUCUUACCUUUUGUUUUUCUUCUCACAUUGUUAUCAAACUCUUUUACAUUUUAUUGCUGUAUAUUGCUAUGUAUAUCGCCUUGCUAGAAAAAUCUCAUGAUCACCUCCACGAUGCUAAUUCUAUAAUGCAUGUGAAGUGUUUCAUCCUUAACUUGUUAAGAACAAGGACUAUGAUGCAUUGCUAUUUUAUAUUUUAUGAUUGAGAUGGUAGAUUUUAAAGAUUUUCCUGUUUAGGAGAUAAAAGUAAGAUGUCACUUUUUUGCUUUUCUUCCGAGAGAGUAUUUGAUCCUUUUUUCGUAUAAAAUAAUGCUGGCAUGCAUUGAAUUUCCAAACAGCUUAGCUUUUGUUUUGUUUGUCGCAUUGUUAUCAAACUCUUUUACAUUUUAUUGCGGUAUAUUGCUAUGUGUAGGGCAUGCUUUAAUCAAAAAGUUGAGUAAUUGAUGAAUGCUAGGCAUGAAAAUGACAUAUUAUUUUUGUUUUCUGUCUCCUCCUUUUCUUUCCCCCACCUCAAAAAUUGUCAUGUUAUUUUUGUUUUCAGCCGCCUCUUCUUCCCCAAACCUUUAAAAUUGUUUAUAUUUGCUUUGGAAGCAUGACAAACUUCAUUGCCUCUCAGCUUAAGGAGAUUGCAGCAGGUCUCGAAGCUUCUGGGCAUUAGUUUAUCUGGGUAGUUAGAAGAAACAAAAAGAGUCAAGAAGACAAGGAAGAUUGUUUACCUAAAGGAUUUGAGGAAAGAAUGGAAGGCAAAGGGCUAUUAUCAGAGGAUGGACACUCCAAGUUUUGAUUCUUGGUCAUGAAGCAAUAGGUGCAUUUGUGACUCAUUGAGGAUGGAACUCAACUCUUGAAGGCAUAAGGCAAAUAUUUGCUGAGCAAUUCUAUAAUGAGAAGUUGGUGACUGAUGUUUUAAAAAAUGGAGUUAAGGAAUGGCUUAGAGUGCAGAGAUCAUGUUAAAAGUGAAGCUGUAGAGAAGGCAAUCACUCAAAUUAUGAUGGGUGAAGAAGCAGAGGAAAUGAGAGAGAAGAAAGCUGAACAAGGGAACGCAGUAGAUGAAGAAUAUGAGUUUACUGCAUUUACUGUCAAGAAUACAAACGUGAGCACUAAAAACUAAUUUGUACAGGAUACUCUUUAUAUAUAGAGUAGUAAUUAACUUCAUCACUUAUUUCUUUCUAUGAAUACAAUAUUCCUUAUUUAUAUAUAUUGAUUUGUUUCUUAUAUGAGGUAGCUGUAGUUUCCUUCUAUGAAAGAUCUGCCAUGGCUGUAGUUUCCUUCUUUGAGAAGUAGCCGUUGGUUGAGGUAGCUGUUGAUUCCUGUGAUUUCCAUGUAUGGUUAAUUACCAUUCUGAAUAGUAGCCGUUGGAGGUGUUAAUUCAGAAUGGUUGCUGACGAGAGUGAGGAUCCUGUGGUGGUGCUGCUGCUGUCUCCUGCUGCUGCUGCAGAGGUGUGUUGUUGCUGUUAAUACCCUCCCUCAAACGUUGCCGAGGUUGGAGGCAAAGUUUGCGCUGAAAACGAAGAAGAGUAGCUUUGGACACCGGCUUAGUAAACAGAUCAGCAAUCUGAUGUGUAGUGGGAAUAUGAUGUGUAAUAAGUUUCCCAAGAGCUACGCGUUCGCGUAUAAAAUGAUAAUCAAGUUCAAUAUGCUUGCUGCGAGCAUGGAAAAUAGGAUUGACCGUCAUAUGGAGCGCACUGAGAUUAUCACAAUAGAGCACUGGUGGAGAUAGCAAGGGAAUGUGUAAAUCAUGAAGGAUGUAGGUCAACCAGGUAAGUUCUGCAGCCGUGUUGGCCAUAGCACGAUAUUCAGCUUCAGUGCUAGAGCGUGAAAUAGUAUGUUGUUUCUUGGCACACCAGGAGAUGAGAUUACAGCCAAGGAAGACACAGUAGCCAGUGGUAGAACGUCGUGUAGUAAGACAGCCAGCCCAAUCAGCAUCUGAAAAAGCAGAGAAAUUAAGAUUAGUAUUAGAAGUGAAGUGCAGACCAUUAUUAAUAGUACCUUGACAUAUCGUAAGAUACGGCGGACCAUUUUUAAGUUGACAGUUGUAGGAGCAUGCAUGAAUUGAGAGACAUAAUUAACACUAAAAGAGAGAUCUGGUCGAGUAAGGGUGAGAUACUGGAGGGAGCCAACAAGCCCCCGGAAGAAACUGACAUCCGCUAAAGGAGGAGCAUUGGAGGAGGCUUUAGUUCGUGCUUCAAGUGGUGUAGUCAUGGGUUUACAGUCAACCAUUUCAGCACGUUCUAGAAUUGUAAAGGCAUAAUGUGAUUGUGAUAAAUGAAGUCCAUUUGGCGUGGGCGAAAUUUCGAUGCCAAGAAAAUGAUGAGUAGGGCCUAAGUCCUUCAUGGCAAAUUCUUGACUGAGUAGAGUAAUGAAAUCUGCAACAAGUGUAUCUAUAGUUCCUGUAAGAAGUAUAUCAUCAACAUAAAGUAGGAGAAUAAGAGAACCAUGAUCAGAAUGAAAAGUAAAUAGAGAAGGAUCUGCCAAGCUGCAUAGGAAACCGUAUUUGAGGAGAAAGGAACUAAAACGAUCAAACCAAGCACGAGGUGCUUGUUUAAGGCCAUAGAGGGCACGUUGGAGCUUGCAGACAUGCUGUGGACGUUGAGGAUCUGAGAGUCCUGGUGGCUGUUCCAUGUAGAGAUUUUCAGAAAUCAAACCAUGUAGAAACACAUUUUUCACAUCAAGCUGCCGUAGGGGCCAAUGAUGAACAAGAGCUAUAGUGAUAAUUAGCCGAAUGGUGCCAGGCUUUACAACGGGAGAGAAUGUUUCAGUGUAGUCUAGGCCAUCAAUCUGGUGGUAUCCUUUGGCAACAACACGGGCUUUGAGACGCUCCAAGCUGCCAUCAGAUUUGAGUUUGGUUUUAAACACCCAUUUGGAACCUAUGAUAUGCAUAUCGGUGGUACGAGGUACCAAUUUCCAUGUCUGAUUUUGGUGUAAGGAUGUAAGUUCAUCCUCCAUUGCUGCUUUCCAUCCUGGAUGAGCUAGUGCAGCUCACACAGAUCGCGGUUCAUGCGGUAUUCCAGCAGAGAUGACAGAUGUUAAUGCAUACUUGGGAUUUGGUUUUAUGAUGCCAUGCUGGGACCGAGUGGUCAUGGUGCGAAGAGCUGAAGUAGAGGAAUUGGGAACAAACUCAUCUGCGGAGGCAUCACUACAAGGAGGUUGUGCAGCUUGGUGUAGCGCACGUUGUGAACGAGUAACCAUAGAGUGAGGAGCUGAAUUUGGGUGGUCUUGCUGCUGCAGAGUAGUUAAGUUCUCAGAGAGUGGUUGCUGGGAAAUAUCAGGGCAGAGAUUGUGGGCAAUCUCCUGCUGAGUGGGAGCUGCCACCUGCUGAAUAUCAUUCUCCGAACUAUGGUGUUGUAGUGAGGAAGAGGGUUCUAUAGAUGGAUCAGUGGGAGAACCAGAAUUAGAGAGAUCUGAUACGUGCAUGAAGAUACAUGCAAACCGCAACAAACCAGAAGGUGGCAGUAGCGCACGUGGUACGUGGAAGACACUUGGACGUGGAUCAUGCUUGGUCGCCAGAUUGUUAGUGGGGUUUGUUAUGGAAUUAGUCAUUCUCCAGUUAUUUUUAGUAUUAACAGUUAAUAAGGAUUCCUCGGAGGAUCCCUUGUUUGUUUCCCAUUUUCUAGAUAGUUUCCCAAAUUCUAGCAUUGUUUGUUAUUCAAUUCAUGUAUAAAAGGGCCUGGUGGCAUCCAAUAAAGGUAUCGAAAAUUAUCCAAUACUGUCUCCUCUCUUACUUCUCUGCUUCUCUUCUCACUCCCUAAAUUCAACCUAUCAGUGGUAUCAGAGCCAGGUUACACAGUUGUCAUGGAUACUCGCGGAAAAAGUAAUGCUGAAUUCCGGACUGAGGUCAAUGACGCCUUAGCUAGGCAUGAGUCUAGCUUUGAUCAGGUGAAUGCUGCCCUUCAAGCAGUAUUAACCGAACUACAAGCCAUCCGCACCCAAAAACACCCAAACACUAACCCUCCCGAAAUCAAUCCCUUUGCAUCAGAAUCAUCAUCCCAGUUACAUAGUUCUCGCAACCCAAACACCACUGGUCAAACACACUCCCACCUCAAACUCUCAUUCCCUCGUUUUGAUGGCAGUGAGCCCACAGGUUGGGUGUACAAAGCCGAACAGUACUUCGAAUUUCAGGACAUUGACUCGGCCCAGCAGGUCCAAUUGGCCUCCUUCCAUCUAGAUGGAAUUGCUCUCCAAUGGCACCGAUGGCUGACCAAGUUUCGGGGACCCCUUCUGUGGAACGAGUUCGUGCAAGCCCUUUUGCAACGAUUCGGACCCACAGACUACGAAGACCCAUCGGAAUCGCUCACUCGUCUCAGACAAACUACCUCUGUAGCAGCUUACCAAGAGGCUUUUGAGAGGCUCUCCCAUCAAGUUGAUGGACUACCGGAAGGUUUUUUAAUAGGAUGUUUUGUUGCAGGGCUGCGAGAUGAAAUUCGUAUUGAUGUCAAGAUUAAACAUCCCCACACACUGGCAGAAGCAAUUGGAGUUGCCCGACUGAUUGAGGAGCGCAAUCUACUGCAAAGGAAGACCCAUCUUCCAAUUCGGUCUUCUUCCAUGAAUUUACCCUCCAGGGCACCAGCAAAUUCAGUAGCUGGAGUGUUGGGACCACCCCCAUCACAAAGACCAAACCUAUCACCAACAUCAUUCCGGAGGAUCACCACUCAAGAAGCUCGGGAACGAAGGGAAAAAGGGGCUGUGUUUCUAUUGCGAUGAGAAAUUCAAGCCAGGCCAUCGCUGUGAACAACCACAAUUGUUUAUGAUCGAAGACAGCUCCAACACCAGCCUUGAUGAAGAAAUAACAGAUACUGAGGACAUCAUCAAUUCAGAGGACAUGCCCGAAAUCUCAUUCCAUGCUAUCGCAGGUGCUGAACACCCUCAAACCUUACGGGUGUUGGGUCAAUUGGGCAACAAAAAGGUGACCGUGCUCAUUGACGGAGGCAGCACGCAUAACUUCAUUGAUCAGGUGGUGGUAACCAAAUUUGGGAUACCCAUUAAUCGCAGCCAGCGAUUUCAGGUAAUGGUGGCUAAUAGAGAGAAAAUCACUUGUACUGGGCAAUGUCAGAGCCUCACAUUAAUCAUUCAGGGCAUAGCCAUCACUGCCAAUUACUGUGUUCUACCGGUCAUGGCUUGUCAAGUGGUACUGGGUGUGCAGUGGCUUGAGACACUGGGUCCGAUUGAAAUGGAUUUCAAAAAGCUCACUAUGAGCUACAAAACGCAUGGAGAGAAACACACCUUUUACGGGUUGAAGCACACGGGUCAUGCUGCCUUCACAGAGAAGGAGUUUCAUGGGUUACAAGGGAAUGGAUUCUUCCUUCAAAUCAUUCCCUCACAUCCCAUCAUUGACAGUAGCAGCCAUCCACCGGAGCUUAAGGCCCUUCUAUCCGAAUUCUCGCAGGUGUUUGAGGAGCCCACGGGUCUGGCUCCCCAGAGAGCCAAAGACCACCACAUACCUCUACAACCCAAUUCUGGCCCAGUAAGUGUGAGACCCUACCGCUACCCGUAUUACCAGAAAACCGAGAUAGAAAAAAUGGUGCAAGACUUGUUGAAGUCUGAAUUGAUACGCCCCAGUAAUAGCCCAUUCUCCUCUCCUGUUUUGCUAGUCAAAAAGGCGGAUGGGGCUUGGCGUUUUUGUGUGGAUUAUCGCGCUUUGAAUGAAAUCACCAUCAAAGACAAAUAUCCAAUUCCCGUAAUUGAUGAGCUCCUAGAUGAGCUGCAUGGGUCUCGUUACUAUUCCAAAUUGGACCUACGAUCCGGCUAUCACCAAAUCCGGGUACGAGACGACGACAUACCUAAAACAGCAUUCAGAACUCAUGAAGGCCAUUACGAGUUCGUUGUCAUGCCAUUUGGUCUAACCAAUGCUCCUGCAACCUUCCAAAGUCUUAUGAAUGAUCUUUUUCGUCCCCACCUCAGGAAGUUUAUUUUGGUUUUUUUUGACGAUAUUCUGGUUUAUUCCAAAUCGUGGGAAGACCAUUUAACCCAUUUGCACACUGUUUUGAAGAUUCUAGCAGAUAAUACACUCUUUGCAAAGGAGUCCAAGUGCAGAUUCGGGGUUACAUAGGUUGACUACCUAGGCCAUGCUAUUUCAAACCAAGGAGUAUCGGUGGAUCCUACCAAAAUUCAAGCAGUGGUUGAGUGGCCUACCCCUACGACAGCCAAGGGGGUCCGCGGAUUCUUGGGCCUGGCCGGCUAUUACAGAAAGUUCAUCCGCCAUUUUGGAGGAAUAGCCGCACCACUUACCCGAUUGCUGACCAAGGAUGGGUUUCAGUGGAGUGCAGAAGCUGAUUUGGCUUUUCAACGUCUGAAGGAAGCCUUAACCCAGUCCCCGGUCUUACGCAUGCCAGAUUUCUCUCAACGAUUUGUGGUCGAGUGUGAUGCCAGUGGGAUCGGAAUUGGUGCAAUACUUUCCCAACAGAAUCAACCCGUGGCAUACUUUAGUGAAGCACUAAAAGGGUCUUCUUUGACACUAUCCACUUAUGAGAAAGAAAUGUUGGCCAUCGUCAAGGCAAUUCGUAAGUGGCGACCAUAUCUGCUUGGUAAACCAUUCACAGUUCGCACGGACCAGAGGAGUCUCAAAUAUCUCCUGGAGCAGAGGAUUACUACCCCAGCACAGACACGUUGGCUUCCUAAAAUUCUCGGCUAUGACUAUGUAAUCGAGUACAAGAAAGGGAGCGAGAACCAAGGGGCAGACUCACUGUCCAGAGUAGUGGAAUUUCAGUUUUUGUCCAUCUCGUUCCCAAAGGCAGAGUGGUGGCCAACUCUGCAACAGGAGGUGCAACAGGAUCCAUUUUAUGCCAACUUCAAAUCAACGGACCCCUUCAUGGUUCAAAGAGACGGAGUGUGGUUCAAGAAGGGUAAGGUGUUUUUAAGCCCGAAUUCUACUCUUAUCCCUCUACUUUUGGCAGACUGUCAUGCCACGCCGAUUGGUGGACACUUUGGGUUCCAUAAAACACUCGCACGCAUUAAGCAAGACUUUACCUGGCCCAGAGUUCACGUCACAGUGAAGGAAUUCUUGCAGCAAUGUACCACAUGUCAACGCUUCAAAAAAGAUUGCAUGAAGCCAGCUGGGCUGCUGCAACCCCUACCUGUGCCUUCCAAAGUUUGGACUGAUAUCUUCAUGGACUUCAUCAAAGGAUUGCCUUCCUCCCAAGGGUAUACUUGUGUAAUGGUGGUAGUGGAUCGCCUGUCCAAAUAUGCCCAUCUCAUUUCGUUGAAGCAUCCCUACACAGCAAUCACGGUGGCCAAAGCCUUCAUCUCCUGCGUCGUCCGCCUGCAUGGUAUUCCAGCCUCUAUUGUGAGCGAUCGUGACAAGGUGUUUAUUAGCUCCUUCUGGCGCACCCUCUUUCAGUCCCAAGGCACUCAGCUGUGCAUGAGCUCAGCUUACCAUCCUCAGUCGGAUGGUCAGACUGAAGUUGUCAACCGCAUCCUCGAACAGUAUUUGCGGUGCUUUGCAGGUGACCAGCCACGUAAAUGGUUCGACUGGAUUCCAUGGGCAGAGUUCAGCUACAAUACCUCGCUCCACUCUGCCACUAAGAUGACGCCAUUUGAGGUGGUUUAUGGUGUUCCCCCUCCUAGUUUACUCACCUAUGUUCCCGGUACCUCAAAUGUUCAAGCCGUGGAUGAGCAUCUGCGCGAUAGAGACUGUCUCCUUCGUGAGCUGAGGAGGAAUCUGUUGAUUGCCCAGAACAGGAUGAAGAGCCAAGCUGAUCAACAUCGCAGGGAUGUCUCCUUUGACGUUGGAGAUUAUGUGUAUUUAAAGCUCCAACCUUACCGUCAAUCCUCAGUGGCAUUUCGUAGCUCAAUGAAGUUAGCCCCACGGUUCUUUGGGCCUUACCAGGUCCUAGCUAAAGUCGGAACAGUUUCCUACAAAUUAGCACUGCCACAGGAUUCCCAAAUCCAUAACGUGUUUCAUGUUAGCUUGCUACGGAAAUACUUUGGGCCCCUCCCUCCUACAUCAACAGUGGUGAGCCUUCCUCCUAUUUCAGAAUCAGCCAAUAUUCUUCCACAACCUGAGGCUGUCCUGGACCGACGAGUAGUUAACAAUGGGAAAUAUCAUCCAAAACAUGAAAUUUUGGUCAAAUGGGAUGGUGCACCAGUGGAAGAUGCUACUUGGGAGAAUGAAAGGCGUUUUAUCAAGACCUAUCCCACCUUCAUCCUUGCGGACAAGGAUUCUUAAGGGGGAAGGAUUGAUACGUGCAUGAAGAUACAUGCAAACCGCAACAAACCAGAAGGUGGCAGUAGCGCACGUGGUACGUGGAAGACACUUGGACGUGGAUCAUGCUUGGUCGCCAGAUUGUUAGUGGGGUUUGUUAUGGAAUUAGUCAUUCUCCAGUUAUUUUUAGUAUUAACAGUUAAUAAGGAUUCCUCGGAGGAUCCCUUGUUUGUUUCCCAUUUUCUAGAUAGUUUCCCAAAUUCUAGCAUUGUUUGUUAUUCAAUUCAUGUAUAAAAGGGCCUGGUGGCAUCCAAUAAAGGUAUCGAAAAUUAUCCAAUACUGUCUCCUCUCUUACUUCUCUGCUUCUCUUCUCACUCCCUAAAUUCAACCUAUCAAGAUCAUGAAGGGAUUGUACAGCCGCAGAGUUAGUGAUAUCAGGUGAAGAAGUGUGCACUGUCUCCUGCUGGAAUGUCUCCGGCUGAGUAAUUGAAGUGUCAGACUGCUGCUGAAGCUGUUGGCGGGCUGGAGUACUGUCACCAUGGAGUUGCAGAGCAACAUCAGCGGGAGAAAUAUCUGUAAAGCACACUGUCUCCUGCUGGAAUGUCUCCGGCUGAGUAAUUGAAGUGUCAUACUGCUGCUGAAGCUGUUGGCGGGCUGGAGUACUGUCACCAUGGAGUUGCAGAGCAACAUCAGCUGGAGAAAUAUCUGUAAAGCACGCUGGUGUAUCUGAGGUCAUAGUAGGAAGCAGGGGUAUGGGCAGUGAGCUGCUGCAUGGUGGCGUUGCUGGUGUUUCAGAGAUAUCUGUAGGAGAGCGUGAAGCAAGGAUAGUUAGCCAAGAAUCAAAUAUGCUAAGGACAUGAUUAGAAUGAUCAAUAUUUGUGGUGAUAUUAUUUUGUUUAUACGGAAGGAUAGAUUCACUAAAAACCACAUGUCGUGAGACAAAAAAAUUUUUGCUUGUUGGAUGAAAGCAUUUAUAUCCCUUAUGUUGAUCACUAUAUCCUACAAAAAUACAUGGAACACUUUUUGGAUCAAAUUUAUUUCGUCUUGUAUCCCAAGUGUAAGGGAAACAUCGGGAGCCAAAAAUACGAAGAGAUGAAUAAAUAGGGUGGUUACCAUGUAAGCGGAAGUAUGGAGUGUCAUAGUUAAGAGCAGAAGAGGGCAGUCUAUUAAUGAGAUAAACAGCAGUUGUGAAGGCUUCAACCCAUAAAAAUAAAGGAGUACCACUAUGGAAUAACAUUGUCAUACCUAGUUCUCUUAUAAUUCUGUGUCGCCUUUCAACCAUACCUGUUUGUUCAGGAGUGUAAGGACAAGAUACCUGGUGAACAAUUCCUGUGGAGCGAAAAUGACUUGAUAAUUUUGAGUUAAUAAAUUCUCCUCCUCCAUCUGAGUGAAAGACUUUGAUCUGUUUAUUGAAUUGCCUACUAACAUACUUUUCAAAUGCUAUAAACACUGUUAGAAAAUCAAAUUUGUUAUGAAGAGGAAUUAUCCAUGUAUAUUUAGAGAAAUCAUCUACUAGGCAAGCAUAAUAUUUGAAUUUUCCAAUAGAUAAAACAGGGGCAGGUCCCCAUAAAUCACAAUGUAUUUUUUCAAAAACAUCAGUACUUGAAUGUUCAGAAUGCGAAAAAGGUAAGUUGCUAAGUUUUCCUAAUUGACAACUAUCACAAAGGUGCUCAGUCUUCAUAGCUCCUGUGACGUCAAUCAAUCCUGUAUUUUUUAAUAGCUGCACUGCAGAAGCUUGAGGAUGUCCUAGGCGUUGAUGCCAAACUGCUGCUGAUCCAGUUUUAAAACGAUAAGAAAAAUGUAAUUCUGGCGAGUUGUGCAAGACAUAAAGAUCACCCUUACGUCUACCUGUGAUCAGAGGUUGUCCUGUUUUCCGUUCCUUAACACAAAAAUCAACGUCAGAAAACUCACAGUUCACAGGAAAUUGUUUGGUAAGCUGACUUACUGAAAGUAAAUUUUUAGUUAAUUCAGGAACAAGAAGAACAUCAUUAAUAUGUAAUUUAGUAUUGUUUUGUUUAAUAAAUGAAUCUCCAAUACCAAUAAUCGGUAGAGACGAUCCAUUUCCAAUAACCACAGAAUCAGUUCCAAAAUACUUACGAACAUCAGUUAACAUACCUGGCUUACUUGUCAUGUGAUUCGAUGCACCAGUGUCUGAUGUCCAUUCCGUGUCAACCACGGUGCUUCCCAAAUAGCGGUUGCUCUUUUGCAAUAUUAGAAGCAUGAACCACAAACAAUACUCUUUUGAAUAUUAGAAGCAUGAACCACAUUGUUCAUAAUCGACUCUUUCAUAAAUGUCAUCCUUAACAUCACCUUUUUCUAGCCUAGGAUUUUGCACACUAAGAGCCUAUUUGACGUUGCAGUUGAAUCGUUGUUUUUCCAUUUUGAAAAAAAUUAUUCUUGCUUCAAUUGUUUUUGCGUUCUUGGAUUGUUAUGAUGUGUUAAUGUUAAAAAUGAAUUAAAAAAUAUAUUUUGAUAUAUUUCCAAGUGAAAAACACUUUACAACGCAACCGCUACCACACUUUUAAACAAUCACUAAGAAGUUAUCCAGGAAUAAUUGUUCUCCAUUUGCAGUUGUUGCAUACUCAAAAAAAUAUUAUGUCAAAACAUACAUGACAGGUGGCUCCAAUAUCAAUCCACCACUUUUUAAGAUUGUGCACCAGGUUUGCUUCUGACAUAACUACAACAAGCUUUGCAGCUUUCUCAUCAACAUUCUCAAUGAUUUUGUUUUGUGCAUUUUUUCCUUACAGAUAUGCCUUUGCUUUUUACAAACAAAACAAGUUUCUUUGAACUUCUUUUUGCCGACACUAUUACCAUUAGAACUCUUGAGAGAACUUGCUUCAUAUUUAAGUUCACCAGGUUAAGAAUGUUUAGGAAUCGGGUUUGCCAUCGAGACCGCAAAGAUUACCAGGUUAAAUUAUUUUGGUUUUUUCCCCGCAUGAUAGAAUGUUUAGGAAUCGGGUUUGCCAUCGAGACCGCAAAGAUUACCAGGUUAAGAAGUACAUUGAAAUUAUUAACAAUAGAUUUAUCCAUUUAUUAUCUCAAUAACAAGAUUAACUUUAUAAUUAUAUAUCACACUUAUAUAAUCUGAAAUAAUAUUAAUUAAAAUGAAUCCCAAAAAUUUAACACACUAAUUCUGCAAAAAACAAAUUUAAUAAACAAUUUAACUUUGCAACUAUGUAUUUAUUUAUUUGUUUUUCUAUGAGACUCAAUUUUUUUUUUAAUAAUCAUCAAGAGUAUAUUGAAAAGGCCAUAAAGCCAAUAGACAGUGAAAUUUUUAACAGAAACUCAAUGUAAUUUUCAACAAAAACUAUAACAAUACAAAUAAUUACAAAUAUUUUUCUUUCAACAUCAACAUAAGAAAACAAUAUGCACUCUUCUAAAGUUAUGAUAAAAAAAAUCUGAUUGAUACUUAUGUUGUUUUAUGAUUAAAGUAACAAUAGCAUCUAAAGAGAAUGAAUUAGGUGUUGCACUAAUUAUGUCAAAAUAAUGCAAGUAAACACACUAAACACAUAUAACACAAAAACCAACAAUAUAAUUCAAGUGCUUAAAGUAAAUAUAUAAGAAAAAAGAGAUUGCAAACUCGAUUUUUAACGUGAUUCGGUAAGCUUACAUCCACAUCUCAAGUACUAAUCAUACUUAAGUAUUGUACUUUUUUACUAAUCCAAGUGAAAGAUACAUUGCCCUUGAUGAAUUCACACCAAGAAAUUACACCACUUGAUGAAUUUUUCUCUUUAAGAUUUUUCUCCUAGAAUUCCGGUUAAAUAGAAUUGCACUUAAUAUAUAUUAUUUCACCAUAAUUAUUAUCCAGAUAUGCAACUUUUUUUCUUUCCGAUCAUCUGUUUUCUUUUUUUCAUAUCAAUACAACAACAAAGGAAAAUACCAUGCAAUAUAAAAUGUAUUUCCCUGUAGAAUCAAUGCAACAAGUUUACAGACAACAGACGACAAGGAAUUUAACAUAGUCAUGGAAUUUAACUGAAGAUAUAUACACUUUACUUUCUCUAUUAAAAUUAAACUAUUUUUUUUAAUCUAUGUCAAUAUAUAAUCAAUUUGGUCUUGAAGAUAUAUAAAUAUACACAGAACAAAUAUGUUAGAAAAUAAAUUGUUUAAGAUUGUUAGAGCACCUUAAAUAGUUCAUAAAAUUAUUCUUCCCUUUUACUAUAAUGAUGAAGUACAAGGGUUGUUGAUGAUGACCUCUUGGAUGGCUACAUGAAGCUUGUUCCGUUUUAAAUUUCAAGGUUAAUCUAUUGCUAUGAGCAUACGUGUCUCAAUUUAAAACUCGAGUUGCAACUGAACUUAAAUGAAUGGUGUUGGAUUUGGGCCUUCUAUUUGUUUUAACUUCUACAGGGUUGAAAUGAUAGUGAUCUUAAAGUAGAAAAGCAGCAGACAAAAAUCAAUUAACCAUAAUGGUGCAUGGUUUCCUAGUUUCUCAGCAUAAAGUUGAAUGUUUUGUUGACCUUUCUACAUCAAAAAUCAUAUAGACAGCUACUGCUGGCACUUGCAGUGGCCAAUGCAUACUGUAGAGUAUAUAUUGCAGUGUGAGAUAAGGUUAACUCGUUGCAUUUUCAUAUAUUGAAAGGAUUUCUCUUCUUUUCUUUGUCAAUUACAGCACAUGCAUAUAAGUGUUCUUCCUCAGAGUAAAUGCUAUAGUAAUGUUUUCACGGACUCCCCUGGUUUGCAACUGAUUCACUUAUAUAUCUUGGAACAUAGCCAUAAAUGAAAGGUUCUUCUAGUUCAAGAAAAUUAACCAUGAAGCUCGUAACUAGAAUUUUUAGACAGAAGGGUGGCCAAGCGAACUCCUAUACUCCGUACGUCUGGAAUAAUACAGGGAAAGGGUGUUUAUGUAUUUUGAUGUCUUAUAUUACUUGACCAACUCUUGCUUAUCUCAUUAUUUGUUUUAAUUUUUUGCUAAUAAUUCCACACAUUUCUGAUAUGGUGUGGUUUUUGAGUUCAGGGUUCUUGCUCAUUGCUGCUAACUUCUCUAUACUUGCCUGGUCAUUAAAAAUGAAACGUAAUGAUUUGCAUAUGCUGAAUGGAGACAUUAAAGAGGCAUCUUCUGUUUUCUGGUCAGGAGGGAUUACAAGAACUCAAGAAAUUUUCCAUAUGUUUUGAGGAAAAGAUUUAUACUACCACUACCAAUCAGGUAUUUGCCUAAUGUGAGGUUUAAUAAUUACGAUAUUAUCUAGACAUUAAUAUACACACGCAUUUAUGCUUGUACAAAUGUGUGUGUAGUGUAGUGUGCCUACACUUCCUCACCGUUCAUUCUGUAUGCAAGGCUGAUUGGGAGUUCACAUUAUUUUGUUAAUUCUCUUGACAAGUGUUUUAUUUAGAGUGACCAAGUUCAAGUACAAGGGAAGAGUGCAAAAAGCAAAUAGCGAAUCAAUACAUAAAUAAUUAAAUAAAAAGAGAGGAAACAAAAGUAUAUCAUAGAGAAGAUGAAAUGAUAGAGCAUAUAUCCAUUUUCCUCCUCUUGUAACAUGGAUUGCUCUGAGAUCUGAUGUUUUGUUAUUAAUAUCUGAUUUCAGUCUGAUUAUAUAUCUACGAAAAAUAUCUCUGGAGAUGCUUUCGAUGGAGAUCAGGUCUCAAAAUGCCAUGCCCACUGUCCCCAUGGAUCCAGCAGGUAAUAAUGCACCCGAGCAUUGAAUUUCUAAACAUCUUACCUUUUGUUUUUCUUCUCACAUUGUUAUCAAACUCUUUUACAUUUUAUUGCUGUAUAUUGCUAUGUAUAUCGCCUUGCUAGAAAAAUCUCAUGAUCACCUCCACGAUGCUAAUUCUAUAAUGCAUGUGAAGUGUUUCAUCCUUAACUUGUUAAGAACAAGGACUAUGAUGCAUUGCUAUUUUAUAUUUUAUGAUUGAGAUGGUAGAUUUUAAAGAUUUUCCUGUUUAGGAGAUAAAAGUAAGAUGUCACUUUUUUGCUUUUCUUCCGAGAGAGUAUUUGAUCCUUUUUUCGUAUAAAAUAAUGCUGGCAUGCAUUGAAUUUCCAAACAGCUUAGCUUUUGUUUUGUUUGUCGCAUUGUUAUCAAACUCUUUUACAUUUUAUUGCGGUAUAUUGCUAUGUGUAGGGCAUGCUUUAAUCAAAAAGUUGAGUAAUUGAUGAAUGCUAGGCAUGAAAAUGACAUAUUAUUUUUGUUUUCUGUCUCCUCCUUUUCUUUCCCCCACCUCAAAAAUUGUCAUGUUAUUUUUGUUUUCAGCCGCCUCUUCUUCCCCAAACCUUUAAAAUUGUUUAUAUUUGCUUUGGAAGCAUGACAAACUUCAUUGCCUCUCAGCUUAAGGAGAUUGCAGCAGGUCUCGAAGCUUCUGGGCAUUAGUUUAUCUGGGUAGUUAGAAGAAACAAAAAGAGUCAAGAAGACAAGGAAGAUUGUUUACCUAAAGGAUUUGAGGAAAGAAUGGAAGGCAAAGGGCUAUUAUCAGAGGAUGGACACUCCAAGUUUUGAUUCUUGGUCAUGAAGCAAUAGGUGCAUUUGUGACUCAUUGAGGAUGGAACUCAACUCUUGAAGGCAUAAGGCAAAUAUUUGCUGAGCAAUUCUAUAAUGAGAAGUUGGUGACUGAUGUUUUAAAAAAUGGAGUUAAGGAAUGGCUUAGAGUGCAGAGAUCAUGUUAAAAGUGAAGCUGUAGAGAAGGCAAUCACUCAAAUUAUGAUGGGUGAAGAAGCAGAGGAAAUGAGAGAGAAGAAAGCUGAACAAGGGAACGCAGUAGAUGAAGAAUAUGAGUUUACUGCAUUUACUGUCAAGAAUACAAACGUGAGCACUAAAAACUAAUUUGUACAGGAUACUCUUUAUAUAUAGAGUAGUAAUUAACUUCAUCACUUAUUUCUUUCUAUGAAUACAAUAUUCCUUAUUUAUAUAUAUUGAUUUGUUUCUUAUAUGAGGUAGCUGUAGUUUCCUUCUAUGAAAGAUCUGCCAUGGCUGUAGUUUCCUUCUUUGAGAAGUAGCCGUUGGUUGAGGUAGCUGUUGAUUCCUGUGAUUUCCAUGUAUGGUUAAUUACCAUUCUGAAUAGUAGCCGUUGGAGGUGUUAAUUCAGAAUGGUUGCUGACGAGAGUGAGGAUCCUGUGGUGGUGCUGCUGCUGUCUCCUGCUGCUGCUGCAGAGGUGUGUUGUUGCUGUUAAUAAUGAGGACUAGAGCAAAGAAGCUUUCAGUGCUUUGAUUUAAUAACUGCCAAGAAUGGAAGGCUGUUGAAGAUGGUGGAUCUUCUUGCUCCAAUUUCAAUGCUUUGAUUGAAUAACUGAGGUGGGGUAGCCCUUGAAACAGAGGCAUAGAACAUUUUGUUACUACUUAGUAGUGGUUUUGGCAAUUUAUUUUCAGAUAAGUCUUGAGAGUUGAAAGAGUAAUCACAGACGAGUCAAUGACCAAUCCAAAUCAGUUCCCUUCCUAAUGGUUCAGGAAUGACAAGUCCAGCUUAUUUAUUGAGCCCAAAUAACUUUUCAAAUAAAAAGGUUGAACUUAGAGACAGUACACUACAAAUUAAGCACCUAAUAGCUAGACAUACAAGACAAACAAUCAUCACAAACUAGGAACAAUCGUCUUCCCAGUAACAAAUUCACCUUCUCAAGUUGGAGAACUUGCGAAAACUAGCCACUACAAAAUAGUAGCAAGUAUCUAUGCAGUCUUCGAUGAAGUACGACCACCUGCGUCGCCAAUAUGGAUCGAUGUAAAGAACUACUACAAUUAUCAUCACCACAACUGUGUAACAUACACCGAAAUUGAUGUAGAAAAACUCCAUGUCUAUGAAACCAUCAUCUCCUUGUUCAUCAUAAGGCACUGGCUGUGAUGGCACUGGUUGUGAUGGCACUGGCUGUGAUGGCACUGCUUCCUCACUACAAUUGUUUCGCAAUGGAGGUCCACACAAAAAAGGAUUUCCUUCGUAACAACUUUCAUCAAAGGUCCCAAACUGAUAUUUUCUCUCGGGUGUGUUACCUGACAAGUUAUUAUGCGCCACACUAAAAACUUCCAGUGUGGUAAUAUCAGUAAGUUGUGGAGGGAUGACACCAUUCAAGUUGUUGUAAGAAAGAUCCAAACUCUCAAUCUGCUUUAGGUUUGAGAAUGUUGCAGGGAUAGAUCCAGUGAGAUUGUUGUGUGAUAAGUUUAAUGACAGUAUCUUACUUAAGUCUCCAAAUUCUGGUGGGAUUGCUCCUACGAAGUUGUUAUUGGAGAGAUCAAUACCAGACAUGUAGCUGAGAGUCUUCCCCUUGUAACGAUAAUACAUAUUUUUAGUUGUAAAUUCUAUCACUUCUUCUGUAAAGUUAAGCAGAAAACCCUUUCUCAAGUUGUACAUACUCUCCACUAGUGGUGGACCCAUUGUUUCAUAAUAAGCUUUUUCUAUGGACCUUGAUAGAACAUCAGCUCCGAGAUCUGCGAGCGUUUUCUGGGAACUUUCCUUGAAAGUAAGAUUGCCCAAACAGGAGGGUAGUGGACCAGAGAGUUGGUUUUGUGAAACAUCCAAAAUGCUUAAUUGUUCUAACAAGCAUAAUUGAACAGGGAGCUCACCAUCAAAGUGAUUAGCCCUCAGAAGAAGAACACUCAAUGAUGAAAGAUUGCCAAUCCAAUUUGGAAAGGAGCCGGUGAAGUUGUUAUCUCGAAGAUCCAUCGUAACCAGGGAAGAGUUGUUAUAAAAUCCAUAUGUUAAUGGACCGCUCAAUCUAUUUUCAGAUAGAUGCACAUGGGUUAUUUGUGGUGGACUGAAACAAGAUGGUAUAUAUCCAGACAAGUUGUUCUCAGAAAGGUCCAAAUAUUCAAGCUGGUUAAGCUUACAAAAGUCUCUUAGGAUCGGACCCUUAAAAUAGUUUUUGGACAAAUCAAUUGCGAUAAGGCCUGUAGAAUUGACUAACCACCUUGGAAGCAUGCCUGAAAAUUGAUUGUCACUCAAAUCCAAUGUUGACCACAUUUUCCACCCAUAUAAUAGAAAAUCUGAUAUCUGACCCCAAAAGUUGUUACCGUGUAGGUAGAGAUAUUCUAAGGUAGAAGAAUUGAAUACUGAGGUUGGUAAUUGCCCACCCAAAUUAUUGUUUGACAGCUUGAGAAACCAUAUUGUUGUUAGUUGUUCUAGUUUUACUAUAGACAAUUGAUUGUUGGAUAAAUCUAAAAUUUUCAAAGAGCUAAUAUUUCCUAAACAAGAAGGAAUACAACCUGUGAAUCCAUUAUUGGCCAUCCUUAAGCUCCACAUAUUUGGAAAGAUCAAACAAAUAUCUUUAGGAAUUUGACCGUUCAUGUUGUUGUUGGAAAUAUCUAAUUCGGUCAUAUUCAGAUAUGGGUGAUCUUGCAACUGUAAAGUACCGACAAAGGAGUUGUUGCUUAGAUAUAGUUGCUCCAAUCGUGUAUUGUUCUUAAGCAACCAUGAUGGAAACAUUGCGGUGAUGUUGUUGUGGGAGAGAUCAAGGACUCUUAUGUCGUAUUGGUAAUAAAGGAAGUCGGGAAUUUUUACAUUUAGUGCUUCUGUUGUUUUUGACAAUCGGAAAAAUACUAGUUGGAACUUUGGAAUCAAAUUAUCAAAGGCAGCAGGUUCUGUUACUAGCUUGUUGUUCUCACUGGAGAAGAACUUGAGGCUUGAGUGGUUCAUAAAAGGCUUCAUUGAAAUGGGAACUUCAAAGAGGUUAUUUGAUAGUGAGAGGAAUUCAAGGGAUGUGAGGUUGGUAAGAGGACCGGAGGCAAUAUUUCCAGUAAACUGGUUUUCAGAAACAUCUAAUAGUUGUAGAGAUGACAAGUUCCCCAAACAAUCUGGGAGUGAACCUCCUAAAUUAUUUCCAGAGAGAUCUAACUGCCUCAGAUUCUUUAAUUCACACCAACCUGUACAAUUUAUCUUGAAACAGUCAAAACAGUGUUGAAAGAAUCUUUUAUUGAUGAUAGUUGUUAAUUUACCUUGAGCGGGUAGGGUGCCAUGGAGGUCACAUUCAGCAACAGACAAAACUUUAAGAUCAGGCAAUGCUCCAAUGUUCUGGAGAAAGUUUAUUGGGAGAGAAGUACGAUCUAGAUACAAUUCUUCAAGGGUGCUAGAAUUGAAGAAAGUCCCUGUGAAAAAGAAAGAAGAAGAGAUAUGAUGAAAAUUGUGGUCGUACAGAAUAGCCAUUCCAUUUAAUAUUAUUAAUUAAGAUUUUAAGAAACUAAACUAUGAUUAACCUUGACUUAAAUUAGUAUCCUUGAGAGAAAGGGUCUUCCUUAAACCUAUGAUGUGUAGAAUUGAAAGCAGGCAAUCAAGUAAGUAGUGAAAUUAAGUGUUAUCUUGAUCGAGUUUUUAAACCUAUGAUAAAGAACUGAUAUUGAAUAGUGAGAUGAUUUUUGGAUAGAAACAACAAAUUGCCUGAAAAAUCCAGAGAUAUUGCCUGAUAAAUUUAAAUUUAAAGACUUUACCAUUGACGGUCGUCGAUCCUAGCAACAUAUUGCCUGAUAAAUUUAAAGACUUGAGAUAAGAAAGCCCACGCAGAUGUGAUAAAAUGCUGUCGUUGAAUAUAUUAUAGCUCAGGUCCAGGUUAUCGAGUUUCUCCAAAUGUGAUGAUAUGAUCUCAAAACCUGCAAGAGAGUUGUUUCUAUAAGCAAGUCAUAAUUACAUAAUAACUUUAAUCAAACAUGAUGAAAUACUAUCGUUGAUUAUUAAAUGAAUAUAAAGUCCUCAAUUUUCAUAGAAGGAGAUAUGAGAAGGAGAAAAGAAAAUGUUUCGAAGCUAAAUAAUUAAAAGGUUACCAUAGAAGCUACCUGAUCCUGUCAAUCCAUUGCCUGAUAGAUCCAAAGACUUGAGAGUGGAAAGCCCAGUCAUGCAUGACAAAAUGCUUUUAUCAUUAUUAAAUCGGUUAUCACUUAGGUCAAGAUUCCUCAGAUUUGAUGAUAGGACUUCGAAGCCUGGAAGAGAAUCAUCAAAGCAAGAUAAUUGACAUUAAACACCAAUCAACCUUGAUUUAUUUUAUGAUUAUAAGUGCAGAAACAUUGAACUAACCUUCAUUCUCCAAGCAACCAACCAAUCCAUUAAAUCGCAAUUCGAGACUUUGCAAUUCUUUAAAAGGCAGAAACAAAGAUGCGUUGAGAACCCAAUCGCCAAAGCUCUGAUCCCUUGCUCCACUAAGAGAGAGUUCGAUCACUCGCCUUGUAGUGUUAUCACACUCGAUCCCAUCCCACUCACAACAAUUACUACUGUCCACCCAAUGUCUCAAGGAAAAGCCAUCUGGGUCGAUCAAAGAUUGGAUCUCCAAGAGACCAAUUCUCUCUUCCUCCAAACAUCCAUAACAACGACCAUACCAUUCGCCAACCAAAGUCAAUAAUAUUGCUAGCAACAUCCAAGCCCCCAUUCUUUUCAUCAUCAUCUUAGAUAAUUCUAUGUGACAUCAAGAACGUAGAAUAUUGUUGUUUGUUAUGUGCCUUUGGGCAACCAUAGAGGUCCUAUUUAUACUACACUGUGGCCAUUUCCGUGACUUUGAGAUGUUUUCUUUAUUUAAUUUCCAUGACUUUAUCUGCAUAUCUUGUGCAGGUUCGGUGUUUUGAGAUUUGAAUAUUAUUUUAUUUCUUUUUGGAAUAUUCUUGGAUUUGAAUAUUAUUUUAUUUUAUUGUUUAGCACUUAGUCUAUUUGCAUUUAAUUAUAUUUUGGUUACUAAUUAUUCAAUUUAUAAAAAAAUAAAAUAAAAAAAUUGUUGCAGUACUUCAACAUAACAUAUAUUUGUUUUUAUGGUGGGAAAGGUAUUCUUGACUUGUUUUUAUUACAUUUCAAUAUUAAAUAUAUUUUUUUCAAUCGAGUCAAAGAUAUACAAUUUAUAUUAGAAUGAGAAGACUAAUCAAUUUCUCUAGUUUUCUCCCUAAUUAUAAAAUACAUCUAAGAUAAAAGGAAUUUAUUUCUUGAAAUUAAUGCAUUAAAAAAUAUAAAAAUAUUUUUUAAAAAUUAAAAUAGUAGUAAAAGAAAAUUUAGUUUUUGAUUGAAGUGUAAACUAGUGGUCAAUGAACAAAAAGAAACUUUAUUGAUUAUCUAAUGAGUUACUUCUCCAAAAAGAAUAUAUAUAUUAUUGAAUAUCUAAAGGAAACGAUUCAUGAAACUCCGCCUAAUAUAUAUAUAUAUAACAGAGAAAUUGUCGAUAAUAGCAAUCAUUUUCUUAUCUCUUGUAUCAUUCAUAUCUUCCACAAAUCUUAAGUAAUUGAUGAGAAAGAUCGUGAACGCGGAUGCUUGACUUGUUGUGUGGCAUUUUGAUUUUUAAACACAACCAUGCAGUGAUUUCCUGGUGAUUUCCUUAUGCAUACUGGUGGUCCUUCAGAAUCUUGGAGGACCACCACAAGCCAAUCUAAAAAAAUGCUAAAAGUAAUCUUGAGGGUUGUAACUUAACUGGUCAGGUCCUGAGUUUGUUCCCCGAAGAUCACCAGUUCGAGUCCCACAAACCUCAGAGCCACUUGAGGCUUACAUGAUCAUUAACUUCAGGGCUCGUGGGAUUAGUCGAGAUGCACGCAAGCUGACCCGAACACCCACGUUAAUAAAAAAAAAUGCUAAAAGUCAAAACACACAAGCCAUAUAAAAAUCACACGACAGCCAAUUGCCUUAUCUUGUGAAAAAAAGAUCAAAAAAAAAAAAAACAUUCUCUUAGGUAUGCAAUGACUGCCUAUCUUCUCAUGGGGAGCAAAAAUCAGUAGCCUCCCAUGGAAUCCUAAUAAACCUUUCUCUGUGCUCUUCUAAGAUAUUAAAAAUGUCAAACAUACAUCAAUAAUCAAGAUUUGGGUCCUAGAUCAGACAAGUUAGCUUAUGUUGACUGGUGUUAAUCUAAAAUUGUAUCAUUUUAAGAAGAAAAAAAACUGUGUAGUUAAAAAAAAAAAACUAGUUUUUGACUGAGUUGAUUAGGUUCUUGGUUGAUUUAUCUGGUCGAUGAGGCUUGAUUGGGUCAACUCUCACUUGGUUUUUUCUAAACCUGAAUCCGGUCAGAUUCCAGAUUAAAAUGGUAGGCUUGAAUUAAAUUUAAUAACGCUGAUUAAAACCACAUUGUAGAAAAAAAAAUUGAAUUGCAUAAAAGUAAUUAACCGAAAACUUAUAUUCCUUCUUAUUGUCAAAGAACCAUCUCAACCCUUAAGCUAUUAGGUGAGGUCCCAAGAUAUGAUUUAUAUUAUUCUUUAACACACUCCCUCAAGUGAAAGCCCUUUGGGCUUGAAACUUGCAAAUGUCUACAUUACCUUGUGCUUGAUUUUUAUCAAAUUAAUGGGGGGUGAGAUUCGAACUCGUGACCGCUUGGUCAUCAAAGCUCUGAUAUUAUAUCAAAUAAUCACCUCAACCCAAAUUAAAACUUAAACUAUUAGAUGAGAUCCCAAGUUAUGAUUUAUAUUAUUCUCUAAGAACCCAUAUCAGUUUUUUUUAAGGAAAAGUAUGAAUCAAAGGUUAACGCUAGGCAGCUCACUUUGCAUGACAAUGACGGAUAUAGAAGACUUGCUACUUUCUUUAUGGAAAUAACGUGUGGAAAAUCAUGCCUUAAUGUUGAUGGUGAUGGCAAAAACAACCAGUAUCGUUGAUAAAAUGAACCACAAAUGAUAUUAUUUCUAAAAUACUUUUUUUCAUUGUCAUGACAACAAGUCUUCUUCUUUUUCUUUCUAAAGAGUCUAUUUUUUGUAACACAACCAACAAGUAAAAUGGAUAGGAAUUUGCAGUGUGAGAUGGGUCUGUGAGACUUUUGCCAUCUGCAUUUUUUCCAUGAUAUAGGCCAGUGAGAUAGUCCAUGAAACCAUUGCCCUGUAAGCAUUUAUGAGUUCGUGAGACCAUUUCCAUCUGCACAUUGGUCCCUGAAACCGUUGCCAUCAUGCAUUUUUUCCACGAGAUGGGUUCGUGGAACAUACUUUGGUUUAAUUGGGAAUGCUGUUAUUGAUUGAAAACUUUCUAAUUAAAAUAAAUUUGAUUAUUUGAUUGGAAGAAAUCCUUAAAUGUUAUUAACACAAGAAAUCAAUUUAUUUUCUUAAGAAAAAAAUAUUGUAACCAUAUAAGUAAUUUAUUUAUUUAUUUUAAUGAAAUAUAAAAUAGUUUUAAAUAAUCUUGUGGUAUAUUUCUUGUCUUUAAGAGCUAUGAACUUAUAUCUCAAAACUUGAAAACUAAUAUAAAGAUAUUAAGUGAUCAUUGAGUGUGUGUGUAUGUAUAUAAUCCUUUUCAAAACAAAAAGGAUUUUGAUGGAGAUCAGGACAUUGCAACAAAUUAUCCACGAGAUGGGUCGGUGAUACCAUUGUCAUCAUGUAAUUUUUCCCACGAGAUGGGGUCGUACGCUUGGGGCUCUAAAAGCUAUGGUUUUUAAUUUCAUCAGGUAUAUUUUAUUUCAAUUCUAAAAAUGAAAUAAAUUAGAAGAUAUUUCAUCUUGUUUAGAAUAUUAUCUCCUUACAUGCAUGAAUUUCACCUAAAUUUUGACCAGAAUAUAUCGGUUCUAUUCCGGCCAUUCUAUUAUGUCCAAAUAAUGUUUUGUUUUGCUUUUAUAUAUAUAAAAAAUAUAAUUUAUUUUUAUGAUAUCAAUUAUACCUUUCAAUUUGACUAUUAGAUUAGACUGAAAUUUUAUAAUCUCUUAAUAUGUAUUUAUAUCACAAGUUAAAAUUUUAGAGCAAUCAGAGUUUAGAAAGACUUGUGAAAUUACUGUUGAUAUUUUCAUAAUUUUAUUUAAAUUCAUAAUUUUUUUUUGAAAUGUUAUUUUUUGUGUUUUUUUAGAUUGAUUUUUUUUAAUUUUAUAAUUUAAUAAUAAAUUUAUUAAAAAUUAAAAUUCAUAAUUUAUUUUUAUUUAUUUUAUUUAAAAUUAUUAUAUUCUCAUUACUCAUAUCACGAAAAAAACCUUUGCUUUAAUUGGGAAUGCUGUUACAAGUAAUUGGACUCCGUGGGAUGGGAGACCGUUGCCAUCAUGCAUUUUUUUUCCACAGCAUGGGUCCGUAAAGUCCUCUAUAAAAGCUUAAACCUCCUUACUAUCCUCUAUAUCAAUUGAUCAGCAUUUAUAAGAUGGGGCUGUUCCUUCUGAUGCUGAUGGUUUUAGUAAUGAUGGUUUCUUGCAAGGAUGGCUGCCUCUUGGAGUAUAUUGACUUGAGAAUUAAUUGUUUUGAUAACAGUAUUUUAUUAUUUGUGGAGUUAUUUCUAUUUUUUAAAUUAUUAUAUUUAGAUUAUAAUAGAGUGAAAGAGUUAAUAGGUUUAAGAGAUUAGGAAAAAGCUAAUAUUAAUUAUAGUUAGGGACCAAACUGGAAUUUUUGCAUAUUUUUAAGGGUCAAAUUGUAAUUUUAUUAAAUUGAUGAAGGACCAAAAUGAAAAUAUCAUAUUUAUAACUAUACUGGAAUUUUGCCCAUAUUUCUUCUUUAAUUUUGCCUAGAAUCUCGGAUUAUGCUCUAGGGACCAAUCUGUAAUUUUUUUCAAAGUUUGGGGAUUAAACUGAAAUUUUCACAAAUUGAGGUACCAAGCUGAAAUUUUUUCAUCUUCAACCUCAUACCCAGAUUUUUCACAAAUCACCUAUUGAUAUAUCAAGAUUUUUAACUAGAUGAGGGUUUAGGUCAUAGAUUGGCCUAAUACUCAGAUCAAGAUUUGGAUCAAGUUAGCUUAUUGACUAGUGUUAAUAAAAAAUUGUAUUAUUUUAAGAUUUAAUUUAAUCAAAUAGAUUCAACUCCCAUGCCAUUCCACAAUUAAUUUAUUUUAUUAUGAUUUAGUGUUAUGUUAACCAGGCAACAUUUAAUUACCAUGAUAUAAAAUACAAAAAUAGUGGGAACAUAAAAAACAUGCUUUUAUAUAUUUUUUAUUUUAAAAGUACAAAUUUUACUCUAAGACUAUUGUAAAAAGAUAUUUAUUUUAAAUUUAUUUAUAUUUUUAUAAUUCAAAAAUUAAAAAUAAAACAGAAUUAAUCCAUACUCAUCUAAAAACAAUUAACUCUAACAUCAUUAUUUUAUAACAAAACUAGCAAAGAUAAUUUAUUAAUCACUAAGUUUUCUGGUUAUAAAUACAUUAGUAAUUGUCUUCGUCUCUUUUGUAUUUCUAACUAUUAACGAAUUGAAUAUAUAUAAUAAAUACCGAGUGAAAGAAUAAAUUUAGUUGUAUAAUGUACUAAAUAUUAAAUAGGUGACUUUAGAAUCACCAAGCAGUGAAUCACACGGGAAGAUUGAAAGAAUAAUUAAAGUGAUUUUAGUAACCGACAAGUUGACCCCAAGUCAAAAGUCUUUUGUGGAAAAACAUGAAUAAAAGGUUGAGGGUAAGGUCAUUGCUAUCAAGCGUUUUUUUCUACGAGAUGGGUCCGUUACACCAUUUCCGCUCAAGCUUGAGAAGUGAUGAUAUAUGCUUUAUUUUCAACUUGUAUAAAAAAUAAAUUUUAAUGUAGUGUGUUAGUGUUAAAUAAUUAUCUUAAUCUAAUAGUUUAAGCUGUUAGAUAAGGUCUCAAGAUAUGAUUUAUAUUAUUCUCUAACACACCUCUCAAGUAAAAACCCUUUGGACUUGAAACUUGUUCAGGUUCACAUUACCUUGUGUUUAAUUUUUAUCAAAUAAAUGAAGAUGGUGAGAUUCAAACUCGUAACUGUUUGGUCAUCAAGGCUCUGGUACCAUGUUAAAGAAUCAUCCCAACCCAAUAGCUUAAGCUGUUAGGUAAGGUCCCAAGAUAUAAUUUAUAUUAUUCUCUAAUACACCUCCUACUUUGUGUUUAAUUUUUAUCAAAUAAAUAGGGAUAGUGAGAUUCGAACUCGUGACCGCUUGGUCAUCAAGGCUCUGAUACCAUGUCUAAAAACUAUCUCAACCUAAUAGCUUAAACUGUUAGGUGAGGUCUUAGGAUAUGAUUUAUAUUAUUCUCUAACAAUAUUUUCUUCACUUUCUAUAUAGUUUUACCUUACACUAAUAUUGUCAGAAAAUGAUAUAUAGUUCUUGUGUUAUCCUUCAAGAUUUCAAUUGAAAAGGAGGGUCGUAAAAAAUUUAAUUUUUAUAAACAUACCCUUAACUUAAUUUGGAUGUGGAUAAUUGUUUGCAAUAUAUUUACAUCCAAUAUAAACAAUUCAUCAAUGAUCAAGUCGGCAUUGGUUAGCUAAAAUAUUGAAAAUACUUACUCUUUUUUUUUUUUUGGCCAUGCAGUUCCUAUAUAUAUAUAUAUAUAUAUAUAUAUAUAUAUAUAUAUAUAUAUUAGUUGAAAUUUCAUGAUGUCCAUUAAUCCUUUUAAAUUAAAGUCAAGUUAUUAAUUAUAUCCUAUAAAUUUCUAGAAAAACUAAUUCUCUCAAAUUUCGUCGUCUUUUUUACUAACUAUAGAAGGCGAUUGCUACAAACUAAAAUUUCAAGAUGAAAUUGAGAAAUCUGAAGGAGCAAACUGAGAAUCUACCAAAAUCUGACCAAGUCGUUUCACUAGUGGUUUCAAUUAAAAAGCUGAGAGGCAGGCAAUUUCCCAGAAACCCUCUUGGACCCCAUAAAUGAAAUAAUGACACAUGCCGGGGAACAUAGAAAAAUGAGCCUAUAAUCGAAUGAUCAAUACCGGCGAAAGAAAUCAAAUGGAGUAUAAGGUGAAGAGUAAGCCAUCGACAGCACUUUGGAGGCUAUAAUCGAAUCAGCUGCUUCUAUAUAUGCAAUGGGUCGCAUCCCAACUUGCAGACCUGAUAUGAAAUUGUUAUGAUGUUCGUUCUGUAACUAUCAAAACUCACUUAAUUCUGUAGUUUCCAUCUCUUUUUUACUUAACAUGUGAUGUUUGAGAGUGAAGGUAACUAUUGCUUUUUAAAAUAAAAUAUAAUUUAUGUGGUAUCUGAAUACAUAGGAACAAUAUCUGUGUGCCUCAUGCAUGCUUUUCAAAAUCAAGUUUGGGGUUUUUUACACCCAAAAAUCUAUUUUUCAAUUAUGUUUUCACCAAAACAAAAGCAACUAAAAAUCACUUAAUUAAAAGAUCAAAGUGAAUCUAUUUACUUUCUCAUACAAAAAUCAGUCCAAAAAUAAAAAAUAACUUAAAACCUAAAUUUUCUGAUAUCAUAUCUACUUUUUCAUGUAAUUUUAAGGUGAACACUCGAAUAAAACUACUUUUAUCUAAUGGACUAUUGACACAAAGAUUGACUAUUUUGAGGGCCAAAAUUGAUUUUAACCGAGAUUUUAUCUUUUUACCACUAGAAUUUAGCUACUCUCUUUUCUCUUUGAAACUAAAAAAAUAAAAAUAAAAAAAUGACCUUUUGAGUCAAAAUUGAAUCUUACAAAAUUAUAGGGAUUGAAGAUCUAUCAAUUGGAAGUAAGAAAAUCCAAGCUAACUUUUCGCAUUAAUUUUGAAAAAGCCACCUAGUGCCUUUGUUUUUUUCACUUUGAUCCCUUAACUCUCAAUCAUGCCCUUCAUCAAUAAAUUGAAAGAAAUUUAUUGGCGAAAUAAAUUUAUUUCGAAGCCCUUCAUCCUUUGCAAAAUUUACAAGAACAUACCUGAAAGUCCUUGUUGAGAAUCUUGGAGAUAGAGCAAAAUAGAGUGGCAAACAUUGAUACAAUGAACUGAACUUGCAGGACAAGGUCAAAAGUCAUGGCCUUGCCAGCCUUCAAGAAAGUAAACUCCAAUGCAGGCAUUAGAAACCCAUGAAGAGCUGCACCACCAAUAUUCAUGAAGAAACCCAAAAUAUAUUUUCCUUUAGACUCCCACUUGGUCUAUCUCCGUUCAUGUGAAAUACAAGAAUAAUAGACCCAAGGGUCAUCAAAAUCACCGCGUUUAUUCAGUAAUGUGUGAAGCCACUGAGCUAAAGAAUAAAUAAUCCAAGAAAAUUCCACCAAUUACCAUUAAUGUAAGGAAUUCCUGCUUCUUUUUUAGAAGAUCUUCUGGUUGUAUUUGGUUAAUAUCUCAUGCAGAAGAGACACAAAUAUAUAAAAGACAAACAAGUUUAAUUAAAGAGAUAGAAACAUAAAAUAAAUAUGUUUAUAAGAUAAUUUUAGAGUAAAUUUCUAUAUAUAUUUUCAAAUAAAAAACACAAAGAGACAUGUUCAGUACUUGUAUCAUAAGUUUUAUUAUCAUCAAACGUUUGCCUUUCACUACUUUUGCAUGUCUAUAAAGGAAUUUGAUUUCAUUCAAAACACAAUCUAAUAAUUUUGUAGAGAUAAAGAAGACAAGCACGUCGCAAACUGAUCAAUGGCCAUUGAAGUAGACAAAACAGUACUGACUAGCACCACCAGCUUUUACUUGCAUUUGGCUUGAAAGACGAGUGGACUACAUCAAGCAAAUAACAAAAAAAAGCAUGUAAAGAACUAUGAUUAAUUUAAUAAAAAGUAUCUUGCAGUAUUAGAAGGUUUCAGUGAUAUGCCUAUUAAAACAUAUUUGUCAAGUGAUUCUUUAUCCUACAUUGGUUAUAUAUUUAUUCGACGUGGUGGUACUAUUUGUCGUGAAUCCACAAAUACUAUUCAUCAUCAUAGUGUUCAUCUACAUGCAGAUCACUAUGGAUUGAAGCAGUAAUAUUUUUAAAAAAAUUUCAAUUUGGUUCUUAAAAUUUUAUUUCACAUGAUUUUAGCUCUUUUAAACCCAAAUUAUCACUCAAUUGCAUAUUUUUUUGGGAGAGAUGGUUGAAUUAAAAAACAUAGGACUGAAGUGAAAAAACAGGUGAAAUAGAUGGUGACCUUGAAAUUUCUCUUAAAAGUUCAUUUUUAUCCCCCAUAUUUUUUUUAGCUCUUAGGUGACCGGUCCCUUUAAUUUUUAAAAAUUUAAUUUUAAUAUUAAACUUUAUUUUUUUUAUUUUUCAGACUUUUUUAUGGGAGGAGAGAGAAAGUUGUCGUUGGUGAUGAUUUCAGCCAUUGAAAUAAUCAAUUUUUGUCUCAAAUAAUUCCAUCUAAAGAGAAGAGUUUGAAUUAAGUGUUUUGUUUUACCUUGAAAAUACCUAAAAAAUAGAUCCGAGCUCAAGAAGAUUUUUGAAUUCAGGUUGAUAUCAGAUUUUAAGGUGUUUUUUUUGUGUUUUUUUUAGUCCAUUAAUUGUUUAACAAGAUUUCUAAGGUAUUUUUUAGGAGUUUUAAAUAACAAAUAGAUUAAAAAUAAGUUUUUAGAUAAAAAAAUAUAAACAUCAGUUUUCCCGCUACAACAAUGGAUGGAAUCUAGAAAUCUAGAUGACACAUUAUCUUUUUUAAAAAAAAAAAACAGUGUCUGACCCCUUAGCUUAGAAAAUAAAAGCCCUUUGAUUAGCAGGCUUGUCAAUGUCUAAUCUCAUUCUUUCUUUCUUUUUUAAUUAGUACCUUUUUUAUAUAAUUUUUUAUUUUAUGUUUUACUAAUACAUCAUCUAUUGUUUUGGCUUAUUUAGAAUUUUUUAAAAUGAAAAUAGUUUAUUUAAUUAUAUUGAUUGUAUUUAAUUUUUAAAAAGGUUGAUAUGAUUUAUCUGUAAUUUUUUAUAUAAAUAUUUAUAUAUGGAUUAAAUUUACCUUUAAAAAAUUAAUUAAUUAUUUAUUAUAAUAUUUUUAAUAUGUACAGCCUUGUAUAAUAUUUUUUUCUCUCUUAUUUUAUUUAAUAAAUCUUAUAUUCUGGACAUAUCAGUAUGGUUGGUUAGGUUUGGUUUUGGGGUGAAAAAAGAAAAAUCCAACCACAUCAAAUUAAAUGUUAUGGUUUGUUUUAAUUCAAUUCAUUUUUUUAUUAAGAAACCCAAUUUCAUUCUUGGGUUUUUUAGUUGAUUUUUGUAGAUAGACUCUGAUGUAAUAGGCAUGGUUGUUUUUGAGGUUUUUUUAGUUUUUUAUUUUAAAAAAGCAAUUGUUUGGUUUCAUUCAGUUUAAUUUUUUUUAAUCUCUUAAAUCUAAAGCCAAUUUAAGAUCUUUUAAAACUUUCUAAUCGGUUUUUUUUUUAAUUUUAUAUUGGUUUUUUUUUUCAAUUAAUUUUAUGAUAAGAAUCUCGUUAUAAGAAGUAAAAGGAAAAAAAAAAAAAAACAAUUACAUGUCGCAGCCAUGUUUUCACAUGGCCUCCGUAAAGUUCGAACAUUAACAUGGUCUCUAGACAAUAAGAACCUGUUUGUAAGUUUAGCAGAAUUAUUUUUUAAAAUAUUUUCUAGUUUAAAAUAUAUUAUAAUAAUAUCUAGUUAAUUAUUUUUAACAUCAAUAUAUUAAAACGGUCUAAAAAUACUAAAUAAUUAAUUAAGUUUUUUUAUAAAAAAAAACCGGUUCAACUACGGGGCUAAGGAUGUGUUUGGAAGUAUGGUAGUAGUAAUUUUUCAAAGUGAUUGUACUUGAAAAUGUAUCAAAAUAAUAUUUUUUAUUUUUUAAAAAUUAUUUUGACAUCAGCCCAUUAAAACAAUACUCACAAAAUUGAGCAUCAACCUAAAAAUAAACACUUAUUUGAGACAAUUAUCCCUCGAAAGCAAACAAAAAGUAAUAAUGCAGUUCAUUUCCUAACCAAUUCAAUGUUAAAUGAUAAAAUCAAAAUAUUAAAAAUAAUUAAAAGACAAAAAAAACAUAUUAUAAUGGUGGGUAAACUCGUCAAACUUGUGAAUCGGGUAAGUCGAGCUAAUAUGACAAACCUGUAAAUUGGAUCAUUGACUCCAUUGGAAUUAUAAUUUGUUUUUUAAAGCUAUUUUCUUAGUUAACUAUAUGAUAAUAAAAAUAGAUAAUUACAAAAUCAAACACCAACUUAAUACCAAAAUGUUUUUAGAUCAUGAUAACCUCAUAAAAUGUGAAACAAAACCAAUUAUGAAACUAAAUUCACAAUUAAUCCAGUAUCCAAGGAUGAAAAAAAAAACUGAUUUAAAAAAGUUAAUCUUGUCAACUAGCCAAAUAUAUCCAUGGAAUUUAUAAAGUUUAAUAACAUAAUUUUUUCUAAAAAUUAUUUUUUUAACUAUAUAAGGAAAAAAUAGACUAUAAAAAAGUCAAGUUUAAUUAUAAAAAAAAAACCCCACCAAACUUGUAAACUAGGGCAACUUAGAUUACCUAGCAAACUCACAAACCAUGUUAACCUUAUAGAAAUGUAAAAUAAAAGAAACAAAUUAUAAAGUUAAAUUCUCAACCAUCUCAAUAUUAAAAGAUAAAAUUGAUAAAAAAAAAAUUUGAGAAAAAAAUCAUAACAAAAAUUAAAAAAACAAAAACAAAAAUGAAAGAAAGCAAAACAUUAUGGAUUACUAUUGUCAUUCACAAUACAAUGUGUGUGGGUGAACAAUGAUUUUCUCACACCCUUUAAUUUUUGUUAUUUUAUAAAGUUUAAUAACAUGACUUUUCUCUAAAAGUUUUUUAAUUAUAUGAGAAAAAAAUAGACUAUUAAAAAAGUCAAGUUCGAUUUUAAAAAAAAAUACAACCCACCAAACUCGUAAACCAGGGAACCCUAGGGUACUUUGGCAAACUCAUAAACUACACUAAUCCCAUAUAAAGGAAAAAAAAACAAACAAAUUACGAAACUCAUUUCUCAACCAUCUCAAUUUUAAAAAAUAAUAUUGACAAAAAUAGAUUUUAAAAAAAAUCAUAAUAAAAUUUCAAAAAAAAAGAAAAAAAAAAGCAAGACACGGUGGAUUAUUAUUGUAAUACAUAGUGUAAUGUGUGCUGGGUAAACAAUGGUUUCCCCUACAUCCUUUAAUUUUUAUUACUUCAUAAAAUUUAAUAAUAUGGUUUUUCUCUAAAAUUAUACUAUAAAAAAGCCAAGUUCAAUUAAAAAAAAACCUCACCAAAUCCAUAAACUGGGGUACCCUGAGUUACCUCGACAAAAUCGCAAACCACAUAGAAAGAAAAAAUAAAAAGAAAAAAAAUUAAAUUUAAAUUCUCAACUAUCUCAAUAUUAAAAAUGAAAUCAAUAAAAAUAAUUUUUUUUAAAAAUCAUAUAUAAGAAAAACAAUGAAAAGGAAAACAUCAUGUGUUCAAGGGAAAAAAAAAACAAAUAAUAUGAGGAAAUAUUAUAGCAAUCUAUAAUGUUUUAUGAGAAUAAUUGCAGUGCUAUCCCCAUAUAUUUUAAUUUUUCUUAUGAUAAUAAUAAUUAUAGUCUCUCAUGUCUCACAACUUUAUUUGUUUUUCUUGAAUAAGUGCUAAUGUUCUUUGAGGGGUCCAAGCACCAUAUAUUGAAAGAAAGAACUAGUUCAAAUUGAAGCACUAUUAGUUUUAGAAGCACCAUGAAGAUUCAGGCGUGUAAAGAUAUCAAAGGCUCCUGCCACAUGUCAAAAGAUUAGAGAAUGAAAUUGUUAGAAUACUGUUAGUAACUGUUAGUAUUGUUUGUCAGUUAAGAGAAUUAGUUAGCAUUGUUUCAGUGAAAUAAAAAGAGAAUAGAUAACGUGCAUAACCUUUCUACUAUAGCAUAUAUAAACAUGUCAGAUAAGAGAACUGUAAUCAAUUAAUAAAAGAAUCAGUGCUAAAGUUCUUCUUCUUCUUCUUCUCUGUUUAACAGAAUCACUCUCUGCUUUUCUUCAUCUUUAUUCUCUGUUUUUCUUCAUCUCUAUUCCUUUUCUGUGUAAAUCUUACUGUCCUCACAAGGCCCACAUCUUGCUUAUAAUACCCAAGAUCCUAGCACCUUGUAUUUAUAAACGCUAGACACAGCUGCUGUUUCAAUGAAUAAUUCUCCACGCUAUUAUUGAUAAAUAUUGUGUGCUAUAUAUACAGCAGUGUGGAAAUUCAGUUUAGGAAAAAUAUAAAUGGUAAUGCUAAAACUAUGCUAUUACAAUAUACAGCUGCAGAAUUCAAGUUUGGAAUCGGCUCCAAAUAUAGCGUUAAUGGCAGAAUCUUUGCCAUGAUUUUCGGCUACACCUUCUCUGUUUUGAUUUGAGCAGAUUCUCUGCUAGUUUCCCUGAUAGUAUUUAAAUGAAAGAAAAAGAGAAGGGCAAAAGACUGCCAUGAGGCAACCUCAAGUAUCAUACACCUCUGUUUUUGUCCUUUUCAUUUUUCACGUGUUUCUCACAAGAAGCGAACAUAAAGUGCUGGAAGGAAUUUUUUGUUGCAGCGUGAGAUAAGUUUAACUCAUUGCAUUUUCAUAAAUUAAAGGGCUUUGUCUUCUUUUCUUUGUCAAUUACAGUGCAUGUAUAAAAGUUUUAUUGCUCAGAGUAAAUGCUAUUGUAAUGUUUUCGCAGAGACUCCCCUGCUUUGCAACCAAUUCACUUAUAUAUCUUGGAGCAUAGUCAUAGCCAUAAAUGGAAGGUUCUUCCGGUUCAAGAAAAUUAACCACGAAGCUCGUAACUAGAAUUUAGAGUGACCAAGGUCUUUUUCAAGAACAAGGGAAGUGUGCAAAAUGCAAAUAACGAAUCAAUACAUAAAUAAUUAAGUAAAAAGAGAGGACACAGAAGUAUAUCCUCAGACGAUGAAAAUACAGAAAGCCUAGCAUAUUAGAAAGAGCAUUUAUCCAUUUUCCCCCUUCUCUUGUAACAUGGACUGCUAAGAAAUCUAAUGUUUUGUUAUUGAUACGUGAGUUCAGUCUGAUUAUCUGUUGUGCAUACUGGACCGAAAGCAAACACAAAUAAAACACAAACAAGCAGAUUUACGUGGUUCCCCAAAACCGGGUACGUCCACGGAGGCAGCAGAUUGUAUAUUAUUGGAGGAAUGAUACAAACACUCAACUCAACCCAGUACAAUCCCACAAAACCCAGUGUUUCACUCUUACACUCGGUGUUUCUCUCAAAUCUGCACUCUUUCACUCUCACAGUUGCACUAUUUUCUUCUGCACACUUGCACUCACACUGCACUCUCUCGUUCCUCUCUUCUAUCUUCUAUCUUUCACACACAUUUACAGGAGAAAGGAAAGCAUAAAUAUAAUGGAUGAAAAGGAGAGGGUGGUUGAAAAGGAGAGAGUGGUUGAUGGUUGUUGAGAAAAAAUAUUGACAAUUAGCAAAUGUUGACAAUUUGCUACAAAUCUCCACCUUGGCAAGAUUUUUCCAUUCAAUCCUCGUGAACAAUCAAUGCUACCUCCAAUGCGUCAUAUGACGCUGCACCCUGAAGGUGCUCAACACCGAGAGAUGUUGACCAAGUCCAAACAAUGUUGGAACUUGAUCCCUGAGACACAUUUUGUGAGCAUGUCAGCUGGAUUAUAUGCGGUACCAAUCUUCUGUAGCAGAAUAUCCCCUUCAUCCACAAUUUCUCGAACAAAAUGAAAUCGAACAUCGAUGUGCUUGGUGCGGGAAUGAUGAACCUGAUUCUUUGCAAGACAAAUAGCACUUUGACUAUCACAAUGGACAUCCACGUGCUCUUGAACAAUUCCCAAAUCUUCAAUCAACCCAUGUAACCAAAUAGCUUCCUUGAAAGCUUCCGUUACUGCCAUGUACUCUGCCUCAGUUGUUGACAAAGCUACUGUUGAUUGUAACGUUGACCUCCAACUUACAGGCCCUUUAGCAAGUGUAAACACGUAGCCUGUUGUGGAACGACGUUUGUCUAAGUCACCAGCAUAGUCCGAGUCCACAUAACCAACUAAAUUUUGCCCAAGUCUAUCAUCCCUCUCAAACUUCAAACCAAUAUCAGUUGUGCCAUGAAUGUACCGUAGAAUCCACUUAACUGCCUGCCAGUGACCCUUUCCCGGAUCAUGCAUAUACCUGCUCACCAUACUGACAGCAUGUGAAAUAUCUGGUCUCGUACAAACCAUUGCAUACAUUAAUGCACCAACUGUAUUUGCAUAAGGAAUUUGAGCCAUAUGCUUGCGCUCUUCCUCUGUGCGUGGAGACAUUGAAGCACUUAGCUUAAAAUGAGGAGCUAAAGGUGUGCUUACAGGCUUGGUCUUACCAUCUACCCCAAAUCUCUGUAGAAUUUUCUUCAAGUAUUGGGUCUGUGUCAAACAGACUGUGCCUUUUCUUCUGUCUCUCUGAAUCUCCAUGCCAAGAAUCUUCUUAGCUUCUCCAAGGUCCUUCAUUUCAAACUCAGUGCUCAGUUGAGCUUUCAGUCUAUCAAUCUCCACCUUGCUCUUCGAUGCGAUCAACAUAUCAUCCACAUAUAAGAGCAAAUAGAUGAAAGAACCAUCAAGAAGUUUGCGAAAAUAUACACAGUGAUCAAACUGACUCCGUGUGUAUCCAUGUUCUGCCAUGAACUUAUCAAAUCGCUUAUACCACUGGCGAGGAGAUUGUUUCAAUCCGUAUAAUGACUUCUUCAGUUUACAAGCCCAAUUCUCUUUCCCAGUGACUUUGAAACCAUCUGGCUGAGACAUGUAAAUUUCCUCUUCCAAAUCUCCAUGUAGGAAGGCAGUUUUCACAUCAAGUUGGGCUAACUCCAAAUCAAACUGUGCAACCAAGGCUAACAGAAUACGGAUUGAUGAAUGCUUAACAACUGGAGAGAAUACCUCAUUAUAAUCUAUCCCCUCCUUCUGAGCAUAGCCUUUUGCUACCAAUCUCGCUUUGAAUCGGAUGUUGUCUUUUCCAGGAUUACCUUCCUUCUUGGCAUAUACCCACUUGCAACCAAUUGUCUUCUUUCCUUUAGGGAGUUGUACCAAAUCCCAAGUCUGAUUCUUAUGGAGAGAUUUCAUCUCUUCAUCCAUUGCCUCUUUCCAUUUUGCACUUUCUACACUCUGUACUGCUUCUUUGUAGGUGUAGGGGAUUCCAUCAUCAAUCACCGGAAGUGCAUAAGCCACCAUGUUACAAUACCGAGCAGGUUUCUUGAUAACCCUUUUUGGUUUACUCGUUGCAAUGGAUUCUUGUUGUGUGGUUGCUGGAGUUGUUGCAUCCUCUUCAUCUGAACUUUCAUCUGAAUCUCCUUCAGUAGAGAUUGUCUGAACAGUCUUUAUAGGGAUGACUGAAGUCUCCAACUCCACCUGUUGUGCAUCACCAGACUGUUUUUCCUUCUCCUGUGAUUUCUCUUGCUGUAACAUGCCAGACUCAUCAAAAGUGACAUCUCUACUCAAGAUCACUUUCUUUGAUUCAGAACACCAGAGUCUGUAGCCUUUUACUCCUCCACUAAAGCCCAAAAAUAUAGCUUUCUUGGCUCUAGGAUCUAGCUUGGACUCAGUAACAUGAUAAUAUGCUGAGCAACCAAAUAUACGCAUAGAGUCAUAAUCAUUUGCAGGAGAGCCUGACCAUACCUCUAAGGGGGUUCUUCCAUUUAAUGCUGCUGAAGGUAACCGGUUAACAAUAUGACGAGCAUAACUUAAUGCCUCGCCCCAGAACACUUUGCUUAGUCCCGAAUGUGAUAGCAUACAUCGGACUUUCUCCACCAAUGUGCGGUUCAUGCGUUCUGCUACUCCAUUCUGUUGUGGUGUUUUGCGAACAGUAAAAUGUCGCUUGAUCCCUUCAUUCUGACAAACUUCAAAGAAAGGAUCUGAAGUGUACUCACCACCAUUAUCUGACCGAAGAGUCUUAACCCUCCUUCCAGUUUGAGUCUCCACCAUUUUCUUCCAUUUCAGAAAGAUAUCAAGGACCUCAUCCUUGUGUUUCAUCAUGUACACCCAUACUCGUCUUGAGAAAUCAUCAAUAAAAGUAACAAACCAACGAUUACCUCCAAGAGAUUCAUUCUUUGAAGGUCCCCAUACAUCUGUGUGAACAUAAUCUAGGAUCCCUUUUGUGUUGUGUACUGCAGUGCCAAACUUGACCCUUGUCUGUUUUCCAAGAACACAAUGCUCACAGAACCCAUGCUUCCCAGUCUUGGCGCCUUUUAAUAGACCUUGCUUGACUAAUCCUUGCAAAGCCUUUUCACCAGCAUGCCCUAAGCGCAUGUGCCAAAGUCUGGAAUUAUCUGCUUCAUCAUCUUCUAUACUUUUGGAAACAGCUGCUGUACCAGUAACUGUAGAUCCAUCCAGGAAAUAUAAGUUUCUUAUCCUCGUGCCUCUUAAGACAACUAAUGCACCACGAAUUGCUUUCAGGACUCCACCAUGCAUGAUAAUCUUAUAACCACUGGAUUCUAGGACUCCAAGUGAGAAGAGAUUUUUCUUCAAGUCAGGUACAUACCGUACAUCUGUUAGUGUCUUGACUACCCCAUUAUGCAUCUUCAGAUGGAUAGUCCCAAUCCCUUUGAUCUCACAAACAUCAUCAUUACCCAUCAACACAACUCCUCCAUCGAACUCCUCGAGUCUCGAGAAUAAGUGCUUGUUAGGGCACAUGUGAUAGGAACAUGCAGAAUCAAGAAUCCAUUCACCAGAAUGGUUUUCUGGUGAUGAGACCAUGAAUGCAGAGUCUCGUUCAUCCUCAUCCCGUGCAACGUUCACAGUUGGUUCAUCUUUUUCCUUGUUGCCCUUGAUUGGACAAUCUUUCUUCCAGUGCCCUUUUUUGUGACAAAAGGCACACUCAUCUUUUGCAAGAUAUCGUCUGUUUGAUGAUUCUCCUCUGGAUUUUGAGCGAGAUCUCCCUCGCCCUCGAAAUCUUCUGGGGUUUGUUCUGCCUCUAACUGUCAAUGCUUCUGACGUUGACUCCUUGUGAACAAUCUGGUCCUUCUUUCGGUACUCAUUAUUCACCAAAGCAUUGGACACAUCAAUGAAUUUAAUCUUUUCUUUACCAUACAGUAAAGUGGUGACGAGAUGUUCAUAUGUGUCAGGCAGUGAAUUCAAUAAUAGCAGAGCUUUAUCUUCAUCAUCAAUUUCCACAUCUAAAUUCUUCAAAUCAGCUAUCAUUUUAUUGAAAUCAUUUAGAUGCUCAUUCAUAGAAGUACCUUUCUUGUGCUGAAAACGGAAGAUCCUUUUCUUCAGGUAGAGACGAUUCUCUAUACUCUUCUUCAUAAACUUGUCCUCCAGUGCUUGCCAUAAUUCCUUUGCAGAGUUUUGUUCUGAAAAGGCGUACUUCUGAUCCUUUACAAGACAAAGUCGGAUGGAACUGCAGGCCAACCGAUUUAUCCUUUCCCAGCUUUUAUCAUCCAAAUCCUCCGGUUGAUCUUCUAAAGUGAAAUCCAAAUUCAUUUGGACAAGCAUAUCCAUGACUUCACAUUUCCACAUGCCAAAAUUACCUUUCCCAUCAAACUUCUCCACCUCAAAUUUGGUAUUCGAUACCGGGAUGUAUUGUGGAGGUAUACUAGCAUUCCCCGCUGAUUUUUCUUCUGGAAUAUCAGCCAUUAGGACGUCUUUGGAUUACAAAUGGACUCCUGAAAUUGUUAAAACACGCACUUUUAUGCUCAAAAGAGCCAAAACAGUAACUUCGGUGUGCUGUUUCACAAAACGGACAUCACGGUUGCGUCCGGAAUGGUUGAAAAUGCUAGGAACCAACUUGACUCGGCCAAAAAACAGGUCAAAAAUCACUGAGUUGGCCAAAAAACCAAUCUGACCGAGUUGACUCAGGGAAGGAAUAUUCUGUCUCUGAUAAAGAAUAUUCUGUCACGGGAAUAUUCUGUUACUGGUAACGGAAUAUUCUUAUUCUGUCAAGAGAAUAUUCUGUCACUGUUAGAUGACAUGUCUGAUGACGUGGCUGAUGACAGGGCGAUGUGGACCCUCUGUUGAUGACGUGGAUGAUGACUCAGCGCCUACGUGUCGGAUGACGUGGCUGUCUUCUCAGGCGAGAAUUCCGGCAAUGACUGGUUUUUCCGGCAGAUUUCCGGCGAAACUUCGGCGAGCUCUACAGGGCUCGUUUCAACUCCGAUUUCGAUGAUCUUUAUAUCGCCGGACUCGUAUGGACGAGAGGAAUCUCCUCAGCUGGUCAAAAGCAAGAUCUGAGAACUUUGAAAAUUCUGCAACUUUGAACAGAGAGCUGAAAAACGUGUUUUUUCAGUGUUCUAGCUUCCCUAAUGCUCUGAUACCAAUUUGUUGUGCAUACUGGACCGAAAGCAAACACAAAUAAAACACAAACAAGCAGAUUUACGUGGUUCCCCAAAACCGGGUACGUCCACGGAGGCAGCAGAUUGUAUAUUAUUGGAGGAAUGAUACAAACACUCAACUCAACCCAGUACAAUCCCACAAAACCCAGUGUUUCACUCUUACACUCGGUGUUUCUCUCAAAUCUGCACUCUUUCACUCUCACAGUUGCACUAUUUUCUUCUGCACACUUGCACUCACACUGCACUCUCUCGUUCCUCUCUUCUAUCUUCUAUCUUUCACACACAUUUACAGGAGAAAGGAAAGCAUAAAUAUAAUGGAUGAAAAGGAGAGGGUGGUUGAAAAGGAGAGAGUGGUUGAUGGUUGUUGAGAAAAAAUAUUGACAAUUAGCAAAUGUUGACAAUUUGCUACAUUAUCUGCGUAAAAUAUCUCUGGAGAUGCUUUCGAUGGAGAUUAGGUCUCAAAACGCUAUGCCCACUGCCCCCAUGGAUCCAGAGCGUGAAAAUGAAGCCGAGCAUUGAAUUUCUAAACAUCAUUUCCUUUUGUUUUAUAUUUCGCAUUGUUACCAAACUCUUUUACAUUUUAUUGCUGCAUAUAUUGCUAUGUAUAUACCAUGCUUUAAUCAAAACCUAUAAUGCAGGAAUAUCUGCAGAUGGCCAUUCCCAAAGGGAAAACUAAUCUUCCCUAGAAUAUUACAAAGUGCCAUUUCUACAGUGAGAAUAGCGUUUCGUUUUGGUUGUUUUGUUGAUGAUAACUAGAUCUUAAAACUAAUCCCUGUACUUUUACAUGAUGCUAUAAACUGGUCCCUUUUAUUAGUAAAAUGUUGAGCCAGUCAAUUGAUUAUUUAAAAAUCUUGAGGGAUUAAUUUGUUUGUUUCACAAAAAAAGACACUGAUUAAAUAAAAAAAUUAUCAUCAUAUGCAUGAGUGUUUACUUGUCCAACAACAGUUUGCAAGGGGCAGAUCCUUGGAUGGAUAUUAGAGGUGAGCAAAAAAACCAAUAAACAGAUUAAACAAAGAAAACAAAAAACAAAUAACCGAAAAAACCGAACCGAAAAAAAACUGAAUUAACUGAUUAAAAAAUCACAAAAAAAUUCCGGUUCGGUUUGGUUUCGGUUUCUAAAGUCUGAAACAGAUUGAACCAAACCGGUUAAACCAUGCCAGCACUUAAAAAAAAAAAGUAUAAAUAUGAUGUUUUUUCUAACACUAAACCUAAAGUAACAUUCAGUCGCGACCCCCGCCCCCCCUUCCCUUUGCUCUCUACAUCUCUUCUCUUUGAUUUUUCUUCAUGCUCCACAAUUGUUACUUGUUAAGCUCCUGCUCCAUGCUCCUAAAGGUCCUAAACCAACGCCCCCCCCCCCCCUUCUCUGCCUCUCAUCAUCUUCUCACAACCCCUCCUUUUUUCUCCCUUUUUCUCUCUGCCUCUCAUCUCUCCCCGUAGCCCCCCCUCCUUUUCUCUCUAUCUCUCAUCUCUGCAUCUUAUCUUCUCCACUUCAAGUUUGUGGGCACUGGGCAGAUAAAAAAAAGAGAUGGCUUUUUGAUGAUUAAGAUUCUAACUCCACUUCAAGUCCAUCCCUGCAUCUUGUGGGUUUUUGCUUUUUUUUUAUUAUGCUAUAAUUUGCUUGUAGUUUGUGGGCAAAUAUGUUUUUCAAAUAUGUCUUGGUCAUGUAAAUUGGAAUAAGUUUCUGAAUAACAAAAAUGAGAUUUGCUUUUCGGUUUUAUCGGUUGUCAUAACCCAAUUUUUUACCCUUUUAUUUUAAUUUUAUGAUAAAAAGAAAAAAUGAUGAAAAAAUAUAUAUAUAUAAUAAUGAUGAAAAAAAUAAAAAUGAAAUAAAUGAAGAAUGAAUUAAAAUUUGGGUUAAUGGCAACAUGAUUGGACGCUUAAAGAUUUAAUUUUUGACUUGUCUAAUUAAUCAAAUCAAUUGUUUAAUUGGAGAAUUGAUAAGUUUUGGGACUUAAUUAAGCUUGAAAUUAAUUUAAUUAAUCCAAUCAAGGGUUUAAUUGGAGAAUUGAUAAGUUUUGAGACUUAAUUAAGCUUGAAAUUAAUUUAAUUCAUCCAAUCAAGGGUUUAAUUGGAGAAUUGAUAAGUUUUAAACUUAAUUGGACUUUGGAUUUAAUUAAAUUAAUGAAAUCAGGGACUUAAUUGAAGAAAUAGCAAAGUUUGGGGUUAAUUGGGAGUCCCAAUUGUGAAAUUAAAAUCCAAGGAUUACAUUGAAAAAGGCGCGCAAAUGCAGGGGGCCAAUUACAGUUUAAACCAGGGGUUUAAUUACAAGACUUUCAAAACUGCAUGGAUCAAAACGAAAAAUGGCCGAACGACGUCGUUUUGAAGAUGUUGUUCAUCUUCUUCUCCUUUAUGCCAGUGACCGUUUCCGCAGUAAUGGAGGGAGGAACAUUGCAGCAGUAAUCGUCGUCCGUUGGCUUCAGUUAUGAGCGCCUUAAUGGUGGCCGACUGUUAGCCUACCGCCCGUUAUCAACCCGCCAAGGCCUAUAUAAACCGAGCAGCACCGAAGAGGAGCGAGGUUAGAGGGAGAGAGAGAGAGAGAAAAGAAACCGAAAAGAAGAGAAACACAACCAAAGCACACAAUUUUUAGGUUCAUCUCCAGAACUCCCAUACCAGAACUAGGCUUCCCUCACCAGUUCUGACUUAAGAAAAACGAGAGAGAAAACCGGCCGAAAGAGAGAGAGACGGUGUUCUGAAAAACAGAGCAAAAGAAACGAAGAAAAAUAAACCAAAACAGAGACGCAGGAAAGGAAUACAACAUGAAAACCAGAAGGAGUAAGAAGAAAUUCGAAGGCAGAAGCGUCGUCCUCAGCAAUCACGAACAAAUUCCCUGCAAACGAACCAGGUAAGUCUUCUGCUCUGUUUCCCUCGCUUUGCCUUAUUUCAUUUUCGACGUCCGUGUUUAAUUCAAUAACAGGGCCAUGUACGCGUGAUUUAGAUCACGCGUGCCUAGUGUGGCCCAGCCAGGUCACUGGCUUGGGCCAGUGACCGGGCUGGGCUGGCUGGGUCUAGCCCAGCCCAUGUGGGCUGAGCUGGGCACAGCCCCAAAAACAUAAAAAAUAGAAAAAUAGAAAAAUAGAAAAAAAAUAAUAAUAAUAAAAAAAUAAAAAAGUAAAAAAGGUAGAAAAAAUAAAAAAUGUGUAUGCAUAAAUAAAAAUAAUAUGAAUUUAUUGGUGUAUUCAUUGACGCCAGAGUCAGGAAUAAAAAUACCGGUUUAAAUUUAUAUUAUUUUUAUUCAUUGUAUUUUAUUUUAUUUAGCUAGAAAAUAAAAAAAUAUGUGCAUGUGUAAAAAAUAAUUUUUUUUAUGUGAAUAUUCACUUGCGCCAGAGUCAGGAAUAUUAUAAGAAAAUUAUCAUAGCAUAAACUAAUAAAUAUUUAGCAAUUUAAGACAAAACUAGCAAUGCAGUCUGCCUCAGGCAGAACGUUUAAGGGGUGAUAAUAUCUUCCCUUUUACGUAAUCAAUCCCGAGCCAUAGAAUCUCUGAUGACCAGUUAGGGUUCCUAGUGACCGUAAUACUAGGUGGCGACUCCUUAUACAAGACCUUUUCCCCUAAAAGAACAAGAUGCCAGAAAUCUGUUCUUUUUUCACAAUCUAGAAUUAUUUGUGGGCCGCCGUGAUGUCGGGUGCGACAUCGGUUUUUGAACAACAAAAGUCGAACCGAACCGAACCGAAACCAAUAAAUUUGAACCGGUUUCGGUUCGGUUUUGAUUUUAAAUUUUAAAAUUAAUAAUGUCGGUUUGGUUAAUUUUUUCAUGUAAAAAUUGAACCGAACCGAACCGAAAAUGAUCACCCCUAGGGAAUAUGUCUUCUCUUGAAUUCUUGAACCUAUCAGGGGACAAUUUCUCUGGUCUUUUACUGCCUAGAUUCAGCAAUUCCUCAAAAUUGAGAUAUGUUUAUUUGUCUAGAAAUAAAUUGCAAGGACCAAGCGCAAUAAAAUUUUAUGAUUCCUUUGAGAUAUUAGCCUUAGAUCUUUCCCAUAAUGAUUUAACUAGUAGGAUUCCAGAAUGGAUUGACAGGUUAUCUAACUUGAGAUUUCUACUUUUGAUUUAUAACAAUCUUGAAGGUAAAAUCCCAAUUCAAUUAUGCAAGUUCGACCAAUUAACCUUGAUUGAUCUAUCUCACAAUUAUCUUUCUGGUAACAUCCUCUCUUGUAUGAUAUUUACUCAUCCUUUCCCUAUUCAAUACAAUUCUCGUGAUUUUGUGUCCUUAUCACAACAACCUUUCGAGUUUACAAUGAAGAAUGUAUCUCUUUUUAAUAGAGGCAACAUUAUCUGGAAUUUCACUGGAAUUGAUGUCUUAUGCAACAAUUUCACAGGAGAGAUUCCCCGUGAAAUUGGAAGCCUCAGCAUGAUCAAGGUAUUGAAUCAUUCCCACAACAUUCUAACUGGACCAAUUCUAUCAAUAUUUUCAAACUUAAAGGAAAUAAAGAGCUUGGAUCUUUCCUACAACAAAUUGGAUGGAAAAUCCCAUCUUGACUAUAGAAUUUUUCAGUGUGGCACACAAUAAUCUGUCUAGCAAGACUCUUGCAAGAGUUGCACAAUUUGCCAUGUUGAAGAGAAUUGCUACAAGGGCAACCCUUUUCUUUGUGGAGAACCGCUACCCAAAAUAUGUGGUGCAGCUAUGCCACCAUCACCAAUGCCAACUUCAACGAACAAUGAGGAUCAUGGUGGCUUCAAUAAUCUGUUUGAAGAGAGCUGCUACAAGGACAACCCUUUUGCAUGUGAGCUUUAAGGUUGCAUAGAUCAUGGUGUUGUUGGUGAUAGGUGCAAUUCUGUACAUAAAUUCAUAUUGGUGACAAGCUUGAUUUCACUUUAUUGAGGUGAGCAUCAAUAAUUACUAUUAUUUUCUUGUGGAGAAUCUUUCCAUUUUAUCUAAGUUUGGAUUUUCAUAGCCUUUUAUCUUGAUGGUACUAAGCCUUGGUGCAUUGUUUUGGAUUUUAGUUUCAAGAUUUAAAUAAGUUUAUAUUGAUUUUCAUAUGAGUUUUGUUUUUGUUUUUAGCUUCUAUGUGAUAUAUAAUAAUCAAGUUUUUUUUUUUUUUUAAAGGUUAUCUAAGUUUUUUUAGCUGUUUUUUUUAUGCUUUUUAGGAUUUUUUUUUUUGCUUUUUUCUUUAUUUUUUUUAAUUAAUUUUUUUCGUUUAGUUUAGUUUGUUAAUGUUAAAUUUCUUUCUAUUUAGUUAUUAGACUUUCAUGACACAUAUCUCGAGUUUCACGGGUUAACCUGGUUUCACGGGUGAACCCAGUUAAUUCCGGGUUGACCCGUCAAUUUUUUAUUAUUAUUAUUUUCAUAAAUAUUUUUUUUUAAUUUAGUUUGUUAAUGUUAAUUUUUUUUUAUUUAGUUAUCAGACUUUCAUGACACAAAUACUGGGUUUAACAGAUUAACAUGGUUUGACGAGUUAACCCGAAUUUUUUUUCUUUUUAAUUAAUUUUUUUUGUUUAGUUCAGUUUGUUAAUAUUCACUUUUUUUUAUUUAGUUACCAGACAUUCAUGACACAGAUCCCGGGUUUAACGGGUUAACUUGGUUUGACGAGUUAACAUGAAUUUUAUUUUAUUUUUUGCUUUUUUUUUCUUUUUAAUUAUUUUUUUUCGUUUUGUUUUGUUUAGUUUGUUAAUGUUAAAUUUCUUUCUAUUUAGUUUUUUUUCUUCUUAGAGGUUUUUUUUCUUUUAUUUGUUAUUUUUAAUUAAUUUUAUUUAAUUAAUUUAGUUUAUUAAUAUUAAAUUUUUUUCUAAGUAGUUCUCGACUGAUGCCUUUAGUUUUUUUUUUAUGCCUUUGACUGUGAACUGCACAGUGCAGUCCACUGUGAAAAGGCUGAUGCUUUUUUUUAAUUAAUUUUUUUUGUUUAAUUUAAAUUGUUAAUGUUAAAUUUUUUUCUAUUUAGUUAUCAAACUUUCAUUACACGGAUUCUGGGUUUGACAGGUUAACCUGGUUUGACGAGUUAGCCUAGUUAAUUCUGGGUUAACCCAUUAAUUUGUUUUUUUCUUUUUAACUAUCAAGCUUUCACGAUGCAAAUUCAAUGUAUGACGGGUUAACCUGGUUUGAAGGGUUAACCCAAUUAAUUCAUUUUUUUUUUCAUUAGUUUUUUUUUCCUGUUAGUUUUUUUUUAACUAAUUUAUUAAAUUAUCACACUUUUAUGACACAACCUUGCAGCCAGACCCAUGUCCAAUGUUAUUGGGUCUGGUAUUGCAAUCCAGACAUUUUUAUGCUAAGGGUUAACCCAAGUUUAAUGUUAUUAUUAAUAUUAUAAACAUUACUCUUAGAUCAGGCGUUGCAACCAAACCUGAGACUCUUGGGUAUAACUUUGUAAAAAAACCUAAUACUUUUAGAUCUUAACUAUUUUUAAAAUGCAAAAAAUAAUUGACCUGCGGCAUCGCGCGGGGCAUGUAACUAGUAGAUUACUAAAGGGGAUCGAUUUUGAUUAUGAUUUGGUGUGGGAAAUUCUCUGCGUGCCUACAUAGAGUGUGGCUUCUUGAAACUCCAAAAAAUAUAUAUAGGUGUUUGCCUAAACCAGUAUUGGGCAGAUAAAGAUAAGCCAGGAUUGCCGAGGAAGAGGCUGUUCAGGUAGUCCGAACAGGGAUCUAUAAUCAUUAGUUAUAUAAUCAACCCUAAUCAGAAUUUCCCAAGAAAGAAUUAACUAAAGACUUCAGUUAAUGCUGAUGAACACGAGUAAAGGAUUUGCUAAAGACAAAACCAUGUAUUUAAGAACCAUUGCUAAGCUACAGGUUCUGGAGCCACAAACCACUCACAUUUACUGGGGUUGAUCCCAAAUUGAGACAAAUCUAUUUGUCCGGUUCGGAGAACCUUCAAACAAAAAGAAGAGUUAAACCUUGUAAAAUUGACUAUAUAUCAUCAAAAGGACAAGAAACACACAGGAAACCUCAUAAUUACCUCAGAAUGCACCGACGUAAAACACACAGGAAAUCCCAACACAUCAUAAGACAACAAAAGAAAACAUAUAUUUAGCAGAAUAAAAAGGUUGUACAAUUCUUUCACAGCUUACAGUACGUAUAGAAUAAGCAUUAAUAAUUACCUUCAUCUGGAUCACCCGAACUACCUGCAACAUGUAUCAUCACAUCACGCGGGCCACCCUAAGUACAACAAACAAGGAUAUGGUCACUUGCACUAUCUAAGCAGAACACACCUCCAGCACCAAUAUUACUCAGGAUUCUUUGCAAGUCUUCCAAUUUCACUGGUUCUGAUGAAGAGUUUACAUCACUCAUUACUUCUGCACCAAGGUCUGGGACAACUGAGUUUCCAGUCCUGAGAGCGAUGAGCAAAAAUCUCAUCGGAAUAAAAGAAAAUGGCCACGUAAUAUAUACCUGGCCAUUUGUUUUUGGUAACAAAAGUGCUCCUUAACCUUUUUGAAGUUAUUUUAGAAUGAAUUACAAGCAUUAAACAUUUAUAUAUAUGGACAAACACCGAGUUUAUGCAAGUCUGUGCAAGGGCAAUAUGGGGUGAAGGAUUUGACAUGGGCUAAGGUGGGUGAGAUGUUUUUGUCAAGAAAUGAUUUUGGAAAAUUUCUUGAUAUUUCAUGAAUAAAUAAGAUAUGAGUCUUUAUCAAGGAAAGAACAUAGGCUCUCCAAGAUGAUUGACCAGAAGGAGAGAAGGGAGGCUCAUUCUGCUCCACUGACUCUUAGUCUCAAAGAACAAAAAAUUACAUAGCUCUAUAUCCUUACUCUUACUUGCUAUAUCAACUCUUAGAGUUGAAGUAUCAUCUUUGACUAUGCUUCUUUGUUAUAAUAAAUAUACCUUGAUGAGAUAUUAUCUUCAAGCAUGUCUUCAAAAACUUGGAAAGGAGUAGAAGCAUCAGGCUCUUCUUCAUCAACUACACCAAAUUGUUUGCAUUUAAGAGAUCGGGGGAGGGGGGCAGAAGAUUAGACUUUGCAUUUAAAUAUAAGCCAAGAUGAUUAGGAACAAAAUAAUGACGAGUAGCAUGGCUAACAAAGGACUCAAAACACAAAAUUGUUUACCAAAUGGACGAUUAAUAUAAUAGUUGAAAGAGCUACAUAAUUGUGAAUCAUCUUUAGCUUUUGGCUCCUGCAAACAUGUUACACAAUUUUCCAAAAUCAUGCAGCUAACAGCUGAGUCAAUGUUACACAUAAGAGAGUGAAAAACGCAGAAAGUGAACCUGACCUGCACCCAAAUGAAAAACUUUCGAUCAUCUGUAUUGAAUUUCAAGAUGUAAACUCUUCCCAAAGCUUGAUUAACCUGAAUAACCCAAGGAAUUAUGAAUCUAUGAUAUUACAAUCAAUUAUUAGAGUCAAAUAUCUUCCAUCUAAGAAAAAACUAGGAGAGAAAAGUGUACCUUCUCAAAAACAGCAUCUUCAGAAAAAAAUAAUAUGAUCCUGUCAAUCAACGCGUCAAGAAAAAGCUACCAAAGUUCUCACCUCAAAAGAAUAUUAACAAAACAAACAACAGAAAAAAAAAUAAAAACCAAAGUUGGAAGGGAGAAACAAAAUCCCCAGGCUCAAAAACAUAAUAAUAACUAGGAUACAUCUUCCACAGCAUUCAAAUUCCUAUCAAGCCACUGGAAAUGAAGCAAACCCUCAUCACCCUGGAACAAUUCAAAAAUUUCGACUUCAAACAGGAAACAAGAUGCUAGAAACACUCUAUCUAGUACUUAAGAUAAACCAAAACAAUAGAAUUAACUAAAAAUCUUUACACAGACACGAACUCUAUAUAACACAAAAAAAAAAAACCAAAAGACACCAGUUUACCCUUCCAAUGCGAACAAGUCCUUUUCGAGAAUCAGGAACAAACUUUUUUCCAACGAAAACCAUUUUACCAGCACGAAACUCCAACAUAAUUUCCUACCAACAAAACAACCACAACACCAUAACAUAACCCCACCAAGAAAAACAUACUUGUACAUCCAACAAAGCAAUUACAGGCUCUAAUUAAAAAGAAACAGAGAUUUUAAGCAAAACCCACAAUUUUAAAAGUGAUUUUAUUUACCUGCAUUGCUGAAAUAUCUACAGUUGAUGAAGAACCCAUUUUUCGCAUACUUCCUCUAAAGCUUCCUUUUUUUCAACACUGCAAAAAACAAAAAACAAAAAAAAGAAGGACAAAUCAAAUACCCAAAUCAGAAACAAUAACAGAAAAAAAAUAAAAGAAAAUCCAAAGCUGGAAGUUGUAAUCAGGAGGAGAACCAGACAAUUUCAGAUAGAAUGACAUUUUAUCAAGAAUUGAACUGGGCAUUCAGUUAAUUAAAUAGGUUGUAAUCAGGUGAGAGUAGUGUCAACAACAUGUUUAGUUUUCCUCUCGGAAGUGCCAUUCUGCACAAGUCAGUGUUUUAAAAAUAUUUUUAAAAAAAUUUUAAUUUGUUUUUUUAGUGGUUUUAAUUUAUUUUCAUGUAUUAAUAUUAAAAAUAAUUUUAAAAAAUAAAAAAUAUAUUAUUUCAAUUUAUUUUAAAAUAAAAAAAACUUAAAAAAUACUGUUAACACAGUAUUAAACAAACUCUAAUCCUAUAACCAGAUGAACAACGUUAAGAUAUUUGUUUUUUGUUUUUCUUUUUUUUGAUAAUGAGACUGUCGUAAACAAUCUUGCCUAAUGAUUGUUAAGAAAUGAAAGAGGCAAUGCAUGGCUAAACCAAUGGAAGCUAAAAAGCUAAUGUUAUCCCUAGUAAGCAAUUGUUGCCGCAAUGACAUAUGCCUCGUUAGAGAUAUAUUUGAAUUUACAUAUUAUUAUUAUCAUAUAUUUUGUAUUGUCGUUUAAAAAAUAAAUAUUUUCCUUAUAUAGAGUAGAAUGUUUUUAAUUUUAUCAUUUAAAAUUUAUAUAUUUUUUAAAAAAUUAAUACAAUAUACAGUUAAUUAAACAUCUAUAAAUUAAUAUCAUUGAGAACAUGAAAUUUAUUAAUUAAUUAAGAUGUUAUUUAGUAAAUAAAUUUAUACACUUAUACAUUAAUCAAUAAAAAAUUUUCUUUUUCAAAAACAUUGAACUCAAUACAUGCAUCGUGUAUAAUAUUAUCUAAUCAUCAAAUUAUGAAUUAUCAUAAUUCUAUAUAUUUAUUUAAAUAAAACAAGUUCAAGAAUUAAUGUAAUCAAUCUUAUUAAUUAAUAAAAUUCAUGUAUGUAUUAACAUACAAGCAAAAAAUCUAUAAAAAGAAUAUACAAGUGAGCCAAACAACAAUAUAUAUUAAAAACGAACAAGAGGUCGAAUUAAUAUCCAUUAACUAAUAGUAAAAUUAAGAAGAUGAUACCAAAGAGACACAAAAUCACAAAAAAGCAUUUAACAUUUCAGAGAAAGAAGCCUGCAACACCCAUUAAGGAAAAGAGAGAAGGGAAAGAAAUGUGGAUUAAUUCAUACAGAGGCUCACCUUGUUCCAGACCAGCGCGAGACUGUAGACGAACCAAGAGCAAAAAAUGCAGGAGAGAUAAUCAUGAGAGAAACAAAUUCAUAUAUCCACGAAUAUGUACAAUAUUUGAAACCUAUAAUGCAAGAAUAGCUGCAGAUGUACAUUAAUAUUUUUAAUUUAAAGAAUCAAUUAAUUAUUUAAAAAACUUGAGGGAUUAAUUUGUUUGUUUCACAAAAAAUAGACACUGGUUAUAUAAAAUUUUACUUAAAUUUUUAUCAUCAUAUUUUAAAAGAAACCAGUUUAUGUUUUGCGCAACACGAAAAAUCAUAUAUGCUUAAGUAACUAUUUGGCAUCUUAAACUCAAUUUAGUAAAUUAAUUUUAAUUUUUUUCUAUCCGGCUCUUUUCCUAUAUCAAAUUUAAAAUUAACCAACAUAAAAAUUAUCCUCAAAUGAUACAGUCAAUAUGAUAGGUUUACAAAAAUAUAUUAAAUUGAUUCUAAUUUCAUGGCUUAACUCUUCAAACCCACUACUCGAAUAAUAGACUCCAUCUAGUUGUAAUUAUUAUUUUGUUUUUUAAUUAUUUUUUAUUGAAUAAUAUGAUAACAAUAUCAAUUCAAAAUCAACUAAAUAUUAAAGGAUAAAAUAAAAAAAAUAAAAAAAAUUCAAUAGAAAAAAAAAGGAGAAGAAUGGUAGAGUUUAAAAACAAAUAAACAAUAUGACGUCAUUGUUAGAGCACCUGAAAUUACUGUUCCUUUUUACUAUAAUGAUGAAGUUUCCACAUAAUAUAAAACAUGCUUAUAAAUUAAUAACCGAAAUAAAAAUUAAAUUGAGACGACAAUCAAUUCUUUAACUUUAAAACGAUUUAUUAACAAUAGAAUUGAGAAGGCCCGCCACAGAUCAAGAGGACAGCUUCAAUGAAGCCAUCCCAGCCAAUGCAGGUGAUUACCCGUCGGUUGAAGUCUCAUCGCGCGCCUAGCACCAGCCAAACCGCCUCAAUCUGAACAUGCACCAGACAAAGUUCAUGAAAAGACGCCAGGGAGCCUCAGCAGCUGAGAAGAAAGUGCGGGAACACCCACCGCACGAGAAGAAACGUGAAAAGCAGAGAGGGAGCGCGGUAAAGAUUGUCAAGCCACGGGAUUCACACACAGUGCACCGAGUUUUAAUGAGCACUCUUAGUUUUUUUUUAUAUAUAUAUAUAUAAAAUUCUUUUAGUUUUAGUUUUAGUUUUAGUUUGUUAGUUAUGAACAGUGAAGCAGCACCAGAAUACAGUUCUUUUAGUUUGUUAGCGAAUCUGGAAAAGAAUAAAGUCAUCUGUCAAGCUCUGUUCACUUUGGUCCGACAUUCCUCACCUCUCCCCACCUGAGCUCUCUCUCUUUCCCUCCUCCGCUUUCAGAAACCGCCGCCGCCACCACCUCAACCAAUAAGGCUUCAAAUCUCACCCAGAUGCUUCCUUUUCUAUUAUGUUUUUGUUUUUUAAAAUUUACGUCUGCUUUUUCAUUUAUUUAAUUGAAAUUACUAUCCAGAGAGAGAAAUUCGAUUUUAAUAAGUAAAUUAAAAAGAUAUAUAAUCGAACCCGAUGAAAUCGCUGCUCGUGAACGCAACUCGAAGAAAGGCGCAAUCAGCCGACUAUACUAUGGGUGGAGCAUUUAAUAUGGUCAGGGUUAUUGUGUUGUCUAUUCAAAGAAAGAUGUGCCUGUAAAUUUGUUAAGUUGAUUCUUAUCAGUCUACUCUUUAGAGUUGAUGAUAACAUGAAAUACUCGUUGUUAAUGCUCGUUGUUUUCUUCUUCUUUUUUCCUAGAUUAAAACAUCCUAGACAAUCUCUUUGGGAUGGUUUAGUAUUUCUGGCCUCUUCAUCUUCUAUUUGUGCUAUGGUUUUUAGUCUGCUGAUAUUGUUGAUAUUCAUUGGGGAUUGAAAGGCCUCGUUUUAUGACUUUGUUUUGUCUUCUUCUUAUUUCUUUAUUCUUUUGGGGAUGCGGCAUUUUCCUCUUUCAGAGAAAUAAAUAUAUACAUAAAUAACAAGAACAGGACGGGAAGGAGAGGGGGUUUUGACAAUAAGUAUUUGCUUAGAAGGGAAUGCUUCUUUGGUUUAGAAGCACCAUGAAGAUUCAGGCCCAAAUCUUUGCUUAGAAUGCCCGAAAUAAAUAUAUCACACACUUCUUUUUUUGUUUUUUGUUUUUCAUCUUUUCAUGUGUUUCUCACAAGACGUCACUUUCUUGCUUUUCUUUCGAGAGAGUAUUUGAUCCUUUUUUUGUAUAAAAUAAUGCUGCCAUUCAUUGAAUUUCCAAACAUCUUACCUUUUGUUUUGUUUGUCGCAUUGUUAUCAAACUCUUUUCCAUUUUAUUGCGGCAUAUUGCUACGUGUAUGGCAUGCUUUAAUCAAAAAGUUGAGUAAUUGAUGAAUGUUAGGCAAGAAAAUUACAGAUUAUUUUUGUUUUCUGCCUCCUCCUUCUCUUUCCCCCACCCCGAAAAUUGUCAUAUUUUUUUUUCAGCCGCCUCUUCUUCCCCCAACCCUAAAAAUUGUUUAUAUUUGCUUUGGAAGCAUGGCAAACUUCACUGCCUCUCAGCUUAAGGAGAUUGCAGCAGGUCUCGAAGCUUCUGGGCAUCAAUUUAUCCGGGUAUUUAGAAGAAGAAAAAAAAGAGUCAAGAAGACAAGGAAGAUUGUUUACCUCAAGGAUUUGAGGAAAGAAUGGAAGGCAAAGGGCUAUUAUCAGAGGAUGGACACUCCAAGUUUUGAUUCUUGAUCAUGAAGCAAUAAGUGCAUUUGUGACUCAUUGAGGAUGGAACUCAACUCUUGAAGGCAUAAGGCCAAUAUGUGCUGAGCAAUUCUAUAAUGAAAAGUUGGUGACUGAUGUUUUAAAAAAUGGAGUUAAGGAAUGGCCUAGAGUGCAUGGAGAUCAUGUUAAAAGUGAAGCUGUAGAGAAGUCAAAUUAUGAUGGGUGAAGAAGCAGAGGAAAUGAGGAGUAGAGCAAAGAAGCUAGGAGAAACGGCCAGGAAGGCUGUUGAAGAAGGUGGAUCUUCUUGCUCUGAUUUCAAUGCUUUGAUCGAAUAACUGAGGUGGGGUCGCCAUUGAAACAAAGGCAGAAGUAAGUGUUGUCACUCGUGCAUAGAAUAUUUUGUUUCUACUUAGUAGUGGUUUUGGCAAUAUAGACAAGUCUUGAGAGUUGAAAGAGUAAUCACAGCCGAGUCAAUGACCAGUCCAAAUCAGUUCCCUUCCUACUAGUUCAGGAAUGACAAGUCCAGCUUAUAUAUUUAGCCCAAAUAACUAAUCAAAUAGAAAGGCUGAGCUUAGAGGCAGUACACUACAAAAUAAGUACCCAAUGUCUUAGAGACAAACAAUCAUCACAAACUAGGAAAGACCGUCUCCCCAGUAACAAAUUCACCUUCUGAAGUUGGAGAACUUGCGAAAACUAGCCACCACAAAAUAGUAGCAAGUAUCUAAAUUAUUUCCAGAGAGAUCUAACUGCUUCAAUUCACACCAACUUGUAUAAUUUAUCUCUAAACAGUCAAAAUAGUGUUAAAAGAAUCUUUUAUUGAUGAUGUGAUUAUAUUUGUUAAUUUACCUUGAGCGGGUAAAGUGACAUAGAGGUCACAUUCACCAAUAGACAAAACUUGAAGAGCAGGCAAUGCUCCAAUGUUAUGGAAAAAGUUUAUUAGGAGAGAAGUACGAUCUAGAUACAAUUCUUCAAGGGUGCUAGAAUUGAAGAAAGUCCCUGUAAAAAAGAAACAAAAAGAAAAAAGAUAUGAUGAAAAUGGUGGUGGUACAUAAUAGGCAUUCCAUUCAAUAUUAUUAAUUAAGAUUUUAAGAAACUAAACUAUGAUUAACCUUGAUUUAAAUUAGUAUCCUUGAGAGAAAGGGUCUUCAGGGAUGGCAAUGACUGCAGGAAGUCCGGCUUCCUUAAACCUAUGAUGUGUACAAUUGAAAACAGGCAAUCAAGAAAGUAGUGAAAUUAAGUGCUAUCUUGAUUGAGUUUUUAAACCUAUGAUAAAGAACUGAUGUUGAAUAGUGAGAUGAAUUUUGGAUAGAAACAACAAAUUGCCUGAAAAAUCCAGAGAUUUCACAACUUUACCAUAGACAGUCGUCGAUCCUAGCAACAUAUCGCCUGAUAAAUUUAAAGACUUGAGAUAAGAAAAUCCACGCAGAUGUGAUAAAAUGUUGUCGUUGAAUAUAUUAUAGCUCAGGUCUAGAUUCUCGAGUUUCCUCAAAUGAUAUAUGAUCUCAAAACCUGCAAGAGAAACUAAAGAUAAUUAGAAUUGAUGAGAUGCUGUUGUUCAAUUGAUAUAUGAUUCUCAAAUUAUACAUACAUAUACACACACACACACACACACACACACAUAUAUAUAUAUAUAUAUAUAUAUAUAUAUAUAUAUAUAUAUAUAUAUAUAUAUAUAUAUAUAAUUGAUAUUUAUAAAAGCAUUAACUGUAGAGGAAUAUUUGGUACUUUGUUUCCCAAUAAAAAAUAGAUUUUUCUGCAAAGUAGCACCAAAAAAAAAACUGUUCAAAACUUAUAUAAGAAAUUAUACAGUUAGCGAGUCACAGAUGAUGAAUCUUAAAAAAAAUUGGCAAUAAUAACAGUACUCUAUUGCUAUUAAUUAACUUAAAUAUUCAAAACUUAAAAAUAGUUUUUAAAUUUAUCCAUGCCAAUUUAUCUUAAGAGAGUCGCAAUCUGUGACUAGUUAAAUUAUAUUGUUUCUGUAAAUAAAUUUUGAAUUGUGUUAUUUUUUGUUCUAGGUGCUAUUUUGCAAAAAAAAAAAAAACCUCCAAAUAAAAUAAUAAGAUUAACGUUUAAGUUGUCUAUUGUUCUUGGAUUUGUAGGUAUAACAACAGAAGAUAGCAAUCAAAAGCGAUGGUGACAUGGUAGAGCUUUGAGUUAUUGCUGUGUUCUAAUGAUGAAGAUGUAGGAAAACGAUCUCCCUUCUGCUGUCUGGAGCUGGGCUUCCUCUCCCUGUAAGAACAAUCAACAUCUUAUCUGCGUUGUUGUUAGUGGCCACUUCAUCGACCCAUUAGUGGGUGGAUUUUAAGCUUAAAAAGGAUUUUUUUUAUAAAAAAAAAAAGGGAAGAGAGAGGGGGGGCGCAUCAUCACGUGAAAGCAAGGAGCUUGCCACCCAUUAUAGAGUGUGGGGCACUCUUGCAUCUAAGAAUAAAUGAUCCUGAGGUUGUUCUGGUGAUGGGUAUUGGCCAUUACAUAAAGCUUCGACAAGCCCUUUUAGCUGCCUGUUAUUAGAAUUUGUAUAAUGAGCAUUCAAACUUAAACUUCUUUAAAUGGGAUGAAAACGAGUGAAAAUCAAGAAGUUGGAGGUGUUCAUCUCUAAUGCAUAGCUAAAGAUCCUUUGUAAGAAAAUACAGCUAAAGACAGUGUGUGUGUGUGUACCAGAGAAAUUGUCGAUAAUAGCCAUCAUUUUCUUUGUCUCUUGUGUCAUAUCUUCCAAAAAUCUUAAAGUAAUUGAUGAAAAAGUGGAUACACCUCUUUGUCUUCUUUAUAGCACUGCUGGCCACUGUGAGUUAAAGCAUUAAAAGGUCGUGAACGCGGAUGCUUGACGAGCGAGUGUUUACUUGUUAAUUUUUUUAGAAGGAAUCUGGAAAAGAAUAAAGUCAUCUAUUUCACUUUGGGACAACAUUCCUCACCUCUCCCCGCCCUCCCUCCCUCCCUCUUCCGCCUCUCGGAAACCGCCGCAUCCAAUAAGGCUUCAGAUUUCUGCCAGGUGCUUCCUUUUCUAUCAUGCUUUUGUUUUUAAAAUUUAUGGGUGUUUUCAUUUAUUUUAUUGUAAUUAUUAUUCAGAGACAGAAAUCCAUUUUAAUAAGUAAAUUAAAAAAAACAAAUAAGCGAUCCGAUGAAAUCUCUGCUAGUGAACGCAAUUCGAUUUUAAUAUGUAAAUUAAAAAAGUAUAUAAUCGGAUCCGAUGAAAUCGCUGCUCGUGAACGCAAUUCAAAGAAACGCACAAUCAGCCGAUUCUAAUAUUUUCUUUUUCAACCCCACCCUAAUUUACAUGAUAUUAUCCGAUUUUUCUCACAGUUAUUGUUGUAAUAAUCAAGCCCUGAAUUCUUGAACCCAAAUUUAUUUUAUUUUAUUUUUUAGUUUUAUUUUUAAGUGGAGAAUAGAAAUCAAUUCAAAUCUUUUAGGCUCGAUCGAUAAUUUGUUAAUUAGUUUAUGCAGCAGCUGGAGUGGAAGAGAUAUUACUGCCGGAAUGGCCGAAAAAUGAGCUGUUUGGUUGAUUCUUCUUUUUUGGAAUUUACUGAAUUCUUCAAAAUUAUUGUGUUUUUAACAACAAUACGAUAUCCUUGGGUUUCAUGCUCGCUCACACAUGGAAAAAAGAAAGAAAGAACAGAACUUUAAAUUUUAUAAUUUGGUCAAGUUAAUGCUCGUCGUUUUCUUCAUUUUCCUAGCUUAAAACAUCCUAGACAAUCUCUUUGGGAUGGGUUAUUGUUUGUGGCCUCUUCAUGUUCUAUUUGCUGGGGUAUUUAGAGUACUGCUGAUUGAAAAGCCUUGUUUUAUUGCACGUUAGAAAAGUUAAUACAUACAUAAAUAACAAGAACAGGGGCCGGGGGGGGGGGUGUUGGGGUUUGACGGUAUGUAUUUGCUUGCGAGUAAAAAUUGGUAAGCACUUGAAAAAGGUCCUGUGCUGAAUCUAAAUUGGUAAGAUGUUAUAUACUGAUAUCUAGAAAGAUAACUUAAUCUAUCUAUUGAAGUAAAGCAUUUAAAUACGUAUACAAUGUUUUUGGAAUAUUAAAUAUCUAUUUGAUCAGAAUCUGUGAACCUCUAAAACCACAAUGAAUACAAAUGCAAGUUUGUCAUUGUAAACAUUGCAUCGAUGAUGUAUCACAAGUGUUGCUAGAAAACAUCAAGUUAAAAUUGAAGCACCAUGAGUUUCUCUAUGGCUUGGUUUACCAACACUCACCAUCUGUUGGUGCGGCAAGUUAUGAACUAGCUGGCUAGUUUUUUGCUUCCUUGGUUUUAGAAGCACCAUGAAGAUUCAGGUCCAAAUCUUGCUUAUAAUACCCGAAUACCCAAGAUCCUAGCACCUUGCCUUGAAUGGUCGUGUAUAUUUGUUAUGGCUGUUCAGAUUUUAUGCAUCCAUAUUUGGGAGAAUUCUUUAAUAAAGUACAUGCUAUUAGAUGGAAGUUCUCUUUAAAUCUAUUCAAGUCUGAAUAAACUGAUAUUCCAAUUUUCAUGACUUUGAUGUGCUCUUACUCUUCUGCUGUUCCUGACUUUCUUUUUAAGGUCUAUUCUAACGUGCAAUAUUAUUUAUUUAUUUAUUUAUUGUCAUGAUAGAAGUGAUUUUUUUUGGUUGGCCAAAACCCCUUGGAUGCCAAUAAUUGGAGGUCCACUGCCCCAGGCGGAGAACAUGUCAUUGACACGGGUGAUUGGAGAAUUCAAUUGCAGCCUGACUCACGGAAAAGAAUAGUCGACAAAAUGUAAGUACGUGUUUCCUAAUAUGUGCAAGUGCUGCAAAAUAGUAAAUUUUUUAUUUAUAUGAAAGAAAAGUAGAAGGGCAAAAGGUUAAUUAAAAUUAGCUGGACUGCCAUGAGGCAACCUCAAGUAUCACACACCUCUUUUUUUUGUUUUUCAUCUUUUCGCUUGUUUCUCACAAGAAGCAAACUUGAGGGAACGUAAAGUGCUGGGAAGUGAUUUUUGUUGGAACUUCUUGUGUAACAUCUUCUUUUGACGAUGACCUCUUGGAUGGCUGCAUGAAGCUUGUUCCGCUUUAAAUUUCAAGGUUAAUCUAUUGCUAUGAGCAUUGGUGUUUCAAUUUCAACCUUGAGUUGCAACUGAACUUAAAUGAAUAGUGUUGGAUUUGGGCCUUCUAUUUGCUUUAACUUCUACAGGAUUGAAAUGAUAGUGAUCUUAAAGUAGAAAAGCAGCAGACAAAAAUCAAUUAGCCACAAUAGUGUAUGGUUUCCUAGUUUCUCAGUAUAAAGUUGAAUGUUUUGGUGAUAUCUCCACAUCCAAAAUCAUAUAGACAGCUACUGUUGGCACUUGCAGUAGCCAAUGAGCACUGUAGAGUAUAUAUAUUGCAGCGUGAGAUAAGGUUAACUCAUUGCAUUUUCAUAAAUUAAAGGGAUUUCUCUUCUUUUCUUUGUCAAUUACAGUGCAUGUAUAAAAGUUUUCUACAGUGCACUGUAGAGUAAAUGCUAUUGUAAUGUUUUCACAGAGUUCCCCUGGUUUGCAACUAAUGCACUUAUAUAUCUUGGAGCAUAGCCAUAGCCAUAAAUGAAAGGUUCUUCUGGUUCAAGAAAAUUAACCAUGAAGCUCGUAACUAGAAUUUUAGACAGAAGGUUGGCCAAGUAAACUCUUACCUCUGGAAUAAUACGGGGAAACGAAGUAAAAAUAGAUGUCUGUAUUUUGAUGCCAUUUAUUACUUUACUAACACUCGGCUAUAUCAUUAUUUGUUUUUACUUUUUGCUAAUGAUUUUGUUGUAUACAUUUCUGAUAUUAGUGUGGUGUAUGAGUUCACAGUUUUUUCUCACUACUGCUAACUUCUCUAUACCUGCCUUGUCAUUAAAAAUUAAAUGCAAUGUUUUACAUGUGCAGAAUGGAGACAUUAAAGAGGCAUCUUCCGUUUUCUGGUCAGGAGGGAUUACAAGAACUCAAGAAAAUUGCCGUACGGUUUGAGGAAAAGAUUUAUACUGCCGCCACCAAUCAGGUAUUCGGCUAAUGCUAGGUUCAAUAAUUUUGAUAUUCUCUGGACAUGAAUAUACACAUGCAUAAGUUUGUGGAUUUAUGCAUGUACACGUGUGUGUAGUGUGUCCACACUUCCUCACUGGUCAUUCUGUAGAAGUUCUUAUCUUUCCGUUAAUUCUCUUGACAAGUGUUUUAUUUAGAGUGACCAAGGUCCUUUUCAAGUACAAGGGAAGUGUGCAAAAAGCAAAUAACGAAUCAAUACAUAAAUAAUUAAAUAAAAAGAGGAGACACAGAAGUAUAUCCUCACAGAAGAUGCAAAUACAGAAAGCCUAGCAUAUUAGAAAGAGCAUAUAUCUCUUUUCCCCCUUCUCUUGUAACAUGGACUGCUCAGAGAUCUAAUGUUUUGUUAUUGAUAUCUGAUUUCAGUCUGAUUAUCUGCGUAAAAUAUCUCUGAAGAUGCUUACAAUGGAGACCAAGUCUCAAAAUACCAUACCCACUGGCAAUGGUAACAAACCCCUGGAUCCAGGAGGUAAUAAUGCAGCCAAGCAUUGAAUUUCUAAACAUCCUUACCUUUUGUUUUAUAUUUUGCAUUAUUAUCAAACUCUUUUACAUUUUAUUGCUGCAUCCUUACUCUUUUACCAUUAGGGAAAUAAUUUCUAAAAAUUACAGAUUAUUUUUGCCCCCCCCCCCCCCCCCCCCCCCCCGCCAGCCCCAAAAUUGUCAAAUGGCACUUUUAUGCUUUGAGUCAAAACCACCUUAAUUAUUUCCCUCAUAACUUUAUGUGUGAACUGUCAUUGUUUCAUUUGUUUUUCUUGUUCAAUGCCUUCUUUUUUUCCUUUGACAUGGUUAUCCUUUUUGCCUUUUAUCUUGAACAGCAUCUCAUAGUAUGCCGCCUCAAGUUCACAACCAAGGGCAGUCGCUCCCUAUCUCAUUGUCCAGUAAUCAGCCUCAAGCACGUCAGCAGUUAUCACAAAACAUGCAGAAUAGUAUGUCAUCUAAUGGAGUUCAAAGUUCUGCUGGUUUACAAUCAGCAAUGCCUUCUGUCUCCAGUUUAACCCAGACUAUCGCAAACACUGUUGGACAGAAUGCUAACAUGCAGAGUAUCUCUGGUGUUUCACAGAACCCAGUUGGGAAUUUAAUGGGACAAGGGAUUCCCUCCAAUAUGUUUGUCAAUUCUCAGAGACAAAUGCCAGGCAGGCAACAGGUUGUUCCUCCACAGCAACAGCAGCAGUCCCAAAAUCCUCAGCAGUAUCUUUAUCAGCAGCAGAUACAACAACAGCUUUUAAAGCAGAAGCUUCAACAGGGAAAUCAUCCACACUCACUUGUGCAAUCUCACAUCCACCACCAGCAGCAGCAGCAAAACUUGUUACAGCCAAAUCAGUUGCAAUCUGGUUUGCAAACAUCAACUGUUAUGCAGCCUUCAAUGAUGCAAACCGUCUCUGGCCUUCAACAGAACCAACCAUCUUCUGUUCAACAGUCAACACAACCAAUGCACCAGCAACAUCCACAAUCAGUCCUUAGGCAGCAGCAGCAACAACCUCAACAGUCUGCUGGUAUUCAUCAGCAGCAAACACCAAUGAUGCAGCAGCCACUAUUGCCUCCACAACAGCAGCUAAUGGGGCAACAAUCAAAUACCACUAACAUGUCGCAAAAUCAGUUAAUUGGACAGCAAAACAUUGUUGGGGACUUGCAGCAGCAGCAGCAGAGAUUGCUAGGGCAGCAGAAUAACCUUCAAAAUCUGCAGCAGCAGCAGCAGCAGUUAAUGGCUCAACAAAAUAACCUCUCAAGUAUGCAUCAGCAACAGUUGGGCCCUCAAAGUAAUGUCACUGGUUUACAGCAACAGCAGUUGCUUGGAGCUCAGCCUGGUAACUCAAGCAUGCAAUCUAAUCAGCACUCUCUACACAUGCUGCAACAGCCCAAGGUUACGCUGCAGCAGCAAGCACAACAAAGUGGAAGUGCUUUGUUGCCGAAUCAAGGGCAGCAGUCACACUCACAGCUGCCACAGCAGCAAUUGAUGGCACAGAUUCAAUCACAGCCUGGACAGCUGCAACAGCAAUCAAAUCCAUUACAACGUGAUCUGCAGCAAAGGCUUCAAGCAUCAGGCUCCUUGCUUCAACAGCCGAAUGUGAUUGAUCAGCAAAAGCAGUUAUAUCAACCUCAAAGAGCCCUUCCAGAAACGUCCUCAAGUAAGUUUUUGUCAUCCUUGCAGCUUUCUAGCCUUGCUCCAACUUUAAUUUUGCAGCUUUGUGCUUUCAUGUUAGAUUAUAACAUAUUUAUUUAAAUUUCUUGAAAAUACAAUAAUGGUUCAAGUCAGUAAUGCUCUUUUUGGUAGCUUUAUGAGCUACGGCUGCCACUUAUGGCAUCAGAAAUGCCACUGCUAUUGGAGCCAUUGUAAUCACACAUACAUUUGUUACGACAUCAUGCCAUCCAGUGCAUUGCACCAACUAUUCACCUCUCAUAAUGGUUCAAGUCAGCAAUGCUCUUUUGGUAGCUUUAUGUUCUACUGAUGCCACUGCUAUUGAAACCAUUGCAAUCACACUCGUUUGUUACCACAUCAUGCCCUCCAGCUCAUCGCACCAAUUGUUCACCUCUCAUUUUGAAUUUAACAGACAUGAAUUUUAAAAAUAUAUGUAUAACUGGACAAUGCAUUUGACACUAGGGUAACUAAUCAUCAGCCAAUUGAUUUUUAUGGGAAGAAAGAAAUUAGCAAGUGGACUAACUCUGAGGCACUUAAGGUUUGGUGUGCUGAUAAAUCAUUGAGCCUUUUUUUUUAAUAUAUAAUGAUCACUUGUUGGGGGGGGGGGGGGGGGGGAAGCAUUUUAAAGGGUCUCUCUGUCUAUUUGAAUGAUUACAUAACGUUGAGAUGGAGUUCCUAGUACUCCAAGUCCAAAAAGGACUUGUAUUCCUAUGUAAGAAAAUACCAAUGGUCCUAUCUGGGAUAGGGAAAACCUAUUAAAGCUCCUUAUUCUUUAGGAACAAUAAAAUACUAAAUAGAAAUAAAACCAAGACCUACAAUAUUCCAUAAUUUUCAGCAAGUGUGAAAAUUACAGAAAUACCCUUGUGUGCAGAAAACAUUCAUAAAAUACAUGAAUUCUAAUCUUUUGUUGGCUGUAUCAAAAUUUUUGUAGCAUCCCUAGAUUCUACAGCAGAGAUUGGACAUGCAAAUGGUGCUGAUUGGCAAGAGGAGAUCUACCAAAAGGUAAUUUCUGUAGUUUACUGUUCAUUAGAUGAAGUUCAUGUAUGUCAUUGUCUUGCAAGAUUUCAAUGGAAAAGGUCUCCUGGAAUUUGGUACAAGGGAGUUUUAUUCAGCUAUGGUUGUGAUUAGUUAGGAAGCAUUGUAAGUUCCAUGAUUGCAGCAACUAAGAAACGAUAAAUUACUGAUAAGAUGAUUAAAGGUAAAUAAUCAGAUUUCUAGGUCAAGAGGGUUAUUUUCUUGGUACUGACACGACAAUUUUUUCUAUUGCAAAUCUCUCCCUUUCAAUUUUUUCCCUGUAUUUCCAUACAUUUAUUGUGUGGUGAAUUAUUAUUUUAUUAUUUCCAAUAAGUCCAAUUGACAAUACUUCUUACUGUAAUAGACAGACUUGAAAACAAGAGUGAACUGUUUCUGAAUAGUCAUCGUUAUAUUUGGUUAAGUGAACAGUUAUUUUCAGGAUUACAAUCAAAUUUGUUCUGAAACAUGUGACAAUGGAAGAAAGGAAAAUAAGUGGACCUAAUCCAUUGAAUCAUGACCAUGUCCAGUAUUGUUGAAUUUUAUAGAAAACGAGGUUGAAAUUCUGAAUCGUUUAAUGGCUGUAGUUGCAAUUCAUAACUGCAUAUUUGAUGAGGUCAAUUUUUUUGUGCCUGGGAGGGUACUAAAACGGGAAUAGGAGUGGUUGUUGAUAAUUAGGAUAUAAGGGUUAUAAAUCUAAAGUUAUAAGGCUAAGAAGUGUUUACCAAAGUCGUGACAUCCAUUGACUUGAGUUAGAACAAUAGAAAACAAUGGUGAGUAGUUUGCCGUGAGACAAAGUAACUGAACUUGACCAACCCCUGAAUCUUGUCUGAAGGGGUAACUACACAAUCCUUUGCAUGCAAUCAAUAACGAUAUUCUCUUUUGAGUUUUCGGCAUUGAUUCCACUUUGCUAUUUUUAUCUCAAACAAUAUAUGCUGUCCUCUGCCAUUUUAUUUAUUUAUUUAUUUAUCAAUUCUCUCAAGUUUGCUUAUGUUUCUUUCUGACUCUGGCACGUGAAGAAAUCAAGCAUAUGAUUGAUAAUGUCUUGCUGGUUAUAUGUACUUCCUAGAUCAAAGUUAUGAAGGAAACGUAUUUGCCUGAAAUAAAUGAAAUGUACCAGAGAAUUGCUACCAAGUUACAGCAGGUAAAUUGUCUUUGUAAUUUUUUCCGAUUUAUUUGCCCACACAUAUUCAUAAACCCCCACAGUUGAGCUUUUGUAUUAAUUUGUUUUCCCCAUCAGCAUUGCUUGUCACUGUAUCAUCUGCACUAAUUACCUCCCCCACCCCCAACCACCCCACAACCAUGCAUUGACACAGAAGAAUUGGAAUAGAAACAUUUUUUUCACUUAUGUUUUACUAGUUUUGCUAGAAAGGAUCAAUGCAAUUUUUAAUUCUCGUGUAUGUUAACUUUGCUUUCCAGCAUGACCCUCUUCCGCAACAACCGAAGUCAGAACAGCUUGAAAAGCUGAAGGUAUUCAAGGUCAUGUUGGAGCGCUUGAUAACAUUCUUACAGGUCUCUAAAAACAACAUCACACCUAAUUUCAAGGAGAAAUUGGGUUUCUAUGAGAAGCAGAUUGUAGGUUUUCUAAACCCAAGCAGAUACAGGAAGCCUAUUCCUAAUCUACAGCAAGGACAACCUCCCCAACCUCGUAUUCAACCUAUGCAGCAACCCCAAUCUCAAGUUCCUCAAUUGCAGUCCCAUGAAAAUCAACUGAUUCCCCAGUUGCAAUCAAUGAAUACGCAAGGUUCUGUACCACAGAUGCAGCAGAACAAUAUGUCAAGCUUGCUGCAUAAUUCCCUUUCAACUUUAUCUGGGGAUUCGACGUCACAAUCAAACAUGAUGAAUCCAAUACAACCAGGCUCCAAUUUAGAUUCUGGACAAGGAAAUGCACUGAGCUCAUUGCAGCAGACACCUGUAGGAUCUGUACAACAGAAUCUCGUGAGCAUUUCCCAACCAACCAAAGUUAACACAUUGUCAACACAAAGUGGGGGGAGUAUGCUGCAGCCAAAUAUUCCCCUUCAGUCGAAUUCCAAUAUGAUUCAACACCAGCAUCUAAAACAGCAGCAGCAGCAGCAGCAUGAACAACAGAUGCUACAAACACAACAGCUUAAACGAUUCCAGCAACACCAGAAUUUAAUGCAGAAUCAACAGAUGCAGCAGCAGCAAUUACACCAGCAAGCUCCGUCUCCUAUGCCAGGAGAUUCUGACAAACCAGUUUCUGGUAUUUCCUCACUCUUAGAUACUGGAAAUAUUGUACACCAACCAUCUGUUGCACAAGCACUGGCUCCAUCCCUUGCAAUUGGCACUCCUGGGAUAUCUGCAUCACCUUUGCUUGCAGAGUUUACCAGUCCUGAUGGUGCUCAUGGCGGUGCUUUGACAACUGUUUCUGGCAAGUCAAAUGUUACAGAGCAAUCACUUGAGUGCUUGAUUAAAGCGGUUAGUGAUGCUCUCCUUUUGGUUUUACUCCACCCCACCCUUAUUUUGGAGGUUUCUGAAAAAGAAAGAAACUUCUUUGUGAAUGAGAUGGUGAUGCUGCAAUUUUUUUUCCCAGGUGAAAUCUCUGUCUCCCAAAGCACUUAGUGCAUCUGUCGGUGACAUUGGCUCCGUUGUCAGUAUGAUUGACAGAAUUGCUGGUUCUGCAGCUGGUAAUGGAUCUAGAGCUGCAGCUGGUGAGGAUUUGGUAGCAAUGACAGGAUGUCAUCUUCUUUCGUUUUUGUCUUUUUUAUUUUUCACGUGUUUCUCACAAGAUGGGAACUCGAGGGAAUAAAAAGUGCUGGGAAGUAAUUUUUGUUGGAACGUCUUGUGUAACAUCUUCUUUCGAUGAUGACCUUUUGGAUGGCUGCAUGAAGCUUGUUCCGCUUUAAAUUUCAAGGUUAAUCUAUUUCAAUUUGAAACUUGAGUUGCAACUGAACUUAAAUGAAAAGUGUUGGAUUUGGGCCUCUAUUUGUUUUAACUUGUACAGGGUUGAAGUGAUAGUGAUCUUAAAAGUACAAAAGCAGCAGACAAAAAUCAAUUAGCCACAAUAUAUAGUGUAUGGUUUCCUACUUUCUCAGUAUAAAGUUGAAUGUUUUGGUGAUAUAAUCUCUACAUCCAAAAUCAUAUAGACAGCUACUGCUGGCACUUGCAGUAGCCAAUGUUAACCAAAAUCAUAUAAUCUUAAAGUUGAAUGUUGUAUUUUCAUAAAUUAAAGGGAUUUCUCUUCUUUUCUUUGUCAAUUACAGUGCAUCAUAAUAAGUUUUCUUACUCAGUAAAUGCUAUUGUAAUUUUUUCACAGAGACUCCCCUGUUUUGCAACUAAUUCACUUCUGAAUAAAUCUGGGAAACAGAAAGGCAAUCAACAAAGAGUAAGGCAUCUUCUGAAGAAACAAAGAAAUUUAAUACCAUAAACUAAGCAGCACGUAGAAGGCAAAAACUGAGCACAAAUUUUCAGGAAGGGACAAACGAAAAAAACCAAAAAGAAAGCAAAGAAAAAUACAGACUCAAAUUCACAACACCCAUUUUCUUUCCAUUGGAACACUUUAAAUAGUUUAUUAAAUUUAUAAUGAUCUGAUUUCUACGCAUAUAAAAAAAUCAACUAAAUGAUCAAUUCUCUAUAAUUUCGGCAUUACUAAAAACAUCCAAACUAAUAAACAAUUAGUUAUUUUACUCAUUUUAAUAAACAUUUUAGUUAUGAAUUCACCAAACAUUUUGAACAAUUCAUAUUGAUGAAUUAACAUUUAAAUUUUAGAUUUUUUGAUUUAUUAUUUCCUUCGUGAGUUACUUCUAAAGUAUGCUAUAUAUCUUUAAGCAUUUUUAUAGAAUAUAAUUCUAUCAAAUUCACUUUUACCCAAUGCAUAAUAUAAAGUAUUCAUGGCUUUAACAUCCAUAAAAAAUAACUUUUUAUCAUUGUCCGUAUAUUCCCUUUUAGUUUUAGAAAUCUCAAUACCAUUUUUAAUUUGAUAGGUCUAGGAGAUCUAUUUUGUAUGGAUAGCCACAAAUUAAAAUCAAUAAAUUGAUAAUAAAUUAUCAUUAAACAAUUUAUUACUUGCUCUUUGGUAAUAAGAAUGUGAUUGUAAUAUUAUUUUGUAUGGAUAGUUUUAUCUAUCUAUUAUCUCAAUAACAAGAUUAACUUUGCAAUUAUAUAUCACACUUAUAUAAUCUCAAAUAAUAUUAAUUAAAAUGAAUCACAAAAAUUUAACACAGUAAUUCUGCAAAAAAAAUAAAAACAAUUUAAUAAACAAUUUAACUUUGCAAUUAUGUUUUUAUUUGUUUGUUUUUCUAUGAGACACAAUGGAAUUUUCAAUAGAAACUACAACAAUACAAAUAAUUACAAAUAUUUUUCUUUCAACAUCAACAUAAAAAAACAUUAUGCACUUUUCGAUACUUACGUAAUUCUAGGAUUAAAGAAACAAUAACAUCUAAGGGGGGUGAAUUGGGUGUUGCACUAAUUAUAUCAAAUAAUGGUGUUGCACUAAUUAUAUCAAAUAAUGCAAUAAUUAACAAUAUAAUUAAAGUGUUUAAAGUAAAUAGAUAAGGAAAUAGAUAUUACAAACUCGGUUUUUAAUGUGAUUCGGUAAGCCUACAUCUACACCUCAAGUACUAACCGUACUUGAGUAUUGUACUCUUUUACCAAUCCAAGUGAAAUAUACAAAUGCCCUUGAUAAAUCCACACCGAGAAAUUAUACCACUUGAAGUUUUUUCUCUUGGUGACAAUACAUCACUAAUGCUAGGAGUUUAUCCAAACUCACAAAUGUUUACAAUUAUAAUUUGUUUGCAACAAGAUUCACUCUCUCAUAAAGUAAAUUGUACAAUUGAAAACUAUAAUCUUUAUAACUCACUCGAUAGCACUCAAGAUGAUUGAAAGUGUGUAAAUAUAAUGAGUGUGAGACAUUAUACUCAUGUGUUAGAAUAUAAAGAUUUAAUUUAGCACAACUUAAAAGCAUGUUAUGAUUGAUGAUUUCUAAUUGAUUUUUUUUUAAAAUAACUUCUAUGUUAUAUAUGUUUGGAAUCUCUCUUUUAUUUGUUAUAUAUAUAUAUAUAAACUAAUUGUUUAUAGUUGUUGAGAUGUCUCUAACAGCUAAAGUAAUCUAUAUGCAACUUAAACAAAAGAAUUCCAAUUAAAUGGAAUUGCACUUAACAUGUAUUAUUUCAAAUGCAACAAUUGCAUAGAUAACAGACAACAAGGAAUUUAACAGAAGAUAUAUACACUUUACUUUUCCUACUAAAAUUAAACUAUUGGAAUUUAACAUAGUCAUAAUCAAUUUGUUCUUGUGAGAUUAUCUAUUACAUGUAUAACAAAUAUAUUAGAAAAUAAAUUGUUUUAAGAUUGUUAGAACACCUUAAAUAGUUCAUAAAAUUAUUGUUCCAUUUUACUAUAAUAAUCAAGUUUCCACAUAAUAUAAAUCAUGCAUAUAAAUUAAUAAUCAAAAUAAAAAUUAAAUUAAGAUAACAAUCAAUUUUUUAACUUUAAAAUAAUUUAUCAUCUAUUUUCUAAUACUAAUAGUAUGAUUGUAAUAUUAUUUUUUAAUUUAUUUAAUAAUUUAAUUUUGAUAGCACAACCAAAAAUAAAUAAUGAACCAAAAUUUAUAUGAUAUUUUUUAUAAAAAAUUUGAUAAAAAAAAUAUAAAAACAAAAAUAAUGUCUCAAUUAGAAUAAUUUUUUCAUUAAUGAGAAGGCCCACCACAGACCAAGAGGACAGCUUCAAUGAAGCCAAUGCAGGUGAUUACCCGUCGGCUAACAUCUCCUCGCGCGCCUAGCACCAGCUAAACCGCCUCAAUCUGAACAUGCACCAGACAAAGUCUAUGAAAAGACGCCAGGGAGCCUCAGCAGCCGAGAAGAAAGCACGGGAACACCCACCGCGCGAGAAGAAACGCGAAAAACAGGAGACGGAGCGCGGUAAAGACUGAAGCCACAGGAUUCACAUACAGUGAAGCACUCUUAGUUUUAUAUAUAUAUAAUUCUUUUAGUUUGUUAGUUAUGAACAGUGAAGCAGCACAAGAAUACAAUUCUCCUGUUUGUUUGCUGGAAAAUAGUUUUUUUUAGAAAGUGAAUUAUUUUCCGAUGUUUGGUAGUGUAAUGGAAAAUAAGUUAGAAAACAUUUUUCAGUGUUUGGUUAUGUCAUGGAAAAUGAGUUGGAAAAUAACUUAUUAAUAUUUUAUUUUUUUCAAUUUUAUUAAAAUAAUAAAGAAUAAAUCUUACAAAUUAAAAAGUUGAAUGAAAAUAAAAUUGAAAAAAAAUAUAAUUUCAUAAAUUAUCUUAAAUAAAAUAAAUAAUAAUCAAAAUAAUAAAAAUCAAAUCUAAAAAAUAAAAAAUUUGAUCGCUUCAUUAAUUUCUCGUUAGGAAAAUGUUGAGCUUCUCAGCAAUAUUUCCUUACCUUGUGCCGCUAACUUGACGGUAAAAUGUGAUUAAAGGAUCAAUUAAUUAUUUAAAUCAACUUGAGGGAUUAAUCUGUUUGUUUAACAAAAAUACAGACACUAGUUAAAUAGAAUUUAACUCAAAUUUUAAUCAUCAUAUGCGUGCGUGUGCGUGUGCGCACGCGUGCGAGCGAGGGUUUACUCGUUAAUUUUUUUAGAAGGAAUCUGGAAAAGAAUAAAGUCAUCUAUUUCACUUUGGUCCAACAUCCCUCAAAGGCGCAGCUGUGCAUCUAGUUAGGAAGAACAUUUUAUAACUCACCUCAAGGUCGAGCAUGGUCAGGGUUAUUGUGUUGUCUAUUCCGAGGAAGAUGUGGCGUUCAAUCCAUGUGAAUCGCACGACUUGUCCAUAUCUUUCUUAUUGAUUACAAAUAGCAUUGAGAAUUAAAGAAUAUUAUCUUAAUAAGUUCCAAUUUAUUCUACAAAACUAUAUAUAAAGAUGUGACAAAAAGAUGUAUACAAAUUAGUUAUUUAUUGUUUGUAAGUAUUAUUGUAUUGCAAAGACAAAAAUAAGAUGCAACUUAUGGCGUGGUCGUCCAACCUGGUUCUGGUUUUGAUCCUGUUCAAAAUCUAUUUUGUUGAAUUGUUGAUCUACUUGUGAGUUAUUGGGUUAACUAGAUCAAUUUUUUAAACAAAACAAUGCCAUUUUAAAAAAAAAAUUGGUUCUGACAUAGAAAUAUAAUAUUAGAAACUUAAACCUUAUUGAUUAGCAAAAACUCAAUGGGAAAUUUAGUUUUGAAAUAGAUUGUUGUAAAAUCAAAUAUGAAUUGAUAACCAGAAAGUUUGCUUAAAAUUGCAAUAACCUUAUAGAAGAAAGCAAACAUAAAUAGAAUUAUUAAAUUCAAUGGAGUUCAUAUAACCAGGAUCACGAGUUUAGCGAGUUAAGCCAUGAAACCCUAAUCGAUCAAAUAUGUCGCCGUUUCAAUUAAAAAAAAUACAUCUUAAAAAGAAUUAAGCUAAACCACGUUUCUACCUAUUAUCUGGGUUGUCUUUAGACUUGUCAAGUCGACUGAGCCAUAUUAGGACAACUUCCAUAUAAUUAAAUUUGAAACUCGAGCUAGAUAAGAAAUCAGGUCAGGAAAUUUUAAUAUUGAUUUGUUGAAUCGGAUUUAAUAACAAUGCCAAAGAUCUGAAUAUUUAUUUUUUACUCAAUUUUUUUUAGGUCCUGUUUGUUUGAUGGAAACAGUUUUUUUUUAGAAAGUGAAUUCCUGUAAAGUGAAUUAUUUUCUGAUGUUUGGUAGUGUGAUGGAAAAUAAAUUAGAAAAUAUUUUCCAGUGUUUGGUUAUGUUAUGAAAAAUGAGUUGAAAAAUAGCUUAUUAAUAUUUUAUUUUUUUUCAAGUUUAUUAAAAAAACGAGGAAUAAAUCUUACAAAUUAAAAAGUUGAAUGAGAAUGAAAUUGAAAAAAAUAAUCUAAUUUUAUAAAUUAUUUCAAAUAAAAUAAAUAAUAAUCAAAAUAAUAGAGAUCAAAUCUAACAAAUAAAAAAAUUGAAAGAUGAUGAAAUUAAAAUAAUAAUAAUUACAAUUUCAUAAAUUAUUUCAAAUAAAAUAAAUAACAAUUAAAAGAAUAAGGACCAAAUUUGAUAGAUAAAAAAUUUCAAUUAAAAAAAUGAUAAGACAAAAGCAAAUAACAAUCAUAAAAAUAAGGACCACAGUUAAUAUAAAAAUCAAAUUAAAUCAAAUUUUAAGGAAGGAAAUUAAAAAAAAAGAUUCAAACAAAAUAUAUAUCAAUUAAAAGUUUGAAGACUAAAUUUGAUAUAAUCAGCAAAUAAUAUGAUAUUUCUAAAUUUUUCACAACUUCUGGAAAAUGUUUUCCGUCCAAAAUAAAAGGAAAAUACUUUCCUGAAAAUCGAGUUAAAUUUUUCUUUGACUGUAAAGUGUUUUCCAUUGACCAACUUUUUUAAUGACAAACAAACACAUGAAUGUUUGGAAAGUGGUUUCUAGAAAAUUAUUUUCCAGGCAAACAAACACCCCCUUAAUUCAAUCACUAAAGAGUUAUCCAAGAAUAAUUAUUCUCCACUAGCAGUUGUUGCAUACUAAAUUUUUUUUGUCAAAACAUACAUGAUAGGUGGCUUCAAUAUCAAUCCACCAUUUUUUAGGAUUUUCCAUGAAGUUUACUUCUAAUAUAACUACAACAAGCUUAGUAGCUUUCUCAUCAACAUUCUCAAUCAUAUGCUAAGAAAUCAUGGUUUUGUUGAGCUUUGUUAUCAUCAUAGGCUUGAUGAUGGAAGGAUUAUUGCUUCAUCAUGCUUUAUAUUUAAGUUCACGCCACUCAAAUUAUUUUGGUUUUUUCCCCACAUGAAGAAUGUUUAGGAAUCGGGUUUGCCAUCUAAACCACAAAGAUUACUAGGUUAACAAGUACAUCGAAAUCAUUAACAAUAGUUUUAUCCAUCUAUUAUCUCAAUAAUAAAAUUAACUUUGCAAUUAUAUAUCACGCUUAUAUAAUCUCAAAUAAUAUUAAUUAAAAUGAAUCACAAAAAUUUAACACACUAAUUGUGCAAAAAAACAAUUUAAUAAACAAUUUAACUUUGCAAUUGUGUAUUUAUUUAUUUGUUUUUCUAUAAGACACAAUGUAAUUUUCAAUAGAAACUAUAACAAUACAAAUAAUUAUAAAUAUUUGUCUUUUGACAUCAACAUAAGAAAACAUUAUGCACUUUUUUAAAGUUACGAUAAAAACAAAUCUGAUUGAUACUUAUGAUAUUCUAGGAUUAAAGCAAUAAUAACAUCUAAUAGAGAUAAAUUAGGUGUCAAACUAAUUAUGUCAAAUAAUACAAAUAAACAUGCUAAACACAUAUAAUAUAAUAAUCAACAAUAUAAUUAAAAUGCUUAAAAUAAAUAGAUAAGAAAAGAGAGAUUACAAACUCGGUUUUUAACAUGGUUCAGUAAGUCUACAACCACAUCUCAAGUACUAAUCGUAAUUGAGUAUUGUAUUCUUUUACUAACCAAUAAUAUAUUAUUUCACCAGUAAUUAUUAUCCAAUAUGCAACUUUUUUUUCCAAUCUUCUGUUUUUUUUUUCCAUAUCAAUCCAACAAUAAAGAAAAUAACAUGUAACAUAAAAUUUCUUUCCCCGUAGAAUCAAUGCAACAAGUAUACAGAUACCACACAACAAACAAUUUAACAAGUCAUGUAAUUUAACAGAAGAUAUAUUUACUUUGCUUUUCCUACUAAAUUUAAACAACUUUUUUGUAAUCUAUGUCAACAUAUAAAACAUAUAUAUAAAUCAAUAAAAAAAAUAAAAAAUAGGUAGAGGUAAUGAUUAAUUUUUUAGCUUUAAAAUUUUUUAUCAUCGCCUCUUUAUGCUAGUAAUGUAAUUGCAAUAUUAUUUUAAAUUAAUUUAAUAUUUUAUUUUUGAUAACAUAACCAAAAAUAAACAGCGAACCAGAAUUUAUAUAGAGUUUCCUAUAAAAAUUUUGAUAAAAAAAAAUAUAAUAGAAAUAAGUUUAUAAAAACAAAAACAAUGUCUCAGUUAGAAUAAUUUUUUCAUUAAUGAGAAGGCCUGCCACAGACCAAGAGGAGAGCUUCAAUGAAGCCAUCCCAGCCGAUGCAGGUGAUUACUCAUCGGCUGACAUCUCCUCGCAUGCCUAGCACCAGCCAAACCGCCUCAAUCUGACAUGCACCAGACAAAGUCGAUGAAAAGACGCCAGGGAGCCUCAGCAGGCGAGAAGAAAGCGCGGGAACACCCACCGCGCGAGAAGAAACACGAAAAACAGAGACGGAGCGCGGUAAAGAUUGUGAAGCCACAGGAUUCACACAUAGUGCACCGUGUUUUAAUGAGUUAUAUGUAUAUAUAUAUAUAUAAUUAUUUUAGUUUAGUUUUAGUUUGUUAGUUAUGAACAGUGAAGCAGCACCAGAAUACAAUUCUUUUAGUUUGUUAGCGAAUUUGGAAAGAAUAAAGUCAUCUGUCAAGCUCUGUUCACUUUGGUCCGACAUUCUUCACCUCUCCCCACCUGAGCUCUCUCUCUUUCCCUCCUCCGCUCUAGGAAGCCGCCACCACCUCAACCAAUAAGGCUUCAAAUCUCCACCAGGUGCUUCCUUUUCUAUCAUGUUUUUUAUUUUUAAAAUUUACAUCUGUGUUUUCAUUUAUUUAACUGAAAUUCUUAUCCAGAGAGAUAAAUUCGAUUUUAAUAAGUAAAUUAAAAAGAUAUAUAAUCGGAUCGAUGAAAUCGUUGUUCGUGAACGCAACUCGAAGAAAGGCGUAAUCAGCCGAUUCUACUGUGGGUGGAGCAUUUAGUAUGGUCAGGGUUAUUGUGUUGUUUAUUCAAAGAAAGACAUGCCUGUAAAUUUGUUAAGUUGAUUCUUAUCAGUCUGCUCUUUAGAGUUAAUGAUAACAUGAAAUAUUCAUUGUUAAUGCUCGUUGUUUUCUUCGUCUUUUUCCUAGACUAAAACAUCCUAGACAGUCUCUUUGGGAUGGGUUAGUGUUUCUGGCCUCUUCAUCUUCAAUUUGUGCUGUGGUGAAAGGCCUCGUUUUAUGACUUUGUUUUGUAUUCUUCUUAUUUCUUUAUUCUUUUGGGGAUGUGGUGUUUUCCUCUUUCUAUUACACUAUUUACUCCCUACAAUAUUUAUUUUUUCAGAGAAGUAAAUAUAUGCAUAAAUAACAAAAACAGGAGGGGAAGGGGAAUGGGGUUUGAUAGUAAGUAUUUGCUUAGAAGGGAAUGCUUCUUCGGUUUAGAAGCACCAUGAAGAUUCUUUGCUUUGAAUGGCCGAAUACCCAGGAUCCUAGCACCUAGGCCUGAAUGUUUGUGUAUAUUUGUUAUGCAUCCAUAUUUGGCUGAAUUCUUUAAUAAAGUACAUGAUAUUAGACGGAAGUUCUUUUUAAAUCUAUUCAAGUCUGAAUAAACUGAUAUUCCAUUUUUCAUGUUCUUGAUGUGCUUUUGCUCUUCUUGUCGUUCCUGACUUUCUUUUAAGGGUCUAUUCUAACAUGCAAUAUGAUUUUUUUUUUCUUUUUGGUUGGCCAACUGUCCUAGGCGGAGAACCUAUCAUAGACACGGGUGAUUGGAGAAUUCAAUUGCAGCCUGACUCAUGGAAAAGAAUAAGCGACAAAAUGUAUGUGCAAGUGCUGCAAAAUAGUAAAUUUUUUUAUUUAUAUGAAAGAAAAGGAGAAUGGCAAAGGGUUAAUUAAAAUCAACAAGAUAGCCAUGAGGCAACCUCAAGUAUCACACACCUUUUUUUUUUUUCAUCUUUUAAUGUGUUUCUCACGAGAAGAAAACUUGAGGGAACAUAAAGUGAUGGGAAGUAAUUUUUGUUGGAAUUUCUUGUGUAAUCUCUUCUUUUGAUGAUGACCUCUUGGAUGGCUGCAUGAAGCUUGUUCCGCUUUUAAUUUCAAUUUAAAACUCGAGUUGCAAUUGAACUUAAAUGAAUGGUGUUGGAUUUAGGCCUUCUAUUUGUUUUAACUUCUACAGGGUUGAAAUGAUAGUGAUCUUAAAGUUGAAAAGCAACAGACAAAAAUCAAUUAGCCACAGUGGUGCAUGGUUUCGUAGUUUCUCAGCAUAAAGUUGAAUGUUUUGUUGACCUCUCUACAUCCAAAAUCAUAUAGACAGCUACUUCUGGCACUUGCAUUGGUCAAUGAAUACUGUAAAGUAUAUAUUGCAGUGUGAGAUAAGGUUAACUCGUUGCAUUUUCAUAUAUUGAAAAGAUUUGUCUUCUUUUCUUUGUCAAUUACAGCAAAUGUGUAGAAGUUACUCAGAGUAAAUGCUAUUGUAAUGUUUUCACAUACUCCCCUGCUUUGCAACUAAGUCACUAAUAUAUGAAGCUCGUAGCUAGAAUUUUUAGAUAGAAGGGUGGCCAAGUAAACUCCUAUAAUAUGUACCUCUGGAAUAAUACAGGGAAAAGAUGUCUAUGUAUUUUGAUGUCUUAUAAUACUUGACCAACUCUUGCUUAUCUUGUUGUUACCCAUUUUUUAGUUCACAUAAAAAUGAGAAAAUACAAAAAACAAAUAUCAAAAGAAAUCCAAAAAAUAAUAGGAGCGAGAAAAGGAUUGCUGGAAUGCCGAAAAAAAAAUGCCAAAAUUGGUUGAGGAGAUUCAAAAAUGCAAAAGGUUGAAAUUUGACAGUGAGAGUCCUGUUGAUGAGGAAAAUUCAAUUUGAGAAAGAAAAGUCCAAAAUCAGAUGUUUAUGGACUCAAUUAAAUUUUAUCCAAGGUUUAAUUGAAUUUAUAGAGGGUUUGAUUGCAAGAAAAUUGAUUUUGUAAGUCAAUUUAGGCUUUUAUCGGAAGAAAUUAAAGUUCUGGGGUCCAAUUAUAAUUUUAAAGAGUUGAUUUGGUCAAAUCAGGGGCUUAAUUGCAUAAUUAUUGAAGUUUGAUGGCCAAUUAGGGACUUAAUUGAAAUAAUUUGAGACCAAGGAUCAAACCAGAAAAGGCGCUAACAUUAAGGGAUCCAAUUACAAUUUUGUCAGGGGGGUUUGAUUAUAAAACAGCGAAAACUUCAAGGGCCAAAUUAGAAGAACCCAAGCGGCGCCGUUUCCACCAUUAAUGGUCUUCAAACAGCUGUGAAUCGGUGACGAUAAUGGAAGGAGACGUUAGCAGCAAUUAUGGAAAAUAUUCUCAAUUCAAUGGGGCUGGUAUCGCGGCUGACAUCCCUCGUCACCGUGAUGGGCGCCGGCUUACCAAUAUUGCUGGCGUCCUCUGGCUAUAAAAGCCAGAGGAAGAGCUGCACCAAAAAUAAAAGGAGGUGAGAGAGAGGAGAGGCUACAGUGAAGAAAAAAAAAGGGGAGUGAGACAGUUUAUGAGAACGUAAGAAAAGUGAGAGGGUGGAGAAAUAGCGAGCAAGCAUAAGGGAGAGAAGAGGAAGGAGAGAAAGAAGCAAACCGAACGGGAACAGAGGACACGGUGAAGCAGAGAACCCAGCACCACCAUCGUCUUCGUCUUCUCAAAAUCAGGUAUGUUCGAUGCCCUUCUCCGUUUCCUUGCAAAAUGAGAUGAUGCAUGUUAGUAUGUAAAAUACAGAAAGAAAAUAUAAGGAAACCGACACCAGAAAUCGCCAGUUACAAUGCUCUGUUUUGUUUUCCUUUUUCAUUCUCGCACUGCAACAAAGAUGGUUAACAGAGCGAAGGUAAUUUAAUUACCUUCGCCCUGUUCAUACAAGCCUAAAUAUAUUAUGGUGCCAUUAGAUAAAAAUAUGCCUUGCAGUCUAGAUGGUCAGCUUACCUGGCUCUCAUCCGAGAGACCCGGUUUCAAGUCCCAACAAGGGAAUUCCUUUUUGAAGGUGGUCACUGGCAUGGGCCAGUGACCAUGCUGGGCUAGCUGAAUCCAGCCCAGCUACGCAGGUUGGCUGGGGUCCAGCCCAGCCAUAUGGGCCGGGUUGGGCCCAGCAAUAAAAAAUAAAAGAAUAAAAAUAAAUAAAAAUUCAAAAAAAUUAUUUAAAUAUCUGUGAUUUUCCGUCAAUUUUUACUGCAUUUUAAUUAAUACGGUUUGUAUUUUUAUACUGUAAAGAUACAAAUCCGGUAUUAAAAUACCAUAUUUUGGUCCAAACAUUAAAAAAGAAGUUUUGUUUUCAUACAUACGGCUAAGUCUCUCAAAAAUAAAAAAUCAUAUUGUAUUUUCAUACAACAAAGAAAAUUUCAAAAAAUAUGUAUUAGCAUGCAUUUUGGCUUUAAUAACCAGUUUAUUAAAGUCACGAGAACUAGGCCAAUAUUUCAAAAAUUCUAAAAAAUUUAUUUUGUUUUCUUUUAAUAUCGGGGGCCGGGUUAUGAUCUUAUACGUAAGACGUGUUCCAGAUAUUAAAUUUUCUUUGUUGGCAUUAGACCGGUUAGGUUUUACCCGAUAAGAUAAGGAUCUCUUUACCGAAGAGAACUUUUCUUAAACCAUAAACGGACCAACAAAUAGAAAGCACAACAUGACCUUAGAUUUUAUCAGACAAUAAAACAAUGCAGCUUACCUUAGGUAGGGCGUAUUUGGGGUGCUAAUACCUUCCCUUUACGCAACCAAUCCUCGUACCCGAUCUCUGAGACCAGUUAGGGUUCCUAGUGACCAAAAUACUAGGUGACGACUUUCAUUCUAUUUUUUCACUGAUAAAAGACAAGAAUACCUUGUCUCCACACAUUUGCCACAUUUUUAGAUAAGAUAAGAUAGAAUUCGAGGGUGGAUGUUUUCGCCGCGACGCCGCACACGUGCGACAUAUCUCAUUAUUUGUUUUUACUUUUUGCUAAUGAUUCCACACAUUUCUGAAAUUGGUGUGGUUUAUGAGUUCAGGGUUCUUGCUUGCUGCUGCUAACUUCUCUAUACUUGCCUGGUCAUUAAAAAUGAAACGUAAUGAUUUGCAUGUGCAGAAUGGAGACAUUAAAGAGGGAUCUUCUGUUUUCUAGUCAGAAGGGAUUACAAGAACUCAAGAAAUAUGCCAUACGUUUUGAGGAAAAGAUUUAUAUUACCGCCACGAAUCAGGGUUCAAUAAUUAUGAUAUUCUCUUGACAUGAAUAUACACAUGCAUUUAUGCAUGUACAAAUGUGUGUGUAGUGUGCCUCCACUUCCUCACCGUGCAUUCUGUAUGCAAGGCUGAUUGGGAGUUCGCAUGUUUUUGUUAAUUCUCUUGACAAGUGUUUUAUCUAGAGUGACCAAGUUCAAGUACAAGGGAAGUGUGCAAAAAGAAAAUAGCAAAUCAAUACAUAAAUAAUUAAAUAAAAAGAGAGGAAACAGAAGUAUAUCCUCACAAACGAUGAAAUGAUAGAGCAUAUAUCCAUUUUCCUCCUCUUGUAACAUGGAUUGCUCUGAGAUCUAAUGUUUUGUUAUUAAUAUAUGAUUUCAGUAUGAUUAUCUGCGUAAAAUAUCUCUGGAGAUGCUUUCAAUGGAGAUCAGGUCUCAAAAUACCAUGCCCACUGCCCCCAUGGAUCCAGCAGGUUAUAAUGCAGCCGAGCAUUGAAUUUGUAAACAUCUUACCUUUUGUUUUGUUUGUCGCAUUGUAAUCAAACUCUUUUACAUUUUAUUGCGGCAUAUUGCUAUGUGUUUAGCAUGCUUUAAUCAAAAAGUUGAGUAAUUGAUGAAUGUUAGGCAAGAAUAUUACAGAUUGUUUUUGUUUUCUGCCUCCUCCUUUUCUUUCCUCCACCUUGAAAAUUGUCAUAUUAUUUUUGUUUUCAGUCGCCUCUUCUUCCCCCAUCCCUGAAAAUUGUCAGAGGACAUUUUUAUGCUUUGAAUCAAAUCCAUCCUAAUUUUUUCGCUCAUAACUUUAUGUGUGAACUGCAUAUGUUUCAUUUGUCUUCCUUGUUCAGUGCCUUCUUUUUUUCUGUGACAUGGUUUUCCCUUUUGCCUUUUAUCUUGAACAGCAUCCCAUAGUAUGCGCCCUGAAGUUCAGAAUCAAGGGCUGUUUCUCCCUAUCCUAUUGUCCACUGAUCAGUCUCAAGCAUGUCAGCAGUUGGUAUCACAGAACAUGCAGAAUUGCAUGGCAUCUAAUGGAGUUCAAAGUUAUGCUGGUUUACAAGCGGCACUGCCUCCUGUCUCUGGUGUAACCCUGACUAACCCCAACACUGUUGUCCAGAAUCCUAACAUGCAGAGUAUCCCUGGUGUUUCACAGAACUCAGUGGGGAAUUCAAUGGGACAAGGGAUUCCCUACACUAUGUUUGCCAAUUCUCAGAGACAAAUGCCAGGUAAUGCUCUUUUUGGUAGCUUUAUGUGCCACUGCUUCCCUUUAUGGCAUUAGAAAUGCCACUGCUAUUGGAACUAUUGCAAUCACACAUGCAUUUGUAACCACACGAUGCCCUACAGUGCGGUGCACCAACUGUUCACCUCUCAUAAUGGUUCAAGUCAGCAAUGCUCUUUUAGGUAGCUUUAUGUGCCACUGCUGCCACUUGUGGCAUUAGUAAUGCCAUUGCUAUUGAAACCAUUGCAAUCACACACGUAUUUGUUACCACAUCAUACCCUCCAGUGCAUUGCACCAGCUAUUCGCCCUCUCAUUCUGCAUUUAUAUGAUCACAUAACAUUUAUAUGAAGUUCUUAAUACAAAAAGGACUUGUAUUCCUAUAUAGGAAAAUACUAAUAGUCCUAUCUAGAAUAGAAAAAACCUAAUGAAGCUCGCUAUACUUUGGGAAUAAUUAAAUACUAAAUGGAAAAUAAAACUGAGACUCGUAAUAUUUCAUAAUUUUCAGCAAGCGUUAAAAUUAUAGAAAUACCCUUGUAUAUGGAAAACACACAAAAAUACAUGAAUUCUAAUAUUUUGUUGUCCGCAUUGAAAUUUUUGUAGCAUCCCUAUAUUCUACAGCACAGACUGGACAUGCAAAAGGCGCUGAUUGGCAAGAGGAGAUCUAUCAGAAGGUAAUUUCUGUGAUUUACUGUUCAUUAGAUGGAGUUCAUGUUUGCCAUAGUCUUGCAAGAUUUCAAUGGAAAAAGGUCUCAAGAAAAUAAGUGGGACUUAUUCCAUUGAAUCAUGACCACAUCCAGUAUUGUUGAAUUUUACAGAAAAUGAGGUUGAAAUUCUGAAUGUCUCAAGUCAUAGCUGCAUGUUUAAUAAGGAGAUUUUUUUUUUGUGCUUAGGAGAGUUUUAAAACGGGAAUAAGAAUGGUUGUUGAUAAGGACAAUUUUUUUUGUGCUGAGGAGACCAAUAUUUGCUGAGCAAUUCUAUAAUGAAAAGUUGGCGACUGAUGUUUUAAAAAUUGGAGUUAAGGAAUGGCUUAGAGUGCAUGGAGAUCAUGUUAAAAGUGAAGCUGUAGAGAAGGCAAUCACUCAAAUUAUGAUGGGUGAAGAAGCAGAGGAAAUGAGUAGCAGAGCAAAGAAACGGCCAGGAAGGCUGUUGAAGAAGGUGGAUCUUCUUGCUCCGAUUUCAAUGCUUUGAUUGAAUAACUGAGGUGGGGUCGCCCUUGAAACAAAGACAUAGAACAUUUUGUUUAUACUUUAGUAGUGGUUGUGGCAAUUUAUUUUCGGACAAGUCUUGAGAGUUGAAAGAGUAAUCACACCCGAGUCAAUGACCAAUCCAAAUCAGUUUCCUUCCUAAUGAUUCAGGAAUGAGAAGUCCAGCUUAUAUAUUUAACCCAAAUAACUAAUCAAAUAGAAAGGCUGAGCUUAGAGAUAGUACACUACAUAUUGCCAAUAACUAGAUAAACAAUCAUCACAAACUAGGAACGACCGUCUCCCCAAUAACAAAUUCACCUUCUGAAGUUAGAGAACUUGCGAAAACUAGCCACCACAAAAUAGUAGCAAGUAUCUAUGCAGUCUUCGAUGAAGUACAACCACCUGCGUCGCCAAUAUGGAUUGAUGUAGAGAACUGCUGCAAUCGUCAUCACCACAACUGUGUAACAUACACCGAAACUGAUGUAGAAAAACUCCAUAUCUAUGAAACCAUCAUCUCCUUGUUCAUCAUUAGGCACUGGCUGUGACACCACUGCCUUCUCACUACAAUUGUUUGGCAAUGGAGGUCCACACAAGAAAGGAUUUCCUUCGUAACAGCUUUCAUCGAAGGUCCCAAACUGAUAUAUUCUCUCGGGUGUCUUGCCUGACAAGUUAUUGUGCGCCACACUAAAAACUUCCAGUGUGGUAACUUCAGUAAAUUGUGGAGGGAUGGCACCAUUCAAGUUGUUGUAAGAAAGAUCCAAACUCUCAAUAUGCAUUAGGUUUGAGAAUGUUGCAGGGAUAGAUCCAGUGAGAUUGUUGUGUGAUAAGUUUACUGACAGUAUCUUACUUAAGUUUCCAAAUUCUGGUGGGAUUGCUCCGAUGAAGUUGUUAUUGGAGAGAUCAAUACCAAACAUGUAGUUGAGAACUUUCCCCUUGUACCCAUAAUACAUAUUUUUAGUUGUAAAUUCUGUCACUUCUUCUGUAAAGUUAAACAAAAAAAAAUUUCUCAAGUUGUCCACACUAUCCACUAGUGGUGGGCCCAUUAUUUCAUAAUAAGCUUUUUCUAUGGACUCUGAUAUAAAACCAUAUGCGACUUCCAAUAUCGCUUUCUUGUCACUUUUCUUGAAAGUAAGAUUGCCUAAACAGGAGGGUAGUGGACCAGAGAGCUGGUUGUGUGAAACAUCCAAAAUGCUUAAUUGUUCUAACAAGCAUAACUGAAUAGGGAGCUCACCAUCAAAGUGAUUAGCCCUCAGAAGAAGAACACUCAAUGAUGAAAGAUUGCCAAUCCAAUUUGGAAUGGAGCCGGUGAAGCUGUUUUCUCGAAGAUCCAUCGUAACCAGGUAAGAGCUGUUAAAAAAUGCAUAUGUUAAUGGACCGCUCAGUCUAUUUUUCGAUAGAUGCACAUGGGUUAUUUGUGGUGGACUAAAACAAGAUGGUAUAUAUCCAGACAAGUUGUUCUCAGAAAGGUCCAAAUAUUCAAGCUGGUCAAACUUACAAAAAUCUCUUGGGAUCGGACCCUUAAAAUGGUUUCCGGACAAAUCAAUUACUCCAAGGAUCGAAAAAUUAACGAAGCUCCUUGGAAGCAUGCCCGAAAAUUGAUUGUUACUCAAAUCUAAUACAUUCCAUACAUUCCACCUAUAUAAUGGAAAAUCUGAUAUCUGACCCCAAAAGUUGUUACCAUUUAGGUAAAGAAAAUUCAGGCGAGAAGAAUUGAACACCGAGGUCGGUAUUUUCCCACCCAAAUUGUUGUUUGACAGCUUGAGAACCCAUAUUGUUGUUAGUUGUUCUAGUUUUACUGUAGACAAUUGAUUGUUGGAUAAAUCUAAAAAUGAAAGAGAGCUAAUAUUUCCUAAACAGGAAGGAAUACAACCUGUGAAUCCAUUCUUAGCCAUCCUUAAGGUGUGUAGAUUUGGAAAGAUCAAACAAAUAUCUUUUGGAAUUUGACCGUUCAUGUUGUUGUUGGAUAUAUCUAAAUUGGUCAUAUUCGGAUGGAGGUGAUCUUGCAACUGCAAAGCACCAAUAAAGGAGUUGUCGCUCAGAUAUAGUUGUUCCAAUCGUGUAUUGUUCUUAAGCAACCACGAUGGAAACAUUCCAGUGAUGUUGUUGUGGGAGAGAUCAAGGGCUCUUAAGUCUAAUUGGUAAUAGAGGAAGUCGGGAAUUACAUUGAGUGCUUCCGAUGUUGGACUACUUGACAAGCGGAAAAAGACUAGUUGGAACUUUGGAAUCAAAUUAUCAAAGGCAGCAGGUUCUGUUACUAGCUUGUUGUUCUCACUGGAGAAGAACUUGAGGCUUGAGUGGUUCAUAAAAGGCUUUAUUGAAAUGGGAACUUCAAAGAGGUUAUUUGAUAGUGAGAGGAAUUCAAGGGAUAUGAGGUUGGUAAGAGGACCGAAAGCAAUAUUUCCAGUAAACUGGUUUUCAGAAACAUCUAAUAGUUGUAAAGAUGACAUGUUCCCCAAACAAUCUGGGAGUGAACCUCCUAAAUUAUUUCUAGAGAGAUGUAACUGCUUCAGAUUCUUCAAUUCACACCAACCUGUACAAUUUAUCUUGAAAUAGUCAAAAUAGUGUUGGAAGAAUCUUUUGUUGAUGAUGUAAUUAUAGGCGGAUGGAGAGUUGUUAAUUUACCUUGAGCAGGUAGGGUGCCAUGGAGGUCACAUUCACCAACAGACAAAACUUUAAGAGCAGGCAAUGCUCCAAUGUUCUGGAGAAAGUUUAUUGGGAGAGAAGUAUUAUCUAGAUGCAAUUCUUCAAGGGUGCUCGAAUUGAACAAAGUCCCUAUGAAAAAGAAAGAAGAAGAGAUAUGAUGAAAAUAGUGGUGGUACAGAAUAUAUAGCCAUUCCAUUCAAUAUUAUUAAUUAAGAUUUUAAGAAACUAAACUAUUAACCUUGACUUAAAUUAGUAUCCUUGAGAGAAAGGGUCUUCAGGGAUGGCAAUGAACACAAUGACUGUAGGAAGUCCAGCUUCCUUGAACCUAUGAUGUGUAGAAUUGAAAACAGGCAAUCAAGUAAGUAGUGAAAUUAAGUGUUAUCUUGAUCGAGUUCUUAAAGCUAUGAUAAAGAACUGGUACUUUUGUAGUGAGAUGAUUUUUUGAUAGAAACAACAAAUUGCCCAAAUAAUAGAAGAUGCCAAGAGAUAUUCACAACUUUACCAUUGACAGCCGUCGAUCCUAGCAACAUAUUGCCUGAUAAAUUUAAAGACUUGAGGGAUGAAAGUCCACUCGGAUGUGAUAAAAUGCUGUCGUUGAAUAUAUUAUAGCUCAGGUCCAGGUUCUCGAGUUUCCCCAAAUGUGAUGAUAUGAUCUCAAAACCUGCAAGGAGUUGUUUCUAAGAGUAAGUCAUAAUUAUGAGCUCACGAUAUGCAUAAUAUAUAGAAACUAAAGAUAAUUAGAAUUGAUGAGAUGUUGUUCAAUUGAUAUAUGAUUCUCAAAUUAUACAUAAAAAGAAUGAUAUAUGAACGCAUAUUUAAUUAUAUAAUAGAUUAAGAAAUAAUUUAUGGAUAAGAUCAAAGCUCCAUAGAUAUUAAUCUUCAUAGAUGAAAUUAAAGCGCAAUCAAACAUGAUGAAAUGCUAUCGUUGAUUUUUAAAUAUAUAUAAAGUCCUCAAUUUUCUUGAUAAACAGAAUGCAACUUACUAUUGAUAGAUCCUGUCAGCUGAUUGUUUGACAGAUCCAAAGACUUGAGAGAUGAAAACCCAGUUAGAGAUGGAAAAAUGCUAUCGUUGUAUUGAUUCCGUCUUAGAUGAAGGUUCUCAAGCUUUUUCAACCUUGAUGACAAGACUUUGAGACCUGCAUGAUGUUCCUCAAAAGCAUAGAAAUGAUACAUGAACGCAUAUUUAAUUAUAAAAUAGGUUGUGCACGCUUCUAAGAUUAAGAUACAAUUUUUAAAUAUCAUUCUAAUUUUGAUCAUUGGAAAAAAAAAAACAAUUUACGGUUAUAAAGUCGCUAAAGAUGGAAGCUAAGUUAUGAUAGACUUACAAAACAAAAUAAAGAAACUUAUAAUUAAGAUCUCAUCGGUAAUUAAAACAAGAAUAAUAAUCGAUCCAUGUAAGUUCAAAUAUUGCCUAAUUUUGAAAAACUAAUUAAUUAGUUAUGAUAGUUUCAAAAACUAACUGCCUCUGUAAGAUGCUAAAUGCCUCUCUCGUUGGCUGUCUAGUGAUUUGUAUUGGAUAGUUUUUUUUUGAAUUGAUGUUAAGAUCCAAGUUUUAAUAAUUACAAUUUUCUUAAUUAUAUAUAAUAUUAUAGGAGAGAGCUUCUUAUUAUGUUAUUCAAAACCCAUUCAAACUCAAAUUCAUAAAAAAAAAUACUUAGAGUUGUGUUCGACUAAGGAUCUCAAGACAGAAAAAACAUAUAUAAAAAUAUAUUUAUUUAAAAAGAUAAAUAUAAAAUAUAUAUUUAUAGGAGAGUUUUGAAGUGAACUUCUGAUUGCUAAUUUAAUCUAAAUAUUACAACACUUUUGGCAUAAAAGGGCCAAAAUAAGAAUAAAAUAUAUGCCUCUUUACGUAGAUAUAAAGUUCUCAUUUUUGUUGAUAAAGAAACAAUAUAAUUAAGAGAAUGUCAUGUGAAGCAUUUAGGUAGAAACUGUGUAUUAUACCUGAUCCUGUCAACUCAUUGUACGACAGAUCCAAAGACUUGAGGGAUGAAAAUCCAGUAAGAGAUGGAAAAAUGCUAUCGUUGCAAUGAUUCCAACUUAGAAGAAGGUUCUCCAGCUUUUUCAACCUUGAGGACAAGACUUUGAGACCUAAAUAGCAGCUACCUCCUGAUCAUUUAAAUGCGUAGAAAAAAAUGAUAUGAGAAGGAGAAAAGAAAAGGUUUCGAAGCUAAAUAAUUAAAAGGUUACCAUAGAAGCUACCUCCUGAUCCAGCUGUCAACCCAUUCUCUGAUAGAUCCAAAGACUUGAGAGUGGAAAGGUUACCAUUGAAACAUGACAAAAUGCUUUUAUCAUUAUUAAAUCCGUUAUAACUUAGGUCAAGUUUCCUCAGUUUUGAUGAUAGGACUUCGAAGCCUGGAAAGAGCAAGAUAAUUGACAUUAAACACCAACCAACCUUCAUUUAUUUUAUGAUUAUAUUUAAGUGCACAAACAUUGAACUAACCUUCAUUCUCCAAGCAACCAACCAAUCCAUUACCUUCCAAUUCAAGACUUUGCAAUUCUUUAAAAGGCUGAAACAAAGAUGCGUUGAGAACCCAAUCGCCCAAGCUCUCGUCCCUUGAUCCUCUAAGAGAGAGUUGGAUCACUCGCCUUGUAGUGUUAUCACACUCGAUCCUAUGCCACUCACAACAAUUACUACCGUCCACCCAAUCUCUCAAGGAAACGCCAUCUGGGUCGAUCGAAGAUUGGAUCUCCAAGAGACCAAUCCUCUCUUCCUCCAAACACCCAUAACAACGACCAUACCAUUCGCCAACCAAAGUCAAUAAUGCUAGCAACAUCCAACUCCCCAUUCUUUUCAUCAUCAUCUACGUAGAAUAUUGUUGUUUGUUAUGUGUCUUUGGGCAACCAUAGAGGUCCUAUUUAUACUACAAUUUUGGCCAUUUCCAUGAUUUUAUCUGCAUAUCUUAUGCAGGUUCUAUGUUUUGAGAUUUGAAUAUUAUUUUAUUUCCUUUUGGAAUAUUCUUGGAUUCGAAUAUUAUUUUAUUUUACUGUUUAGCACUUAGUCUAUUUGCAUUUAAUUAUAUUUUGGUUACUAAUUAUCCAAUUUUAAAAAAAUAAAAAAUAAAAAUUGUUGCAACAUUUCAAUUUUUUUAUCGACAUUCAUGUGUGAUUUCACGUAAGAUCUUUUUAAAUUUAUAAUUGUACUUUUCUCGUUAUAAUUUAGAAUUAUUUAGGAGCCUACUUGCAUGGUGUCAUCACUAUUAUAUAUAAUUAAAUACAUAAAUUAUCAAUAAUAAUAAAUUCGGAAUAAUUAUAAAUCUUAUCCCUGUGGAUUGUGUGGCUACAGUAUGAUAUACAAAAACUUCAAAUAUAUAUAAAUAAAAGAAUGCUAAAAGUGACAUUCUCUUGGGUGACCACCACAAGCCCAUCUAAAACACACAAGCCAUAUAAAAAUCACACGACAGCCAAUUACCUUAUCUUGUGAGAAAAAAGAUUAAAAAAAAAAAAAGCAUUUUCUUGGGUGUGCAAUGACUGCCAAUCUUUCUCGUUAUGACAUUCAAUGCUCUGUAAGAAGUUGCAUGAUGCUCUUCUCAUGGGGAGCAAAAAUCAGUAGCCUCCCAUGGAAUCCUCAUAAACCUUUCUCUAUGCUCUUCUAAGAUAUUAAAAAUGUCAAACAUACAUAAAUAAUAAGAAAAACAAUAAAAAAAGAAAGCUAUACAAAUAGAGCUUCCAACAAAAAGACUAGGAAGUUGUUUACUGAAAAUUGAGAUUCAUAAUUUGUUUUGAUUUGUUUUGAUUUGUUUUGAGUUAUUAUGGUCUCAUGACCCGGGUCACAGAUUUAAAGGUUAAUCUAGAUUGACCCGGGUCGAUUAAUCCAAUAUGUUGUUGUUUCGAUAUACUUUUUUUAAAAAAAUAUGUCAUCUUGAUUUUUUUCAAGUGAAACUAUAUUUUUACCAGUCGUCCAGACAAUCUUUGAGCCCAUCGAAUCGAUCGGGUUAUAUCAAUUUAACUCUUAUUUUUUUAUUUAUAUUUGAAAUUUAAAUUGCAUAAUUUUUUACUUAUUUUUUUAUAUAGGUGGUUAUGAGUUACAAAAAUUAAGCAAUUUCGAGUAUAUUGACAUGAGAAUUAAUGGUUUCGAUAACAAUAUUCUAUCAUUUGUAGAGGGAUUUUCAUCUUUUAAAUCACUAUAUUUAGAUUAUAAUAGACUGGAAGGGUUAAUAGAUUUAAAAUGUUAGUUUUUUUAUAUACUUAUUUUUUCUCUAUUAAAUUUAAUUUCAAAAGAACACAAUUUUCGAUAACAGUAUUCUAUCAUGCAAUUUUUGUUUUGUUUCAAAAGAACACAAUCGCCCAAGCGGAAAUCCCUUGCAUAGAAAAGAGAGAGUUGGAUCACUCGCCUUGUACGUAGUGUUAUCACACUCGAUCCUAGGCCACUCACAACAAUUACUACUGUCCACCCAAUCUCUCAAGAAAAAGCCAUCUGGGUCGAUCAAAGCUUUGAUCUCCAAGAGACCAAUCCUCUCUUCCUCCAAACACCCAUAACAACGACCAUGCCAUUCGCCAACCAAAGUCAAUAAUGCUAGCAACAUCCAACCCCCCAUUCUUUUCAUCAUCAUCUACGUAAAAUAUUGUUGUUUGUUAUGUGCUUUUGGGCAACCAUAGAGGUCCUAUUUAGACUACAAUUUUGGCCAUUUCCAUGAUUUUAUCUGCAUAUCUUAUGCAGGUUCUAUGUUUUGAGAUUUGAAUAUUAUUUUAUUUCUUUUUGGAAUAUUCUUGGAUUUGAAUAUUAUUAUUAUUUUAUUGUUUAGCACUUAGUCUAUUUGUAUUUAAUUAUAUUUUGGUUACUAAUUAUCCAAUUUAUAAAAAAAAAUAAAAAAUAAAAUAAUUGUUGCAGUACUUCAGCAUUGUUAUCGACAUUCGUGUGUGAUUCCGUAUAAGAUCUUUUUAAUUUAAUUGUACUUCUCUCGUCAUAAUUUAGAAUCAUUUAGAACCCUAUUUGUGUUAUGACUAUCAUAUAUAUAAUUAAAUACAUAAAUUAUCAAUAAUAGUAAACUCAGAAUAAUUAUAAAUCUUAUCCCAGUGGAUUGUGUGGCUACAGUAUUUUAUACUUCAAAAUAUAUAUAUAUAUAUAAAAGUUAGAGCUGCUUUUGUUUUUAUGUUCGGAAAGGUAUUCUUGACUUGUUUUUAUUACAUUUCAAUAUUAUUAUUUUUUUUCAAUCGAGUCAAAGAUAUACCAUUUAUAUUAGAAUGAGAAGACUAAUCAAUUUCUCUAGUUUUCUCCCUAUUUAUAAAAUACAUCUGGUUUUUGAAGUCCAGAUUUUAGGAUAAAAGGAAUUUAUUUCUUGAAAUUAAUGCAUUAAACAAUAUAAAGAUAUUUUUUAAAAAUUAAAAUAGUAGUAAAAGUAAAUUUAGUUUUUGAUUGAAGUGUAAACUAGUGGUAAAUGAACAAAAAAAAAAAACUUUCUUGAUUAUCUAAUGGAAACUCCGCCUAAUAUAUAUAUAAUAGCAAUCAUUUUCUUAUCUCUUGUAUCAUUCAUAUCUUCCACAAAUCUUAAGUAAUUGAUGAGAAAGUGGAUAUUGCCAAGAAAGGUCGUGAACGCGGAUGCUUGACUUGCUGCGUGGCAUUUUGAUUUUUAAACACAACACUACUUUCUUUGUGGAAAUAACGCUACUUUGCAUGAAGAUGAUGGAUAUAGAAGACUUGCUACUUGUUUUAUGGAAAUAACGUAUGGAAAAUUAUGCUUUAAUUUUAAUGAUGAUAGCAAAAUCAAACAGUAUUGUUGAUAAAAUGAGCCAUAAAUAAUAUUAUUUCUAUUGUCAUGACAAUAAGUUUUUUUUUUUUUUUUUCUAAAGAGUCUAUUUUUCCUCUAGGAGAGGCCGCGAGACGUCCUCUUCCAACCAUCAUGCAUUUUUUCUACGAGAUGGGUUCAUGGAAAUACUUUGGUUUAAUUGGGAAUGCUGUUAUUGAUUGAAAUAUUUUUAAUUAAAAUAAAUUUGAUUAUUUGAUUGGAAAAAAAAUAUUGUAACCAAGUAAUUUAUUUAUUUAUUUUAAUGAAAUAUAAAAUAGUUUUAAAUCUUGUGGUAUAUUUCUUGUCUUUAAGAGCUAUGAACUUAUAUCUCAAAACUUGAAAACUAAUAUAAAGAUAUUAAGUGAUCAUUGAGUGUGUGUGUGUGUAUAAUCCUUUUCAAAACAAAAAGGAUUUUGAUGGAGAUUAGGACAUUGCAACAAAUUAUCCACCACUAGAUGGGUCAAUGAUACCAUUGUCAUCAUGCAAUUUUUCCCACGAGAUGGGGCCGUACGCUUGGGGCUCUAAAAGCUAUGGUUUUAAUUUCAUUAUGUCACAUCUAGAAUGGCAGGUAUAUUUUAUUUCAAUUUAAACAAUGGAAUAAAUUAGAAGAUAUUUCAUCUCGCUUAAAAUCUUAUCUUCUUAUAUGAUUUCACCUAAAUUCUGGCUGGAAUGUUUAAGUUAUAUUCUAGCUAUUCUGUUAUGGCCAAAUGAUAUUUUGUUUUACUUUUAUAAAAAAUUAAAAUAUAGUUUAGUUUUUGUAUUUAUUUUCUGGUUAUAUUUAAUUUGUCAUCAAUAUUCAUAACGUAAAUUGCUAUGCAUUUCGAAUCUUGAAAGGAUUGAAAGAUGGAAAACAGAAAAGAAAGAGAGACCCCCAGUUCAAAAGAAAAAGAAAAAAAAACAAUAGUAAAAGAAAGAGAAGAGAACAAAAGUGAAGCAGUUUUUACUAACUAUAUAAAUUUUAUAAUUAUUAAUAUUAAAUUCAAAAUAUGUACAUAAUGCAAAUAUGUAAACAUAUCAUGUGGUUUAAAGAAAUGAUUUUUAUAAAGAUAUAUGUCUUAACAAUAUUAAUCAACUCUUAAUAUUUUUCAUUUUAUAAAUAUUAAAAGUAAAUAUUAAAACCUAUUAUAUUAAUUUGUGAAGGUAUUUACUCGGAUGCGAAUUAUAUUUCUAAUUUUUUAUUAAAAAAAAAUUCUACAUACUACAACUAGCCUAAGAAAGUCAUUUUCAUCUAAAAAAAAGUAGAAAAAAUUGAAUUGCAUAAAAGCAUCACUAUAAAUGUUAUACUCCGAAAAUAUCUUCUUUCCUUGAUAAAAUUCCCUAAACUACUGUAUGUCUCUAACAGUGAAAAUAUCACUAUAAUUUACAGUCACCUUAUUUAAUCGAAAGAAAACUUUAAAGAUGCACCUCCAUCUAGUGUAUUUAAAAAGAUUUAACAAAUUACUUUACACGUGCUAUGCUACAAGUUACAUAUUUUUUCAAUGUAAACAAAAAUUAUAUAGGUAUUUUUAACAUUUUUCUAUUAAAAAAAACUAAAACAUAUAAAAAUUAACCAAUUUAUAAUUAAUUAAUUAAUUGAGAAUUUGAGCUCCUUAGAAAAGUUGUUUAUGGACUUUUGUUUUCCGGAGAAAGCUCCUUUAAAACCCUUGAGCACCACCUUCUUUAAAACUUCUAUCUUUGCCAUAACUGAGGGGCUCUGUAUUUUUUUUAAGGUGAAUUAACAAGUUACAACUCAACUCUGUAUUUUUUUUUUUAGUUUAAUGUGGGUGUCUGGGUCAACUUACGCGUACCUCGACUAAUUCCACGGGCCCUGAAAUUAAUGACCAUAUAAACCUACAGUGGCCAUCAUAUGAACAAUCACAGGACUAGGGCUCGAACUUGAGACAAAAAAAAAAAGCAAAUUUUUUAAUCUUAAAUUCUUACCACUGGAUCACUAUCUAAAUUGUUACCUUGUAUCUAAUCUAGAUGUGUCUGUGACUGUGCUUGAUGUUCUCAUAACCAUUAAGAUGGUUCGAACCCAAAUAAAUAGAAACAAAUUUAUUUUCUGUUAUUCUCCGAAUUCCUAGAUAGAAUUUGCUUGGAAAUGAUGAGCUACCACUCCCUUUUGACUUUGCUGGCCUCCCAAAUAAAUAAAGAAUUCCGCUUGAUAGAAUUUUCUUGGAAAUGAUGAGAAUAUUUUAUAAUUUUCUGGUUGACGCCAGCUGUCAACAACUGUCUUACAUUCCCUUGGCAUCGUGUUCCAUGCCCUUGCAAAAUAUUAAAGGCUCCAAUGCCUCUCUCGCAAUAAGAUUAUUUUUUUUAUUUGUCCCCGAAUACAUGUGUCAUUUAUCGAAAUAAUUAAUUUAAUCACACACAUAAAAAAAAAAAAAAAUUUAAAUAGGCGGCUUUAGAAUCAGCAAGCAGUGAAUCACACGGGAAGAUUGAAAGAAUAAUUAAAGUGAUUUUACUAACAUUGUAAAAAAAAUUGAAUUGCAUAAGAGUAAUUAACCGACAGGUUGACCCAAAGUCAAAGUCUUCUGUGGAAAAACAUGAAUAGAAGAUUGAUGGGCGUUGCGUGAUAGCAAAAGAUUUGAGAUCUGCACAGCAGGUUUUGAAUUCGAGUCAGGGCGUGCAUCUCUUGUAAAAGCUUGGGAUAGCCGGGAUUUUACUGUCUCAUCUGGGCCCAUAAAGUGCGCUUUCCAAGGAAAUGAGGUUCCCUCGAAUCCAUAAAAAAAAAAAAAGUAAUACCAUUGCUAUCAAGCGUUUUUUCUACGAGAUGGUCCGUUCCCCCAUUUCCCCUCAAGCUUGAGAAGGGAUGAUAUAUAUAUGCUUUAAUUUCAACUUGUAUAAAAAAUAAAUCUUAAUGUAGUGUGUUAGAAUGCAACCACCGAUUCAUUAUUUUUAAUGGCUGGUCAUUUAAACUUGGGUGUUUUUUCGGUAUUAAUAUAUAUAUUCCUCAAUUAUCAUAAAAAAAUUAAGAAAAAACUAAUAAUAAGAUUAAAAAUAAAUGUUUUAUUUAUCGAAAUAAUUAUUAAAAGUAAGGUAUACUCAAGGUAUAUGUGGGACGAUAAAAAAAUAACAAAAAAAUCAAUUUACAAAAAAAAUCAUAGAUUUAGUUUUCCUAAAUUUUAAAUGUAGUGCAACAUUAGCCUUUCAAGAAAUAGAUAAUCUUCCUCUUUGAAGGAAUUAAUUAGUGGGUUGGAAAAAUGUCGUCUUUUGCUCUAAUAUUUUCUUCGCUUUCUCUAUAGUUUUACCAUACACUAAUAUUGUCAGAAAAUGAUACAUACUUCUUGUGUUAUCCUUCAAGAAUUCAAUUGAAAAGGAGGGUUGUAAAAAAUUUAAUUUUUAUAAACAUACCCUUAACUUAAUUUGGAUGUGGAUAAUUGUUUGCAAUAUAUUUACAUCCAAUAUAAACAAUUCAUCAAUGAUCAAGUAGGCAGUGGUUAGCUAAAAUAUUGAAAAUACUUACUCUCUUUGUUUUUUAGUCAUGCAGUUCCACUAUUGUAUGUUAUUUUUGUUUAGCUAAAAAUAUCAAAAAAUAUUAAUUUGGAGUAAAAAAAAAAAAAAAAUUUAAUUUUUUUAAAAAUAUUUUUGAAACAUAAAAACAAACAGUGCUAAAAGACAUAGAAACAGUUACCCAAAUCAAUUUAUUUUUUUAAAAAAUAAAAAUAGAAUACUAUACAAAUGGAGCUUCCAACAAAAAGAUAUGGGAAGUUCGAGGGAAAAAAUGAUUAGUUAAUUCAAAACACCAGGAGUAAGUAAUAAUUACAAAACACGAUACCGAAACCAAAUUGAAAAGUGAGCAAAAUACAAAACUGGUUACAUGUAUCGAAAGGAACUGGAACCAAUUUCUCCACCACUGGAUGUCCCUUUUGUUCAGUCUAUGUUUGGUGCAAUCACCUAAAGCUAGAAACAAAAACAGCGCCUUAGUCUAUGUUUGGUGCAUUUUUUCCACGAGAUGGGUUCGUGGAAAAACUUUGGUUUAAUUGGGAAUGCUGUUAUUGGUUAGAAACUUUUUAAUUAAAAUAAAUUUGAUUAUUUGAUUGGAAAAAUCCUUAAAUGUUAUUAACACAUGAAAUCAAUUUAUUCUCUUAAGAAAAAAAUAGUUUUACAUCUUGUGGUAUAUAUGUCAAGCAUUUUUUUUCCCUCAAGAUGGGUUCGACAGACAAUCACCAUCAUGCAUUUAUGAGUCCAUGAGACCAUUGUCAUCUGCACAUUGGUCCCCUAUAGCGUUGCUUUUCCUCAAGACCAUUUCCAUCAUGCAUUUAUGAGUUAGUGAGACCAUUUCCAACUGCACAUUGGUCCCUGAAACCGUUGCCAUCAUGCAUUUUUCCUCGAUGAGAGGUCGUGAGACGUCCACUUCCAACCAUCAUGCAUUUUUUUCACGAGAUGAGGCCGUACGUUUGGGGCUCUAAAAGCUAUAUAUAUUAGAAAUAUUAUUUGAAAAUAAAUUAUUUUUUAUUUUUAAAAAUAAAAUUCUUCUAUACAAAAGAUUUUUAUAAGUAUAAUUUAAUUUAUUCAGUUUUUUAAAUAAAGUUAAUCUAUCGCAAGAGUACACGAAAUAAGUAUUUUUCCGUCAUGCAUUUUUUUUCCUCAAGACCAUUUCCAUCAUGCAUUUAUGAGUCUGGGAGACCAUUUCCAUCAUGCAUUUAUGAGUUGCUGAGACCAUUUCCAUCUGCACAUUAGUCUCUGAGACCGUUGCCAUCAUGCAUUUUUCCUCGAGGAGAGGCCGUGAGACUUCCUCUUCCAACCAUCAUGCAUUUUUUCCACGAGAUGGGUUCGUGGAAAAACUUUGGUUUAAUUAGGAAUGCUGUUAUUGAUUGGAAACUUUUUAAUUAAAAUAAAUUUGAUUAUUUGAUUGGAAAAAUCCUUAAAUGUUAUUAACACAUGAAAUCAACUUAUUCUCUUAAGAAAAAAACAGUUUUAAAUCUUGUUGCCGUCAUGCAUUUUUUUUUCCUCAAGAUGGGUUCGACAGACAAUCACCAUCAUGCAUUUAUAAGUCCAUGAGACCAUUGUCAUCUGCACUUUGGUCCCCUAUAGCGUUGCUUUUCCUCAAGACCAUUUCCAUCAUGCAUUUAUGAGUCCAGGAGACCAUUUCCAACUGCACAUUGGUCCCUGAGACCGUUGCCAUCAUGCAUUUUUUCCACGAGAUGGGUUCGUGGAAAUAAUUUGGUUUAAUUGGGAAUGCUUUACUGUAUUUGUUUUCUGGUUAUAUUUAAUUUUUCAUCAAUAUUCCUAAGCACGUAUUUUGAAUCAUGAAAAGCACGUGGAAAAGAGAGGGAUGGUGAAAAUGACAUGUAAAGGGACUGUUUGGCAGUGCGCAUAGAAAAGGGAAAGUGUCAUUGCCAUUUUGAGUGGUGUGUUUGCAUUUGAUUUGUUAAUUUCGAGUUUUGUCAAAGAGUGAUUACUAGUCAUCAAGCAUUUUAUUAAUUUAAUUUAUCCUGUCAAGUGAAGGGCCAAACCUGUCAUUCAUUGCCAGUCACAGUCACAAGUCUUGGUCUUACCAUUUUACUAUCUAUUAAUUAAUUAAUUGUUUGAUUAAUCAACGAAACUGUGCGUUUCUCUUGUGAUUUCUCGAAGACGGCCAUGAAUAUAUAUAUAUAUAUAUACAACUUUUCAAAACAAAAAGGAUUUUGAUGGAGAGGACAUUGAAACAAAUUAUCCUCGUGAUACCAUUGUCAUCAUUCAAUUUUUUCCACGAGAUCAGGCCGUAUGCUUGGGGCUCUAAAAGAUAUUAUUUCUAAUUUUAUUAUAUCACAUCUAGAAUAACAAGUAUAUUUUAUUUCAAUUUAAAAAAUAGAAUAAAUUAAAAGAUAUUUCAUUUUUAAAAUUUUAUUUUGUUUUAUGAAUUUCACCUAAAUUCUGACUAGAAUAUUUUGAUUAUAUUCCAGCCAUUUUAUUAUGAUAAAAUAAUAUUUUGUUUUGCUUUUAUAAAAAAAAUAUAAUCUAAUUUUACAGUAUCAAUCAUAUCUUUCAAUUCGACUGCUGGAUUGGACUAAAAUUUUACGAGGAAUCUCCUAACAUAUAUUUAUAUCGCAAAUUAAAAUUUUAAGGCAAUCAGAGUUUAGAAAAAUUUUGCGAAAUUACCGAUGAUAUUUUCAUAAUUUUAUUUAAAUUCAUAAUUUUGUUAGGAAAUAUUAUUUUUUGUUUCUUUUUUAGAUUGAAUUAUUUCUAAAGUACUUCUUGUCAUUGUCAUGACAAUAAAUCUUCUUCUUUUUCUUUUUAAAAAGUCUAUUUUUUGUAACACAACCAACAUGUAAGAUGGAUGGGAAUUUGCAGUGUGAGAUGGGUUUGUGAGACUUUGGCCAUCUCCAAUUUUUUCCACGCCAUUGAGAUGGUCUAUAAGACCAUUGCCCCGUAAGCAUUUAUGAGUUCGUGAGACCAUUUCCAUUUGCACAUUGGUCCCUGAGACCGUUGCCAUCAUGCAUUUUUUACACGAGAUGGGUUCGUGGAAAUACUUUGGUUCAAUUGGGAAUGUUGUUAUUGAUUGGAAACUUUUUAAUUAAAAUAAAUUUGAUUAUUUGAUUGGAAGAAAUCCUUAAAUGUUAUUAACAAUAGAAAUCAAUUUAUUUUCUUAAGAAAAAAAUAUUGUAACCAUAUAAGUAAUUUAUUUAUUUAUUUUAAUGAAAAAUAAAAUAGUUUUAAAUCUUGUGGUAUAUUUCUUGUCUUUAAGAGCUAUGAACUUAUAUCUCAAAACUUGAAAACUAAUAUAAAGAUAUUAAGUGAUCAUUAAGCGUGUGUGUGUGUAUAAUGCUUUUCAAAACAAGAAGGAUUUUGAUGGAGAGGACAUUGCAACAAAUUAUCCACCACGAGAUGGGGCUGUACGCUUGGGGCUCUAAAAAACUAUGGUUUUUAAUUUUAUUAUGUCACAUCUAGAAUGGCAGGUAUAUUUUAUUUCAAUUUAAACAAUGAAAUAAAUUAGAAGAUAUUUCAUCUCGUUUAGAAUGUUAUCUCAUUUCAUGAAUUUCACCUAAAUUCUGGCCGGAAUAUUUUGGUUCUAUUCCAGCCAUUCUAUUAUGAUCAAAUAAUGUUUUGUUUUGCUUUUAUAAAAAAAAAAUAUAUAGUUUAGUUUUAUGGUAUUAAUUAUAUCUCUCAAUGCAAUUAUUGGAUUAGACUAAAAUUUUACAAGGAAUCUCUUAACAUAUAUUUAUAUCGCAAGUUAAAAUUUUAGAACAAUUAGAGUUUAAAAAGACUUUGUGAGAUUGCCGAUGACAUUUUUAUAAUUUUAUUUAAAUUCAUAAUUUUGUUUCAUAAGGUCAUUUUUUGUGUCUUUUUUUAGAUUGAUUUUUUUUUUUCAAUUUCAUAAUUCAACAAUAGAUUUAUUAAAAAUUAAGAUUCAUAAUUUGUUUUUAUUUGGGAUUAUUAUGGUCUCAUAAUCUGGGUUACGGAUUUAAAAGAUUAACCUAGAUUAACCUGGUUCGAUCUAAUAUGUUGUUGUUUCAAUAUUUUUAACAAAUAUAAUUUUAAUUGAUAUUUAAAAAUAAACUAACUUGAAAUUAUAUAAUUUAAAUUUCAAAUAUAAGUAAAAAUAAAGAGUUAAAUCAAUAUGACCCAAUUGAUUUGAUGAGUCCAAAAUAUAUAUAAAACAAUCCAAACGACACGUCAAAAUACUCAAAAAUCAAAAUAUAUUGUUACAAUUAAAAAAAUAAAACACCAAUUAAAAUGGAAUUGACGACCUUGCUUGAUAUAAGCCUAAACUCCUCGCUGCCAUUUGCAAGAGAUAGUUACUUAUACCAGUAGCAAUUUAAUAAUGAUUGGUCAAAUUUUAUAUUAAGAUGGGGCUAUUAAUUCAAAUGUUGAUGGCGUUAGUAGCAAUGAUUUUCUUGGAAGCAUGGUUGCCUCUUGGCUGCUUGAAAAUAUAUGGUUUUUUUAAUGUCGCAUGUGUGCUGCGUCAUGAAAAAAAAAUUCACUCUCAAAUCCUAAAUAUUGGUAUCCUGGAAAAAUUGGGAAAAAUAAGGAGACAAGAAAUUCUUGUCUUUUAUUAGUGGAAAAAUAAAAUGGGAGUCGCCACUUAGUAUUUUAAUCACUAGGAACCCUGAUUGGUCUCAGAGAUUGGGUACGGAGACUGGUUGCGUAAAGGGAAGGUAUUAGCACCCCAAAUACGCCCUACCUAAGGUAAGUUGCAUUGUUUUAUUGUUUGAUAAAAUCUAAGGUCUUGUCGUGUUUUCUAGUUAUUGGUCCGUCUAUGAUUUAAGAAAAGUCUUCAUCGAUAAAGAGAUCCUUAUCUUUUCGGGUAAAACCUAACCGUUCUAACGUAAACAAAAGAAUUUAAUAUCCGGAAUACAUCUUACGUAUAAGGUCGUAACCCCAGAUACUAAAAGAAAAUUUUUUUUUUGGAAUUUUUUAAAUAUUGGCCUAGUUCUUGUGACUUUAAUAAACUGGUUUUUAAAACCAAAAUGCAUGUUAAUACAUAUUUUUGUUGUAUGAAAAUAUGAUAUGAUUUUUUUCUUUGAGAUACUUGGCCGUAUGCAUGAAAAUAAUUUUUUUUUUAAUUUUUCAAUGUUUUGACGAAAACUAGGUAUUUUAAUACCAGAUUUGUAUCUUUACAGUAUAAAAAUACAAACCAAUACUAAGAAAAAUUUAGUAGAAAAAUAUAUGGGAAAAUUAUAGAUUUUUUGAAAUGAUUAUUUUUGAAGAAUUGUUUUUUACUGGGCCGGACCCGACCCAACCAUUUUGGGCGGGCCGGCACUGUCCGGGCUGGAAAACUAAAACAAACAAUGGAGAGACUCUCCACUGUUCACAUGCAACGUGAACAGUGGAGCGGCCUGGAGAAGACAAAGAAGAAGAGGAGGAAGAGGAAGAAGCAGACCUGCGGCCUAGCGGUGCUGCUAGUGGCGGUGGACGGUGUUGCGGUUGCGGAGUGUUAGAAAUAAUGUUCAGGACUGCUGAGCUGGAAUUUUAUUCUUUCUUAAUUUUUGAUUUAGUCAAUUCUGUUCCUAUUCUCUUGUUCUUGUUGCUACUUCGCAGCUCUGUUAUUUCCAUUAUCAAUUGAUCAUGGCUUGAAUGUAGUACCAUGAUCGUAGGAGUUUGUUAUGUAUCAGCUCUAUAAAUUGAGCUGCAGUUAUGAAUAAAGUAUUCAAGCUUUUCAUUCAUCAAUCUCUUCUUAAACACAAGCAUUAUCCUUUGUUAUUUUUGUUGUUCAGAAUCACUGCAACAACGACAAUUGGUAUCAGAGCAUCUUGAUUUAAAGGGAUCUGUGUUGUAACCCAUGGAGACAGAAGUAAGAUUCUCAUCAAUUGCUCCACCAGUGUUCAAUGGUGACAAUUACCAGUUUUGGGCAGUACGGAUGGAGACAUACUUAGAGGCUCUGGAUUUGUGGGAGGCAGUGAAAGAAGAUUAUGAAAUCCCUGCACUUCCAAAUAAUCCCACCAUGGCGCAGGUCAAAUCACAGAAGGAGAAGAAGACAAAAAAAUCAAAGGCAAAGGCGUGCUUGUUUGCUGCAGUAGCAUCCACCAUUUUCACUCGAAUCAUGUCUCUGAAAACAGCAAAGGAGAUAUGGGAGUUUAUCAAGACUGAGUAUGAAGGGGAUGAAAGAAUUCAAGGUAUGCAAGUGUUGAACUUGAUGCGUGAUUUCGAGUUGCAGAAGAUGAAGAAAACUGAAUCCAUCAAAGAGUACUCUGACAGGCUGCUUAAUAUUGCAAGCCGAAUCAGUUUACUUGGCUCGUCCCUGCCUGAGUCAAGAAUUGUUCAAAAAAUUCUUGUAACAAUUCCUGAAAUCUUUGAGGCUACAAUUACAUCCUUGGAAAAUACCAAGGAUAUGUCAAAAAUUACUUUGACAGAAAUGCUAAAUGCAUUACAAGCUCAGGAGCAAAGGAGGAUCAUGAGACAAGAAGAUGAGAUUGAAGGAGCUCUAUUCGUCAAGCAUAGAGAAAAAGGAAAGAAUUACAAGAAGAAUGGAAGCAGUCAAGCAUCAUCAGGUGAUUCCAGGAAUUUCAACAGGAGCAACACUGGAAACAAAAAAGGACCUUUUCCUCCAUGCCAGCAUUGUAAAAGGAGAUCACAUCCACAUUUUAAGUGUUGGAGAAGACCAGAAGCUAAGUGCAACAAAUGCAAUCAAAUGGGCCACGAGGCUGUCAUCUGCAAAAACAAAAUUCAACAGCAUGGUGAAGAAGCUCAAAUUGCUGAUCAAGAAGAAGAAGAUCAAUUGUUUGUGGCCACUUGCAUUUCCAGAAAUGACUCAAGUGAAAGCUGGCUCAUUGAUAGUGGUUGCACCAACCACAUGACACAUGACAGAAACAUAUUCAAGGAGCUGAAACAAACAACUUCAAAGGUUCGAAUUGGAAAUGGAGAAUACCUUGCUGUUGAAGGAAAGGGAACCGUGGCAAUCUUGACUUGCUCAGGUACUAAGUUCAUCUCUGAUGUAUUGUAUGUCCCUGGUAUAAAUCAAAAUUUAUUCAGUGUUGGUCAGCUUAUUGAGAAGGGUUAUAAAGUAGUGUUUGAAAACAAUUGCUGCUUGAUCAAAGAUGUGAAUGGUCAUGAUAUUUUCAAAAUAAUCAUGAAAGGGAAGAGUUUUGCUUUAAAUCCAUUAGAGGAGGAGCAUAUUGCUUUCCCAAUUAAAGAAAAUAUCACAGAUAUUUGGCACAAGAGGCUCGGGCACUAUCAUCAUAGAGGGCUGAUGCUUAUGAAAUCCAAGAUGAUGGCUAAGGAUUUCCCAGCACUUGAUGAUCACAUAUCCAGCUGCAGAACUUGUCACACUGGCAAGCUAAACAGGAAGCCCUUUCCAGAAGCCACAUGGAGAGCAACAAGGAAGCUGCAAUUGAUUCAUACUGACAUUGCAGGACCAUAAAGGACACCCUCUCUAAAUGGGAGUCUGUAUUAUGCUGUCUUCAUUGACGAUUACAGCCGAAUGUGCUGGAUUUUCUUCUUGAAGCACAAGUCAGAGGUAGCACAGGUGUUCUGGAAUUUCAAGGCCAAAGUUGAAAAUGAAAGUGGCUGCAAAAUUCAAGCCCUCAGAUCAGACAAUGGCAAGGAAUACACUUCCAAUGCCUUCAACAUUUUUUGUGAGGAGGCAGGCAUUCAUCAUCAGCUAACAACUCCGUAUACUCCUCAACAAAACGGAGUUAGUGAGAGGCGAAACAAGUUCAUAUUGGAAAUGACAAGAUGCUUGCUACAUGAGAAGAAUUUACCAAAGAAAUUCUGGGCAGAGGCUGCAAACACUGCUGUGUUCUUGCAAAACCGACUGCAUACAAGAGCCUUGAAGGAUCAAACACCCUUUGAGGCAUGGUAUGGUUACAAACCAUCUCUGAAUUUUCUUAAGGUAUUUGGAUGUUUGUGCUUCACCCUUGUUCCACAGGUCAAGAGGGAUAAACUUGACAAGAAAGCACUUCCAGGCAUUUUUGUUGGCUACAGCUUAGUUUCAAAGGCUUAUAAGAUUUUCCAACCACAAACUGGAAAAAUCAUUAUAAGCAGAGAUGUCCAAUUCCUGGAAGAUGAAGAAUGGGACUGGAACGAUGCAAUCAAAGAAGAUUCAACCUCUCCAAAAGGCAAUUAUCUUGUUUCAGACACAGAUGAUCAAAGCAUGGAAGAUUGGGACAUCAACAUGACAGAUGACACUCCUGUUACAGGCACACGGUCACUCCUUGAUGUGUAUCAAAGGCGCAACAUUGCUGUGUGUGAACCAGCAGACUUUGAAGAAGCCAAGCUAGAUCAAAAUUGGCUUGCUGCGAUGAAGGAGAAGCUUCUCAUGAUCAAGAGAAACAACACGUGGGAGUUGGUUGACAGACCUCAAAACAGAAAUGUAAUCGGUGUAAAAUGGGUGUAUCGAACAAAACUCAACGCUGAUGGCUCAAUCAAUAAGCUCAAAGCCAGGCUAGUGGUGAAGGGUUAUGCACAAAUCUUUGGCGUGGACUACUCAGACACGUUUGCACCGGUAGCAAGACUUGACACUAUCAGGCUGCUACUUGCCAUUGCAGCACAACUGAAUUGGAAGGUGUAUCAAAUGGACGUCAAGUCAGCAUUUUUAAAUGGUGUUUUGCAGGAGGAGAUCUAUACUGAGCAACCAGAAGGCUUUGCAAAUGAAGGAGAGGAGGACAAAGUCUGUCUUCUUAAGAAGGCACUAUAUGGAUUGAAGCAAGCUCCAAGAGCUUGGUACAGCCGAAUCGAUGAACAUUUGCAGCACUUGGGAUUCACUAAAAGCCUCUCUGAAUCGACUCUUUACAUCAAGCAAAAUGGUGAUAACAUCCUUAUCAUCUCACUUUACGUUGAUGAUUUGCUUGUAACAGGAAAUAACAACAAUAAUGUGGAGAUAUUCAAGCAAGAGAUGAUGAGUGUAUUUGAGAUGACAAAUUUGGGUUUGAUGUCCUUUUUUCUUGGAAUGGAAGUUAAGCAAGUUGAACAUGAAGUGUUCAUAUGUCAGAAGAAGUAUGCCAAAGAAAUCCUCAAAAAGUUCAAACUUGAAGAUUGCAAAGCAGUAAGCACUCCUAUGAAUCAAAAGGAGAAGCUAUGUAAAGAAGAUGGAGCCGAGAAGGUUGAUCAAGCACAAUUCAGAAAAAUUGUUGGAUGCUUGAUGUAUCUCACUGCAACUAGGCCUGAUAUUUUGAAUGCUGUGAGUAUCUUGUCUAGAUUCAUGCAUUGUGCUAGUGAAUUGCAUUUCAAGGCUGCUAAAAGAGUGAUAAGAUAUGUCAAAGGAACCUGCAAUUUUGGCAUAAGAUACACAAGAAGUAGAGAGUUCAAACUGGUCGGGUACUCUGACAGUGAUUGGGGAGGCUCAAUUGAUGACUUGAAGAGCACAUCAGGCUACUGUUUCUCUUUAGGUUCUGGUGUGUUUUCAUGGAAUUCAAAAAAGCAAGAAACCGUAGCCCAAUCCACUGCUGAAGCUGAGUUUGUGGCUGCAACAGCUGCUGUCAAUCAAGCUUUGUGGCUGAGGAAAAUUUUAUCUGAUCUUAACCUGGAGCAAAAGGAAAGCACAGAAAUUCUAGUUGACAAUCAAGCUGCCAUUUCCAUCUCUAAUAAUCCUGUGUUUCACGGGAAAACCAAGCACUUCAACAUCAAAUUAUUCUUUUUGAGAGAGGUGCAGAAAGAUGGGAGUAUCAUUCUUAUUUACUGCAAAACUGAAGAACAAGCAGCUGAUAUUUUCACCAAACCACUGCCAGUCAACAAAUUCGAAUUUCUGAGAACAAAGUUGGGAGUUUGCAGCUCCUAAACAAGGAGGAGUGUUAGAAAUAAUGUUCAGGACUGCUGAGCUGGAAUUUUAUUCUUUCUUAAUUUUUGAUUUAGUCAAUUUUGUUCCUAUUCUCUUGUUCUUGCUGCUACUUCGCAGCUCUGUUAUUUCCAUUAUCAAUUGAUCAUGGCUUGAAUGUAGGACCAUGAUCGUAGGAGUUUGUUAUGUAUCAGCUCUAUAAAUUGAGCUACAGUUAUGAAUAAAGUAUUCAAGCUUUUCAUUCAUCAAUCUCUUCUUAAACACAAGCAUUAUCCUUUGUUAUUUUUGUUGUUCAGAAUCACUGCAACAACGACACGGACCGUGGCGCUGACUGGCGGGUGGUUCUUCUUUCUUUCUCUGCGUUUCCCUUCUGCUUUUUUUCUAUUCUGCUCUGUUCUUCCUCUUGUUCCCUGUUUUAUUCUUUCUCUCCCUCUCUGGUCCUCUCAAACGUCCCUUGGAGCUGCUGCCUGAAGAUGAAGACGAAGUUGAGGGUGAUCAGUGCUCUGAUCGGGCGACGUUUCUUUCUUUCUUCUGCUACUGUUUUCGUUUCUGAUUCUCCUCGUUCAAUUCUUAUUUGCACUCUUCUUCUUCUUCGUCUCUGGUUUUUGAAAUGACGAAGACGAUGGCAACGCUGGUUCUAAUCUCAACGAUUUCCUCUUCUUACAUUCUUUCCUUUUGCUCGUUUCUGUCUCCCUCUCGUGCUGCUCCCCACUUUCUCUCUUGUCCUGCUCGCUCUCCCUCCCUGUCUCCUCUUCUUUUUUUUUUGUUGUCCGUCUCUCCUCUAGCUUUUUAUAGCCAGAGGAUGCAUGCUUUUCGGGAUUUAUUGCAGGAAGGUUGUAACGGCCGGCGUGCAUCAUGGUGGAGAGGGAUAUCAGCCGUGAGACGUGCUCCCCUGAUUGAAGCAGCUCCACCACUAACGUCUUCACUUCCUUUUACUGUAGAAACCGUUGUUGAUGAAGAAGGUAAUGAACAGUUGUCAAGGAAAUGGUACCGUUUUAAAAUUCAAAAUGAAUAUUUCCGAUUUGGUCAUUGGAUUUUUUGCAAUUUUGUAAUCAAGCCCCCGAAUAAAUUGUAAUUGGAUCUCUGGAUUUUAGCCCCAUUUACAAGACAAUCUUUGGUUCUGGAUUCAUGCGAUUUGACUCUCAAUUGAUCAAUAAACUUCUAAUUUCUUUAAUUUAGCCCCUGACUUGGUCAAUUGCAGCCCUUAUAUUUACACGCCUUUUCCGGUUUGAUCCUUGGUUUCGGAUUUUUUCAAUCAAGUCCCUAAUUGCCCAUAAAACUUUAAUAAUUAUGCAAUUAAGCCCCUGAUUUGACCAAAUCAACUCUUCAAAAUUAUAAUUGGACCUUAGAACUUUAAUUUCUUCGAAUAAAAGCCUAAAUAGACAUAAAACUCAAUUUUUCUUUCAAUCAAACCCUCCAUAAAUUCAAUUAAACCUUUAAUAAAAUUUAAUUGAGUCCAUAAACAUCUGAUUUUAGAUAUAUUUUUUUAAAAUUGAAUUUUCUUUGUCAACAGGGCUCUCAUUAGUCAACGAUAUACUGUCAAAUUUCAAUCUUUAUAUUUUUUAACCUCCUCAACCAAUUUUUGGCCAUUUUGAGCAGUCCGACAGCUUUCACUGUGACAUAUAUAUUUUUUUAUUUAUAUUAUUUAAUUAAUUUAUUAUUAUUUAUUUAUUUAAUUUUUUUCAACUCUUACUUUUUGUAUUUUCUUCUUUUUUGUGUGGGGUCCCAAAAAUGGAUAACAACACUUAAGUUCAAAUCUAUUAAUAAAAAUAUAGUUUUAUUGACUUUUUUAUAUACUUUUAUUAGAGAAAUCAAUGUAAACAAAUUUAUGGACAAACAUUAGUUUAUCAAGUACUUAAAUAGAAAAAUAAAAUCAAUUAGAGUACUUGAAUAAAAAAAAUAUAAAUUAUAAGCAUUUUAUAUAUCUUUAUUGUUCAUAAAUUAAAAAUAAAAUAAAAUCAAUCCAGACUAAUCUAAAAAGAGUUAACUAUGACAUCAUCAUUUUGAUAGUAAAACUAAUGAAGAUAUUUUAUUGAUUAAAUUCCGUGAAUAUAAGUAUUCAAAUUGAAAAAAAAAAACAUUGAUACAAGAUUUUAAAUAAAAAAAUUAUAAAAUACAUAUAAUUUGUACUUCUCAUUGUCUCUUUUGCAUUGCUAACACUUAACAAAUUGAAUAUAUAAUUCUCAUGUCAAUAACGUCAGAAUAAAUUUAGCUACAUGACAUAAUAAUACCUGUUUAUUUUUGUAUUUUAAAAAUAUUUUAAAAACAUUAAAUUGUUUUAAAUAGAUAACUUUUGAAUCAUCAAGUAGUGAAACACAGGAAAAGCGAAGAAAGUGAAGAAUAAUCAAAGUGGUGCGUGUCCACAUCAAUUUUUGUCCAUGUUUUUGGUAUUAAUCUCUUCAUCUAUUUACAGCUGGAGAAAAGAACAUCACCUACUACUUUUCUUGUCUCUUCUUACUUGGAAGAUCAGGUAUGUGAAUCUUUGAGUGCCACUUAUUUUAGUACAUAGACUUAGUUAUUUGACCACAACUUCACCACAAGUUAAAUUGUUUUAAUUAAAAAAAUUUAUAUAAAGAUUUCUUCAAUAAAUUUUUUAUUUAAAAAAUUUCUAAGUGAAAAUUAAAAAACUUAUACACAAAUAUAGUUAAAUAAAUCAAGAAUUAUGUGUGUUAAUAAGUGAAAAAAACCAUAAAUGAUGACUCAAAAUAAAAACUGAAAAAAUCAACUGAUAAAUGUAGAUCAAAAUAUUUAAUUUCACAAGACGUGAUAUUAAUGCAGUUGUGUUUUCUAAAAUUUUUAAUUAAAAUAAUUUUUUAAUUUGAUCAAACGAUAAUAAAAAUAGACACACAUAUUAUAAAUUGAUUGAAUAAAAUAAAAAAUAAUAAUAAUAUGCUAGGCUUUAUAUAUUGGAAAUAUUAUUUAAAAAUAAUUUUUUUUAUUUUAAAAAAUAAAAUUUAUCUAUUAAAAAAAUUUAUAUAUUAAAUUCAAAAUAAAUAAACUUUAAAAUAAUUUGCAAGGCUGCACAUAACCCCUUUAAAAGGAAAGUGAUAUAACAAACGUGGAACAAUUUUUAUUAACUAAAUAAACUUAAUAACUAUUAAUAUUAAAUUCGAAAUAUAUAUUAAAACCUAUUAUAUUAAUUUUUGAAUUUAUCAAUUCAGAUGUGAAUUAUAUUUCUAAAAUGUUAUAAGAAAUUUCUAUAUACGACAACUAGCUUAAGAAAGUGAUGUUCAUCAAAACCAUAGAGUACAGAAAAAGAAUUGAAUUGCAUAAAAUUAAGUAAUUAACGGAAACUUAUAUUCCUUCUUAAAACGUUGACCCCAAGUCAAGUUUAUUUAUUAUUAUUUUUUUUGAAAAAAACAUGAAUAAAAGUUAAUGCUAGGCACAUGGGAUAUAGAAGACUUGCAACUUUCUUUAUAGAAAUUACGUGUGUAAAAUUUAGGCCUUGAAAAAAAAUUAAAAAUAAAAUACUAUUAAUCGUGUUGAUAAAAAUUAAUAUAGAGACUUUAUUGAUAAAAAUUCAUAAGAGCAAGUAUUCAAAUUACAAAAAAUAAAAAUAUUUCUUCAAAUUUUCAAUAAAAUUUAUUUCUUGAAAUUAAUGCAUUAAACAAAAUUAAAAUAGUAGUAAAAGUAAAUUUAGUUUUUGAUUGAAGUGUAAACUAGUGGUAAAUGAACAAAAAGAAACUUUAUUGAUUUCUCCAAAAACAAUAUAUAUAUUAUUGAAUAUCUAAUGGAAAGGAUUAUGAAACUCCGCCUAAUAUAUAUAUAUAUAUAACAGAGAAAUUGUCGAUAAUAGCUAUGAUCUAAGUAACUGGACCACGACGAAGACAUAUACAAGAAACAAAAAAAAGAUACUUCACUAACAAUUGGGGUUCUUCAUAAGCUUCAAUAGAAUUGAUAGAGGGUCGAAACAAAAAAGAGAUGAAGAGAGAGGAGGGAAUGGAAAGAAGGGAAAAGAGAACUCUUGCGAUCUGUUGAAUAAGACUCAGUAUAUAUAUAUAUAUAUAAAAUAAAAAAAACUCAAGUUAGCGCAUCAAAUCUUCGACUUGGAUUAUGAGAUCGGGAUAAGAAAACUUAAUAUUUAAAAAUAAAAUUAAAGAAAAAAACUAUAAAAACAUAUAUGGUUUAACAAUAUUAAUCAAUUAUUAAAAUCUUUCAUUUUAUAUAUAUUAAAAAUAAAUAUUAAUAACUAUUAUAUCAAUUUGUGAAUGUUUCAAUUAGGAUGCGAAUAAAUGUUUUAUAUAUGACAUUUUUCUUAAGAAACCAAAGUUAUUAAGCAUGUUUAGAUUUAAUUACCAAAUGAGAGUGAGGGUUGAGGUUAUAGAUUGACCUAAUUAAUACUCAGAUCAAGAUUUAGGUCCUAGAUCGGACAAAUUAGCUUAUUGACUAGUGUUAAUAAAAAAUUGUAUCAUUUUAUGAUUUUUGUUAUAGAAAAAAUCAAAAUGGUGUUGUUAAAAAAAGUAAAACUAGGUUUUAACUGAGUUGACUAGGUUGUGGGUUGAUUUAUCUGGUCAACUAGGCUCAAUUGAGUCAACUCUCACUUGGUUUUUUCUAAACCUAAAUAGGGUUAGGUUCCAGAUUAAAAUGUAAGGCUUGAAUUAAAUUUAAUAACAUUGAUUAAAACCACAAUGUAGGAAAAAAAAUUGAAUUCAUAAAAGUAAUUAACCGAAAACUUGAAUUCCUUCUUAUAAAGUUGAACCCAUGUCGGUUUUUUUAAAGGAAAAGUAUGAAUCAAAGGUUAACGCUAGGCUGCUCACUUUGCAUCACAAUGACAGAUAUGGAAGGCUUGCUACUUUCUUUAUGGAAAUAACGUGUGGAAAAUCAUGCAUUAAUUUUGAUGUUGAUGGCAAAAUCAAACAAUAUCGUUGAUAAAAUGAAUGACAAAUGAUAUUAUUUUUAAAAUACUUCUUGUCAUUGUCAUGACAACAAGUCUUCUUUUUUUUCUUUCUAAAGUACUUGUCAGUCUAUUUUUAUGUAACCCAAUCAACAAGUAAGAUGGAUAGAAAUUUGCAGUGUAAAAUGGGUCUGUGAGACUAUGUAUCGCCAUCUGCAUUUUUCCACGAUCUAGGCCAGUGGGAUGGUACAUGAGACCAUUGCUAUCAAGCGUUUUUUCUACGAGAUGGGUCCAUGAGACCAUUGCCCUGUAAGCUUGGGAAUGGAUAAUUAAUAUGCUUUAAUGUCUAUUUAGUUUGCAAAAAAAAUAAUUAAAUGCUUAUGAAUAAAAAAUAAAUCUCAAGUGUUAAAAUGCAACCACCGAUUAAUUAAUGGACAAUGGACCUUAGAUUAAUACAUGACGCAACUUUCAAUGGAAUUAUAUUUGUGGAGGUAUUUACUCGGAUGCGAAUUAUAUUUCUAUUUUUUUAUUUAAAAAAAUUCUAUACUACAACGAGCUUAAGAAAGUCAUGUUCAGGGGCGGAGCUAUAAUUAUUUGUUAGGAAGAUCAAAAUUAAUAUAAUAAGAUAUAAAAUUUAUUUUAAUUUAUUAUACAUGAGUUCUAAAACAAAACCUGUAUAAUUUAGUUUUAUUCAAAUAACUUACUACAAACAUAUAAUAACCUUUGUGAAGUAUAUUGGGACUGCUCAACCAUAACUUUAACAUUACACAUUGGAGUUGGUUCACUAGGCUGUGAGUUAUCAAUAUUUUUUAUUUUUCUUUUUCAAAAAAAAAUCAAUUCUUCUUAUUUUGUUCAUGGUUCAACCUAAAAUCAAAACAUAUAUCGUAAGAAAAAAUUGAUAAUUUAGUGACUCUGCUAAAAAUAAAACAUAAAACAAAUCCAAGCAUAAUCAAAACAAAACCAAUAAAAUAUAUCUAAUUAAUUAGAAAAAAAAUCAUUAUAAUAAGAAUUCAAAAAAAAAUGGUAAAACUAGCAGAUCUGAGAAAAAAAAAGAGCAAAAAUGAUAGAAAUAUAAAAAAAAUCUCAUCAAAUUAUUAACAAACAUCUCAAAACAAAACAAAUAUAGAUUUUAAAUUUAAGUUACUUUGUUUUGUUUGAUGAAAGAUAAAUUAAUUGGUGGCUCUGCUUCAAUCUUUUUGUAGAAACAUUUUGCUCACAAUUUGUAUUUUUAUUUCUUUGUUUGAUCGGCUGCAGGAUUUAUAUUAGGGUAAAUUAAUGGUUUUGUUUUUUAUUUCACAAAGUAAUGCCUUAAUAUUGUUUUCUUCCAUCUAGGUCAAGAGUAAAUUAAAAGGAAAUCAAAAGUAAAGUCAAUAAUAACCCAAAGUAAUGCCUUAAUUAUUUGAUGUCACAAAGUAAUGCUUUAAUAACCCAAUAAUAAAAAAACAAAAUGUCUUGAGGGGGGCUCGGGCCCCUGCUUGCCCCCUACUUCCACCCUUGGUCAUGUUCAUCGAAAAAAAAAAUUAUAUUUACUCGGAUGUGUUUUUUCUACGAGAUGGGUCCAUGAGAACAUUUCCAUCUGCAUAUUGGUUCUUGAGACCGUUACCAUCAGGGGCGGAGACAGAGGGGCUGGCAGGGGCCCCGGCCCCGGCAAGGAAAAAGUUUUUCCAGCCCCUCCCUUAACAAUAUUUAUAUUUUUAGUUUAAAUAAUAAAACAAUUAAUAUUUUGAUCCCCUUUAAUUUUAUUUUCUGGUUCUGCCCCUGGUUGCCAUCAUGCAUUUUUCCUCGAGGAGAGGCCAUGAGACGUCCUCUUCCAACCAUCAUGCAUUUUUUCCACGAGAUGGGUUCGUGGAGAAACUUUGGUUUAAUUGGGAAUGCUGUUAUUGAUUGGAAACUUUUUAAUUAAAAUAAAUUUGAUUAUUUGAUUGGAAAAAAUCCUUAAAUGUUAUUAACACAAGAAAUGAAUUUAUUUUCUUAAGAAAAAAAUAUUGUAACCAUAUAAGUAAUUUAUUUAUUUAUUUUAAUGAAAUAUAAAAUAGUUUUAAAUCUUGUGGUAUAUUUCUUGUCUUUAAGAGCUAUGAACUUAUAUCGCAAACCUUGAAAACUAAUAUAAAGAUAUUAAGUGAUCAUUAAGUGUGUGUGUAUGUAUAUAAUCUUUUUCAAAACAAAAAGGAUUUUGAUGGAGAUCAGGACAUUGCAACAAAUUAUCCACCACGAGAUGGGUCACUGAUACCAUUGUCAUCAUGCAAUUUUUUCCCACGAGAUGGGGCCGUACGCUUGGGGCUCUAAAACGCUAUGGUUUUUAAUUUCAUUAUGUCACAUCUAGAAUGGCAGGUAUAUUUUAUUUCAAUUUAAACAAUGGAAUAAAUUAGAAGAUAUUUCAUCUCGUUUGGAAUCUUAUCUCAUUUCAUGAAUUUCACCUAAAUUCUGGCCGGAAUAUUUUGGUUCUAUUCCAGCCAUUCUAUUAUGAUCAAAUAAUGUUUUGUUUUGCUUUUAUAAAAAAAAAAAUAUAGUCUAGUUUUACGGUAUCAAUUAUAUCUCUCAAUUCAACUGUUGAAUUAUACUAAAAUUUUACAAGGAAUCUCCUAACAUAUAUUUAUAUCGCAAGUUAAAAUUUUAGAACAAUUAGAGUUUAGAAAGACUUUGUGAGAUUGCCGAUGACAUUUUCAUAAUUUUAUUUAAAUUCAUAAUUUGGUUUCGUAAGGUCAUUUUUUGUGUCUUCUUUUAGAUUGUUUUGUUUUUCCAAUUUCAUAAUUCAACAAUAAGUUUAUUAAAAAUUGAGAUUCAUAAUUUGUUUUUAUUUUGGAUUAUUAUGGUCUCAUAAUCUGGGUCACGGAUUUAAAAGAUUAACUUAGAUUAACCCGAGUCUAUCCAAUAUGUCGUUGUCUCAAUAUUUUUAACAAACAUAAUUUUAAUUGACAUUUAAAAAUAAACUAACUUAAAAUUAUACAAUUUAAAUUUCAAAUAUAAGUAAAAAUAAAGAGUUAAAUCGAUAUGACCCAUUUGAUUUGAUGAGUCCAAAGUAUAUAUAGAACAAUCCAAAAUGACACAUCAAAAUACUCAAAAACAAAAAUAUAUUGUUACAAUUAAAAAAAUAAAACACCAAUUAAAAUGGAAUUAACAUCCUUGCUUCAUAGAAGCCUAAACUCCUCGCUACCAUUUGCAAGAGAUAGUUAUACCAAUAGCAAUUUAGUAAUGUUGGUCAGAAUUUAAUAUCCUUCUCGAUAAGAAGAUCCUUAUCUUAUCGGAUAAAACCUAAUUGUUCUAACGUCAACAAAAGAAUUUAAUAUUCGGAAUACAUCUUACGUAUAAGGUCGUAACCCAAAUACUAAAAGAAAAAAAAUAAUAUUUUUGGAAUUUUUGAAAUAUUGGUCUAGUUCUCGUGACUUUAAUAAACUGGUUAUUAAAACCAAAAUGCAUGUUAAUACAUAUUUUUGAAUUUUUGUUGUAUGAAAAUAUGAUAUGAUUUUUUUUCUUUGAGAUACUUGGCCAUAUGCAUGAAAAUAAAAACAUGUUUUUUUUUUAAUUUUUCAAUGUUUCGACGAAAACUGGGUAUUUUAAUUCCAGAUUUGUAUCUUUACAGUAUAAAAAUACAAAUCAAUACUAAGAAAAAAUCAAUAGAAAAAUACGCGGUAAAAUCACAGAUUUUUUAAAAUGAUUUUUUUUUGACCGGGUAGGCGUUGUUCGGGUCAGAAAACUAAAACAAACAGUGGAGAGACUCUCUGCUGUUCACAUGCAACGUGAACAGUGGAGCGGCCUGGAGAAGACUAAGAAGAGGAGGAGGAAGAGGAAGAAGCAGACCUGCAGCCUAGCGGUGCUGCCAGUGGCGGUGGACGGUGUUGCGGUUGCGGACCGUGGUGCUGACUGGUUGGUGGUUCUUCUUUCUUUCUCUGCGUUUCCCUUCUGCUUUUUUUCUGUUCUACUCUAUUCUUCCUCUUGUUCCCUGUUUUAUUCUCUCUCCCUCUCUGGUCCUCUCAAACGUCCCCUGGAGCUGCUGCCUGAAGAUGAAGAUGAAGUUGAGGGUGAUCAGUGCUCUGAUCGAGCAACGUUUCUUUCUUUCCUUCUGCUACUGUUUUCGUUUCUGAUUCUCCUUUUUGUUCAAUUCUUAUUUGCACUCUUCUUCUUCUUCGUCGUCUCUGGUUUUUGAAAUGACGAAGACGAUGGCAACGCUGGUUCUGGUCUCAACGAUUUCCUCUCCUUACAUUCUUUCCUUCUGCUCAUUUCCGUCUCCCUCUCGUGCUACUCCCCACUUUCUCUCUUGUCCUGCUGGCUCUCCCUCCUUGUCUCCUCCUUUUUUUUUUUCCUGUCCGUCUCUCCUCUGGCUUUAUAUAGCGAGAGGAUGCAUGCUUUUCGGGAUUUAUUGCAGGAAGGUUGUAACAGCCGGAGUGUAUCAUGGUGGAGAAGGAUAUCAGCCGUGAGACAUGCUCCCCUGAUUGAAGCAGCUCCACCGCUAACAUCUUCACUACCUUUUACUGUAGAAACCGUUGUUGAUGAAGAAGGUAAUGAACAGUUGUCAAGGAAAUGGUACCGUUUUAAAAUUCAAAAUGAAUAUUUCCGAUUUGGUCAUUGGAUUUUUUGCAAUUUUGUAAUCAAGCCCCCGAAUAAAUUGUAAAUGGAUCUCUGGAUUUUAGCCCCAUUUACAAGACAAUUUUUUGUUCUGGAUUCAUGCAAUUUGACCCUCAAUUGAUCAAUAAACUUCUAAUUUCUUCAAUUUAACCCCUGAGUUGGUCAAUUGCAGCCUCUCUAUUUACGUGUCUUUUCCGAUUUGGUCCUUGGUUUCGUAUUUUUUCAAUCAAGUCCCUAAUUGCCCAUAAAACUUUAAUAAUUAUGCAAUUAAGCUCCUGAUUUGACCAAAUCAACUCUUCAAAAUUAUAAUUGUACCCUAGAACUUUAAUUUCUUCCAAUAAAAGCCUAAAUCGACAUAAAACUUAAUUUUUCUUUCAAUCAAACCCUCCAUAAAUUCAAUUAAACCCUCAAUAAAAUUUAAUUUAGUCCAUAAACAUCUGAUUUUGGAUAUAUUUUUUUUAAAAAUGAAUUUUCUUUGUCAACAGGGCUCUCAUUAGUCAACGAUAUACUAUCAAAUUUCAAUCUUUGUAUUUUUUAACCUCCUCAACCAAUUUUUAGCUAUUUUGGGCGGUCCAACAGCUUUCUCACUACGACAUAUAUUUUUAUUUAUUUAUUUAUUAUUAUUAUUUAUUUACUUUUUUUCGACUCUUACUUUUUGUAUUUUCUUCUUUUUUGUGUGAGGUCCUAAAAAUGGGUAACAAUACUUAAGUUCAAAUCUAUUAAUAAAAUAUAGUUUUAUUGAAUUUUUUUAUAUACUUUUAUUAGAGAAAUCAAUGUAAACAAAUUUACGGAAAAACAUUAGUUUAUCAAGUACUUAAAUAGAAAAAUAAAAUCAAUUAGAGUACUUGAAUAAAAAAAAUAUAAAUUAUAAGCAUUUUAUAUAUCUUUAUCGUUCAUACAUUAAGAUAUUUUAUUGAUUAAAUUUUGUGAAUAUAAGUAUUCAAAUUGAAAAAAAAAACAUUGAUGCAAGCUUUUAAAUAAAAAAAAUUAUAAAAUACAUAUAAUUUGCACUUCUCAUUGUCUCUUUCGCAUUGCUAACACUUAACAAAUUGAAUAUAUAAUUCUCGUGUGAAUAACGUCAGAAUAAAUUUAGUUAUAUGACAUUAUAAUACCUUUUUAUUUUUAUAUUUUAAAAAUAUUUUAAAAAAAUUAAAUUGUUUUAAAUAGAUAACUUUUGAAUCAUCAAGUAGUGAAACACAAGAAAAGCGAAGAAAGUGAAGAAUAAUCAAAGUGGUGCGGGUCCACAUCAAUUUUUGUCCAUGUUUUUGGUAUUAAUCUCUUCAUCUAUUUACAGCCGGAGAAAAGAACAUCACCUACUACUUUUCUUGUCUCUUCUUGCUUGGAAGAUAAGGCAUGUGAACCUUUGAGUGCCACUCAUUUUAGUACAUAGACUUGGUUAUUUGACCACAGCUUCACCACAAGUUAAAUUGUUUUAAUUAAAAAAAAUUAUAUAUAGAUUUCUUCAAUAAAUUUUUUAUUUAAAAUUUUUUUAAGUGAAAAUUGAAAAACUUAUACACAAAUAUUGUUAAAUAAAUCAAGAAUUUUGUGUAUUAAUAAGUGAAAAAAACCAUAAAUGAUGACUUAAAAUAAAAACUGGAAAAAUCAAUAAACAAAUGUAGAUCAAAAUAUUUAAUUUCACAAAACGUGAUAUUACAGUUGUGUUUUCUAAAUUUUCUAAUUAAAAUAAUUUUUUAAUUCGAUCAAACGAUAAUAAAAAUAGACACACAUAUUAUAAAUUGAUUGAAUAAAAUAAAAAAUAAUAAUAAUAUGUCAGGCUUCAUAUAUUGGAAAUAUUUUUUGAAAAUAUUUUUUUUAUUUUUAAAAAUAUAGUUUAUCUAUUAAAAAAAUUAUAUAUUAAAUUCAAAAUAAAUAAACUUUAAAAUAAUUUGCAAGGCUGCACAUAAGCCCUUUAAAAGGAAAGUGAUAUAACAAAAGUGGAACAAUUUUUAUUAACUAAAUAAACUCUAUAACUAUUAAUAUUAAAUUCAAAAUAUAUAUUAAAAAUAAAUAUUAAAACCUAUUAUAUUAAUUUGUGAAUUUAUCAAUUGAGAUGUGAAUUAUAUUUCUAAAAUGUUAUAAGAAAUUUCUAUAUACUACAACUAGCUUAAGAAAAUCAAGUUCAUCGAAACCGUAGAGUACAGAAAAAAAAUGAAUUGCAUGAUUAACCAAAACUUAUAUUUCUUCUUAAAACGUUGACCCCAAGUCAAGUUUUUUUUUUUUUUUGAAAAAAACAUGAAUACAAGGUUAAUGCUAGGCACAUGACGAUGAUGGAUAUACAAGACCUGCUCCUUUCUUUAUGGAAAUUACGUGUGGAAAAUUUAGGCCUUGAAAAAAAUUAAAAAAAAAAUACUAUUAAUCAUGUUAUUUGCAUUAUGGCAAAUAUAGAGACUUGAUUGAUAAAAAUUUAUAAGAGCAAGUAUUCAAAUUUUAAAAUAAAUAAAUAAAUCAAUUCAAGUUUUUAAUUAGAAAAAACAAGAUACAAAUACUCUGUGUAAGUGCCACUAACUCUUUGUAUUUUCUAACUAUUAAAGAAUUGAAUAUAUAAUACACGGGUGAUAAACAUCAAAAUAAAUCCAAUUGUAUAAUUUACUAAGAUUUUAAAAACUAACACUACAUAGAAAAAAAAAUCUUAAAAUAAAUAACAGAAAACUUGUAUUCCUUCGAGGGGUGUUUGAGAGUGUGGUAGCGGUUGCUUUUCAAAGUUUUUUCCCUUAAAAAUGCAUCAAAAUAAAUUUUUUUGAUUUUUUAAAAAUUAUUUUUAACAUCAUUAUAUCAAAAUGAUCUAAAAAUAUUAAAAAUAUAUUAAUUUAAAGCAAAAAAUAUAAAAAAAAUUAAAAAAUUUUAAUAAUACUUUUAAAAUACUAAAACAAACAAGAUAUUAAAAAAUAUACUACAAGUCAAAGUCUUUUUGAAAAAAAACAUUAAUAAAAGGUUAAUGGCAGGUAGCUUAUUUUCUGCCCUAAUAAAGCUCAAGGUCUGUUCAGAAAACUAAGUACGUAGGCAUACACCCAAUCCAAGCACCAUCAAAUCAUUUUUUAUACAUAGGGAUAGGAACGCUAGCUUCACAUGAUAGAUAAAAAAAAUUAAAAGAUAAUAAAAUUAAAAAAAUAAUUAUAAUCUUAUAUAUUAUUUUAAAUAAAAUAAAUAUUGAUUAAAAAAACCAAAUAUAAUAAAUUAAAAUAUUUAAUUUAAAAAAGAUAAGAGAAAAGUAAAUGAGAAUUAAAGUUGAUAUAAAAAUUAAAUUAUAAAAUAUAAAAUUCAAAAAAAAAAUAAAACCAAUUUUUUUUUUCUAAAAGAUAAUAUUCAGAUUAAAAGCAUUAUAAAAAGAAUAGCUCCUUGUUUCUUCCUUGUUUCAAUUUCAAGAUAUUAAGAUUAAAACCCAAUCGUAUAGCUGGUUGGGUUGAGAAGAAAGGUUUGCUUUUGUAUUACAAAUUAUUUAGAUUAGUUUUUUUUUAAAAUUAAUCAAAUUAGUAUCAUUUUGGUUCUCCAUCGAAGAAAAUAGAAAACAUAUUUAGUAAUAAGGUGUUGUUUAAUUCCUUAUAUUAUUAAUAUAAUCAUGGCAUCAUCACUGUAACAAUAAGUCCUCUUACUUGUAUUUUCACCGUCCCAACCUCUUUACAUGGCGUCACCGUAGCAAUUAUAUAUCUCUUGAUCAAUCAUAAUUAAAUUACUGUAAUAAUAUCUUUUUUUAUUCUUUUAUAUGAAGUCUUAAUUUAUUUUUUUAUAUAGGUAGUUAUGAAUUACAGAAAUUGAACAAUUUAGAGAUCUUUGACUUAGAAUCUAAUUGUUUCGAUAACAGUAUUAUAUUAUAGAGGGAUUUUUAUCCCUUAAAUUAUUAUAUUUAGAUUAAAAAAUAAAAACUAAUUAGGAGUCAAUUAAAUAAAUAAAUAAAAACCCUCAAAAGAUAAAAGAAGAAAACAUAAAAAGUACACUACCCAACCAAUAAUUGACCUGAAUCACAUGUUGUCCACUGCCAGAACUUAUUAGCAAUCUGCUUACAACAGCAAAUUGAUCAAUAAGAAAGACUUAAAUUCCAAAUUUAAAAACCAACUCAAUUGAGAUCCUUAUUAUUCAUUCAAUUAGUUGCUUCUUGCUAACUCUUUUAUUUCCUUUAUAAUUUUAAUUCAUUUUAAUAUAAUUUCUUGAUUGUGGCAAGCUUCCUUUAUCUCAAGAACUUGGAAUACUUGGAUUUCCCAAGAAAAAAUUAACUUAAGACUUUAGUUAAUGCUAUGAACACGAGUAAAUGAUAUGCUAAAGAAAAAACCAUGUAUUUAAGAACCAUUGCUAAGCUACAGGUUCAGGAGCCAUAAACCACUCACAUUUAGUGGGGUUGAUCUCAAAUUCAGACAAAUCUACUUGUCCAGUUCGGAGAACCUUCAAACAAAAAGAAGAAUGAAACCUUGUAAAAUUGGCUAUCAUCAAAAGGACAAGAAACAGUACAAGAAGGAUCAGCCUCGCAUUUCUUGCAUAAGUAAAAGAAUCCACUUGUUAAUGGAAAGGAGGACUCUGCAACAAGUCUAAAAUAUCCUCUGGAGUUCAGUGACCCUACAACCUUAUAUUUACCUCAGAAUGCACCCACGUAAAGCACACAGGAAAUCCCAACACAUAAGACAACAAAAGAAAACAUAUAAUUAGCAGAAAAAAAAAGGUUGUACAAUUCUUUCAUAGCUUACAGUACGUAUAGAAUAAGCAUUAUCAAAUCAGGCUAACAUACCUCAGGUAAGUGAGAUGUUAAUCCUUCUUCAAGCGGCAAUGUCUCAAUCAAUGACAUUAUCAAAUCAGGCUUCAGUAUAUCCCCUAAUCCCAAGCCUAGGACAACAAAAGAAAACAUCAUGAAAAAAAAUGAUUUUACAGUAAUGCACCCAGUGCCAGAGCAUAUAAUUAGCAGAAAUAAAGGUUGUACAAUUCUUUCACAGCUUACAAUACGUAUAGAAUAGGCAUUAAUAAUUACCUUCAUCUGGAUCGGCCAAACUACCUGCAACAUCUAUCAUCACAUCACGGCGCGGGCCACCCUAAGUACAGCAAACAAGGAUAUGGUCAAUUGCACUAUCUGAGCAUAACACAGAUAUUACUCAGGAUUCUUUGCAAGUCUUCCAAUUUCACUGGUUCUGAUGAAGAGUUUACAUCAUUCAUUACUUCUGCACCAAGGUCUGGGACAACUAAGUUUCCAGUCCUGAGAGCUAUGAGCAAAAAUCUCAUCAGAAUAAAAGAAAAUGGCAACGUAAUACUGGGCCAUUUCUUUUUUGUAAUAAAAGUGCUCCUUAACCUUUUUGAAGUUAUUUUACAAUGAAUUACAAGCAUUAAACUUGUAUAUACAUGGACAAACACCAAGUUAUGAUUCUAAAUUUCCAUAUAAAAGAUGCCCCAAGUUUUAAAAUUUACCCCGAGGGCAAGUCUGUGCAAGAGCAUAAGGGGAUGAAGGAUUUGACAUGGACUAAGGUGGGUGAGAUGUUUUUGUCAAGAAAUGAUUUUGGAAAAUUUCUUGAUAUUUCUUGAAUAAAUAAGAUAGGAGUCUUCAUCAAGGCAAGAACAUAGGCUCUCCAAGAUAAUUGACCAGAAGGAGAGAAGGGAGGCUCAUCCUGCUCCACAGACUCUUAGUCUCAAAGAACAAAAAAUUACUUGGCUCUAUAUCCUUACUCUUACUUGCUAUAUCAACUCUUAGAGUUGAAGUAUCUGAAAGGGUUUAUUUUUAGUAUUUGAAUAAGUCCAUGAGUCCCUAGUCUUCAGGAAGAUAUACAUGGUCAAGAUUAAAUUAAGGAUUUUAGUUGCUUAUUUUUCGUUAUUUCAUGUGCCACGUUACUGUGAACGUGAGCUAUUUUUCAGUCUUAUUAUUAUUCCUGUAAGGCUAUUUAUUAGCCAUUUCCAUUCAGUAAAAGCAAUUCAUUCAAUUCAAAUACUGUGCACUUUUGUUCUUAUUCUUUACAAUUGGUAUCAGAGCUAUUACAUCUGACCUGUUACGAAGAAAUAGAUACAAAAGGAAGACAUAUUUUUGAGUGACUUCAAACUUAGAGUGAGUGAGUGCUUGAGUGCUUUUAAACACAGAGUGAGUGAGUUUGAGUGUUUUUUAAACACAGAGUGAGAAAGAGAGUUCUUGAGGGUCAAUUUCAACAAUGGCAGCAGAGUCCAGCAAUUUUGUAUCACCUUGCAUCCCGAAAUUUGAUGGAGACUACGAGCAUUGGAACAUGCUAAUGGAGAAUCUCUUGCAUUCCAAAGAGUAUUGGAACGUUAUUGAGACAGGAUAUGUCGAGCCUGCAUCAGGGGAAAUUCUGAAUAAUGCACAGAAAAAGACAUUGGAGGAGACAAAGCUGAAAGAUUUAAAGGUUAAAAAUUACCUUUUUCAGUCCAUCGACAAAUCCAUUCUGAAGACUAUUACUCAAAAAGACACAGCAAAACAGUUGUGGGAUUCCAUGAAGAUCAAAUACCAAGGAAAUACAAGGGUUCGGCGUGCUCAACUUCAAAUCUUUCGCAGGAAUUUUGAAGUGCUGGAAAUGAAACAAGGAGAAACUGUCACAAGUUAUUUUGGAAGAGUUAUGCUGGUGGCAAAUGACAUGCGAAAUCUGGGAGAAAGCAUACCUGAUGAGAAGAUUGUAGAGAAGAUUUUACGCACACUUACUGAGAAGUACAAUUACAUAGUGUGCUCCAUUGAGGAGUCUAAAGAUAUUAAUCAUCUUUCAGUUGAUGAGCUGUAGAGUUCAUUACUUGUUCAUGAACAGAAAUUCAAAAGGCAUGACACAGAUGAUCAUGCCCUGAGAAUCUAUGAUGACAGAUUCUGUGGCAGAGGUCGUGGCAGAAACAAUUACAGAAGCCGAGGCCGUGGGGGCAGAACACAAACAUUCAAUAGAGACAUGGUGGAAUGUUUCAGGUGUCACAAACUUGGACACUUCCAAUACGAGUGUCCAACCAUGAACAAGGCAGCUAAUUAUGUGGAGCUAGAUGAUGAAGAUGAGAUGCUGCUAAUGUCCUAUGUUACAUUAGCUAAGACAACACGGAAUGAUGCAUGGUUCCUGGAUUCAGGAUGUUCUAAUCAUAUGUGUGGUUAUAGAGGUAUGUUCUCCUACUUGGAUGAAAAUUUUCAGCAUUCAGUCAAACUUGGAAACAAUAGCAGAAUGGCAGUAGUUAGCAAAGGCAGAGUAAAAUUACUAAUCAAUGGUAUUAAGCAUGUUGUUAAUGAUGUCUAUUAUGUACCAGAGCUUAAAAAUAAUUUACUGAGCAUAGGUCAACUACAAGAAAGGGGCUUAGCAAUUUUAAUUAAGAAUGGAGUUUGUAAGAUUUACCAUCCUGAGAAGGGUUUGAUCAUUCAAACCAAGAUGAGUGCAAAUUGGAUGUUCAUCCUACUUGCACAGACUCAAGCUCCCGUACAUGCACAGACUCAGAAUCAAGAGAAUUGUCUUCUCACCGGUUCUCAAAAUCCCUCAGUGCUAUGGCACAGACGGUUCGGUCACUUAAGCUACAAAGGCUUAAGAACCUUACAAUGGAGACAUAUGGUACAUGGACUGCCCACCUUCUCGACUCCCACCAUCACCUGCACAGAUUGCCUCAAUGGCAAGCAACACAGAGAGGUCAUGCCCAAACACAGCAAAUGGAGAGCAAAUCAGAAAUUGGAAUUAAUUCAUGCAGACAUUUGCGGUCCUAUUUCCCCCGAAUCCAAUAGUGGCAAAAGGUACAUAUUAUGUUUCAUUGAUGAUUUCAGCCGAAACUAUGGGCAUUUCUUUUAGCUACAAAAUCCGAAGCUUUCAUUUAUUUUAAGAAAUUCAAAGCUAUGGUGGAAAAAGAAACCCUAUUGCAUGUGAAGUGUCUAAGGACUGACAGGGGAGGAGAAUUUACCUCAAGUGAAUUCAACGAAUUCUGCAGCCAACAAGGUAUCAAACGGCAGCUCACCACGGCGUACACUCCACAGCAAAAUGGAGUUGCAGAGAGAAAAAAUCGAACCGUGAUGAACAUGGUCCGAUCAAUCCUCUCUGGUAAAGGGAUUCCAAAACCCUUCUGGCCAAAGGUAGUGAACUGGGCCUUCUAUGUGCUCAAUCGGUGCCCAACUUAUGCUUUGACAGACAUCACUCCUCAUGAGGCAUGGAGCGGAACUAAACCAUCAGUAGACCAUUUCAGGGUCUUUGGGUGCUUGGCCCAUGUUCACGUUCCAGAUGUGAAACGGAGUAAGCUUGAUAACAAAAGCUUUGUGUGUGUACUGUUGGGUAUGAGUGAGGAGUCAAAGGGGUACAAGUUGUUUGAUCCUUUAAACAAAAAAAUCGUGGUUAGCAAAGAUGUGAUCUUUGAGGAGGACAAACAGUGGGAUUGGGAUGUUGCUUAUGAAGAACAAAUCUUGACAGAUUUGGUUUGGGGUGACAGAGAAGGAACACGUGAAGAUGGUGAUAAUAGUGAUGACAAUCACGGGGAUGAGAGUGGUGAACGUGAGGCUGAAAUCAAUGGGGAAGAAGGGGAAGAAAACGAAGAACACAGACACAUUGUCUGUGAAGAUGAUGAAAAUGCUGAGAGAGAAGAAGAAGAAGCUGAGUUAAAUGAUCUUACGGUGUGUAUGCUGCCAGUUGGAAGAAUAGGUGAGCAGGUCAAUCCUACGGCAUGAACGCGGCCAAGUGAACAAAGGGAGAUGACAGAUGGCAAAAUAGAUGUUAAUCCAACGGUGAGAAUUCAGUCUGACAGGGAGAGUGAUUAGAUGACAUGUGGCGUACAUCCAACGGCACAAAACAUGGCAGACGGAGAGAAUGAGCUGCUGACAAGUGGAGACAAUCCAACGACUGACAUGCAAUCUGACGGGGAGAGUGGCCUGCUGACAAGUGGAAGAAGAGAAAGGGGUCCUCCGGUGUGGAUGCAAGAUUAUGUUACAGGGGAGGAUUUAUCUGAAUAUGAGUCCAAUAUGGCACUAAUUAUGUCUUCUGAUCCCAUUUAUUUUGAAGAUGCUGUGAAAGUUAACACUGGAGACUUGCUAUGGACAGUGAAAUUAAUGCAAUAGAGAAGAACAAUACCUGGACGCUCAACGAGUUGCCGGAGGGAGCAAAAAAAAUUGGAGUCAAAUGGGUCUACAAAACAAAGUACAACGAACAUGGGGAUGUUGAUAAAUACAAGGCAAGGCUAGUUGCCAAAGGGUACUCGCAACAACACGGAAUUGACUAUACAGAAGUCUUUGCACCAGUGGCAAGGAUGGAUACAGUAAGGAUGAUUAUUGCUCUCGCCGCUCAAAAAAACUGGAUUGUUUAUCAGUUGGAUGUCAAAUCGGCUUUUCUGCAUGGGGAAUUGCAUGAAGAUGUUUAUGUUGAUCAACCAAAAGGGUAUGAAAAGAAGGCUAGCGAACAUCUAGUUUACAAGCUGCAUAAAGCGUUGUACGGGUUAAAACAAGCUCCAAGAGCUUGGUUCAGUCGAAUCGAGGGUCAUUUUUUCAAUGAAGGCUUUCUACGGUGUGAAAGUGAGCAAACUUUAUUCACAAAGAGAAGCAGGGAAGGAAAGAUUAUCAUUGUAAGUGUUUACGUUGAUGAUCUAAUAUUUACUGGCGAUGAUACACAUAUGUUGUCUGAAUUCAAAAACUCCAUGAUGAGGGAGUUUGACAUGUCAGAUUUGGGGAAGAUGCGGUAUUUCUUGGGAAUCAAAGUAUUACAGCAUUCAGGUGGCACCUACAUAUGUCAGAAGAAAUAUGCACUAGAGGUGUUGAAGAGGUUUGGUAUGAUGGAAUGCAAUGCGGUGAAAAAUCCAAUAGUUCCCGGAUGCAGAGUCAACAAAGAUGAAGGCGAAGCUAAAGUAGAUGAAACAUAUUAUAAGCAGUUAGUGGGCAGCCUAAUGUAUCUCAUAGCAACAAGACCAGACAUGAUGUUUGUUACUUGUCUCAUCAGCAGAUACAUGGCCAAACCUACGGAACUUCAUCUACAAGUAGCAAAAAGGGCACUUAGAUAUCUAAGAGGGACAAUAAAUUUUGGAAUUUAUUACAAGAAAGGGGGAAGUGAUGAACUACUCUCAUUUACGGAUAGUGAUUAUGCUGGAGAUAUGGAGGAUAGAAAGAGUACAAGUGGAUAUGUUUUUUUGUUAAGCUCAGGAGCAGUCUCAUGGAGUUCGAAGAAGCAACCAAUAGUGACUCUUUCUACAACUGAAGCAGAAUUUGUAGCAGCCGCAAUGUGUGUAUGUCAAGCUCUUUGGAUAAAAAGAGUCUUGAAGGAAUUGGGACACUCAAAUAAUGAGUGCACACAAGUGAAAUGUGAUAACAGCUCAACUAUUAAAUUGUCCAAAAAUCCAGUGAUGCAUGGACGCAGUAAGCAUAUCGAUGUAAGAUAUCACUUUCUGAGAAAUCUUACUAAAGAAGGUACAAUUGCAUUAGUUCAUUACGGAAGUCAGGAUCAGGUGGCAGAUUUAAUGACCAAGCCUUUAAAGCUUGAUGCAUUUCUGAAACUAAGAACACUGUUGGGAGUCCAAGAAAUUACUGAUGUAAACUAACUGCAUACUGCAGUAAGUUUAAGGGAAGGAAUGAAAGGGUUUAUUUUUAGUAUUUGAAUAAGUCCACGAGUCCCUAGUCUUCAGGAAGAUAUACAUGGUCAAGAUUAAAUUAAGGAUUUUAGUUGCUUAUUUUUCGUUAUUUCAUGUGCCACGUUACUGUGAACGUGAGCUAUUUUUCAGUCUUAUUAUUAUUCCUGUAAGGCUAUUUAUUAGCCAUUUCCAUUCAGUAAAAGCAAUUCAUUCAAUUCAAAUACUGUGCACUUUUGUUCUUAUUCUUUACAGUAUCAUCUUUGAGUAUGCUUAUUUGUUAUAAUAAAUAUACCUUGAUGAGAUAUUAUCUUUAAGCAUGUCUUCAAAAACUUGGAAAGGAGUAGAAGCAUCAGGCUCUUCUUCAUCAAGGAACUCUGCCAGGCAAUAAGAUAAAGUAGCGACGUUGCUGAUGGAAAAACUUCACUCUUGAAUGAGUGCUGAAGUUAUAAGCCAGGUCAUUAGUUUGAAGGAGUAAAACUGGUUAGUAAAAUUUUAGGAAAACCAAUUCACACAUACGGAGUGUGUAACUAAAAUAAAUAAACAGGAAGUAGAAAACAGGAAAUCCAAUUAGUCUAAUAUGAUAUUUCUGUGAAAUAGAGGUUUUCUUUAUGAAAUUGUGGAGAUGAGAGGAGAUAAAUGCAGAUGCAAGAUAAAAAAAAACAAUAAAAAAAAACACAAAAGUAGCAUGGCUAGCAAAGGACUCAAAACACAAAAGUAUUUACCAAAUGGACGAUUAAUAUAAUAGUUGAUAGAGCUACACAAUUGUGAAUCAUCUUUAGCUUUUGGCUCCUGCAAACAUGUUACACAAUUUUCCAAAAUCAUGCAACUAACAGCCGAGUCAAUGUUACACAUAAGAGAGUGAAAAACACAGAAAAUGAACCUGACCUGCAUCCAAAUGAAAAACUUUCAAUCAUCUGUAUUGAAUUUCAAGAUGUAAACUCUUCCCAAAGCUUGAUUAACCUGAAUAACCCAAAGAAUUAUGAAUCUAUGAUAUUACAAUCAAUUAUUAGAGUCAAAUAUCUCCCAUCUAAGAAAAAACUAAGAGAGAAAAGUGUACCUUCUCAAAAACAGCCUCUUCAGAAAAAAAAAUCUGAUCCUGUCAAUCAACACGUCAAGAAAAAGCUACCAAGUUCUUACCUCAAAAGAAUAUUAACAAAACAAACAACAGAAAAAGAAAUAAAAACCAAUGUUGGAAGAGAGAAACAAAAUCCCCAGGCUAAAAAACAUAAUAAUAACUAGGACACAUCUUCCACAGCAUUCAAAUUCCUAUCAAGCCACUGGAAAUGAAGCAAACCCUCGUCACCCUGGAACAAUUCAAAAAUUUCGACUUCAAACAGGAAACAAGAUGCUAGAAACACUCUAUCUAGUACUUAAGAUAAACCAAAACAACAGAAGUAACUAAAAAUCUUUACACAGGUACGAACUCUGUAUAACACAAAAAAACCAAAAGACACCAGUUUACCCUUCCAAUGCGAACAAGUCCUUUUCGAGAAUCAGGAACAAACUUUUUUCCAUCAAAAACCAUUUUACCAGCACGAAACUCCAACAUAAUUUCCUACCAACAAAACAACCACAACAUCAUAACAUAACCCCAUCAAGAAAAACAUACUUAUACAUCCAAAAAAGCAAUUACAGGCUCUAAUUAAUAAGAUACAAGAUUUUAAGCAAAACCCACAAUUUUAAAAGUGAUUUUAUUUACCUGCAUUGCUGAAAUAUCUACAGCUGAUGAAGAACCCAUUUUUCGCAUACUUCCUCUAAAGCUUCCUUUUUUCCAACACUGCAAAAAAAAAAAAAGAAGAACAAAUCAAAUACCCAAAUCAGAAACAAUAACAGAAAAAAAAUAAAAGAAAAUCCAAUGCUGGAAGUUGUAAUCAGGAGGAGAACCAUACAAUUUCUGAUGGAAUGACAUUUUAUCAAGAAUUGAACUAGGCAUUCAGUUAAUUAAAUAGGUUGUAAACUUGUAAUCAGGUGAGAGUAGUGUCAACAUGUUUAGUUUUCCUCUCGGAAGUGUCAUUCUGCACAAAUCAGUGUUUUAAAAAUAUUAAAAAAAAAAUUUAAUUUGUUUUUAAAUUUGUUUUUUAGUGGUUUUCAUUUAUUUUCGUGUAUUAAUAUUAAAAAUAAUUUUUAAAAAAUAAAAAAUAUAUUAUUUCAAUUUAUUUUAAAAUAAAAAAAAAACUUAAAAAAAAUACUGUUAACACAGUAUUAAACAAACUCGAAUCCUAUAACCAGAUGAACAACGUUAAGAUAUUUGUUUUUUGUUUUUUGUUUUUUUUGAUAAUGAGGAUGUCCUAAACAAUCUUGCCUAAUGAUUGUUAAGAAAUGAAAGAGGCAAUGCAUGGCUAAACCAAUGGAAGCUAAAAAGCUAAUGAUGCCCCUAGCUAGUAAGCAAUUGUUGCCGCAAUGACAUAUGCCUCAUUAGAGAUAGAUUUGAAUUUACAUAUUAUUAUUAUCAUAUAUUUUGUAUUCUCGUUUAAAAAAAUAAAUAUUUUCCUUAUAUGGAGUAGAGUGUUUUUAAUUUUAUCAUGUAAAAUUUAUAUAUAUUUUAAAAAUUAAUACAAUAUACAGUUAAACAUCUAUAAAUUAAUAUCAUUGAGACCAUGAAAUUUAUUAAUUAAUCAAGAUAUUAUUUAGUAAAUAAAUUUAUACACUUAUCCAUUAAUCACAAAAAAAUUUCUUUUUCAAAAACAUUGAACUCAAUACAUGCAUUGUGUAUUCUGAUUAUAUGAAUAUUAUCUAAUUAUCAAAUUAUGAAUUAUCAUAGUUCUAUAUAUUUAUUUAAAUAAAACAAGUUUAAGAAUUAAUGUAAUCGAUCUUAUUAAUUAAUAAAAGUCAUGUAUGUAUCUAUUUUUGCAAAUUGGAUGCAUACUUAAUUAAUAUUAAGUCAAGAACAAAACCAAAAAAAGGAAUAUACAAGUGAGCCAAACAACAAUAUUAAAAACGAAUAAGAGGUUGAAUUAAUAUUCAUUAACUAAUAAUAAAAUUAAGAAGAUGAUACCAAAGGACACAAAAUCACAAAAAUUCGUGAAACUACAUAAGGCGGUUUGUUCAAUACCAAGAAAUUAAAUAUUUAAAAAAAAACUAAAUGAAUUGUUUAAAAAGUUAAAAGAAAAUAAAUGCACUUUUGUCCACGUCAACAACAACUAUAACAAAAUGCUGGGCUGUAGAAGAUUUUCCACAGCAACCUGAAAAAAUCAUAUAUGCUCAAGUAACUAUUUGGUAGAGCGUAUUUGGAGUGCUAAUAUCUUUUCUUUAUGGAAUCAGUCCUCGUACUCGAUCUCUGAAACCAGUUAAGGUUCUUAGUGACCAAAAUACUAGGUAGCGACUCUCAUUCCAUUUUUCCACUAAUAAAAGACAAGAAUUCCUUGUCUCCCCAUAGAUGCCUGAUAGAUAAUACAUUUUGAGAGUGGAUAUUUUCACCGCAACAUCGUAUACGUGCGACAUUAUGUAUACAGGUAUUUCACGAGAUGAUGCGGAGUGUUAAAUAUAAGCUUUGUGUUUAAAUCUGUUUUUUUAUGUAAUAUCUUUUGUUUUAUAUGUAAUUUGUAUUAUAUGUAGAUUUUAAUAUAUGAAUCCUAAAGAUAUUUGCUUUUGGUAUUUAUACAUUUAGAAUGUAUGAGUAAGGAACUAAUAUUAGUAAACUAUUUGAAAAGAAUACUUAAUAAUUAUAAUUAUGCAUGUUUAAAAGAUGGAUGCAUGUUAACGUAAUAAUUAGUUCAAUAUGAAUCCUUUGAGUUUAUAUUUGUAUGCAGUUAAUGUUUUAUUUUAAGAGAAUAUAAUUGCUAUGUUUUAUUUUUUUAUGAUGUAAGGUUGAGAAAGCACAACAAAGUAUUGCUAUGUGAAAUAUUGUAUGAUGAGAUGGGAUAUGAUCCAGGAUGGUUGAAUUGAAAUAGAAGAUUGAGUAUUGUGAUUGAAUGAAGUCUAGUCGAUAACUUGGUAACAUAAAAAAACAAAAGAAACUCUGCCGAAUUUUCUGUAGAAAAUUAGAUUUAUAUAAUAACUAUUACUUUGAUGAUAUAACUUUGAGAGUGAUACAUCAAAUGUGAGAUAUGUUAGACAAUAACCGCAAGACAAUAACGGUUCAAGACGUAGACAAUAACAAUUCAAAUUUCGGUAGUCCUCAUAUGAAUACCAUAUAUAUAUAUAUAUAACUUUACUCUGUUUUUCAGUUGCAUGAUAUUGUUAUUUUAUCCCGAUUGAGGGGGUGUUAUAAUUAUGGUCUUAUGAUCCGAGUCACUGAUUUAAAAGGUUAACCUAGAUUGACCCGGGUCGAUCCAAUAUGUUGUUAUCUCAAUAUUUUUUAAAAAAAUAUUAUCUUGAAUUUUUUGAAGUAAAACUAUAUGUUUAUCAGUCGUCCAGACUAUCUUUGGACUCAUUGAAUCGAUUGGGUCAUAUCGAUUCAACUCUUUUUUUUUAGUUAUAUUUGAAAUUUAAAUUGUAUAAUUUCAAAUUGGUUUGUUUUUAAAUGUCAAUUAAUAUAUAUAUAUAUAUAUAUAUAUAUAACAAUCCAAAAUGACAGGUUAAAAUACUAAAAAACCAAAACAUAUUGUUACAAUUAAAAAAAUAAAAUACCAAUUAAAACGGAAUUAAUUGACAACUUGCUUGGUAGAAGCAUGAAACUCCUCGCUGACAUUUGCAAGAGAUAGUUACUUAUACCAGUAGCAAUUUAGUAAUGAUUGAUCAGCAUUUAUAGUAAGAUGGGGCUAUUAAUUCAAAUGUUGAUGGCAUUAGUAACAAUGAUUUUCUUGGAAGGAUUGCUUCCUCUUGGUUGCUUGAAAAUAUACGGUUUUUUUUUAGUUCAAAUCUAUUAAUAUAAAUAUAGUUUUAUUGAAUAUUUUUUAUAUAAUCUUAUUAGAGAAAUCAAUGUAAACAAAUUUAUGGACAAACACUAGAUUAUCAAGUAUUUAAAUAGAAAAAUAAAACAUUGAUACAAGCUUUUAAAUAAAAAACAUUUAUAAUAAAUAUAAUUUGUACUUGUCAUUAUCUCUUUUUCAUUGCUAACACUUAACGAAUUGAAUAUAUAAUUCUCAUGUGAAUAACGUCAAAAUAAAUUUAGUUGCAUGACAUAAUAAUACCUAUUUGUUUUUUGUAUUUUAAAAAUAUUUAAAAAAAUUAAAUUUUUUUAAAUAAAUAACUUUUGAAUCAUCAAGUAGUGAAACACAGGAAAAGUGAAGAAAGUGAAGAAUAAUCAAAGUGGUGUGGGUCCACAUCAACUUUUGUCCAUGUUUUUGGUAUUAAUCUCUUCAUCCAUUUACAGCCGGAGAAAAGAGCAUCACUCAGUGCUUUCCUUGUCUCUUCUUGCUUAGAAGAUAAGGUAUGAGAACCUUCGAGUGCCACUCAUUUUAGUACAUAGACUAGAUAUUUGACCAUAACUUAACUGUUAGUUAAUUGUUUUUUCAAUUAAAAAAAUUUAUAUAUAGAUUUCUUCAACGUAUUGUUUAUUUAAAAAAUCUUAAGUGAAAAUUAAGAAAUUUAUACACAAAUAUAGUCAAAUAAAUUGAGAAUUAUAUGUGUUAAUAAGUGAAAAAAAAACCAUAAACGAUGACUCAAAAUAAAAACUGGAAAAAUUGAGAGACAGGUGCUGAUCAAGAUAUUUAAUUUCACAAGACGUGACAUUUAUGCAGUUGUGUUUUUAAAAUUUUCUAAUUAAAAUAAUUUUUUAUUCAAUCAAACGAUAAUAAAAACAGACACACAUUAUAAAUUGAUUGAAUAAAAUAAAAGGAGAAAAAAUAAUAUGCAAGCCUACACAUAUUAAAAAUAUUAUUUGAAAAUACAUUUAUUUUUAUUUUCAAAAAUAAAAUUCAUCUAUACAAAAGAUUUUUAAAAAAUAUAGAUUAAUCACAAAAACCUCCUCAAAAAUUAAAUGCAUAAUUAAAAAAUAAUUAUCAUUUCAAAUAGGCUUUCUAAAUAAUAUAAAAGAGAGAAGGGAUAUAAAUAUAAAUAUAAAUAAGAUUAAGAUUAAGAUUAAUUUAAAAAAAUACAAACAAAAAAAAAGAAAAUAUUUUUUCUUAAACAAAAAAAAGUGAACAAUGUCGUUCACAGUAAAACUUGUGGGGUGAACUCGAACUCAACCGAGUUUAAUAUUUUUCCUCUUAAAUUUAUAACAAACCUAAAAAAAGUAAACAAUGUCGUCCAUUGUAAAACAUGAGGAGGUGAAUAGUGCAACUACACAGUGUUCACCUUAUAUAUUUUUCCUCUUAAAUUUAUACCAAAACCGUAAUAAAAAAAGGUGACCAAUGUUGUCCAUAGUAAAACGUGAGGGGGUGAACAACGCAUCUUCAUAGUGUUCACCCCGCACACCUUAGCUUAUUUAGGGUGAACCUGAAUCAUGAACUCAAUCGGGUUUAAUAUUUUCCCCUCUUAAAUUUAUAGCAAACCUAAAAAAAAGGUAAACAAUAUAGUCUAUAAUAAAAUAUGAGGGGAUGAACAAUACAGAUGCACAAUGUUCACCUCACAUAUUUUUUUCCUUAAAUUUAUAGCAAAACCUAAUAAAACAAAUAGUGAAUAGUAUAUUCAUUGUAAAACGUGAGAGGGUGAACAAUGUGGCUAUAUAAUAUUCACCCCACAUGCUUUAGAUUAAACGUGAGAUGGUUAUUUUUUAAAAUAAAAAAAAAUUAAUAAGCAGGCUAUUACAAUGCGCUUUUUAAUGAUGACGAUAUUUGUAGCAAAAAUUUCAAAGGAUUUAAUACAAAUCCAAGCCAAAAUAUUUCACUAGAUUACUAUUUUACGAUCUUCUUAAAACUUGGGUUCGAGCUUGUCAUGUUGAAUCAUCUCUUCUAGAAUCCUUUUUACCGUCUAAUGACUGCCGCUUAUGUUUGUGCAAUUUCUUGUUUACUAGUAAAAUUGUACAGACGUGGGCUUGAAGCUGUUAACUUUCCCUGGACUGGUUAUGUAAUAUAUUUAUAGGUCUAACUGUAUACUAUCACUUGGUCCAAGAGGCAAUAUUGCAAGAUUCCAACGAAAUCUACUGUAAUCUACUGUCCUGGGACAAGAGUUCCAAAAACAUCUACUCCAAAUUUUGUUCUUUUUGAAUCUUUAGUUAUUUUUAUUUUUUCUCAUCAUUUUUUAAAAUAAAAAAUAUAAAUAAAUUACUACAAAAUGAAUAAAACAAAACCAGAAUAAAAAAGUAACAUUAAACAGCAGCCAUUUCAUCAGCUUUAAUUUUAGUAUAACACAAUAAUAUGAACCAACCUUGAUUCUCGAAGGCACCCAACUAAUUCAUUAGCCUUCAAAUUGCCAUCACCUAAUUUCACGAUCCAUGACCGACAUAUAAACAAGGGUCCUCUCCAAGUUCCCAUACAUAUACGAAUCCAAAUAUACAUAGAAACUUAUCUUUUAAAUAAGUCAAUUAGAGUUCAACACAAUAUUAAUAACAAAAUUAAUUAAAUAAGUCAAUCAGAGUUCAACAUAACAUUAAUAACAAAAUUAACUUCAUAAUAUAAUUUGAUUGUCUUAAUACAAAAAUUAAUACAAAGUUCGUAGUUGUGGAGCACUAUCUAGACAUAAAAAAAAUCAUAACAAAAACAACAAGGGAGGGGGUUUGAUAGUAUGUAAUACAACAACUAGAAAUAUAUAUAUAAUUAUGGCUUUAGGUUUUUAUAAAAACGUUUUUUAAAUAGAUCAUAUAAGAACAACGGAGGAGGGGGUUUAACGGUAUGUAUUUGCCUGCUAGUAAAAAUUGGUUAGCACCUAAACAAGGUCCUGUGCUAAAUCUAAAUUGGUAAGAUGUGAUAUGCUAAUAUCUAGAAAGAUAACUUAAUCUAUCCAUUGAAGUAAAGCAUUUAAAUGCGUAUACAAUGUUUUUGGAACAUUAAAUAUCUAUUUGAUCAGAAUCUGAUGGGGCAAUAGGUGAUGCAGGCAUAAACUAGAAAGACAACAAACAAACACAAAGAAAAAAGAUUUGUUAAGCAAACAGGGUUGCAAACUUAAACACUAAAUUCGCAAUUUAUUAUUCUGAAAAAAGUCUAAUGAUGUUUGCCUCUCAAAGAGGUUUCUAAAACAUUUAAAUAUGCUAAAAAACCUAUCUCUAUUGGAAAAAAAAAAUUCAGAAUCCAAAAGAAUAAACAAAAACUACAUAAAAUCUGAAAUAAAACAAUAAAUAUGAAAAAAAUCAAGGAAAAAUAGCUAAAUUGGCUCAAAACAGGAUCUUAUGAACCUAAUUUCAGGGGAUCCGAACAUCAAAUGAUCAACAAAGUAUGUUUCCAAUUGAGAUGGGCCUUAGAAAUCUCCUAUAAAAAUUGAGAUCUAAGCAAAUUAAGUGAUAUUUGUUUGAGACUUCGCUAACUACAUAUAAAGGAAUUAAAAAUAAAUUAUGAUGAUCAAUUCAAAAUCAACAAAAUAUUAAAGUGAAAUUGGAAGCAAAAACAGGGCAAAAAUCAUUAAAUCAAAAGAAGAAAAAAUUAGAAGAUAGAAUUUAUUUAUUUUUUUUAAAAAAGGGGGGAGGAUAUGAAUAGUGAAGUAGGAGGGAAAAACCUAAUUUUUUUAGUAUAAUAAAUAAUUUUUAAUUAAAUUAAAAUCUUCAUCUCAUACAAUUAGACCCAAAAAGAGUUAAAUAAAAAAGGGAAGAAAAUUUCUAAAGAUAUAAGGACCAAUUUAAAAAAAUAAAAGGAAAAAAAAAUGAAAAAACACCAAAUCAAGAAACGAAAAAAUAUAAGGACCAAUUUAAAAAAACAAUAAAAAAUAUAAAGAGUGAAGGAGGUAGAGAAACAUAAGUUUUUUAGUAUAGUAGUUUAUUUCUAGUUAAAUUAAAAACUUUAUCUCAUAUAAUUAGGCCAAAAACAAUUUUUUAAAAAAAAUAAGGACUAAUUUGUAAAAAAAGAAGAGAAAAAAACAGAAUCAAAUCAAAAGGGAAAAAAAACUAAUUUAAAAAUAAAAAUAAAAUGCUUCAUUAUUCAUGUAAAAACAAAACAUCAUUAUAGUAUCCAACUAGACAAGUGACCUACACUACGGGCUAUCCUAAUUUUUUUAAAGCAAAAUUUUUUUUUAGCAUUAUUAGAUGUGAGAAAAUAUUUUUUAAAAAACAUACAUGUGUACAAGAUAGGAGAGAUUUGGUUUGAGAAUGCAUGCUAAAAAUCUAAACAUGAACUAAAACAAAGUGGAAUUAAAAAAAAAAAAAAAACUUAAAAGAGAUCAGUGAUUCAUUAUAGACUGUGAGGUAAAACACUGUAGAUUAGCAUAAUAUAUUUAUUUUUUGACCUUCUCUACGUAAAAUAAUUGCCUUGCUAACAGGGUAAAGUUGUUAUUUUCAAUGGAUCUAAAGGUUAUUUGUAAAUUGAUUGGGAAUAAUUUAGUAGGUUAGCUAUUUUAUUUGCGUAGUAAAAUGACGUCAAUACCCUUGAGAGUUCAAAAAUAUUGACCUUGACAAAGGCAUUUUUUAGUCUUUUCCAUGUUUUGUAUACUGUAAAAUGACAAAGUUAACCUUAGAAUAAAAAAAUCUAAAGCUGGUCUGGGAUAGCAUUUUCAUCUUUGCAAUAUAGCUUUUUUGUAAUAUUUAGAUGCUCUUAUGAGCUAUUUAGCAAUUUAAAGUAUUGAAAUAUUAAUAAAUCAAUAAACAAAGGCUGACAUGUGUGUAGCACGUGUCAACACGUGAUAGUCCACCACGUCAUUUGGGAGGCGUGUGAUAGUCCAACAUGUAAUAUGGAGGUGUAGUUGAUGACGUGGCGUGUCGUCAUAUUUGUAGUGGUUUAAUGGUGAUAAAAAAAUUUUCCCGUCCCCCUCUUUUCUCUCUCUAAGGCUUUAGUAUUCACGCCGAUGCUUUAAAAUUUCACUUGUAUCCUUUGGAUUGUAUUUAUAUUAAGUUUGAUUCUUAUUAUUUUAAUUUCUAUUUAUUUUGAUUUUAGUGUUUUUUAAAGAAAAAAAUUUCAAUUUCAUUCCUCAACAUUUUAUUUCAUUUAAUUUUUAUAUUAAACUUGGUCCUCAUUCUUUUAAUUACUAUUUUCUAUCCUUUACUUAAUUUUUUUAAUUUUAUUUCUUAUUAUUUUAUUUUAUUUUAUUUUGUUUGCAAUUGCAGUUCUUUUUUUUUUUUAUCCCUAGUAAGCAAUUGUUGCCGCAAUGACAUAUGCCUAGCAAGAGGAAAAAAAAAAAAAAAAAGAGACGCUUGAAGGUUAGAGAAGGCACCUCUGAGUGGAAGGAGGCUGAGGUGCGCUAUUUUUGAAGUAUGUGAAAAUCAUAUGUUUCAAUGCUACUUCUUGCAAGAGUCUCCUUAACCAACCUAGAGUGUUAUAUUAGACUGCUAACGUAUUUUAUAAAAAUAUUGAUAAAAAUAUUUUUGGAUAAUUUUUUUUAUUUUAUUUGAAUUUAUUUCUUAAAUAAUUUAAAUUAAUAAGAUAAUUACAUAAAAGAUAAUGUUAGUCAAGUUAUCUUUUUACCAACCAUAAAAAGAUUUUUACUAAUCCAAGCCAACAAAAUAACAAUUACAUGUAUAAAUUGUCAUAUGUUGGAAAAAGGAGUUAGCUCAUAUUUUAGGGAUUAUAUUAAAGUGUUAGCAUCUUGCCUGGUUAGAAAUAGAAUUGAAUUUACAUAUUAGUAUUAUCAUAUAUUUUGUAUUGUCGUUUAAAAAAAUAAAUAUUUUCCUUAUAUGGAGUUAAGUGUUUUUAUUUUUAUCAUGUAAAAUUUAUAUAUUUUUUAAAAUUAAUUUUUCUAAUCAUCAAAUUAUUUUUAUUUUUUAAAAUUUAUAUAUUUUUUAAAAUUAUUUCUUAAAAAUAAAUUUAUUUUUCUAAAAAAUUGAACUUAAUACAUGCAUAUUAUCUAAUCAUCAAAUUAUGAACUAUCAUAAUUCUAUAUAUUUAUUUAAAUAAAACAAGUUCAAGAAUUAAUGUAGAUCAAUCUUAUUGAUUAAUAAAAUUCAUGUAUGUAUCUAUUUUUGCAAAUUGGAUGCAUACUUAAUUAAUAUUAAAUCAAGCAAAAAAUCUAUAAAAAGAAUAUACAAGUGAGCCAAACAACAAUAUUAAAAACGAACAAGAGGUCGAAUUAAUAUCCAUUAACUAAUAGUAAAAUUAAGAAGAUGAUACCAAAGGACACAAAAUCACAAAAAAGCAUUUAACAUUCAGAGAAAGAAGCCUGCAACACCCAUUAAGGAAAAGAGAGAAGGGAAAGAAAUGUAGAUUAAUUGAUACAGAGGAUCACCUUGUUCCAGACCAGCGCGAGACUGUAGAAGAAUCCAGACGAACCAAGAGCAAAAAAUGCAGGAGAGAUAAUCAUGAGAGAAACAAAUUCAUAUAUCCACGAAUACGUACAACAUUUGAAACCUAUAAUGCAAGAAUAGCUGCAGAUGUACAUUAAUAUUUUUAAUUUAAAGAAUCAAUUAAUUAUUUAAAAAACUUGAGGGAUUAAUUUGUUUGUUUCACAUAAAACAGACACUAAUUAUAUAAAGUUUUACUCAAAAAACAGACACUAAUAAUCAUAUGCGUGAGUGUUUACUUGUAAAUAUUUUGGAAGGAACUGGUUUAUGUUUUGCGCAUCAUGAAAAAAUCAUAUAUGCUUAAGUAACUAUUUGGCAUCAAUCUAGUAAAUUAAUCUUAAAUUCCUUUUAUCCAACUCUUGCCGUUUUAAAAUUAAUCAAUGUAAAAGUUAACCAAACAUGAUAAAAUCAAUAUAAUGGGUUUACGAAUACAUAUUAAAUUAAUCUUGGUUUUAUAGCUUAAUUUUCUAAACUCACUACUCAAAUAAUGAACUACAUCUAGUUUUAAUUUUUUUUAUUUAAUAUUAUAAUAACAAUACCAUUUCAAAAUUAACCAAAUAUAUAUAUAUAUAUAUAUAUAUAUAUAUAUAUAUAUAUAUAUAUAAUAGAGUUUAAAAACAAAUGAACAAUAUGAUAUUGUUCCAUUUUACUAUAAUGAUGAAGUUUUCACAAAAUAUAAAACUUAAAUUAAAUUAAGGCAACAAUCAAUUCUUUAGCUUUAAAACGAUUUAUUAUUUGCUUUCUAGUGGUAGUAGUAGGAUGAUUGGAAUAAUUUUUUUUCCAUUAACAAUAGAAUUGAGAAGGCCCGCCACAGACCAAGAGGACAGCUUCAAUGAAGCCAUCCCAGCCGAUGCAGGUGAUUACCCGUCGGCUGACAUCUCCUCGCGCGCAUAGCACCAGCCAAACCACCUCAAUCUGAAAAUGCACCAGACAAAGUCAAUGGAAAGACGCCAGGGAGCCUCAGCAGCCGAGAAGAAAGCGAGGGAACACCCACCGCGCGAGAAACACGAAAAACAUAGAGGGAGCGCGGUAAAGACUGUGAAGCCACAGAAUUCACACAUUGUGCACCGUGUUUUAAUGAGCACUCUUAGUUUAUUUUAUAUAUAAUUCUUUUAGUUUUAGUUUUAGUUUGUUGUGUUAUGAACAGUAAAGCAGCACAAGAAUACGUCUGCGUCAAGCUCUGUUCACUUUGGUCCGACAUUCCUCACCUCUCCCCACCUUAGCUCUCUCUCUUUCCCUCCUCUGCUUUUAGAAACCGCCGCUGCCACCUCAACCAAUAAGGCUUCAAAUCUCACCCAGGUGCUUCCUUUUCUAUUAUGUUUUUGUUUUUUAAAAAAGAUUUACGUCCGCGUUUUCAUUUAUUUAAUUGAAGUUACUAUCCAAAGAGAGAAAUUCGAUUUUAAUAAGUAAAUUAAAAAGAUAUAUAAUCGGAUCCAAUGAAAUCGCUGCUCGUGAACGCAACUCGAAGAAAGGCGCAAUCAGUCGAUUCUACUGUGGGUGGAGCAUUUAGUAUGGUCAGGGUUAUUGUGUUGUCUAUUCAAAGAAAGAUGUGCCUGUAAAUUUAUUAAGUUGAUUCUUAUCAGUCUGCUCUUUAGAGUUGAUGAUAACAUGAAAUAUUCAUUGUUGAUGCUUGUCGUUUUCUUCUUCAUUUUCCUAGCUUAAAACAUCCUAGACAAUCUCUUUGGGAUGGUUUAGUGUUUCUGGCCUCUUCAUCUUCUAUUUGUGCUGUGGUAUUUAGUUUGCUGAUAUUCAUUGGGGAUUGAAAGGCCUCGUUUUAUGACUUUGUUUUCUUCUUAUUUCUUUAUUCUUUUGGGGAUGUGAUAUUUUCCUCUUUCUAUUUACACUAUUGGCUCCCUACAAUAUUUUUUCCUUCAGAGAAGUAAAUAUAUACAUAAAUAACAAGAACAGGAGGGGAAGGGGAGGGGGGUUUGACAAUAAGUAUUUGCUUAGAAGGGAAUGCUUCUUUGGUUUAGAAGCACCAUGAAGAUUCAGGCCCAUAUUUGGCUGGUUUCUUUAAUAAAGUACAUGAUAUUCCAUUUUUCAUGUCCUUGAUGUGCUUUUACUCUUCUUGCCGUUCCUGACUUUCUUUUUAGGGUAUAUUCUAACAUGCAAUAUGUUUUUUUUUUGUUGGCCCACUGUCCCAGGCGGAGAACCUGUCAUGGACAUGGGUGAUUGCAGAAUUCAAUUGCAGCCUGACUCACGGAAAAGAAUAGUCAAAAAUUUUUUUUAUUUAUAUGAAAGAAAAGGAGAAGGGCAGAAGGUUAAUUAAAAUCAGCAGGAUUGCCAUGAGGCAACCUCAAGUAUCACGCACCUCUUUUUUUUUUCAUCUUUUCAUGUGUUUCUCACAAGAAGCAAACUUGAGGGAACAUAAAGUGCUGGGAAGUAAUUUUUGUUGGAAUUUCUUGUCUAAUCUCUUCUUUUGAUGAUGACCUCUUGGAUGGCUGCAUGAAGCUUGUUCCGCUUUAAAUUUCAAGGUUAAUCUAUUGCUAUGAGCAUACGUGUUUCAAUUUAAAACUCGAGUUGCAACUGAACUUAAAUAAAUGGUGUUGGAUUUGUGCUUUCUAUUUGUUUUAACUUCUACAGGGUUGAAAUGAUAGUGAUCUUAAACUAGAAAAGCAGCAGACAAAAAUCAAUUAGCCACAAUGGUGUAUGGUUUCUCAGCAUAAAGUUGAAAUGAUAGUGAUCUUAAACUAGAAAAGCAGCAGACAAAAAUCAAUUAGCCACAAUGGUGUAUGGUUUCUCAGCAUAAAGUUGAAUGUUUUGUUGACCUCUUUACAUCCAAAAUCAUAUAGACAGCUACUGCUAGCACUUGCAGUGGUCAAUGAAUACUGUAGAGUAUAUAUUGCAGUGUGAGAUAAGGUUAACUCAUUGCAUUUUCAGAUAUUGAAAGGAUUUCUCUUCUUUUCUUUGUCAAUUACAGGACAUGCAUCGAAGUGUUCUUACUGAGAGUAAAUGCUAUUGUAAUGUUUUCACAGAGACUCCCCUGCUUUGCAACUAAGUCACUAAUAUAUCUUGGAACAUAGCCAUAAAUGAAAGGUUCUUCCAGAUCAAGAAAAUUAACCAUGAAGCUCGUAGCUAGAAUUUUUAGACAGAAAGGUGGCCAAGUACGCUGUACCUCUGGAAUAAUACAGGGAAAGGAUGUCUAUGUAUUUUGAUGUCUUAUAUUACUUGACCAACUCUUGCUUAUCUCAUUAUUUGUUUUUACUUUUUGCUAAUGAUUCCACACAUUUCUGAUAUUGGUGUGGUUUAUGAGUUUAGGGUUCUCGUUGCUGCUAACUUCUCUAUACUUUGCCUGGUCAUUAAAAAUCAAACGUAAUGAUUUGCAUAUGCAGAAUGGAGACAUUAAAAAGACAUCUUCUAUUUUCUGGUGAGGAGGGAUUUCAGGAACUCAAGAAAUUUUCCAUACGUUUUGAGGAAAAGAUUUAUACUACCGCUAACAAUCAGGUAUUUGCCUAAUGCGAGGUUCAAUAAUUAUGAUAUUAUCUAGACAUGAAUAUACACACGCAUUUAUGCUUGUACAAAUGUGUGUGUAGUGUGCCUACACUUCCUCACCGUUCAUUCUGUAUGCAAGGUUGAUUGGGAGUUCACAUCAUUUUGUUAAUUCUCUUGACAAGUGUUUUAUUUAGAGUGACCAAGUUCAAGUACAAGGGAAGAAUGCAAAAAGCAAAUAACGAAUCAAUACAUAAAUAAUUAAAUAAAAAGAGAGGUAACAGAAGUAUAUCCUCAUAGAAGAUGAAAUGAUAGAGUAUAUAUCUAUUUUCCUCCUCUGGUAACAUGGAUUGCUCUGAGAUCUACUGUUUUGUUAUUAAUAUCUGAUUUCAAUCUGAUUAUUUGCAUAAAAUAUCUCUGGAGAUGCUUUCGAUGGAGACCAGGUCUCAAAAUGCCAUGCUCACUACACCUAUGGAUCCAGCAGGUAAUAAUGCAGCCGAGCAUUGAAUUUCUAAAUAUCUUACCUUUUGUUUUUCUUCUCGCAUUGCUAUCAAACUCUUUUACAUUUUAUUGCUGCAUAUUGCUAUGUAUAUCGCCUUGCUGGAAAAAUCUCAUGAUCACCUCCACGAUGAUAAUUUUGUAAUGCAUGUGAAGUGUUUCAUCCUUAACUUGUUAAGGAACAAGGACUGUGAUGCAUGGUAUUUUAUAUUUUAUGAUUGAGAUGGUAGAUUUUAAAGAUUUUCAUGUUAAGGAGAUAAGACGUCACUUUCUUGCUUUUCUUCCGAGAGAGUAUUUGAUCCUUUUUUCAUAUAAAAUAAUGCUGGCAUGCAUUGAAUUUCCAAACAUCUUACCUUUUGUUUUGUUUGUCGCAUUGUUAUCAAACUCUUUUACAUUUUGUUGCGGCAUAUUGCUAUGUGUAUGGCAUGCUUUAAUCAAAAAGUUGAGUAAUUGAUGAAUGUUAGGCAAGAAAAUUACAGAUUAUUUUUAUUUUCUACCUCCUCCUUCUCUUUCCCCCACCCCGAAAAUGGUCAUAUUAUUUUUUUUUUCAGCCACCUCUUCUUCCCCCAACCUUGAAAAUUGUUUAUAUUUGCUUUGGAAGCAUGGCAAACUUCACUGCCUCUCAGCUUAAGGAGAUUGCAGCAGGUCUCGAAGCUUCUGGGCAUCAGUUUAUUUGGGUAGUUAGAAGAAACAAAAAGAGUCAAGAAGACAAGGAAGAUUGUUUACCUCAAGGAUUUGAGGAAAGAAUGGAAGGCAAAAGGCUAUUAUCAGAGGAUGGGCACUCCAAGUUUUGAUUCUUGAUCAUGAAGCAAAAGGUGCAUUUGUGACUCAUUGAGGAUGGAACUCAACUCUUAAAGGCGUAAGGCAAAUAUUUGAUGAGCAAUUCUAUAAUGAAAAGUUGGUGACUGAUGUUUUAAAAACUGGAGUUAAGGAAUGGCUUAGAGUGCAUGGAGAUCAUGUUAAAAGUGAAGCUGUAGAGAACGCAAUCACUCAAAUUAUGAUGGGUGAAGAAGCAGAGGAAAUGAGGAGCAGAGCAAAGAAGCUUUCAGUGCUUUGAUUUAAUAACUGCAAAAAAUGAAAGGUUGUUGAAGAUGGUGGAUCUUCUUGCUCCGAUUUCAAUGCUUUGAUUGAAUAACUGAGGUGGGGUAGCCUUUGAAACAGAGGCAUAGAAUAUAUAUAUAUAUAUAUUUUAGCUUUUUUAGUUUAACGUGGGUGUUCGGGCCAGCUUGCGCGCACCUCGACUAAUCCCACGGGCCCUGAAGUUAACGACCAUGUAAGUCUCCAGUGGCCAUCAUAUGAGCAACCACAGGGCUCGAACCUGAGACCACAGAGGGAGCAAACCUUUUAGUCCCAAGCUCUUACCACUGGGCCACCACCUAGAUGGUUAAGGCAUAGAAUAUUUUGUUUCUACUUAGUAGUGGUUUUGGUAAUUUAUUUUCAGACAAGUCUUGAGAGUUGAAAGAGUAAUCACAGCCGAGUCAAUGACCAAUCCAAAUAAGUUCCCUUCCUAAUGGUUCAGGAAUGACAAGUCCAGCAUAUAUAUUUAGCCCAAAUAACUUUUCAAAUAAAAUGGCUGAGCUUAGAGACAGUACACUACAAAUUAAGCACCCAUUAGCUAGACAUACAGGACAAACAAUCAUCACAAACUAGAAACGACUGUCUUCCCAGUAACAAACUCACCUUCUCAAGUUGGAGAACUUGCGAAAACUAGCUACUACAAUAUAGUAGCAAGUAUCUAUGCAGUCUUCGAUGAAGUACGACCACCUGCGUCGCCAAUAUGGAUUGAUGUAAAGAACUGCUACAAUCAUAAUCACCACGACUGUGUAACUUACACCGAAAUUGAUGUAGAAAAACUCCAUGUCUAUGAAACCAUCAUCUCCUUGUUCAUCAUUAGGCACUGGUUGUGAUGGCAUUGGCUGUGAUGGCACUGGCUGUGAUGGCACUGCUUCUUCACUACAAUUGUUUUGCAAUGGAGGUCCACACAAGAAAGGAUUUCCUUCGUAACAGCUUUCAUCGAAGGUCCCAAACUGAUAUUUUCUCUCGGGUGUCUUACAUGACAAGUUAUUGUACGCCACACUAAAAACUUCCAGUGUGGUAAUUUCAGUAAGUUGUGGAGGGAUGACACCAUUCAAGUUGUUGUAAGAAAGAUCCAAACUCUCAAUCUGUUUUAGGUUUGAGAAUGUUGCUGGGAUAGAUCCAGUGAGAUUGUUGUGUGAUAAGUUUAAUGACAAUAUCUUACUUAAGUUUCCAAAUUCCGGUGGGAUUGCUCCUACGAAGUUGUUAUUGGAGAGAUCAAUACCAGACAUGUAGUUGAGAGUCUUCCCCUUGUAACCAUAAUACAUAUUUUUAGUUGUAAAUUCUAUCACUUCUUCUGUAAAGUUAAGCAGAAAACCCUUUCUCAAGUUGUACAUACUCUCCACUAGUGGUGGACCCAUUGUUUCAUAAUAAGCUUUUUCUAUGGACCUUGAUAGAACACCAGCUCCGAGAUCCGUGAAUGCUUUCUGGGAACUUUCCUUGAAAGUAAGAUUGCCCAAACAGGAGGGUAGUGGACUAGAGAGCUGGUUUUGUGAAACAUCCAAAAUGCUUAAAUGUUCUAACAAGCAUAAUUGAACAGGGAGCUCACCAUCAAAGUGAUUAGCCCUCAGAAGAAGAACACUCAAUGAUGAAAGAUUGCCAAUCCAAUUUGGAAUGGAGCCGGUGAAGCUGUUAUCUUGAAGAUCCAUCGUAACUAAGAAAGAGCUGUUAUAAAAUCUAUAUGUUAAUGGACCGCUCAAUCUAUUUUCGGAUAGAUGCAUAUGGAUUAGAGUUGAUGGACUGAAACAAGAUGGUAUAUAUCCAGACAAGUUGUUCUCUGAAAGGUUCAAAUAUUCAAGUUGAUCAAGCUUACAAAAGUCUCUUGGGAUCGGACCCUUAAAAUGGUUUUUGGACAAAUCAAUUGCUGCAAGAAUCGUAGAAUUAAGAAAGCUCCUUGGAAGCAUGCCUGAAAAUUGAUUGUUACUCAAAUCCAAUACAAUCCACAUUUUCCACCUAUAUAAUGAAAAAUCUGAUAUCUGACCCCAAAAGUUGUUACCACCUAGAUAGAGAUAUUCUAAGGUAGAAGAAUUGAACAACGAGGUCGGUAAUUGCCCACCCAAAUUGUUGUUUGACAGCUUGAGAAACCAUAUUGUUGUUAGUUGUUCUAGUUUUACUGUGGACAAUUGAUUGUUGGAUAAAUCUAAAAUUCCCAAAGAGCUAAUAUUUCCUAAACAAGAAGGAAUACAACCUGUGAAUCCAUUCUUAGCCAUCCUUAAGCUCUUCAGAUUUUGAAAGAUCAAACAAAUAUCCUUUGGAAUUUGACCGCUCAUGUUGUUGUUGGAUAUAUCUAAUUCGGUCAUAUUUAGAUAUGGGUGAUUUGGCAACUGCAAAGUACCAACAAAGGAGUUCUCACUCAAAUAUAGUUGCUCCAAUCGUGUAUUGUUCUUAAGCAACCACGAUGGAAACAUUCCGGUGAUGUUGUUGUGGGAGAGAUCAAGGACUCUUAAGUCGUAUUGGUAAUAGAGGAAGUUGGGAAUCUCUACAUUGACUGCUUCUAUUGUUUUUGACAAACUAAAAAAGACUAGUUGGAACUUUGGAAUCAAAUGAUCAAAGGCAGCAGGUUCUGUUACUAGUCUAUUGUUCUCAUUGCAGAAGAACUUGAGGCUUGAGUGGUUCAUAAAAGGCUUCAUUGAAAUGGGAACUUCAAAGAGGUUAUUUGAUAGUGAGAGGAAUUCAAGAGAUGUGAGGUUGGUAAGAGGACCAGAGGCAAUAUUUCCAGUAAACUGGUUUUUAGAAACAUCUAAUAGUUGUAGAGAUGACAAGUUUCCUAAACAAUCUGGGAGUGAACCUUCUAAAUUAUUUCCAAAGAGAUCUAACUGCUUCAGAUUCUUCAAUUCACACCAACCUGUAUAAUUUAUCUCGAAACAGUCAAAAUAGCUAAAUAAUUAAAAGAUUACCAUAGAAGAGGAUGGAGUGUUGUUAAUUUACCUUGAGCGGGUAGGGUGCCAUGGAGGUCACAUCCACCAACAGACAAAACCUUAAGAGCAGGCAAUGCUCCAAUGUUCUGGAGAAAGUUUACUGGGAGAGAAGUACGAUCUAGAUUCAAUUCUUCAAGAGUGCUAGAAUUGAAGAAAGUCCCUGUGAAAAAGAAAGAAGAAGAGAUAUGAAGAAAAUAAUGGUGGUACAGAAUAGCCAUUCCAUUCAAUAUUAUUAAUUAAUAUUUUAAGAAACUAAACUAUGAUUAACCUUGACUUAAAUUAGUAUCCUUGAGAGAAAGGGUCUUCAGGGAUGGCAAUGACUGCAGGAAGUCCAGCUUCCUUAAACCUAUGAUGUGUAGAAUUGAAAACAGGCAAUCAAGUAAGUAGUGAAAUUAAGCGUUAUCUUGAUCGAGUUUUUAAACCUAUGAUAAAAAACUGAUAUUGAAUAUACUUUUAUAAUGAUAUGAUUUUUGGAUAGAAACAACAAAUUGCCUGAAAAAUCCAGAGAUUUCAAAAGGUAUUGUUAAAAAAUGAAGUAAAUAAUAUUCACAACUUUACCAUUGACAGUCGUCGAUCCUAGCAACAUAUUGCCUGAUAAAUUUAAAGACUUGAGAUAAGAAAAUCCACGCAGAUGUGAUAAAAUGCUGUCGUUGAAUAUAUUAUAGCUCAAGUCCAGGUUCUCGAGUUUCCCUAAAUGUGAUGAUAUGAUCUCAAAACCUGCAAGAGUAAGUCAUCAUGAGCUCACGAUAUGCAUAAUAUAUAGAAACUAAAGAUAAUUAGAAUUGAUGAGAUGCUGUUGUUCAAUUGAUAUAUGAUUCUCAAAUUAUACAUAAAAAUAAUGAUACAUGAACGCAUAUGUCAUUAUAUAACAGGUUGUGCACACUUCAAAGAUUAAGAAACAAUUUUUAAUCAUUCUAAUUUUGAUCUUAUUGGAAAAAAAAAAAAAAUUUAUGGAUAUAAAGUCGUUAAAGAUGGAAACUAAGUCAAACAUGAUAAAUGCUAUCAUUAAAUUGAUCAUUACAUAGAUAUAAAGUACUUAUUUUUUAUGAUAAUGCAUGUAACGAGUAUUAUUGAUUAUUGUUCUUGUUUUAAUUACCGAUGAGAAAUUUUGAACAAUCAUUUGAUUUUAUUAGUUUUGAAUAAUAUAAUAUUUUUGAAGAUUAUAAAAUGUUAUGUAUUUUUAAAUAACUUGUUUUUUUGAUAUGUUUGUUAUGAGGCUUAGCGUAGGUGGGGUGUCCUUUCGAUACAGCUCCUGCGUUGCCAGUAAUAAACUUGAGACUCGAGUGGUGACAAAAUUGAUCUUUACAUGGAUAUAAAGUUCUCAUUUUUGUUGAUAAAGAAACAAUAUAAUUAAGAGAAUGUCAUGUGAAGCAUUUAGGUAGAAACUGUGUAUUAUACCUGAUCCUGUCAGCUGAUUGCCUGAUAGAUCCAAAGACUUGAGGGAUGAAAAUCCAGUUAGAGAUGGAAAAAUGCUGCUGUUCAACUUAUUAAACGAUAGAUCCAAAGACUUGAUCAGGGAUGAAAGCCCACUCAGAAUUGAUAAGAUGCUGCUGUUCAAUUGAUUGAAACUCAGGUCAAGGUUCUCUAACUUUCCCAGCCUCAUCGGUUGGAGUUGAAAACCUACAAGAUAUACAUAAAAAAAAAUAUACAGUGCAUAGAUUAAGGAAGAAGAUAGAUUGCAAGUAUCCAUUCUAUACAUGUAAUUUUUAAUCAUCCUAGUUUUGAUCAAGUUGUGUCUUAUUAGAAAAACAAUUUAUGGAUAAGAUCAAAGCCCCAUAGAUAUAAAUCUUCAUUGAUGAAAGCUAGCGCAAUCAAACAUGAUGAAAUGCUAUCGUUGAUUAAUUAUUAAAUAAAUAUAAAGUCCUCAAUUUUCUUGAUAAAGAAACCGUAUAAAAGAAUGUCACGUAAAGCAGUUAGGUAGAAAUUAUAUAUAACUUACUAUUGAUACCAGCAGAUCCUGUCAACUCAUUAUAUGAUAGAUCCAAAGACUUGAGAGAUGAAAAUCCAGUUAGAGAUAGAAAAAUGCUAUCGUUGUAUUGAUUCCCACUCAGAUAUAGUUUCUCCAGCUUUUUCAACCUUGAUGACAAGACUUUGAAACCUGCAUGAUUUUUCUCAAAAAACAUAGAAAUGAUAUGAGAAGGAGAAAAGAAAAGGUUUUGAAGCUAAAUAAUUAUAAGGUUACCAUAGAAGCUACCUCCUGAUCCAGCUGUCAACCCAUUGUCUGAUAGAUCUAAAGACUUGAGAGCGGAAAGCCCAUUGAAACAUGACAAAAUGCUUUUAUCAUUAUUAAAUCGGUUUUCACUUAGGUCAAGUUUCCUCAGUUUUGAUGAUAGGACUCCGAAGCCUGGAAGAGAAACAUCAAAGCAAGAUAAUUGACAUUAAACACCAACCAACCAACCUUCAUUUAUUUUAUUAUUAUAAUUAAGUGCACAAACAUUGAACUAACCUUCAUUCUCCAAGCAACCAACCAAUCCAUUAUAUCCCAAAUCAAGACUUUGCAAUUCUUUGAAAGGCUGAAACAAAGAUGCGUUGAGAACCCAAUCGCCCAAGCUCUCAUCCCUUUCUCCACUAAGAGAGAGUUGGAUCACUCGCCUUGUAGUGUGAUCACACUCGAUCUCAGGCCACUCACAACAAUUACUACUGUCCACCCAAUGUCUCAAGGAAAUGCCAUCUGGGUCGAUCAAAGAUUGGAUCUCCAAGAGACCAAUUCUCUCUUCCUCCAAACACCCAUAACAACGACCAGACCAUUCGCCAACCAAAGUGAAUAAUGCUAGCAACAUCCAAGCCCCCAUUCUUUUCAACAUCAUCGUAGAUAAUUCUAUGAACUACUACGUAGAAUAUUAUUGUUUGUUAUGUGCCUUUGGGCAACCAUAGAGGUCCUAUUUAUACUACACUGGCCAUUUCCAUGACUUUGAGAUGUUUUCUUUAUUUAAUUUCCACGACUUUAUCUGCAUAUCUUGUGCAGGUUCCGUGUUUUGAGAUUUGAAUAUUAUUUUAUUUCUUUUUGGAAUGUUCUUGGAUUUAAAUAUUAUUUUAUUUUAUUAUUUAGCACUUAUUCUAUUUGCAUUUAAUUAUAUUUUGGUUACUAAUUAUUCAAUUUAUAAAAAAAAUAAAAUAAAAAAAUUGUUGCAGUACUUCAACAUCGACAUUCGUGUGUGAUUCCACAUAAGAUCUUUUCAACUUUAUAAUUGUACUUCUCUCGUUAAAUACAUAAAUUAUCAAUAAUAAUAAACUCGAAAUAAUUAUAAAUCUUAUCCCUGUGGAUUGUGUGGGUACAGUAUUAUAUACAAAAACUUCAAAUACAUAAUAUAUAUAAGUCAGAAAUAUUUUUGUUUUUAUGGACUUGUUUUUAUUACAUUUCAAUAUUAAAUAUAUUUUUUUCAAUCGAGUCAAAGAUAUACCAUUUAUAUUAGAAUGAGAAGACUAAUCAAUUUCUCUAAUUUCUCUAGUUUUCUCCCUAAUUAUAAAAUACAUCUGGUUUUUCAAGUCCAGAUUUUAAGAUAAAAGGAAUUUAUUUCUUGAAAGUAAUGCAUUAAACAAUAUAAAAAAAAUUUAAAAAAUUUAAAAUAGUAGUAAAAGUAGUUUUUGAUUGAAGUGUAAACUAGUGGUAAAUGAACAAAAAGAAACUUUAUUGAUUAUCUAAUGAGUUACUUCUCCAGAAAGAAUAUAUACAAUAUUAUUGAUUAUCUAAUGGAAACUCCGCCUAACACACACACACACACACACACACACACACACACAUAUAUAUAUAUAUAUAUAUAUAUAUAUAUAUAUAUAUAAGUUAGAGACACUUUUUGUUUUUAUGUUCGGAAAAGUGUUCUUUACUUGUUUUUAUUACAUUUCAAUAUUAAAUAUAUUUUUUUCAAUCGAGUCAAAGAUAUACCAUUUAUAUUAGAUUGAGAAGACUAAUCAAUUUCUCUAGUUUUCUCCCUAAUGUAUAAAUUUCUCUAGUUUUCUCCCUAAUUAUAAAAUACAUCUGGUUUUUCAAGUCCAGAUUUUAGGAUAAAAAGAAUUUAUUUCUUGAAAUUAAUGCAUAAAACAAUAUAAAAAUAUUUUUAAUAAAUUAAAAUAGUAGUAAAAGUAAAUUUAGUUUUUGAUUGAAGUGUAAACUAGUGGUAAAUGAACAAAAAGAAACUUUAUUGAUUAUCUAAUGAGUUACUUCUCCAAAAAGAAUAUAUAUAUUAUUGAAUAUCUAAUGGAAAGGAUUCAUGAAACUCCGCCAUAUAUAUAUAUAAAAGAGAAAUUGUCGAUAAUAGCAAUCAUUUUCUUAUCUCUUGUAUCAUUCAUAUCUUCCACAAAUCUUAAGUAAUUGAUGAGACAGUGGAUAUUGCCAAGAAAGGUCGUGAACGCGGAUGCUUGACGAUUAUGAUUUUUAAACACAACCAUAUAGUGAUUUCCUUAUGCAUACUGGUGAUCCUCCAGAAUCUUGUAGGAACACCACAAGCCAAUCUAAAAGAAUGCUAAAAGUCAAAACACACAAGCCAUAUAAAAAUCACACGACAGCCAAUUACCUUAUCUUUUGAAAGAAAGAUAAUAAUAAUAAUAAUAAUAAUAAUAAUAAUAAUAAAAGCAUUCUCCUGGGUGUGCAAUGACCGCCAAUCUUUCUCAUUAUGACAUUCAAUGCUCAGUUAGAAGUUGCACGAUGCUCUUCUCAUGGGGAGCAAAAAUCAGUAGCCUCCCAUGGAAUCCUCAUAAACCUUUCUCUAUGCUCUUCUAAGAUAUUAAAAAUGUCAAACAUACAUCAAUAAUAAAAAGACAUUAAAAAUGUCAAACAUACAUCUAAGAUAUUACGCAAAACGAGGUUUUUUUCUGCAAAAAAAUAAAAAUAGAAUGUUAUACAAAUGGAGCUUCCAACAAAAAAGAUAUGGGAAGUUCGAGGAAAAAAAUGAUUAGUUAAUUCAAAACACCAGCAGUAAGUAAUAAUUACAAAACACGAUACCGAAACCAAAUUGAAAAGUGAGCAAGAAUACAAAAAUGGUUACAUGUAUCAAAAGGAACUGGUACCAAUUUCUCCACCACUGUAUGUCCCUUUUGUUCAGUCUAUGUUUGGUGCAAUCACCUAAAGCUAGAAACAAAAACAGCGCCUUACUCUACAAGUAGCUCAUCAAAGUAUAUGUUGUAAAUUGCAAACACGUGCUAACAAUAAAUUGUGGCCAGAGGAUUUGCUUCGAUCCCAGAGGCCAUUGAGGAUAUUCGUCAAGGAAAGGCUCAUGCACCCUCUUGAUUUGAUGAUUCUUUGCAUUUAGUUAUUGUUGUUGAUGAUGAACAAAUUAAGAGAAAAUGAGGGGGGCCUUAUAAUGGCAGCGUCAAAGGCAACACCAGAAGCUAUGGCAUUUAUUGUCAAGCAUGGGACUGGUAUAGUGUGUGUGAGCUUCCAUUAAUGGUAACUCAUAAGGAGAAUGAGGAAAACUGUGCACUGCAUUUACUGUAUCAGUGGUACGUCAUUAACUUCUCCAUUUAUAUUAUCUAAUGGAUAUGAUCUUUUCAAGAAACCUUUAUCUUGGUUUGAUUUUAAAGUGCUAAUUUAAUUGCGGAUUCUGUCCCAGAUGAGGUCCGGUUUCCUGAAAUCAAAGAUGUCUACACUGUCCCGUGGACUUAUAGUUCAGUUGCUCAAUCAGAACUGAUGACAUCUGCACAUUCGGCGACUCCAGCAUUAAUUGUGGCCUUGACAGAUUGUGAGAGGCCAGAUGGGAUGGAUUAGAUGCGUCUGAGUUUGUUGGAGAGGAAGACUUGCAGAAUAAUUUUGAGGGAGUGGGUGGCAGUUCGAUGGAGCGGUUCCUGUUGGUGCAACGCCGAACACAUGCCACGCAGGAUAUAUAGAAAUGCUAGUCAGCUUAUGAAAUCCGAGGUUGAUACGAUACUUAUCUUCAUAGAUUGUGAAUGUUGUUCUUUUUUCUACAAACGAUCCGUUAUGCAAAGCAAAUUCCAAGACCAGAAAAAUAAUGUUUAGAGUUAAAAGACAAUGUCUUAGCAGCAAGGACCUAUUCCAUCAGGAGAUAUGUGAAUUCUCAAGCCUUUGCAAUGCUUUUAAAUUAAUGAAGGAUCAAAAUGAAAAUGUUAUAUUCAUAACUAUACUGCAAUUUUGCCCAUAAUUCUUCUUUAAUUCUGUCCAGAAUCUUGGAUUAUGCUCCAGGGACCAAUCUGGAAUUUUAGUAGAUUUUUAAGGGUCAAAUUGUAAUUUUAUCAAAUUGAAGGACCAAAAUAAAAAUGUCAUAGAUUCAUAACUAUACUGGAAUUUUGCUUGUAAUUCAUCUUUAGUUCUGUCCAGAAUCUAGGAUUAUGCUUCAGGGAUCAAUCUGUAAUUUUUUCAAAGUUUGGGGAUUAACUUAAAUUUUCACAAAUUGAGGGACCAAAUUGAAAUUUUAUUAUCUUCAACCUCAAACCCAGAUUUUUCAUAGAUCACCUACUGAUAUAUCAAGAUUUCGAACUCAAAUUCAUCAUUUAAACAAACUAUAACUCAAAAUCAUCAUUUUUACCUAAAAUUUUCAAAAAUCAACUAAAUAACUCAUUACCCAUAACAGUCAUUCCGCUAAAUUAUUUCUACUUCUGCUUCUUCUUCUUCUUUUUUAUAAUACUCGAGUAUUAUUAUAGAAAGAUGCUUGAGCCAAAAUUAGAGGCUAUCUAGCAUAAAAGAAAAACAGAGGUAUAUACAGGACAGAGAGGAAGUAAUAACAUUAUAUAUAUAUAUAUAUAUAUAUAUAAAACUUGAGUUAACCCGUCAAGUCUAUGACCUGGAUUAUGAGAUCGGGAUAAGCAAACUCAAUAUUAAAAAAUAAAAUUGAAAAAAAAACAAUAAAAACAUAUAUGGUUUAACAAUAUUAAUCAAUUAUUAAAAUAUUUCAUUUUAUAUAUAUUAAAAAUAUAUAUUAAUAACUAUUAUAUCAGUUUGUGAAUGUUUCAAUUUGGAUGCAAAUAGAUGUUUAAUUAUCUAUGACAUUUUUUUUAAGAAACCAAAGUUAUUAAAUAUGGUUAGAUUUAAUACCUAGAUAAGGGUUUAGGUCAUAGAUUGGCUUAAUACUCGGAUCAAGAUUUGAAUUAUAGAUCGAACAAGUUAGCUUAUUGAUUGAUGUUAAUAAAAAAUUGUAUCAUUUUAAGAUUAUUUUUUAGUAAAAACCAAAAUCAAGUAGUUAAAAAAAGUGAAAGUAGUUUUUGAUAGGGUUGACUAGGUUGUAAGUUGAUUUAUCUAGUCGAUUAGGCUUGAUUGAGUCAACUCUCACUUGGUUUUUUUUAAAUCUAAAUCGGGUCAGGUUCCAGAUUAAAAUGUUAGGCUUGAAUUAAAUUUAAUAACGCUGAUUAAAAUCACAUUGUAGAAAAAAAAUGAAUUGCAUAAAAGUAAUUAACCAAAAACUUGUAUUCCUUCUUAUAAAGUUGAACCCAUGUCAGUUUCUUUUUUGGAAAAAUAUAAAUCAAAGGUUAACGCUACUUUCAUGACGAUGACGGAUAAAGAAGACUUGCUCCUUUCUUUAUGGAAAUAACGUGUGGAAAAUCAUGCCUUAAUUUUGAUGGUGAUGGCCAAAUCAAACAGUAUCGUUGAUAAAAUGAACCACAAAUGAUAUUAUUUCUACAAGACUUCUUGUCAUUGUCAUGACAAUAAGUCUUCUCCUUUUUCUUUCUAAAGAGUCUAUUUUUUGUAACACAAUCAACAAGUAAGAUGGAUAGAAAUUUGCAGUGUGAGAUGGGUCUGUGAGACUAUAUAUUGCCAUUUGUAUUUUUUUCAUGAUAAAGGCUAAUUGGAUGGUCCUAUCAAGCGUUUUUUUUACGAGAUGGGUCCAUAAAAACAUUUCCAUCUACACAUUGAUCCCUGAAACCUUUGCCAUAAUGCAUUUUUUCCACGAGAUGGGUUCGUGGAAAUACUUUGGUUUAAUAGGGAAUGCUGUUAUUGAUUGGAAACUUUUUAAUUAAAAUAAAUUUGAUUAUUUGAUUGGAAGAAAUCCUUAAAUGUUAUUAACACAAAGAAAUCAAUUUAUUUUCUUAAGAAAAAAAUAUUGUAACCAUAUAAGUAAUUUAUUUAUUUAUUUUAAUGAAAUAUAAAAUAGUUUUAAAUCUUGUGGUAUAUUUCUUGUCUUUAAGAGCUAUGAACUUAUAUCUCAAAACUUGAAAACUAAUAUAAAGAUAUUAAGUGAUCAUUGAGUGUAUGUGUGUGUGUAUAAUCUUUUUCAAAACAAAAAGGAUUUUGAUGGAGAGGACAUUGCAGCAAAUUAUCCACGAGAUGGGUCGGUGAUACCAUUGUCAUCAUGUAAUUUUUCCCACGAGAUGGGGCCGUACGCUUGGGGCUCUAAAAGCUAUGGUUUUUAAUUUCAUUAUGUUACAUAUCUAGAAUGGGAGGUAUAUUUUAUUUCAAUUCUAAAAAUGAAAUAAAUUAGAAGAUAUUUCAUCUUGUUUAGAAUAUUAUCUCCUUACAUGCAUGAAUUUCACAUAAAUUUUGACCAGAAUAUUUCGGUUCUAUUCCGGCCAUUCUAUUAUGUCCAAAUAAUGUUUUGUUUUGCUUUUAUAUAUAUAAAAAAUAUAAUUUAUUUUUAUGAUAUCAAUUAUACAUUUCAAUUCGACUAUUGGAUUAAACUGAAAUUUUAUAAUCUCCUAAUAUGUAUUAUAUCACAAGUUAAAAUUUUAGAUCAAUCAGAGUUUAGAAAGACUUUGUGAAAUUACUGUUGAUAUAUUUUCAUAAUUUUAUUUAAAUUCAUAAUUUUAUUUUGAAAUGUUUUAUUUUUUGUGGUUUUUUAGAUUGAUUUUUUUUCAUUUUAUAAUUUAACAAUAAAUUUAUUAAAAAUUAAAAUUCAUAAUUUAUUUUUAUUUAUUUUAUUUAAAAUUAUUAUAUUAUCAUUACUCAGAUCACGAAAAAAAAACCUUUGCUUUAAUUGGGAAUGCUGUUACAAGUAAUUGGACUCCGUGGGAUGGGAGACCGUUGCCAUCAUGCAUGUUUUUUCCACGGCAUGGGUCCGUAAAGUCCUCUAUAAAAGCUUAAACCUCCUUACUAUCCUCUAUAUCAAUUGAUCAGCAUUUAUAAGAUGGGGCUGUCUGUUCCUUCUGAUGUUGAUGGUUUUAGUAAUGAUGGUUUCUUGCAAGGAUGGCUGCCUCUUGGAGUAUAUUGACUUGAGAAUUAAUUGUUUUGAUAACAGUAUUUUAUUAUUUGUGGAGUUAUUUCUAUUUUUUAAAUUAUUAUAUUUAGAUUAUAAUAGAGUGAAAGAGUUAAUAGGUUUAAGAGAUUAGGAAAAAGCUACUAUUAAUUAUAGUUAGGGACCAAACUGGAAUUUUUGCACAUUUUUAAGGGUCAAAUUGUAAUUUUAUUAAAUUGAUGAAGGACCAAAAUGAAAAUAUCAUAUUUAUAACUAUACUGUAAUUUUGCCCAUAUUUCUUCUGUAAUUUUGCCUAGAAUCUCGGAUUAUGCUCUAGGGACCAAUCUGUAAUUUUUUUCAAAGUUUGGGGAUUAAACUGAAAUUUUCAUAAAUUGAGGUACCAAACUGAAAUUUUUUCAUCUUCAACAUCAAACCCAGAUUUUUCACAAAUCACCUAUUGAUAUAUCAAGAUUUUUAACUAGAUGAGGGUUUAGGUCAUAGAUUGGCCUAAUACUCGGAUCAAGAUUUGAGUCAAGUUAGCUUAUUGACUAGUGUUAAUAAAAAAUUAUAUUAUUUUAAGAUUUAAUUUAAUUAAAUAGAUCCAACUACCAUGCAAUUCCACAAUUAAUUUAUUUUAUUAUGAUUUAGUGUUAUGUUAACCAGGCAACAUUUAAUUACCAUGAUAUAAAAUACAAAAAUAGUGGGAACAUAAAAAAACAUGCUUUUAUAUAUUUUUUAUUUUAAAAGUAUAAAUUUUACUUUAAGACUAUUGUAAAAAGAUAUUUAUUUUAAAUUUAUUUAUAUUUUUAUAAUUCAAAAAUUAAAAAUAAAACAGAAUUAAUCCAUACUCAUCUAAAAACAAUUAACUCUAACAUCAUUAUUUUAUAACAAAACUAGCAAAGAUAAUUUAUUAAUCACUAAGUUUUCUGGUUAUAAAUACAUUAGUAAGUGUCUUUGUCUCUUUUGUAUUUCUAACUAUUAACGAAUUGAAAGAAUAAAUUUAGAAUCACCAAUUAAGCAGUGAAUCACACGGGAAGAUUGAAAGAAUAAUUAAAGUGAUUAUACUAACCGACAAGUCGACCCCAAGUCAAAGUCUUCUGUGGAAAAACAUGAAUAAAAGGUGGACGCUGGGCAGCUCACUUUCCAUGAAGAUGAUGGAUACAGAGCCCUCCCUUCUAUCUUUAUGGAAAUCACGUCUAGAAAAUCAUGCUUUAAUUUUAAGCUUGAGAGGGGAUGAUAUAUAUAUAUAUAUAUAUAUAUAUAUAUAUAUAUAUAUAUAUAUAUAUAUAUAUAUGCUUUAAUUUCAACUUGUAUAAAAAAUAAAUCUUAAUGACUGGUGAUUUAAACUUGGGUGUUUUUUCGGUAUUAAUAUAUAUAUUCCUCAAUUAUCAUAAAGAAUUAAGAAAAAACUAAUAAUAAGAUUAAAAUAAAUGUUUUAUAUAUCGAAAUAAUUAAAAGUAAGGUUUACUUAAGGUAUAUAUGGGAUUAAUUUAAAAUAACAAUAAAAUCAAUUUAUUAAAAAAAAUCAUAAAUUUAGUUUUCCUAAAUUUUAAAUGUAGUGUGAAUGCAUUCCGCAAGAAAAAAACAGUGCAAAAUUAGCCUUUCAAGAAAUAGAGAAUCUUCCUCUUUGAAGGAAUUAAUUAGUGGGUUGGAAAAAUGUCGUCUUCUGCUCUAAUAUUUUCUUCACUUUCUCUAUAGUUUUACCUUACACCAAUAUUGUCAGAAAAUGAUACAAUAUACUUCUUGUGUUAUCCUUCAAGAUUUCAAUUGAAAAUUAAGGAGGGUCGUAAAAAAUUUAAUUUUUAUAAACAUAUCCUUAACUCUGUAUCUUCUCUAGAUAUGUCUGUGACUGAGCUCCAUAAAGAAUUCCUAUUUAACAUUAAUCUGUCCAUCAAGUUUUUGAUCCCCGAUUAAGGCCAUCUUGAUAAAUGAGAUUUUACUCUGUAAUUUUAAUGUAUAGCUGUCAAUGACCUGAAACAUGCAAAUUAAAAUUCAAAGUGUGAGCAUUGAAUUUCUUGUCAGUUUACACCCUUCUGUGGUGUUUCCUCUUUCCAUUGAUUGAAGAGCGUCCAAGAGGAAAAACUGAAAAGGCAAAAGUUCUAUUGUACAGUGAAAAAGAGCAUGAGAAAUACACAGAAGCAGAGAUGCAUGAAUCCUUCUCCACUAGCAGCUCUCGUCCAUAGGAUCAUUGUGGUUUCAAGAUUGAUGCCCAAUCAUUUCCCUCUUUGUUCGAUUCCUCAGACCUUUUGGAAACUGUACAUUCCGGGGGAAAGUCUGUGCAAGGGCAAAAGGCGACGGUGGACUUGACAAAGGGCUGAGGGGUGGGUGAGAUGUUAUGUCAAGAAAUGAUUUUGGAAAAUUUCUUCAUAUGUGUUGAAUAACUAAGAUAAGAUAGGAGUCUUGAACAAGGCAAAAGCAUAGGCUCUCCAAGACGAUUGACCAGAAGGAGAGAAGGAAGGCUCUAUAUCCUUAGCACGUCAAACACUCCUUUGCACAUUAGAGAAAUUGUCGAGUUAUUCCUGCUUCUUCUUCUUCUUCCUUUUUUUUUUUUUUAUUUAUAAUAGUCCAGUAUUAUUAUAGAAAGGUGCUCGAGCCAAAAUUAGAGACUAGCUAGCAUAAAAGAAAAACAUAGGACAAUAUAUACAAGACAGGGGAGGAAGUAAUAACAUAACAUAAUAUAUAUAUAUAUAUAUAUAUAUAUAUAUAUAUAUAUAUAUAUAUAUAUAUAUAUUAAAAAAAACUUGAGUUAACGCAUCAACUCAACGACCCGAAUCAUGAGAUCAGGAUAAGCAAACUCAAUAUUAAAAGAUGAAAUUUAAAAAAAAAACCUUAAAAACAUAUAUGGUUUAACAAUAUUAAUUAAUUAUUAAAAUCUUUCAUUUUAUAUAUAUUAAAAAUAAAUAUUAAUAACUAUUAUAUCAAUUUGUGAAUGUUUCAAUUUGAAUGCGAACAAAUGUUUUAUAUAUGACAUUUUUCUUAAGAAUGUCUCUUUCAUUAAAACCAAAAUUAUUUAACAUGAUUAGAUUUAAUACCCUGAGAGUUUAGGUCAUAGAUUGGCCUAAUACUCGGAUAAGAUUGAGAUCAUAUAUCAGACAAGUUAGCUUAUGUUGAAUGGUGUUAAUCUAAAAUUGUAUUAUUUUAAGAUUUUUUUUAGAAAAAAUCAAAAUUGCGUAGUUAAAAAAAAUAAAACUAGUUUUUGACUGAAUUAACUAGGUUGUGGGUUGAUUUAUUUAGUCGAUUAGGCUUGGUUGGGUCAGCUCUCACUUAGUUUUUUCUAAACCUGAAUUGGGUUAGGUUCCAGAUUAAAAUGUUAGGCUUGAAUUAAAUUUAAUAAUGCUGAUUAAAACCACAUUGUAGAAAAAAAAUUAAAUUGCAUAAAAGUAAUUAACCGAAAACUUGUAUUCCUUCUUGUAAAGCUGAACCCGUGUCAGUUUUAUUGAAGGAAAACUAUGAACCAAAGGUUAAUGCUACUUUCAUGACGAGAAGACUUGCUACUUUCUUUAUGGAAAUAACGUGUGGAAAAUCAUGCCUUAAUUUUGAUGGCGAUGGUAAAAUCAAAGAGUAUCGUUGAUAAUUAAAUGCUUAUGCAUAAAAAAUAAAUCUCAAGUGUUAGAAUGCAACCACUGAUUAAUUAAUGGACAACGGACCUUGGAUUAAUACAUGACGCAACUUUCAAUGGAAUUAUAUUUGUGGAGGUAUUUACUCGGAUGUGAAUUAUAUUUUUAUUUUUUUAUUUUAAAAAAAAUUCUAUAUACUACAACUAGCUUAAGAAAGUCAAAAAAAUUUAAGUGAAAAAAAAUAUAUAUAUAUUUAUAUACACUCACGCACACACAAAAAUAUAGUCAAAUAAAUCAAGAACUAUGUGUGUUAAUAAGUGGAAAAAAAAACCUUAAACGAUAACUCAAAAUAAAAACUAGAAAAAUCAAGAGACAAGUGUAUAUCAAGAUAUUUAAUUUCACAUGACGUGACAUUUUUUUUUUUGGAUUCGACGAAACCUCACCCCUCCGAAAAGCACACUUUGUGGGCCCAGGUGAGGGAGUAAAACCCCGGCUGUCCCAGGCUCUUACAAAAGGUGCACGCCCUGACUCGAACUCGAGACCUGCUGUGCAGAUCUCAAACCCUUUGCCAUCACGCUACGCCCCUUGGGGACAACGUGACAUUUACGCAGUAUUGUUUUCUAAAUUUUCUAAUUAAAAUAAUUUUUUAUUUGAUCAAACGAUAAUAUAAACAGACACACACAUUCUAAAUUGAUUGAAUAAAAAAAAAAUAUAUGCAAAGCUGUAUAUAUUAAAAAUAUUAUUUGAAAAUAAUUUGUUUUUCAAAAAUAAAGUUCAUCUAUGUAAAAGAUUUUAAAAAAAUAUAGAUUAAUCAAAAAAACCUCUUUAAAAAUUAAAUUCAUGAUUAAAAAAUAAUCAUCAUUUCAAAUAGGCUUUUUAAAUAACUAAAAAGAGAGAAGGGAUAUUAAUAUAAAUAUAAAUAUAACUAAAAUUAAGAUUAUUUUAAAAAAAUAGAUAAAAAAAAUUUUAAGCGAAAAAAAGUGAACAGACACGGUGAACUUAACUCAUAAACUCAACUGAAUUUAAUAUUUUUUUCGUUAAAUUUAUUAUAAAUAUAAAAAAAAACAAAAUUAAUAUCAUUCACGGUAAAACAUAAAUAAAAAACAGUACAACCGCAUAGUAUUCACCUCAGGCAUUUUCUUUUAAAUUUAUAGCCAAACCUUAAAAAUAAACUUUUGUGCUCAGUAUCUUUUUAAGGUGAAUUAACAAGUUUCAACUCAUCUCUGUAUCUUCUCUAGAUACAGAGAAUUCCUAUUUAACAUUAAUCUGUCCAUCAAGUUUUUGAUUCCCAAUUAAGACCAUCUUGAUAAAUGAGAAUUUACUCCGUAAUUUUAUUGUAUAGCUGUCAAUGACCUGAAACAUGCAAAUUAAAAUUCAAAGUGUGAGCAUUCAAUUUCUUGUCAGUUUACACCUUUCUGUGGUGUUCCCUCUUUCCAUUGAUUGAAGAGCGUCUAAGAGGAAAAACUGAAAAGGCAAAAGUUAUGUUGUACAGUGAAAAAGAGCAUGAUCAGAAAUACACAAAAACAGAGAUGAAUGAAUCCUUCUCCACUAGCGCUCUCGUCCAUCGGAUCAUUGUGGUUUCAAGACCGAUGCCCAAUCAUUGCCCUCUUUGUUCGAUUCCUCAGACCUUUUGGAAACUGUACAUUCCGGGGGAAAGUCUGUGCAAGGGCAAAAGGGGACGGUGGACUUGACAAAGGGCUGAGGGGUGGGUGAGAUGUUAUGUCAAGAAAUGAUUUUGGAAAAUUUCUUCAUAUGUGUUGAAUAACUAAGAUAAGAUAGGAGUCUUGAACAAGGCAAGAACAUAGGCUCUCCAAGACAAUUGACCAGAAGGAGAGAAGGAAGGCUCUAUAUCCUUAGCACGUCAAACACUCCUUUGCACAUUAGGGAAAUUGUCGAGUUAUUUCUGCUUCUGCUUCUGCUUCUUCUUCUUUUUAUAAUAGUCGAGUAUUAUUAUAGAAAGGUGCUAGAGCCAAAAUUAGAGGCUAGCUAGCAUAAAAGAAAAACAAUGAUUAAUUGCAAGAGAUGGUUACUUAUACCAGUAGCAAUUUAGUAAUGAUUAAUUAGCAUUUAUAUUAAGAUGUGGCUAUUAAUUCAAAUGUUAACAAUGAUUUUCUUGGAAGGAUGAUUGCCUCUUGGUUACUUUAAAAUAUACGGUUUUUUUAGUUCAAAUCUAUUAAUAAAAAUAUAGUUUUAUUGAAUUUUUUUAUAUACUUUUAUUAGAGAAAUUAAUUUAAACACAUUUAUAUACAGACACUAGUUUAUCAAGUACUUCAAUAGAAAAAUAAAAUCAAUUAGAGUACUUAAAUAAAAAAAAAUAUAAAUUAUAAGCAUUUUACAUAUCUUUAUUGUUUAUAAAUUAAAAAUAAAAUAAUAUCAAUCCAGACUAAUCUAAAAAAAAAUUAACUAUGACAUCAUCAUUCUAAUAAUAAAACUAAUAAAGAUGUUUUAUUGAUUAAAUUUCGUGAUACAGGGUUGAAACAAAAAAGAGAUGAAGAGAGAGGAGGGAAUGGAAAGAAGGGAAAAAAGAACUCAUGCGAUCUGUUGUUUGUAAGUUUUUUACAUAAUAUAUAGGAAGGUAUUUUAAUUAUUUUGUUCAAAUUAAAAAUUUUCAUUGACUAAAAAGCGUAAUUAUCUAAAACAUAAAAGCAAAGUAAAAAACUCAAAUGCUUCAUUAAAAAACUCAAUUGAUUCGGUGCUUUAUUAGUUUCUAUAGUAUGGUGUCUUAUGCAUUUUGUUCUAAUCAUAUAUGGGAAAGUGUUUGGUUGAUUAACGUAUAUCAUGACUUUGUAUGGGUCCUACCACAAACUCUCUCUUUUGAAAUAUUAAUUAAGAAAAAGCUAUAAUUUAUAGUUUUUUUAAAUUUAUUUUUUCAAAUUACAAUCAUAUAAACUACUAUAAUAUCAAAUACAUAUUUGAAUAAGACUCAGUAAAAAUUUUCUUCUUCUAAAUACAAAGUGGAAAUGAGUUACUUUCUCCAAAAAGAAUAUAUACAAUAUUAUCGAUUAUCUAAUGCAAACUCCGUCUAACAUACACAGAGAAAGAGAGAGAACCUUAACUAUGUUUAUUUUAUGCACUUUAAUUAAAAAUAAAUUUUGGAUUGUACGAGAGACUUUAAUUAAAUUUCAAUAUUAAAUUUAUGCACUUUAAUUAACAUACACAGAUCAACUAUUAAUAUAUCAAGACUUUUAACUCAAAUUCAUUAUUUAAACAAACCAUAACUUAAAAUUAUUAUCUUUAUCUAAAAUCUUUAAAAAUCAAUGAAAUAACUCAUUAUUCAUAAUAAUUAACCUGCUAAGUUAUUUCUGCUUCUUCCUUUUUAUAAUAGUCGAGAAUUAUAUAUUAUAGAAAGGUGCUAGAGUUAAAAUUAGAGGCUAGCUAGCAUAAAAGAAAAACAGAGGUAUAUACAAGACAGGGGAGGAAGUGUGCGUGCGUGCGUGUGUGUGUGUGUGUGUGUGAUCCCUUCUCAAGCUUAAAAGUAAAGCAUGAUUUUCUAGACGUGAUUUCCAUAAAGAUAGAAGGGAGGGCUCUGUAUCCAUCAUCUUCAAGGAAAGUGAGCUGGCCAUCGUCAACCAUUUAUUUAUGUUUUCAACCAUUUAUUUAUGUUUUUCCACAAAAGACUUUGACUUGGGGUCAACUUGUCGGUUAAUUACUUUUAUGCAAUUCAAUUUUUUAAAAAUAUAUAUAUAUAUGCUUUAAUUUCAACUUAAGUUAUAUACGGGACGAUAAAAAAAUAACAAUAAAAUCAAUUUAUAAAAAAAAUCAUAGAUUUAGUUUUCCUAAAUUUUAAAUGUAGUGUGAAAGCAUUCCGCAAGAAAAAAACAGUGCAAAAUUAGCCAUGACAAUAAGUCUUUUUCUUUCUAAAGAGUUUAUUUUUUGUAACACAAUCAAUAAGUAAGAUGGAUGGGAAUUUGCAGUGUGAGAUGGGUUUGUGAGACUAUAUAUUGCCAUCAGCAUUUUUUCCAUGAUAUAGGCUUGUAGGAUGGUCCAUGAGACCAUUGCUAUAUAUCAAGCGUUUUUUCUACGAGAUGGGUCCAUGAGACCAUUACCUCGUAAGCUUGGGAAUGGAUAACAUGAUUUAAUGUUUAUUUAGUUUAAAAAAAAAUUAAAUGCUUAUGCAUAAAAAAUAAAUCUCAAGUGUUAGAAUGCAACCACUGAUUAAUUAAUGGAUAAUGAACCUUGGAUUAAUACAUGACGCAACUUUCAAUGGAAUUAUAUUUGUGGAGGUAUUUACUCGGAUGUGAAUUAUAUAUAUAUAUAUAUAUAUAUAUAUAUAUAUAUAUAUAUAUAUAUAUAUAUAUAGGGGCACACACAAAUAUAGUCAAAUAAAUCAAGAAUUAUAUGUGUUAAUAAGUGAAAAAAAAAAUAUUAAACUAUAACUCAAAAUAAAAACUAGAAAAACCAAGAGACAAAUGUAUAUAAAGAUAUUUAAUUUCACAAGACGUGAUAUUUACGCAGUAUUGUUUUCUAAAUUUUCUAAUUAAAAUAAUUUUUUAUUCGAUCAAACGAUAAUAAAAAUAGACACAUACAUUAUAAAUUGAUUGAAUAAAAUAAAAGGAGAAAAAAUAAUAUGCAAGGCUGUACAUAUUAGAAAUAUUAUUUGAAAAUAAAUUUCUUUUUAUUUUCAAAAAUAAAGUUCAUCCAUGUAAAAUAUUUUUAAAAAAUAUAGAUUAAUCAAAAAAAUCUCUUUAAAAAUUAAAUGCAUGAUUAAAAAAUAAUCAUCAUUUUAAAUAGGCUUUUUAAAUAACUAAAAAGAGAGAAGGGAUAUUAAUAUAAACAUAAAUAUAACUAAAAUUAAGAUUAUUUAAAAAAAAUAGAUAAAAAAAUUUUAAGCAAAAAAAAGUGAACAGACAACUUAUAAACUCAACUGGAUUUAAUAUUUUUCCUGUUAAAUUUAUUAUAAAUAUAAAAAAACAAAAUUAAUAUCAUUCAUGGUAAAACAUAAAUAAAUAAAUAAAUAAAACAGUACAACCGCAUGUUAUUCACCUCAGGCAUUUUCUUUUAAAUUUAUAGCCGAACCUUAAAAACAAACUUUUGUGCUCUGUAUGUUUUUAAGGUGAAUUAACAAUUUUCAACUCAACUCGGUACCUUCUCUAGAUAGAUCUGUGACUAUGCCUUGGAUUUUCUCAAAACUACUAAGUGUGUGCUUGAGAGGGUGAUUAUAGUUGUUUUUUAAAGUGUUUUUCACUCAGAAAAACAUGUCAAUAAUAUUUUUUUAUAUUUUAAAAUUUAUUUUCGAAAUCAGCACAUCAAAAUGAUUUAAAAACAUCAAAAAUAUAUUAAUUUAAAGUAAAAAAAAAAUUCAAAUUUUUGCGGAAGUGCUUUUGAAAAGCACUCCCAAACACUCCCAUGGUUGGAUACCAAGUAAAUAGAGAUAAAUUUAUUUCCUGUUAUUCUCCGAUAGUAUCUUCGUCCCUUGAUAGAACUUUCUUGGAGAUGAUGAGCUACCACUCCCUUUUGACUUUGCUGGCCUCCCAAAUAUAAAUAAAGAAUUCCUCUUGAUAGAAUUUUCUUCGAAAUGAUGAGAAUAUUUUAGAAUAUUCUGGUUGACGCCAGCUGUCAACAACUAUCUUACAUUCCCAACGCAUGCCUUUGCAAGAUGUUAAAGGCUCAUCUAAAAACAAUUAACUCUGAUAUCGUUAUUUUAUAACAAAUUAGCAAAGAUAAUUUAUUAAUCACUAAGUUUUCUGGUUAUAAAUACAUUUGUAAUUGUCUUUAUCUCUUUUGUAUUUCUAACAAUUAACGAAUUGAAUAUAUAAUAAAUACCGACUGAAAGAAUAAAUUUAGUUUAAAUGUGCUAAAGUUUAAAUAGGCGACUUUAGAAUCACCAAGAAGGCAGUGAAUCACACGGGAAGAUUGAAAGAAUAAUUAAAGUGAUUUUACUAACAUUGUAAAAGUAAUUAACCGAAAAGUUGACCCCAAGUCAAAGUCUUCUGUGGAAAAACAUGAAUAAAAGGUUGACGCUGGGCAGCUCACUUUCCAUGAAGAUGAUGGAUACAGAGCCCCCCCUUCUAUCUUCAUGGAAAUCACGUCUAGAAAAUCAAACAUUAUUAUUGCCAUCUGCGUUUUUUCUUAGAGAUGGGUCCGUUCCACCAUUUCCCCUCAAGCUUGAGAUAUAUAUACGUGACACGAUUUAAUUUCAAAUCUUAAUGUAGUGUGUUAGAAUGCAACCACCGAUUGAUUAAAUUUAAUGGCUGGUCAUUUAAACUUGGGUGUUUUUUCGGUAUUAAUAUAUAUAUAUAUAUAUAUAUAUUCCUCAAUUAUCAUAAAAAAUUAAGAAAAAACUAAUAAUAAGAUUAAAAAUAAAUGUUUUAUUUAUCGAAAUAAUUAAAAGUAAGGUUUACUUAAGGUAUAUAUGGGAUGGUAAAAAAAUAACAAUAAAAUCAAUUUAUAAAAAAAAAUCAUAGAUUUAGUUUUCCUAAAUUUUAAAUGUAGUGUUUAUAAUUAAUUAAUUAAUUGAGAAUUUGAGCUCUUCUAAAAGUUGUUUAUGGACUUUUGUUUUCCGGAGAAAACUCCCUUAAAACCUUUGAGCACUUCCUUCUCUAAAAUAUAUGUUUUUGCCAUAACUCAGGGGCUCUGUAUCUUUUAAGGUGAAUUAGGCUUUAUAUCUUUUUAAGGUGAAUUAACAAGUUUCAACUCAUCUCUGUAGAUACAUAGAAUUCCUAUUUAACAUUAAUCUGUCCAUCAAGUUUUUGAUCCCCAAUUAAGACCAUCUUGAUAAAUGAGAUUUUACUCUGUAAUUUUAAUGUAUAGCUGUCAAUGACCUGAAACAUGCAAAUCAAAAUUCAAAGUGUGAGCAUUGAAUUUCUUGUCCGUUUACACCUUUCUGUGGCGUUUCCUCUUUCCAUUGAUUGAAGAGCGUCUAAGAGGAAAAACUGAAAAGGCAAUCACUAGCGGCCCUCGUCCAUCGGAUCAUUGUGGUUUCAAGAUUGAUGCCCAAUCAUUGCCCUCUUUGUUCGAUUCCUCAGACCUUUAGGAAACUGUAUAUGAGAUGUUACAGAGUGACGGAGGACUUGACAAAGGGCUGAGGGGUGGGUGAGAUGUUAUGUCAAGAAAUGAUUUUGGAAAAUUUCUUCAUAUUUGUUGAAUAACUAAGAUAGGAGUCUUGAACAAGGCAAGAACAUAGGCUCUCCAAGACGAUUGACAGAAGGAGAGAAGGAAAGCUCUAUAUCCUUAGCACGUCAAACACUCCUUUGCACAUUAGAGAAAUUGUCGAGUUAUUUCUGCUUCUGCUUCUGCUUCUGCUUCUUCUUCUUUUUAUAAUAGUAGAGUAUUAUUAUAGAAAGGUGCUAGAGCCAAAAUUAGAGGCUAGCUAGCAUAAAAGAAAAAGAAAAACAGAGGACAGUAUAUACAACUAUACAAGACAGGGGGAGGAAGUAAUAACAUAAUAUUAAUAACUAUAUAUAUAUUAAAAAAACUCGAGUUAACCCAUCAAGUUUACGACCCGGAUUAUGAGAUCGGGAUAAGCAAACUCAAUGUUAAGAAAUGAAAUUAAAGAAAAAAACCAUAAAAACAUAUAUGGCGUAGUGUCUUAUCGAUUAAGUUUGAUUGGGUCAACUCUCACUUGGUUUUUUCUAAACCUAAAUUGGGUUAGAUUCUAGAUUAAAAUAUUAGGCUUGAAUUAAAUUUAAUAACACUGAUUAAAACCACAUUGUAGAAAAAAAAAAUGAAUCGCGUAAAAGUAAUUAACCGAAAACUUGUAUUUCUUCUUAUAAAGUUGAACUCAUGUCAGUUGUUUUUUAAGGAAAAAUAUGAAUCAAAGGUUAAAGCUAGGCAGCUCACUUUGCACGACAAUGACGGAUAUAGAAGACAUAACGUGUGGAAAAAUCAUGCCUUAAUUUUGAUGGUGAUGGCAAAAUCAAACAGUAUCGUUGAUAAAAUGAACCACAAAUAAUAUUAUUUCUAAAACACUUCUUGUCAUUGUGAUGACAAUAAGUCUUCUUCUUUGCAGUGUGAGAUGGGUUUGCAUUUUUAUUUUCCACGAUAAUUAAUUAAUUAAUUGAGAAGUUGAGCUCCUUAAGAAAAGUUGUUUAUGGACCUUUGUUUUCCGGAGAAAACUCCCUUAAAACCCUUGAGCACCACCUUCUCUAAAACAUCUAUCUUUGCCAUAACUGAGAGGCUCUGUAUCUUUUUAAGGUGAAUUAACAAGUUACAACUCAACUCUGUAUCUUUUUUAGAUAUGUAUGUGACUGUACCUUGAUGUUCUCACAACCAUUAAGAUGGAGACAAAUUUUCUUUUCUGUUAUUCUCCGAAAAUAUCUUCGUUCCUUGAUAGAAUUUUCUUGGAAAUGAUGAGCUUCCACUCCCUUUUGACUUUGCUGGCCUCCGAAAUAAUUAAAGAAUUCCUCUUGAUAGAAUUUCCUUGGAAAUGAUGAGAAUAUCUCACAUUCCCUUGGCAUCGUGUUCCAUGCCUUUGCAAAUUAUUAAAGGCUCCAAUGCAUGUGUCCUUUUAUUCAUGUUUUUCCACAAAAGACUUUUGACUUGGGGUCAACUUGUCGGUUAGUAAAAUCACUUUAAUUAUUCUUUCAAUCUUCCCGUGUGAUUCACUGCUUAAUUGGUGAUUCUAAAUUUAUUCUUUCAAUUCGUUAAUAGUUAGAAAUACAAAAGAGACAAAGACAAUUACUAAUGUAUUUAUAACCAGAAAACUUAGUGAUUAAUAAAUUAUCUUUGCUAGUUUUGUUAUAAAAUAAUGAUGUUAGAGUUAAUUGUUUUUAGAUGAGUUUGGAUUAAUUCUGUUAAUUUUAUUUUUAAUUUUUGAACUAUAAAAAUAUAGAUAAAUUUAAAAUAAAUAUCUUUUUACAAUAGUUUUUUAGUAAAAUUAGAGUAAAAUUUGUACUUUUAAAAUAAAAAUAUAUAAAAACAUGUAUUUUAUGUUCCCAUUAUUUUUGUAUUUUAUAUCAUGGUAAUUAAAUGUUGCCCGGUUAACAUAACACUAAAUCAUAAUAAAAAAAUAAUAAUUAUGGAAUGGCAUGGUAGUUGGAUCUAAUUUUUUUAUGGAAUGGCAUGGUAGUUGGAUCAUAAUAAGAGUAUUCAAAUUAAGAAUAUUUAAAUGAGUGUUAAUUGGGUUUAAAAGACUUACAAGCAAAAUAUAAGUUGUUUGUUAGAAUUCUUAUGGAUCCGAUAGAAAAUUAAUACUUCAUUCAUAUACAUUACAUGAGCAUAUAUAUAUUUCUUUUAUCAACAUAAUGAUAUGUUUAUUUAUGUAACAGGUCCAUCAAAUAUCCAUGGAGAUCAUUAGUUUAGGGCUCUACUUUGUCAAGCUUAUGUAAAUAUUUAACUUAAGCAAAAGGGAAUUAACGCAUUUAUGUAGUAUGCUUUUGUAUAAACCUUGAUGUAUUUAUAAAAGUUCAGCUUAGCAUGUAGUACUUUAGUUAUCUUGUAAUUAACCCUUCUGAAAUAUUUAAAAACACUUAUUAUGUUGUAAAUGCUUUAUUUACAUGUUAGUAUUCCUUUUUCUUUUAAUUUUAUGAUAUGAUAUAUGGGCUAUGUUCAUAUUGAACUUGCUCAUAGGAUAUAUAUAAAUAUAUAUUGUGUGGAUUAUAUGAGGUGUUGAAUUAUGAUGAUUAAUAUAAGGUUCGGAAUUAUGGGACCUUGUGAUGAUGGAUUGAUUGUGUAAAUUAAUAGUAGUCGAUAACUUGGGAUGUUCUAAAUACAAACAAAACUCUGCUGAAUUUUUGGUAGAUUUAAAAAAAAAAAUUACCCUCAAAUUAAAAGCAUAUGUUGAGAUCUUUUAACAUUGAUCAAGUCGUAUAGUUGGUUCUGUUACAUGUUAGGUAUACAAUGUCUCUGUGAUAUGGACAUAAUGAUUUUUGAUGUGUCAAAUUCUUACUAUUUCACUCUUAAGAGUAGAAAGAUCUACUUCGUUGGACAACCACCAAGGCUUAACAACAAUAAUGAGAAAAUAAGCAUGUGAAAGGAAAAAGACUUAAUCUUAUAAGCCCAAAUGAUUUUGAGAAUCAGGUUCAUGAAGAGUUUGUUGCAUUUGCUUUAGUGGCUAAGAAAGUUUUAGAGAAAGCACUCGAAGAAAUAAGUGUAGUUUUGAAAGAAUUUCAAGAUGUUUUUCCUCUCAAAGUUCAUAAUUCCUUACCCCAUUAUACGUGACAUUCAACACGUAAUAUUUUAUCCCUAGUUACCUCUUGGUUUCAAGCAAGAAACACACUUCAAUAUCAUUAUGCGUUACUGUAUUCCUAAUAGAUGCCCUCUUAGCAGACAUACCCAACCCACAACUAUUCCAGAAUAAAAUCUUCAUUGAUAAAUGAUUUUAAACCUUACCAAGUUAUACUGCAAAAUGGAAUUAUUCCCAAAACCCAAAGCAAAUAACAUCCUCUGCGCCUCAUCUUCAACAAUACAUUCUGCUGUUGCAGCAGAACUGUAAGUUAUCAUAUAACGAAGAUUCCCUUUUCUGAUUCUAGAAUCCAGUGAACCUGGUGAUUCCACCUCACGUUCAUCCUCCACCCGCUGAAGACUACCAUUGAAAGAGAAAAGCUCCACCUUUGGGUGUAAACUGGAUUGAUUGCAUCCCAUCUGAAUCACGUGGGCUUAAUGGAAGGAACGAACAAUUGUCGGUUUUAAAAGUUUGGUUUGUAACAAUCAUUGUAAUUCCAAAUUUCCAUACUCCUUCCAUUUAAGCAAUUAAUAAUAACAGAGAAUAUGUAUAAAUCUCAAUGUUGUUUUAAAUUUUAUGUAAGAUAGUACAGUUUCAUUCAAAAAAUGAGAAAGAACAAUAAAAAUCCUCAAAUUCUACCACCUUCAAUUCUCAUUCAUCAACAACAGCAUACAUUCAAACAAGUGAUCAAUAGUGUUGAUGAAAAAUAAAUCAUUAGCGAUCAAGUGACGAGGACUAUAGUAAGAUUGGCGCCAUUGUAAGCUUGACAAGCUUUGCCUACUCUAAUUAACAGCAACGAAAGAUUCAGUGCCUAAUCUCUGGACGGAGAAGGGGACGCCUUUGUUAUGUACAUGGUUGCCCUAAAUGGUUCGAUGAUGCUCAUUUUAAACAUUUUUUGUCAAGGUUGUCAAUUUUGCUCCGUUUAGUGUUUCAUUUUUUUAAUUGAAACGGUAUGUUUUGGUUUCGGAGCAUUUCAGUGUGUUGUUUCAGGAUUAUAUAUAUAUUAACUCAAUUAAACAUAAUUUAAAUUUAAAUUUAAAGAUAAAUUAACUUGAAAUUAUGCAAUUUAAAUUUCAAACACAAGUAAAAAAGUGAGAGACUGAUAUGACUUGAUCGACUAGAUGGGUCCAAAGACAACCUUUACGACUGGUAAGAAUAUAGUUUGACUCAAAAAAAUUUAAGAUGAUAUUUUUUAAAAAAUAUAUUGAGAUGACAACAUAUUAAAUCAACCUGGGUCAACUCGAUCGGAUUAACUUUCUAAAUUCGUAAUCCAGGUUAUGAGACCAUAAUAACCUAAAAUAAAGCAAAUCAAAACAAAUUAUAAAGCUGAAUUCUCAAUAAACAUGUUAUUGAAUGGUUAAAUUGGAAAAAUUUUAAUAUAAAAAAAGACACAAAAAAAUGACCUUCAGAGACUAUUGUCGUCACCAGAAUGUUUUGCCCGCCACACAAGCUUCACAUAUCUUUUGCAACUCAGAUUUGGAAACUUUAGAGUACCUUUUUAUAUACUGUAACUUUUCUAGGAGUGUUUGGAUGAAAGUUUUGGAUUAGUGGGGUAUCUAAUGUUGUUGUCGAGCACUUUAGACUCGCUACUUCUACAACAACAUGGAAUGGUGCAGGGUAAAUUCCAAAGAUUAGCUUGGAGACUAAUCUCUAGUAGUAUUACUCGGGGUAUUUGGUUGUUGAGGAACAAAAUUGUUUGUGAGGAGAGAACUAUAAGUUUGUUUGAUUGUUUCUCUAUCAUCCUUUAUCAGGUUGCUAUUUAGUUGUAUACUCUGUAUUCAAACUUUACUUAUACAGGAAAUGAUCUCUUAAGAUCUUUUGAUGAUAUCAAAUUGUGGUGUAAUAAGAAAUCUUAGGUAGUUUCUUUGUUUUUUUGUUGUAGCAAAUCAGUUUUGUUUUCUUUUUUUCCCCCUUUUUUCUUUUUUUUUUUGUCCUAUGAGACUAUUGUCAUCUGCAUUUUUUCCAUGAUAUAGGCCAGUGGGAUGGUCCAUGAGACCAUUGCUAUCAAGCGUUUUUUGUACGAGAUGGGUCCACGAGACCAUUGCCCUGUAAGCUUGGGAAUGGAUAAUAUGCUUUAAUUUCAAUUUAGUUUACAAAAAAAUUAAAUUAAAUGCUUAAGCAUAAAAAAUAAAUCUCAAGUGUUAGAAUGCAAUUACCGAUUAAUUAAUGGACAACGGACCUUAGAUUAAUUAAUAUAUGAUGCAUCUUUCAAUGGAAAUGUAAAUGCUUUACUAGAAUAUUAUUUUUUUUUGUAUUUGUUUUCUGGUUAUAUUUAAUUUUCAUCAAUAUUCCUAACAUAAAUUGCUACGUAUUUUGAAUCUUGAAGGAUUGAAAGAUAGAAAACAGAAAAGAAAAGGAGACAAGGCAGUUCAAAAGAAGAAGAAAAAAGUACGAUAGUGAAAGAAAGAGAAGAGAAUAAAAGUGGAGCAGUUUUUAUUAACUAUAUAAAUUUUAUAAUUACUAAUAUUAAAUUCAAAAUAUGUACAUAUUACAAAUAUGUAAACAUAUCAUAUGGUUUAAAAGAAAUGGCUUUUAUAAACAUAUAUGGCUUAACAAUAUUAAUCAACUCCUAAUAUUUUCAUUUUAUAUAUAUUAAUUAAAGUAAAUAUUAAAACCUAUUAUAUUAAUCUGUGAAGGUAUUUACUCGGAUGCAAAUUAUAUUUCUAAUUUAUUAUUAAAAAAAAUUCUAUAUACUACAACUAGCUUAAGAAAGUCAUGUUUAUCAGGAUCAUAGAGUAAAAAAAAGAAAAAAUUGAAUUGCAUAAAAGUAUCACUAGCUUAAGAAAGUUAUGUCAUCUGCAUCUUUCCUCGAGGAGAGGCAGUGAGACGUCCUCUUCCAACCAUCAUGCAUUUUUUCCAUGAGAUGGGUUCGUGGAAAAACUUUGGUUUAAUUGGGAAUGCUGUUAUUGAUUGGAAAAUUUUUAAUUAAAAUAAAUUUGAUUUUUUGAUUGGAAAAAAAUCCUUAAAUGACAUUAACACAUGACUCCACUUUAUUUUCUUAAGAAAAAAAAUAUUGUAACCAUAUAAGUUUCAAGUUUAAAGGGUUUUCAUUUGAAGGGGUGUGUUAGAGAAUAAUAUAAAUCAUAUCUUAGAAUCUAACCUAAUAGCUUAAGCUUUUGGGUUGAAUCGGUUCUUUGACAUGGUAGCGGAGCCUUGAUGACCAAGCGAUCACGAGUUCGAAUCUCAUCAUCCCCAUUUAUUAGAUAAAAAUUAAACACAAGGUAAUGUGGAUCUGUACAAGUUUCAAGCCCUUCUAUUGGGUUAAGAUGGUAUCUUGAGGUCUCACCUAACAACUUAAACUAUUGGGUUGAGAUGGUUCUUCGACAGGCUACCAGAUGGUGCGGCGCUACACCUCUGUUCUUGCUUUUCUCUGCUUGUUUUCUCUUCUUUUUUUAUUUCUCUUGUUCCCUUUGUCUCUCUCUGUAUUAUCUAUGUUUGUUCAUUUUUCGUCUAUGUCUUUUUGUAUUAUCUGUCUGUGGUUCUCCCCUUCUAUGUGGCUUUUCUUUGUUUGUCUUGAUUUCUCUGGGUUUGUAUUUGGUUGGUUCAACAACCUACGGUGAGGGGAAGUUGAAUAUUAAAGGCUCCCAUGCCUCUCUAGCAAUAAUAUUAUUUUUUAUUUAUCCCCAAAUACAUGUGUCAUUUAUCAAAAUAAUUAAUUUAAUCACCAAAAAAAAACAAAUAGAUCCAACAACCAUGCCAUUCCACAGUUAAUUUUUUUUAUAUUAUGAUUUAGUGCUAUGUUAACCGGGCAACCUUUAAUUACCAUGAUAUAAAAUAAAAAAAUAAUGGGAACAUAAAAUAAAUGUUUUUAUAUAUUUUUUAUUUUAAAAGGAAAAAUUUUACUCUAAUUUUACUCAAAAACUAUUGCAAAAGGAUAUUUAUUUUAAAUUUAUCUAUAUUUUUAUAGUUCAAAUAUUAAAAAUAAAAUAGAAUUAAUCACUAAGUUUUCUGGUUACAAAUACAUUUGUAAUUGUCUUUAUCUCCCUUGUAUUUCUAACCAUUAACGAAUUGAAUAUAUAAUAAAUACUAAUUAACAAAAGAAUAAAUUUAGCUGUAUAAUGUACUAAAGUUUAAAUAGGUGACUUUAGAAUCACCAAGAAGGCAGUGAAUCACACGGGAAGAUUGAAAGAAUAAUUAAAGUGAUUUUACUAACCGACAAGUUGACCCCAAGUCAAAAGUCUUUUGUGGAAAAACAUGAAUAAAAGGUUGACGUAAGACCAUUGCUAUCAAGCGUUUUUUCUAAGAGAUGGGUCCGUUCCACCAUAUAUAUGCUUUAAUUUCAACCACCAUAAAAAAUAAAUCUUAAUGUAGUGUGUUAGAAUGCAACCACCGAUUGAUUAAUUUUAAUGGCCGGUCAUUUAAACUUGGGUGUUUUUUCAGUAUAUAUAUAUAUAUAUAUUCCUCAAUUAUCAUAAAAAAAUAAGAAAAAACUAAUAAUAAGAUUAAAAAUAAAUGUUUUAUUUAUCGAAAUAAUUAAAAGUAAGGUUUACUGAAGGUAUAUACGGGAUUAAUAAAAAAUAACAAUAAAAUCAAUUUAUAAAAAAAUAAAUCAUAGAUUUAGUUUUCCUAAAUUUUAAAUGUAGUGUGAAUGCAUUCCGCAAGAAAAAAAACAGUGCAAGAUUAGCCUUUCAAGAAAUAGAGAAUCUUCCUCUUUGAAGGAAUUAAUUAGUGGGUUGGAAAAAUGUCGUCUUUUGCUCUAAUAUUUUCUUCACUUGGUCUAUAGUUUUACCUUACACUAAUAUUUUCAAGAUUUCAAUUGAAAAGGAGGGUCGUAAAAAAUUUAAUUUUUAUAAACAUACCCUUAAUUAACUUAAUUUGGAUGUGGAUAAUUGUUUGCAAUAUAUUUACAUCCAAUAUAAACAAUUCAUCAAUGAUCAAGUCGGCCUUGGUUAGCUAAAAUAUUGAAAAUACUUGCUCUCUCCUUUUUUCUUUUUUGGCCAUGCAGUUCCUAUAUAUAUAUAUUAGUUGAAAUUUUAUGAUGUCUAUUAAUCCUUUUAAAUUAAAGUCAAGUUAUUAAUUAUAUCCUAUAGAUUUCUAGAAAAACUAAUUCUCUCAAAUUUCGUACAUUUUACUUACAAACUAUAAAAGGUGAUUGCUACAAACUAAAAUUUCAAACAAGGAAGCUUAAAUCUCUUUUAUCUACAUUUGAAAUUUACAAAAAAUAAAAUUAUAUUGGAUUAAGCCUAAACACUAUAUAAAAUUCUUGAACAACACAUUAAAAACAAAUCAAAGAUACUUUUCAAAAUAUCAAAUCAUUAAAUCUUACAUAUCAAAUAAAUCAAGUUAUCAUAUAUCAAAUUAAAAGGAAGAAUUAAAUGAUUGUUUUAUUUUUUAUAAAAAUAUUUUAAAUAGAAAUUAUAAUGUGGAUCAUAUGGCUCAAUGCAAAUUAAGGUCUCACAUAUAGCCAGCUAUAGCAUGGGAUAGCCAGCGGUCAUUCCAUCAGGAGAUUUGUGAAUUCUGAAGCCUUUGCAAUGUGCAUGGCAUGUGUCCAAGAACCCACCAGGAACUCCAUUUUGACUGGGAAACCUUUGACGAACUGUAUUAUAUGUGAUUUGCUCCUGGUAUUAUAAAUUAGAAAGUGUAAAUUGUAAAUCCCAACCAAUAAGAUAUCUACAUAAGAGUCUGUAAAUGUUACAGAUGAUUUAAGUUUGUUUAGCAAAUUUUUCAAGAACAUGUUUGUCUUUGAUAGCUUAUUGUCAUAGCUGUGAACUCUGAAGAAAAUUGAUGUAAGAAACCAAAGUCCAUUUUGUUCUAGAUUGUAGAUGGAUAUAAGCUUGGUGAUUCCCGAUUCUUUUAUUAAUUUCAUUUUAUACAUUCCCUGUGAUGUGUUCUUAAUUUAUAUACCACACCGAUGUCUGUUAGGUUCUGAUUCAAUCGAAUUGGAGCCGAUCAAAAUUGUAAUGACUCAGUUUCUUUUAUGACCUGGAUUGGGCUUCACAUGCCCUUGAUUAUGCCCAAGAAGAAAACUAAAUAAAUAGUAGAUGAGUAGUGUACUGAAAAUAAAUAUUUUCAGCAUAUUACAUAGAUCUAAAACAAUAGCACACAGGAAUUAAAAAAGAGGAGGGAUCGCUAGGGAUACAAGAUUUGCAGCCAAAACUAUGACCUGACAUGUUCAGGAAACAGAAGGGAACUAUGACCUGACAUGUUCAGGAAACAGAAGGGAGGUGUUUCUUUUAAACACAAGGCAGAUUUUUAUGAUCUUAUUCCUUUUGGUCAUUAAAUUUUCUUAAAAGGAGCUUUGGUUUGAUUCCUACAAGCUGGGGGCAAAUCUUCAGCGUUUCGACAGUCAGCCUCAUGAGCAAAAGAAAGACAAUGUGCGACCACUCCAAGCUUCUCGUUGCUCCCCUGUUCCGAUUAGAAAUGGAGAUUCAAGAAGCUAUGCUACUGUCCUGAGACAAGAGUUCCAACGAAAUCUACUGUAAGUUCCCAAGACACUCUUUUAUAACACUUUGGUCAUUUCCAUGACUUUAUCUGCAUAUCUUGUGCAGGCCAGUUCCAUGUUUUGAGAUUUGAAUAUUAUUUUAUUUUAUUGUUUAGCACUUAGUCUAUUCGCCAGGUUGGGAAAAAUAUUCAAAUUAGUUUUGUUGGCAUGUAACCUCACCAAACAAUUUAAGACUUCACUAAACAAUUUGCGUAGACCGUAUUGACUGGGAGUCAACUAUUGUCGUAGUGCUUUUUUGCACUAUCUGUGUGCGUGAAUGGAAAGAAAAGCAGGGUGGCAACUGGGGUGAGAAAAUGAAUAGAAAACUCCAACAAGGGUGUGAAAAUGAGUUACUUCUCCAAAAAGAAUAUAUAAAUUAUUGAAUAUCUAAUGGAAACUGUCGUGAACGCGGAUGCUUGACUUGCUGUGUACCAUUUUGAUUUUUAAACACAACCAUGCCGUAAUUUCCUGGUGAUUUCCUUAUGCAUACUGGUGGUCUUCCAGAAUCUUUUUCCAAACAAUCCUCGUUAGACCCUGCUCGGGGAUUAACCUGGAGUAAGAUUUGUAUCAUGGUUUUUUAUCAUGUUCCAGGUCAACUUGGAUCAACUAAAUUUUAUGAGUAUGUCAAAACGACAUUGUUUUUUAUAUAUAAACAUAAAUAUGAAUCUUGAGCUCUUUUAUAAUCUUAAGACGAAGUAUAUUAAUAGUUGAACCAUUAUCCACCAAGAUACAAUUCAUCAUCUUUUCAUCGAUAUAUCUUUUAAUAAAAAAAUAUCGUUUAUGGAGUUUUGAUUCAAGCAACAGGUCUUCAUCGUUAAAGAAUAUCUAUGUAGUGUAUACACCUUGAGACAAGUCGAAAGAGUUAGUCAUGACAGGUUUAGUAGGAGUUUUCUUUAUAGUUUUCUCAUUUUUUAUGUUAAAUUAGGAAGAGAUCAAUAAGAAACUGAACUUGAAGAUGGACUAUAUCAUUGUUAACUUCUUGAUCCGAAUACUCCAACAUGAUGGUUAGUGCAAAUUUUUUUUUUUUUAAAAAUAGCAAAAACAAAGUAAUUAAACAAGACAGACUUAGGAUUCCACAGAUAAAUAUAUGGCCAUAUUUGUUUCCCGGAAUUCACUUUCCGGGAAGCCACUUUCCAAACUUUCCUGUGUUUGUCUGCCAUUAGAAAAGUUGGUCAACGGAAAACACUUUCCAGUCAAAGGAAAAUUUAGCUUGGUUUCCAGGAAAGUGUUUUCCUUGAAAAUUUAUGCGGAAAACACUUUCUGAAAGUUGUGAAAAAUUUAAAAAUGUCAUAUUAUUUGCUGAUUAUAUCAAAUUUGGUCCUCAAACUUUUGAUUGCUAUAUAUAUAUAUAUUUUUGUUUUGAAUAUUUAUUUUUCAAUUUCAUCUCUUAAAAUUUAAUUUUUAUAUUAACUUUGGUCCUCAUUUUUAUAAUUGUUAUUUGCUUUUCCCUUAUCAUUUUCUUAUUGAAAUUUUUUAUCUAUCAAAUUUGGUUCUCAUUCUUUUGAUUGUUACUUAUUUUAUUUGAAAUAAUUUAUGAAAUGUUAAUUAUUAUUAUUAUUUUAAUUUCUUCAUCUUUCAUUUUUAUUUUAUUUUUUAGAUUUGAUUUUUAUUAUUUUGAUUAUUAUUAUUUAUUUGAGAUAAUUUAUGAAAUUAUAUUUUUUUUCAAUUUCAUUCUCAUUCAACUUUUUAAUUUGUAAGAUUUGUUCAUCAUUAUUUUAAUAAACUUGAGAAAAUAAAAUAUUAAUAAGUUAUUUUCCAGUUCAUUUUCCAUGACAUAACCAAACACUGAAAAAUAUUUUCCAACUUAUUUUUCAUUACACUACCAAACAUCGAAAAAUAAUUCACUUUCCUGGAAUUCACUUUAAAAAAAAAACUACUUUCCAGCAAGCAAACGGGCCAGUUUCAACACUUCUCUAUUGAAACGUUCAACAAUAAGGCUAAGCUAUGAGGUCAACCCACUAAAAAGCACCCAUUAGCUGGACACAUUCAAGAAAAUUGCCGACAAGUUUCGAACUAACACAAUUUUGGGCCGAGAAUGCAAGAAGCAAACCACUGAUUCCCCCACCAGCAACCACAACAAAUUCAGUGCUCCCAUGCUAAGAUCCUCUGAUGUUGGAGAACUAGCGAAAUUUAAUACAAGGCUUCAACACUCCGAAGCCUGCUAGAGAAAUAUUAAAGCAAAAUAAGUAGUAGCAUUAAACAACAGCCAUUUCAUCAGUUUUAAUUUUAGUAUAACACAAUAAUAUGAACCAACCUUGAUUCUCAAAGGCACCCAACUAAUUCAUAGCCUUCAAAUCAAGACUUUGCAAUUCUUUAAAAGGCAGAAACAAAGAUGCGUUGAGAACCCACUCCCCUAACCCCCAAUCCCCAGCACCCCCAAGAGAGAGUUGGAUCACUCGCCUUUCGGUGGUAUCGCACACGAUCCUAGACCACUCACAACAAUUAUUGCCCAGGUAUUUCAACAGUUAUGGCUUGUGUGGGUUUUGGUUCACGAUGGAGAUGAUGGAUACAAUAAUGUAUUUCGACAACAAAACUUUCAAUGCUUGUGAAUGGCUCUCCAACUAAAGAGUUCUUUAUCGAAAAGGGAUUGCGACAAGGGGACUCUUUAUCAACAUCUCUUUUCAAUAUAGCAACUGAGGGUCUUAGUAGAAUGCUAAGAAGAGAUGUGGUUUGGGACUUAUAAAAGGUAUUUGUUUUGGUCACUUUCAAGUUUGUAGAUGAUACACUCAUCUUCAGUUCAUAUGAUUUUCCAUCUCUUCAAAACAUCAAAAUAACCAUGUGAUGUUUUGAGUUGAUUUCUAGGCUGAAGGUUAAUUUCCACAAGAGCUCAAUCACGAGAACUAUUGUUAUUUCUUCAACUGCUAGCAAUCUAAUAUGUAGUAUGGAGGGGAUGCCAUUUAAGUAUUUGGGCCUGCCUAUUUGUGCAUCUUCAUCUCAUGUGGAAAACUAUUGUUAAUAGAAUCAAUAGCAAGUUGGCACUUACCUAUUGGUGAGAGAGUGUGCUUGCUUAAAUCAAUUAUAAAUAAUCUUCCUAUCUACAACCUUUCUUUAUUUCCUAUCACAUCCAUUGUUGCUACCAAAAUUGAGAAACAUAUCAUAUCUUUCUUUGGUUCUUAGGAGGAAGGAGGGAAAAAACUAUGCAAUGUUAAAUGGGCAUCGGUGGUUCCUCCAAAAAAAAACAAAAAGGGCUGGGUAUAGACUACAUUAUUGAUAAAAAUCAUGGGUUACUAACACUUCCAUAGCAAAGAGAUAUGUAUUUUCCCUAUUAAUUUCUCAAGUUACCAUAAUGAGAGUGUGAUGUGACUCCAAUAAAUGUAGGAUAUGUUAAUUAGGUAUACAAUGUCUAUGUGAUAUGGACAUAAUCAUUUUUGGUAUGUCAAAUUCUUACUAUUUCACUCUUAAGAGUAGAAAGAUCUAGUUAGUUGGACUGCAUUCCGAUCUGCAAUCUUCCUAUAUAUCCCAAUUGUUGUAUUUGCUUUAGUGGCUAAGCAAGUUUUAGAGAAACCACUUGAAGAAGUAAGUGCGGUUUUGAAAGAGUUUCAAGAUGUUUGUAAUAGAUUUGAUCCCUAGUGUUAUAUUGACCUCUUGGUUUCAAGCAAGAAACACACUUCAAUAUCAUUAUGCGUAAUUGUAUUCCUAAUAGAGUUAUGAUGUAAGUUAUGAUGUAACGAAGACUCCCUUUUCUCAUUCUAGAAUCCGGUGAUUCCACCUCACGUUCAUCCUCCACCCGCUGAAGACUUAUACCAUUGAAAGAGAAAAGCUCCAGCUUUGGGUGUAAACUGGAUUGAUUGCAUCCCAUCUGAAUCACGUGGGCUUAAUUAAUGGAAGGAACGAACAAUUGUCGGUUUUAAAAGUUUGGUUUGUAACAAUCAUUGUAAUUUCAAAUCUCCAUACUCCUUCCAUUUAAGCAAGUAAUAAUAACAGAGAAUAUGUAUAAAUCUCAGUGUUGUUUUACAUUUUAUAUAAGAUAUUACAGUUUCAUUCAAAAAAUGAGAAAUAACAUUAAAAAUCCUCAAAUUCUACCACCUUCAAUUCUCAUUCAUCAACAACAGCAUACAUUCAAACAAGUGAUCAAUAGUGAUCAAGUGAUGAGGACUAGAGUAAGAUUCGCACCAUUGUAAGCUUGACAAGCUUCGCCUACUCUAACUGUAACGAAAGAUUCAGUGCCUAAUCUCUGGACGGAGAAGGGGACGCCCUUGUUAUGUACACGGUUGCUCUAAAUGGUUCGAUGAUGCUCAUUUUAAACAUAUCAUGUCAGGUUGUCAAUUUCGUUCUGGUUAGUGUAACGGACCCGACUGUACGACUUGAUCAAUGUUAAAAGAUCCCAAUAUAUUCUCUUAGCCUGAGGAUAAUUUUUUUUUUAAUCUAUCAAAAAUUCAGCAGAGUUUUGUUUGUAUUUAGGACAUCCCAAGUUAUCGACCACUAUCAAUUUACUCAAUCAACCCAUCAUCACAAGGUCCCAUAAAUCCGGACCUUAGAUUAAUCAUCAUAAUUCAACACCUUACCCAAUCCACACAAUAUAUAUCCUACGAGUAAGUUCAAUAUCAACAUAACCCACAUAUCAUAUUAUAAAAUUUAAAAGAAAAGGAAAUACUAACAUGCAAAGAAAGCAUUACAACAUAAUAAGUGUUCUUAACCAUAUCAAAAGGGUUAAUUACAAGAUAACUAAAAUACUACAUGCUAAGCUGAACUUUUAUAAAUACAUCAAGGUUUACACAAAAGUAUACUACAUAAACACGUUAUUUCUCUUUUGUUUAAGUUAAAUAUUUACAUAAGCUUGACAAAGUAGAGUCCUAAAUUAGUGAUCUCUCUGGAUAUUUGAUGGACCUGUUAUAUAAAUAAACAUGUCAUUAUGUUGAUAAAAGAAAUAUAUAUAAGCUCAUGUAAUGUAUCCGAAUGAAGUAUUAAUUUCUAUUGGAUCCAUAAGGAUUCUAACAGACAUCUUAUAUUUUGCUUGUAAAUCUUUUAAACCCAAUUUACACUCAUUUGCAUAUUCUUAAUUUGAAUACUCUUAUUUAUUUGCAUGAACCGGGUGACCUUGCAAAGUCUAUUCUUGUAAUCCAUUUCCCAGCAAUCAUAUCACGAAUACCAUUAGCCGAAGCAAAUCUUGUAAUUCAUCUCCCGGCAAUCAUAUCACGGAUGACAUUAGCCGAAGCUAAUCUUGAGAUUCAUCUCCCUGCACUCCUAUCACGGAUGCCAUUAGCCGAAGCUAAUCUUGCAAUCACGGAUGUCAUUAGCCGAAGCUAAUCUUGUAAUUCAUUUCUCAGCACUCCAAUCACGGAUGCCAUUAGCCGAAGUUAAUCUUGUAAUUCAUUUCCCGGCACUCCUAUCACGGAUGCCAUUAGUUGAAGCUAAUCUUAUAAAUACACUAGACUUUAUUUACAUUGAACACGAUAUUUAUUAUAAUUGCAUUCACUAGAGGAAUUUUAAAUUGUAUAAGUACAAAUAGGAGGGAAAAAUCACGCACCUGCUUCGCCUGUUUCGUGACCUCCUCUAACAGAAGAUCCAAUCCUGGUUGCUCCUCCUGAAUCACAAGGAAGUUUUUGGUUAUGAUUCCUUCAAGCUGAUAUUAUAGAGGCUCCAUAUUCAUUCAUUACUCAUAUGUUACUUUCUAUGCAUGUUCAUUUCCUUAUAAUAACAAACAUACAUAAAUCAAGUAUAUUUUCAAAGUUAGUAUCUCAAUGUGCAAGUGUUCGUAUGACUCAAUUCUUUUAUAUUCUUACAUAUAAUAUUCACGUGAAAGUCUACUAUUACUAUCUAACUUUGAACUGUUACUGUCCAACGGUUGCUGUCCAACAGUUGCUGUUUGAACAGUUGCUGUUUGAACUCUUAUCAGAUUUUUAACUAUAUCUAGAGUUCUAGAACUCCAUUUUAAGUGAGAUUGAUCUUGUUGGAAAGCUAAGACACGAGGCUACAAGUUCUCUAAAGGAAGGAGAACCCAGUUCUGCCUCCAGGAUAGUCAAAAUUGCUCAUCAACCCAUCAAUCCUACUGCUCUACAAAAUCAGUCACGACUCAGUCUUGGUUGGUAACCCAUAACUGGAGUUAUACAUCUCCAAAUUGAGCAAGAUUAAUUUCCUUGGUUAGCUAACAUCCAAAUCUACAAUUUCUAUAAAGGAAUCUGAUCCUAAUUCCCUCAUCCUCCUACCCGAAAUCUCACCAAAAGUUAGGAGACAAGUUUGUCCAGAUUCGUUUGCCCCUCCCCUUCACACAAUACUUUCAUAAACUACACACCACACACAUGAAUUAACUUAAUCUUAAUAAUAAGUACUUUUUCUCCAAUUCAUGUCUAAGAACCCUAACCUAUGAUUCAAUAUCAAGGCAUCAAUUCAUUAUCGAUUUGAAAUGAAUUUUUUUAAUAUCAUGUUUAGAACACCUUACCCAGUACAAAUUAAGAUUUUGAUCUCCAACCAGUUGAAGAUUUUCAACUCCCUCCUUUCUUUUCUUCUUGUUUAAUUUCUUGGUAAUCCCUUGCUCUCAAGUGUUUAUCCCAUCUAUAAACCCUUAAUCUUGGAUGGGUUCUCGAAAUUUUAGUGUUUCUCUCUUGAUUUCGCAAGAAUGGGUAUAAAACUCCUUAUUUUCUCUCAUUAUCGUUCCUGCAGAUUUUUGGUGAGGAGAGAGUAUUUAUACUCUAUAGUUUCCCUUAUUUGUAUUUAGGCCCCAUUUCCUUUAAAUUUCUGAAUUCUUGUCUUUUAUUUAACCAUACGCAUGAAUUUCUUGACUUUUAUUUCUCAUAUAGUUAGUUUUCAAUUUAAGCAACCUUUAUUUUUUUAUUUUUUUUCUGAGGUUUACAGUUAGUGUUUCAUUAUUUAAUUGAAAUGGUAUGUUUUGGUUUCGGAGCAUUUCGGCGUGCUAUUUCAGGAUUAUACUGUUCAUACUAUUCAUAUAUAUAUAUAUAUAUAUACAUACUCAAUAAACAUAAUUUUGAUUCAAAUUUAAAGAUAAACUAACUUGAAAUUAUGCAAUUAAAAUUUCAAACACAAGUAAAAAAAGUGAGAGUUGAACCAAUAUGACCCGAUCGACUAGAUAGGCCCAAAGACUACCUGAAUGACUGGUAAGAAUAGAGUUUGACUCAAAAAAAUUUAAGAUGACAUAGUUUUUUAAAAAAUAUUGAGAUGACAACAUAUUAGAUCGACCGGGUUCAACUCAGGUUAACCUUUUAAAUCCGUAAUCCAGGUCAUGAGACUAUAAUAACUCUAAAUAAAACAAAUCAAAACAAAUUAUAAAGCUCAAUUCUUAAUAAACCUAUUAUUUAAUAGUUAAAUUGAAAAAAAAUAAUCUAAAAAAAGGACACAAAAAAAAUGACAUUUCAAAACAAAAUUAUGAAAAUGUCACUAGCAGUCUCGCAAGGCCUUUCUAAACUCCAAUUGCUCUAUAAUUUUAACCUGAGAUAUAACAAUAUGUUAGGAAAAUCUUCAUAAGAUUUCAGUCUGAUCCACCAAUCGAAUUGAAAGAUAUGAUUGAUAUCGUAAAACUAGCUAAUAUUGUUUUAGAAAAAAAAAACAUUAUUUGGCCGGAAUGGAACCGGAACAUUCGAGCCAGAAUUUUGGCGGAAUUUAUGGAACGGGCUAAGACUCUGAGCAAGAUGAAAUUUGUUUCAGUUUGUUUUAUUUUUUAAAUUGGAAAGAGAUAUACCAGUCAUUUUGAAUGGAACAUAACAAAAUUGACAACCUUGUAUCAUGGUUGAUUAGAGUUUUUUUUUUUUUGUCUUUUUUUUCAAAAAUUUUUCCAACAUUGAGUUGAUUGGUAAUCGAGCUUCAUAAUUUAUAUGUUAACAUGCCAAAUUCAUGACCUGAGUCAUGAGACUAUAAUAACCUCAUAAAAGUAUAUUGAACAAAUUACAAAGCAUAAUUCUCAACCACCAGUGUUUAAAAAUGAAAUUGAAAAAAUAACAUAAAAAAUGACUCAAGUCAACUCAAGAACCUGCCAAAUCCGUGAUCCAGGUCACAAGACCUAGAUAACCUCAUAGAAAGCAAACUGAAAAAAUAAUUCGGGUCAACCUAGGUUACCCUGCCAAACACGCAACUCAGGUCAUAAAACUAGGAUAAUGCUAUAUAAAGCAAAUAGCAACAAAUUUUAAAGCAUAAAUCUCAAUCAACUUAUUUUAAAGCAUAAAUCCCAAUCAACUUAUUACAAUUCACUCGCAUUGUUCACUUUAGUGAACAGUGCUACAGUGGAGCCAUGCUCCACUGUUGAGGUUUCUCCCAGACGAGAAGCAAUAAAACGUUUAAGGAAAUAAAUGUUGCUUCUCCAAAACCUGCGGUGCCAUAUGGGUCCUACGUGCUGAAAGCACUUUUAUUUUCUUAACCAAACGUUUAUUAGCGUGGCUGCGGGUGAACCUCACCCGCAACCACGUUACCAAACGAGCACUUAGUCUCAAAGAAGAAACAAUUACUUGGUUCUAUAUCCUUAGCACGUCAAACAUGAGGGUAUGAACAGUAACCAUUGUGUCCACUAUAAAAUAUAAGGGGGUGAACAGUGCGGCUACAAAGUAUUCACCCCACACACUUUAUAUUAUAAGUAACUAGUUUUUGUAUUGGCACUCCGCGGCGGGGUGGUUAUUUUUUUAAGUAAAAAAAUAAUAAUAAGCAGGCUCUUACAAUGCACUUUUUAAUAUAAUUUUUUUUCAAUCACAAAUCAAAAUGCCUAUACAUAUAUUUAGUAAUUAGAUCGAUAUUUGAUAAAUAGGUAACUAAGAUUAAGAUAUUUGAUAUCACGACAUGAAUCAUGUGCUUAGUUGUGUUUAACAAUUAUGUUUCCUAGAGUUUUUUUUUAUGAACCAACCAUAUAUUCCGAUAAAAGGUAACAAAAAAUUCAUACCAAUAUUGAAUGAAGAAACUAAAAAAAAAAACCAAUAAAAAAAAGACUGUAUAAAUACACUAAUUUAUUGACCAUAUUGACAAAACAAGUCAAAACUGUAUAAAUACACUAAUUUAUUGACCAUAAGUAAAUGAUUGAGAUAAUAAUACGAAAAGAAAAACUUUUUACCGGACAAUGAUCAAUCCUGGUGAUGUCCAAAGUGUAAAUCAAACAUUUUAUAUCUUGCCAUGAGAAACAAAUAUAUCACAACUUGUUUUUAUUGUAUUCUAUUAUGACUUGUUUUGUGCCUUACAUUAUUUAAUAUAUUAAAAUAAAUUUAAUAAAUUAUACUGAAGCAAGAUCUAAUAUUAGAAAGUUAACGGAAAUAAUAAAUAUAUUUUUAAAUAUAUUUACAGUUCGGUCCCUUAAUUAACUUUUUGUUUGUAAAAUGUGGAGCUGUCAGCAAUAUUUCCUUAGUUUGUGUCGCUAACUGUGAUUAAAGGAUCAAUUAAUUAUUUAUUUAAAUCAACCAGAGGGAUUAAUCUGUUUGUUUAACAAAAAUACAGACACUAAUUAAAUAGAAUUUAACUCAAAUUUUAAUAAUCAAUAUUUUUAGAUGGAAUCUUGGUAGAAAAUUUAAUCAUCAUAUCCUGGGUAUUUUGGAAACAAAAUUGGAAACUUUGAAUGAUUUCACUAUUACUGCUAUAUGGGGUCGUCAUCCUAGGGCUUGGUAUGCAGUUCCCUCAUUAGGCCUUUCGGGGGGAUAUUAUGUAUAUGGAAUCCGAAUCUUUUUUGUGUCUCUAGCUGUUCUGUUGCUAUGAAUGGCUGUAUUUUGCAUAUUGAAGGCACCUUCACUCGGUCCAAUCUAGAUUGCCUAGUCUCUUUUGUAUAUGCUCCGAAUGUUGGGAACCUGAAGAAUGAGCUGUGGACUUAUCUUGUUACAUUCAGGGAUAGUGUUAGCAUGUCGUGGUGUCUUGCAGGUGAUUUUAAUGAAACCUUAUUCCCAUCAGAUAGGAAAGGCGGCUCACAAAUAACAUCUUCCAUGACAAGAUUUCAAAAUUGCAUUGAUGGUUGUAAUCUUAUGGAGCUCCCCUUAAAUGGGAGAAAAUUUACAUGGUCUCGAGGUAAUGCGGCGAGCCGUAUUGAUAGAAUAUUUUUAUUGGGGGAUUGGUUGCAGGCUUUCCCGUCCUCUACUUUAUUCGGUCUCUCAAAAUAUUCAUCUGAUCAUAGGCCUCUGCAUCUGUUGCUAGACUCUACAAAUUGGGGCCCGAAACCUUUUCGCUUCAUGAAUUGCUGGUGGCUUGCGUCUGAUUUCAGGAUUAUGAUUCAGAGCUUUUGGAGAUCACUCACGGUUUCAAAAUCUGGCAUAAGGAAAAUGGUCCCAGCUCUAAAGAUGUUGAAAGAGAGAUGUCGGCAGUGGAGUAAAGCUACUGUGGGAAACAUGAAUAACAGAAUUGAAGAACUGGAACUUGAAGCUGACUCAAUGGAUCAUCAAAAUGAGUGCAGGGUUUUGACUGCUGAUGAACUGAUUAGAAGUAAUUCCAUUGCCUCCCGGCUCAAAAUCCUGUAUAGAGCUCAAGAGUCUGCCUAGCAUUAGAAGUCAAGAAUUCAGUGGUGUAAGCUUGGAGAUAAAAAUACCCGAUUCUUUCAUUUAGCUGCAACAACAAGACAGAAAAAGAAUCAGCUUGCAUGCCUAGAGGUUGAUGGACAGAUCCUAUCUAAACCAAGCGAUGUGAAUCUAGCUGUCUUUCACUUUUUCCGCAACCUAUACUCCCAUCAGAACAGACCUAGAGCUUCAUGUUCAAACCUGGAAUUCUCAAGGCUGAAGCAUUCAUCCUCGGCUGCUCUUGAAUUGCCAUUUUCUGCAGAAGAGAUUACAGCAGCUGUGUGGGAUUGUGAUGGAAAUAAAGCUCCAGGUCCUGAUGGUAUUAACUUCCUUUUCAUCAAGAAAGCAUGGAACAUUAUAGGUGAGGACAUUAUCCAGAUGGUUGAUGAAUUCUAUCGGACUAAUCUCCUUCCUGCAGGUAUCAAUAGCACCUUUGUUACUCUUAUUCCGAAGAUUAAAGGUGCUAACAAGCUAUCAGAUUUCAGACCUAUUAGUUUGGUGGGCAGCCUAUACAAGAUCUUCUCAAAGAUUCUAGCAACUAGGUUGAAACAUGUUAUGCCAGAGGUCAUCUCUCAUCAUCAAAAUGCUUUCAUCAAAGGGAGGCAAAUUUUAGACAGCGUCUUGAUUGCAAAUGAGGUUCUUUCUUUCAUCAAGAAGAAAAAGGGUAAAGCUUAUCUUUUCAAAUUAGAUUUUCAUAAAGCCUUUGAUUCGGUGUUAUGGGAAUAUAUUAAUGAAAUCAUGGCUAGUAUGGGCUUUGACCUGGUUUAUGCAAUGCAUAUCAACGGCAAAAAUGUCUGUGCUUGUUAAUGGGUCUCCCACGGAGGAAUUCUGCUUAGCAAAAGGCCUACGCCAAGGAGACCCUCUCUCUCCGUUUCUCUUCAACAUUGCAGUCCAGGGCUUGAGUUGUAUGUUGCAGCGUGGCUGUGAUUUGGGUUUGACUUCGGGUAUAAACAUCGGCAAUACAGGGCUUGUCAUAUCUCACUUACAGUUUGCGGACGACACCCUUAUGUUCAGUUCAGACUCUUUACAUAGCAUGCAGAACAUUAAACGUAUCCUAUUAUGCUUUGAACUUGUCUCGGGGCUGAAGGUCAAUUUUUAUAAAAGCAGCAUUGUGGGUGUGGGUGUAGCAGCUCAUACAUGUAACUUCACGGCUCAGCUUCUCAGAUGCAAGCAGGAUCAGCUGCCUCUCAUGUAUCUUGGGCUCCCCAUUGGUGGAAACUUGGGCAGAGCUACAAUGUGGAAUCCUAUUUUGCGCAAUAUCAGUUGCCGAUUGGCUUCGUGGAAAGGCAGGUUCUUAUAUAUUGGGGGCUGUUUGUGCUUGAUUAAAUCUGUGCUCAGUAAUCUCCCCAUCUACUACCUAUCUAUGUUCCCCAUGCCUGUUACGGUAGCCUCCAAAAUUGAUCAGAAACUUCGAUCCUUCCUCUGGUCAGGAAAUGAGGAAAGGCACAAAAUAUGCAAUGUCAGCUGGGCCACUGUUACUCUUCCAAAACAUGCGGGGGGUCUUGGGAUUGGUUCCUUAAGGGACAAAAACACAGCUCUGCUAUUUAAAUGGUUAUGGAGGUUUGGGUUAGAGGAAUCAAGUAUGUGGAAGGAUGUGAUCAAAAGCAUCCACAACACCAAUUGCUCUAAACUGCUGCUGCAAGCUCCUAUUCCAGGAGCUGCAACUACAUGGUCCCGGAUUGUUAAUCAUUGUGUGAGAAAUAAUAAGCUGCAGGAUAUUGUGAAUGAGCAAUCUCUGGUUCUUAUCGGAAAUGGCAAGAAGACUAUGUUUUGGCUUGAUUGCUGGCUUAAUAACCACUGUUUAGCAGAGCACUUCCCUACUCUUUUCCAAUUAUCCAAUGACAAAGCUGCCAGCAUUGCUAAGAUGGGAAUAUGGGAAGGGUAUAAGUGGAUUUGGGUUUUUUCCUGGAUACGUCCACUACGGGGGCGAAACAUUGGCUUGCUCGAUCAACUAUAUGCAAUCCUAUCGACAGUAUUGGUAAGCCAUGGCCAUCUUCUUGGUAUGUUCUCUGUUCCAGUUGGUAUUUUAGACUCUAAUAUUGCUGAGUUAAGGGCUAUUGUCAAAGCCAUUGAACUAUCAGCAUCUAAUUGUCUCCUCCACCAUCAACACCUCAUCAUAGAAUCUGACUCUGUCAAUGUUAUUAGCUAGAUGAAUAAGCCUCACAGCCGUCCCUGGAAGCAUCAUAAUUUGUUCUCCUUUGUUAAUAGACUGAAACCAUAUUUUGGUUCAAUCACCUUCUCCCAUAUCUUUCAUGAAAGUAAUUGCAUGACAGAUUGCAUGGCUAAACAAGGAGUGCGGAGAUCAAGUGAAUUUGUUGCCUGGCUUUGACUCCACCAUUUUUCUGUGGCCUUGCUCUUGUGUCUUCUGCCAUUAUGUCUUUGAGUUAUUUCUGUUAUGUUUUGUAGAGGAAUGUUUAGCUUUGAGCUCAUUCGGAUGGAUAUUCUAUGGUUUUCUUUGCUUUUGUUUAUCUUAGUCUGCGCUUUAUCCUAUAUAUGGCUUUUUGCCAUAGUAAGAUAAUGUGUAGCUUCUGUACUACUCCCGCCAGACUUUGGCGUUUAAUAAUAUACGCAUCUUUCAAAAAAAAUCCAUGUGAAUCGCACGACUUGUCCAUAUCUUUCUUAUUGAUUACAAAUAGCAUUGAGAAUUAAAGAAUAUUAUCUUAAUAAGUUCCAAUUUAUUCUACAAAAACUAUAUAUAAAGAUGUAUACAAAUUAGUUAUUUAUUGUUUGUAAGUAUUAUUGUAUUGCAAAGACAAAAAUAAGAUGCAACUUAUGGCGUGGUCGUCCAACCUGGUUCAGGUUUUGAUCCUGUUAAAAAUCUAUUUUGUUGAAUUGUUAUCUACUUGUGAGUUAUUGGGUUAACUAGAUCAAUUUUUUAAACAAAACAAUAUCAUUUAAAAAAAAAAAAUUGGUUCUGACUUAGAAAUAUAAUAUUAGAAACUUAAAUCUUAUUAUUAUAAAAGACUCAAUGGUAAAUUUAGUUUUGAAAUAGAUUUUUGUAAAAUCAAAUAUCAACUAAGCACCUGGAAAUUUAUUUGAAAUUACAAUAACCUUGUAGAAAACAAACAUAAAUAGAAUUAUUAAAUUCAAUGGAGUCCAUGACCUGAAUUACGGGUUCAACGGGUUAAGCCACGAAGCUCUGAUCGAUUUAAAAUAUUGUCGUCUUAAUAUAAAAAAAAAAUACAUCUUAAAAAAAAUAAAUUAAGCUAGACUACGUUUUUACCUAUUAUCUGGGUUGUUUUUAGGUUCAUCAUUUCGACUGAGUUAUAUUAGGACAACUACUACAUAAUUUAAUUUAAAAUUAAAGCUAAACAAGAAAUUAGGUAAAGAGAUUUUAAGAUUGAUUUGUUGGAUUGGAUUUAAUAACAAUACAAAAAAUCUAAAUAUUUCUUUUUUAUUAAAAAAAAAUUCAAUCCAACUCUCAUCGUAACGCAGUAUAGUAAGAUAAAUAGAUAUAAAUAUUUUGAUGGAUACUCGGGAUAAAAGAUUGUUUGAGGACAUUUUGCUAAUUUCUUUUGUUAUCUAAUCAAUCAAGCUCAUAGUGAAUAAGUAUAUUAAUAUAUACAAUUAAAUUAAAUAACAUAUAAGAGAAAAAUGGUCGCAAGCUAAAGCUAAAGUGAUGCGACGUUGAGCCACUAGUCGAUAGUUGUAACGUCAGUUUGUUGGUUCGUCGUUCGUUUCUCGGGCGAGUUUGGUUGUGCUAAACACAAUGAACCAAUAGAGUGCUUUGCUUUCUUACUUGGAGAUUCUGGAGCCUUGGAUUUUUUGAUAUUUAGGUUAUCUGUUUCUAGAAAAGAAAGAAAGAAAUAUUUAUAUUAUCAAUGCAAUGCAAUGAAACGACUAAAUAACAUUUAAUUAUUAUCAUAGCUUUGUCCUCGUACCUAAGGAAGUAUACUACGUCUUUUUCUCCAUUGUUUGAGUUUGAAAUUAUAUCUGUGAACCCAUUAAUUUAUCUAGAAAAAACAUUUAUUGGGUAAUUGGAUCAAUCAUUGAGGUCGUCAUAUCAUAUAUAAACCAAUUAUUUUAAUUAAAACAAUAUCAUUUUAUUUAAAAUUAAAUUUAUAAUACUAACUGAAUCCCUAAAAACACAAUUAGACCAAUCAAGUUUUAGCAAGUUAAUUUUUUUUUUUAAUUUUUUCAUAUUUAACUUGAAAUUCAAUCCAAAUUAAAUUAUAAAUUAUGGGUUUCUUAAAUUAACACAUGUUGGGUCAGGUCUACCAAUUAUGAUUGGAAUCCAGGGUUAAUAUCUAGAAGAAUUUAUUAAAUUUCUGUAUAAUUAGUCAAUCGAUGAGGGAAUUUAGUUUUGAUUGAUGGAGAAAUUAAUUUAAAGAUACCAUGCAAGAUAUAUAUAUAUAUAUAAACAUUUAAAGGGAAACGGACCCACCAUCAAUUAUUGUUAUUCGUUUAAUUAUAAAUAGAAUGAAGAGAAUGAUGCUCGCUGCACUUUUAUCAGCGACUGAUAAACCCCAGAAGGAGAACACUCUACAGAAUUAUUCCAUACUUUUUCGUAAAUUAUAAAUUAAAAAGAAAUUGGUUAUAACAUGGUUAACGAACACAGCACAAAAAUAAACAGGUGUAUUUCUUACAUAAAUUCUUAUUGUUUUGUUUUUCCAUUGGUUUCAUGAAAUUCUCUCAACAAUUGAACAAAAAACACUACAUCAUAGCUCACAAACAUACAUUUUAUAAGUCAAUUAAACCUCUUGUUUUUCUUAUGUGUCUUUUUAUUGUAAUCUCUGCAAGGUGACACCUGACAGAGCAAUCUGUUGAUAGGUCCAAUUCUGCUUUAUGUUGUGUUUCUUGCUGAGCAAAUAAAGGUCAUGGGUUUUCUUUCUUUCUUUUUCCCUUAUAAAAAUGGUCAUGCGGCCACAGACAGUUGCGAAAAAAAAGAAGCACUUAAUUAUCACUUAUUUGGUAAGUAGCGUACUUAUCAGAUGACCCUCAACCAUCAGUACCCAUUAUAAAUUAAUGUCGACAAGAGUAAAAUUAGGAGUUACCGUGACUUUCCAACAUCUAUCAUUAUAAAUUAAGUAUCAACAACGAUUAAGACUAAUUGUUUUACCAAGAUUCUCAACCAUUGUAAAAAUAGAUUUGAAAAAAAAAUCAUAGCAAAAAUUCAAAAAAAUAAAAAUUGCAUUGCUUUCCAUAUAUAUUUUAGUUUUUCUUAUAAUAAUAAUAAUAAUUAUAGUCUCUCGUGUCUCACAACUGUAUGUGUUUUUUCUUGAAUAAGCGCUAAUGUUCUUUGAGGGGUCCAAGCACCAUAUACUGAAAGAAAGAACUAGUUCAAAUUGAAGCACCAUGAGUUUCUCUACGGCUUGGUUCACCACCUGCUGGUGCGGCAAGUUAUGAACUAGCUGGCUAGUUUUUUGCUUCCUUGGUUUUAGAAGCACCAUGUGUUCAAAGAAUAGUCAACAAAGAAAAAGAAAAAGAAAAAGAGAAGGGCAAAAGGUUAAUUAAAAUCAGCAGGACUGCCAUGAGGCAACCUCAAGUAGUGAACUUGAAGGAAUAAAAAGUGCUGGGAAGUAAUUUUUGCUGAAACUUCUUGUGUAACAUCUUCUUUUGAUGAUGACCUCUUGGAUGGCUGCAUGAAGCUUGUUCCGUUUUAAAUUUCAAGGUUAAUCUAUUUCUAUGAGCAUUGGUGUUUCAAUUUCAACCUUAAGUUGCAACUGAACUUAAAUGAAUAGUGUUGGAUUUGGGCCUUCUAUUUGCUUUAACUUCUACAGGAUUGAAAUGAUAGUGAUCUUAAAGUACAAAAGCAGCAGACAAAAAUCAAUUAGCCACAAUAUAUAGUGUAUGGUUUCCUAGUUUCUCAGUAUAAAGUUGAAUGUUUUGGUGAUAUCUCUACAUCCAAAAUCAUAUAGACAGCUACUGCUGGCACUUGCAGUGGUCAAUGAAUACUAUAGAGUACAUAUUGCAGUUUGAGAUAAGGUUAACUCGUUGCAUUUUCAUAUAUUGAAAGGAUUUCUCUUCUUUUCUUUGUCAGUUACAGAACAUGCAUAGAAGUGUUCUUAUUCAGAGUAAAUGCUAUUGUAAUGUUUUCACGGACUCCCUUGCUUUGCAACUAAGUCACUAAUUAUCUUGGAACAUAGCCAUAAAUAAAAGGUUCUUCCAGUUCAAGAAAAUUAACCAUGAAGCUAGUAGCUAGAAUUUUUAGACAGAAUGGUGGCCAAGUAAACUCCUAUACUCUGUACCUCUGGAAUAAUGCAGGGAAAGGAUGUCUAUGUAUUUUGAUGUCUUAUAUUACUUGACCAACUCUUGCUUAUCUCAUUAUUUGUUUUUACUUUUUGCUAAUGAUUCCACACAUUUUUGAUAUUGGUGUGGUUUAUGACUUCAGGGUUCUUACUCGCUACUGCAACUUCUCUAUACUUGCUUGGUCAUUAAAUAUGAAACGUGAUGAUUUGCAUAUGCAGAAUGGAGACAUUAAAGAGGCAUCUUCUGUUUUCUAGUUAGGAGGGAUUACCAGAACUCAAGAAAUUUGUCGUACAUUUUGAGGAAAAGAUUUAUACCACCGCUACCAAUCAGGUAUUUGCCUAAUGCGAGGUUCAAUAAUUACGAUAUUAUCUAGACAUGAAUAUACACACGCAUUUAUGCUUGUACAAAUGUGUGUGUAGUGUGCCUACAUUUCCACACCUUUCAUUCUGUAUGCAAGGCUGAUUAAGAGUUCGCAUCUUUUUGUUAAUUCUCUUGACAAGUGUUUUAUUUAGAGUGACCAAGUUCAAGUACAUGGGAAGUGUGCAAAAAGCAAAUAGCGAAUCAAUACAUAAAUAAGUAAAUAAAAAGAGAGGAAACAGAAGUCUAUCCUCACAAAAGAUGAAAUGAUAGAGCAUAUAUCCAUUUUCCUCCUCUUGUAACAUGGAUUGCUCUGAGAUCUAAUGUUUUGUUAUUAAUAUCUUAUUUUAGUCUGAUUAUCUGCAUAAAAUAUCUCUGGUGAUGCUUUUGAUGAAGAUCAGGUCUCAAAAUGCCAUGCCCACUGCCCCCAUGGAUCCAGCAGGUAAUAAUGCAUUCGAGCAUCGAAUUUCUAAACAUCUUACCUUUUGUUUUUCUUCUCGCAUUGUUAUCAAACUUUUUUACAUUUUAUUGUUCCAUAUUGCUAUGUAUAUCGCCUUGCUGGCAAAAUGUCAUGAUCACCUCCACAAUACUAAUUCUGUAAUGCGUGUGAAGUGUUUCAUCCUUAACUUGUUAAUGAACGAGGACUAUGAUGCAUGGCUAUUUUAUAUUUUAUGAUUGAGAUGGUAGAUUUUAAAGAUUUUCCUUUUUAGGAGAUAAGACGUCACUUUCUUGCUUUUCUUCCGAGAGUAUUCGAUCCUUUUUUCGUACAAAAUAAUGAUGCCAUGCAUUGAAUUCCCAAACAUAUUACCUUAUGUUUUGUUUGGUCGCAUUGUUAUCAAACUCUUUUACAUUUUAUUGCGGCAUAUUGCUAUGUGUAUGGCAUGCUUUAAUCAAAAAUUUGAUUAAUUGAUGAAUGUUAGGCAAGAAAAUUACAGAAUAUUUUUGUUUUUUGCCUCCUCCUUUUCUUUCCCCCACUCCGAAAAUUGUCAUAUUAUUUUUGUUUUCAACCGCCUCUUCUUCCCCCAACCCUGAAAAUUGUUUAUAUUUGCUUUGGAAGCAUGGCAAACUUCACUGCCUCUCAGCUUAAGGAGAUUGCAGCAGGUCUCGAAGCUUCUGGGCAUCAAUUUAUCCGGGUAGUUAGAAGAAACAAAAAGAGUCAAGAAGACAAGGAAGAUUGUUUACCCGAAGGAUUUGAGGAAAGAAUGGAAGGCAAAAGGAUGGAUACUCCAAGUUUUGAUUCUUGAUUAUAAAGCAAUAGGUGCAUUUGUGACUCAUUGAGGAUGGAACUCAACUCUUGAAGGCAUAAGGCCAAUAUUUGCUGAGCAAUUCUAUAAUGAAAAGUUGGUGACUGAUGUUUUAAAAGUUGGUGCUGUCGUUGAAUAUAUUAUAGCUGUCAAGGUUCUUGAGUUUUCCCAAAUGUGAUGAUAUGAUCUCAAAACCUGCAAGAGAGUUGUUUGUAAGAGUAAGUCAUGAUGAGCUCACGAUAUGCAAAACAGAUAGAAACAAAAGAUAAUUAGAAUUGAUGAGAUGCUGUUGUUCAAUUGAUGUAUGAUUCUCAAAUUAUACAUACAUAUAUAUAUAUAUAUAUAUAUAUAUAUAUAUAUAUAUAUAUAUAUAUAUAUAUAUAUAUAAUUGAUAUUUAUAAAAGCAUUAACUGUAGCUGAUAUAGUUUUAGAGGAAUAUUUGGUACUUUGUUUCCCAAAAAAAAAAAUAGAUUUUUCUGCGAAGUAGGAAAAAAAAAAAAAAAAACUGUUCAAAACUUAUUCAAGAAAUUAUACAGUUAGCGAGUCACAGAUGAUGAAUCUUAAAAAAAAUUGGCAAUAAUAACAGUACUCUAUUACUAUUAAUUAACUUAAAUAUUCAAAACUUAAAAAUAUUUUUUAAAUUUAUCCAUGCCAAUUUAUCUUAAGAGAGUCGCAAUCUGUGACUAGUUAAAUUAUAUUAUUUCUUUAAAUAAAUUUUGCAUUGUGUUAUUUUUUGUUCUAGGUGCUAUUUUGCAAAAAAAGAAAAGAAAAGAAAGAUUAACGUUUCAGUUAUUCAUUGUUCUUGGAUUUGUAGGUAUAACAACUGAAGAUAGCAAUCAAAAGCGAUGGUGACAUGGUAGAGCUUUGAGUUAUUGCUGUGUUCUAAUGAUGAAGAUGUAGGAAAACGAUCUCCCUUCUGCUGUCUGGAGCUGGGCUUCCUCUCCCUGUAAGAACAAGCAACAUCUUAUCUGCGUUGUUGUUAGUGGCCACUUCAUCGACCCAUUAGUGGGUGGAUUUUAAGCUUAAAAAGGAUUUUUUUUAAAAAAAAAAUAAAGGAAGAAAGAAAGGAGAGGGGGGGCAUCAUCACGUGAAAAGCAAGGAGGUUGCCACCCAUUAUAGAGUGUGGGGCACUCUUGCAUCUAAGAAUAUAUGAUCCUGAGGUUGUUCUGGUGAUGGGUAUUGGCCAUUACAUAAAGCUUCGACAAGCCCUUUUAGCUGCCUGUUAUUAGAAUUUGUAUAAUGAGCAUUCAAACUUAAACUUCUUUAAAUGGGAUGAAAACGAGUGAAAAUCAAGAAGUUGGAGGUGUUCAUCUCUAAUGCAUAGCUGAAGAUCCUUUGUAAGAAAAUACAGCUAAAGACAAAGUGUGUGUGUGUAACAGAGAAAUUGUCGAUAAUAGCAAUCAUGUUCUUUGUCUCUUGUGUCAUAUCUUCCAAAAAUCUUAAAGUAAUUGAUGAAAAAGUGGAUAUACCACUUUGUCUUCUUUAUAGCACUACUGGCCAAUAUGAGUUAAAAGCAUUAAAAGGUCGUGAACGCGGAUGCUUGACGAGCGAGUGUUUACUUGUUAAUUUUUUUAGAAGGAAUCUGGAAAAGAAUAAAGUCAUCUAUUUCACUUUGGGACAACAUUCCUCACCUCUCCCCGCCCGAGCUCUCUCCCUCCCUCCCUCCCUCCCUCGCUCGCUCCCUCUUCCGCCUCUCGGAAACCGCCGCAUCCAUUAAGGCUUCAGAUUUCUGCCAGGUGCUUCCUUUUCUAUCAUGCUUUUGUUUUUAAAAUUUAUGGGUGUUUUCAUUUAUUUUAUUGUAAUUAUUAUUCAGAGACAGAAAUCCAUUUUAAUAAGUAAAUUAAAAAAAAACAAAUAAUCGAUCCGAUGAAAUCUCUGCUAGUGAACGCAAUUCGAUUUUAAUAAGUAAAUUAAAAAAGUAUAUAAUCGGAUCCGAUGAAAUCGCUGCUCGUGAACGCAAUUCAAAGAAACGCACAAUCAGCCGAUUCUAAUAUUUUCUUUUGCAACCCCACCCUAAUUUACAUGAUAUUAUUCGAUUUUUCUCACAGUUAUUGUUGUAAUAAUCAAGCCCUGAAUUCUUGAACCCAAAUUUAUCUUAUUUUAUUUUAUUUUUUAGUUUUAUUUUUAAGUGGAGAAUAGAAAUCAAUUCAAAUCUUUUAGGCUCGAUCGAUAAUUUGUUAAUUAGUUUAUGCAGCAGCUGGAGUGGAAGGGAUAUUACUGCCGGAAUGGCCGAAAAAUGAGCUGUUUGGUUGAUUCUUCUUUUUUGGAAUUUACUGAAUUCUUCAAAAUUAUUGUGUUUUUAACAACAAUACGAUAUCCUUGGGUUUCAUGCUCGCUCACAAAUGGAAAAAAGAAAGAAAGAAAAGAACUUUAAAUUUUAUAAUUUGGUCAUGUUAAUGCUCGUCGUUUUCUUCUUCAUUUUCCUAGCUUAAAACAUCCUAGACAAUCUCUUUGGGAUGGGUUAUUGUUUUUGGCCUCUUCAUCUUCUAUUUGUGCUGUGGUAUUUAGUCUGCUGAUAUUCUUUGGGGAUUAAAAUGCCUCGUUUUAUGACUUUGUUUUGUUUUCUUCUUCUUUCUUUAUUCUUUUGGGGAUGUGGUAUUCUCCUCUUUCUAUUUACACUCUUUGCUCCCUACAACAUUUAUUCUUUCAGAAAAGUAAAUACAUACAUAAAUAACAACAGGAGAGGAGGGGGAGGGGGAGGGGGUUUGACGGUAUGUAUUUGGAUGCAUGAUAUCUAAAUUGGUAAGCACCUGAAAAAGGUCCUGAAUCUAAAUUGGUAAGAUGUGAUAUACUGAUAUCUAGAGAGAUAACUUAAUCUAUCUAUUGAAGUAAAGCAUUUAAAUGCGUAUACAAUGUUUUUGGAUCAUUAAAUAUCUAUUUGAUCAGAAUCUGUGAACCUAAAGCCACAAUGAAUACAAAUGCAAGUUUGUCAUUGUAAACAUUGCAUCGAUGAUGCAUCACAGGUGUUGCUAGAAAACAUCAAGUUAAAAUUGAAGCACCAUGAGUUUCUCUAUGGCUUGGUUUACCAACACUCACCAUCAGUUGGUGCGGCAAGUUAUGAACUAGCUGGCUAGUUUUUCGCUUCCUUGGUUUUAGAAGCACCAUGAAGAUUCAGGCCCAAAUCUUGCUUACAAUACUCAAAUACCCAAGAUCCUAGCACCUUGCCCUGAAUGGUCGUGUAUAUUUGUUAUGGCUGUUCAGAUUUUAUGCAUCCAUGUUUGGUAGAAUUCUUUAAUAAAGUACAUGCUAUUAGAUGGAAGUUCUCUUUAAAUCUAUUCAAGUCUGAAUAAACUGAUAUUCCAAUUUUCAUGACUUUGAUUAGGCGGAGAACUUGUGAUGGACACAGGUGAUUGGAGAACUCAAUUGCAGCCUGGCUCACGGCAAAGAAUAGUCAACAGAAUGUAAGUAUCUGUUUGCUAAUAUGUACAAGUGCUGCAAAAUAGUAAAUCUUGUAUUUAAAUGAAAGAAAAAGAGAAGGGCAAAAGGUUAAUUAAAAUCAGCAGGACUGCCAUGAGGCAACCUCAAGUAUCAUACACUGCUGUUUUUGUCUUUUUCAUUUUUCACGUGUUUCUCACAAGAAGUGAACUUGAGGGAAUAAAAAGUGCUGGGAAGGAAUUUUGGUGGAACUUCUUGUGUAACAUCUUCUUUCAAUGAUGACCUCUUGGAUGGCUGCAUGAAGCUUGUUCCGCUUUAAAUUUCAAGGUUAAUCUAUUGCUAUGAACAUUGGUGUUUCAAUUUCAACCUUGAGUUGCAACUGAACUUAAAUGAAUAGUGUUGGAUUUGGGCCUUCCAUUUGUUUUAACUUCUACAUGGUUGAAAUGAUAGUGAUCUUAAAAUAGAAAAGCAGUUGAAUGUUGAAUGGUGUAUGGUUUCCUAGUUUCUCAGCAUAAAGUUGAAUGUUUUGGUGAUAUCUCUACAUCCAAAAUCAUAUAGACAGCUACUGUUGGCACUUGCAGUAGCCAAUGAGCACUGUAGAGUAUAUAUUCCAGUGUGAGAUAAGGUUAACUCAUUGCAUUUUCAUAAAUUAAAGGGAUUUCUCUUCUUUUCUUUGUCAAUUACGGUGCAUGUAUAAAAGUUUUCUUACUUAGAGUAAAUGCUAUUGUAAUGUUUUCACAGAAUUCCCCUGGUUUGCAACUAAUUCACUUAUAUAUCUUGGAGCAUAGCCAUAGCCAUAGCCGUAAAUGGAAGGUUCUUCUGGUUCAAGAAAAUUAACCAUGAAGCUCGUAAUUAAAAUUUUAGACAGAAGGGUGGCCAAAUGAACUCCUAUACCCUGUACCUCUGGAAUAAUACGGGGAAAGGAAGUAAAAAUAGAUGUCUGUAUUCUGAUGCCAUAUAUUACUUGACCGACACUCGGCUAUAUCAUUAGUUGUUUUUAUUUUUUGCUAAUGAUUCCAUUGAAUACAUUUCUGAUAUUGGUGUGGUGUGUGAGUUCAUGGUUAUUUCUCACUGCUGCUAACUUCUCUAUACCUACCUUGUCAUUAAAAAUUAAACGUAAUGUUUUACAUGUGCAGAAUGGAGAUAUUAAAGAGGCAUCUUCCGUUUUCUGGUCAAGAGGGAUUACAAGAACUCAAGAAAAUUGCUGUACGGUUUGAGGAAAAGGUUUAUACUGCCGCCACCAGUCAGGUAUUCGGCUAAUGCUAGGUUCAAUAAUUUCGAUAUUCUCUAGACAUGAAUAUAAACAUGCAUAAGUUUGUGGAUUUAUGCAUGUACACGUGUGUGUAGUGUGUCCACACUCUCACUGGUCAUUCCGUAGAAGUUCUCAUCUGUUCAUUAAUUCUCUUGACAAGUGUUUUAUUUAGAGUGACCAAGGUUCUUUUCAAGUACAAGGGAAGUGUGCAAAAUGCAAAUAACGAAUCAAUACAUAAAUAAUUAAAUAAAAAGAUAGGAUACAGAAGUAUAUCCUAUAUCCUCACAGAAGACGCAAAUAUAGAAAGCCUAGCAUAUUAGAAAGAGCAUUUAUCCCUUUCCCCCCUUCUCUUGUAACAUGGACUGCUCAGAGAUCUAAUGUUUCCUUAUUGAUAUCUGAUUUCAGUCUGAUUAUCUGCGUAAAAUAUCUCUGAAGAUGCCUCAGAAUACCAUACCCACUGGCAAUGGUAACAAACCCCUGUAUCCAGGGGGGAAGUGUGCAAAAUCCAAGCUUUGAAUUUCUAAACAUCCUUACCUUUUGUUUUAUAUUUCGCAUUGUUAUCAGACCCUUUUACAUUUUAUUGCUGCAUUUUGCUAUGUAUAUACUAAUCCCUGUACUUUUACAUUAUGUUAAUAAACUGGUCCCUUCAUUAGUUUUUUGUUAGUCAAAUGUAGAGUUGUUAGCAAUAUUUCCUCAAUUUGUUCCACUAACUUGACGUUAAAAUGUGACCAAAGAAUCAAUUAAUUAUUUAAAAAACUUGAGGGAUUAAUUUGUUUGUUUCACAAAAAAAUACAGUGGUUAAAUAAAAUUUUACUCAAAUUUUUAUCAUCAUAUUCGUGAGUGUUUACUUGUAAAUAUUUUGGAAUGAACACAGUGGUUAAGUUUAUGUUUUGCGCAGCAUAAAAAAAAUCAUCUAGGCUUAAAUAAUUAUUUGGCAUCAUAAUUAAAACUCUAAUCCAAAUUUCUCUCAUCUGGCUUCUUAUCUAUAUCAAGUUUAAAAUUAACCAAUGUGAAAGUUGCUCUAACAUGAUAUAAUUAAUGUGAUGGGUUCCAAGUCAAUUCAUAUGACCAGUAAAAAAACAUAAUUUAGCUUUAAAAAAAAAAUUCAAGAUGAUACUUGUUUUGAACAUUGAUACGACAUCUUGGAUCGACUCUAGUUUUGUGACGUAACUCUUUAAACCCAUGACUUGAAUAAUGGAUUCUAUCUGGUUUAAUUUUUUAUAAAAAAAAUUAUUUUUUACUUAAUAAUAUGAUAAUAAAAAUAAAAACUCGUAAAAUUGAGCACUAAUCAAAUAUUAAGAUAUUUAUUUGAGACUGCAAUAACAUCAUUGAAAGCAAAUUGAAACAAAAUCAAUUCAAAAUCAAAUAAAUGUUAAACAAAUAUUAAAAGAUGAAACCAGACAAAAGCCAAAAAGGAUUUAAUUGAAAGAAAGAAAAUAUUGGAAUGUAGAGUUUAAAAACUAAGGAAUAAUAUUUAUUAAACUUGAUCCUAAUCUAUCGACUUGACUUCUUACCUAACAUAUAUUUAAAAUUAAUUUGUAAGGGAGUUGUCUGUACAUUACCUAGUUGACUUGACAUGUGCAAAUUAAAGCAACCUGAAUGACCAAUAAAAACAUGGUUUGGAUUUUAAGAAAAAAAAUCAAGAUAUCUUUUUUUUUUAAUAUUGAGACGAAAAUAUAUUAGAUCAACUCAAGCUCCGUGGCUAAACUCGUCAAAUACGCAACCCAGAUCAUGAACUCCACUAGAUUUAAAAACUAUUUUUUUAUAUAAUGAUACAAUAACUAAUAUAAACACUUAUAAAAUUGAGAACUAAACAAAUUUAGUGACGUUUAUUUGAUAUUGUGAUAACUACAUAUAAAGAAAAAAACAAAUUAUGACCAAUUCAAAAUUAACAAAAUAUUAAAGUGAAAUUGAAAGGAAAAAAAGGGCAAAAAUCAUUCAAUCAAAAGAAGAAAAAAUUAGAAGAUAGAAUUUUUUUUUUAAGGGAGGAUAUGAAUAGCAAAAUAGGAGGGAAAACCCUAACUUUUUUUAGUAUAAUAAAUGAUGUUUAAUUUAAUUAAAAUCUUUAUCUCAUACAAUUAGACCUAAAAAGAGAAGAAAAUUUCUAAAGAUUGAUUUGUAAAAAAACAGAAAAAAAAAUCAAAUCAAGAAGCGAAAAAAUACAAGGACCAAUAUACACACACAUAGUGAAAGAGUUAGAAAAGCAUAACUUUUUUAGUAUAGUAGUUUAUUUCUAAUUAAAUUGAAAACUUUAUCUCAUAUAAUUAGGCCAAAAAAGAAUUAAAUAAAAAAAAAAGGAUUAAUUUAUAAAAAGAAAAAGAAAAAUAAAGAAUACAGAACCAAAUCAACAAAGAAAAAAACUAAUUUUUAAAAAAUAAAGUGCUCCACUAUUCAUAUAAAAUAGAACAUCAUUAUAGUAUCCAAUUAGACAGUGACCCAUAUUACUGGCUAUUUUAAUUUUUUUAAAGAAAAAAAAGUUUCAGUAUUUUCAAAUGUGAUAAGUUUUUUUUUUAUAAAAAAAAACAUAUAUGUGUGCAAGGGAAUAGAGAUUUGGUUUGAGAAUACAUGCUAAAAAUCUAAACAUGAACUAAAACAAAGUGGAAUUAAAAAGAGUAAAAAAAAAAAACCUAAAAGAGAUCCAUGAUUCAUUAUAUAUAUAGACUAUGAGGUUACGAGGUAAAAUAUUAUGGAUUAGCAUAAUAUAAUUACUUUUUACCCUUCUCUACACAACAAUUACCUUGCUAAUAGGGGUAAAGUUGUCUUUUUCAAUGAUUUUAAAGGUUAUUUAUAAAUUCACUGGAGAUAAUUUAGUAGGUUUACUCCUUUUUUGCAUAUUAAAACUACAUCAUUGCCUUUGCAAGCCAAAAAAAGAAAAAACAAUUAACCUUUUGUUUAAGAUCUAUUUUGUAUUUUGUAUUUGAUUUAUACAGUAAAAUGACAUUAAUGCCUUAGAGAGUUAAAAAAUCAUCGACUUUAAGUUACUGGGCCUUAAACUUUGUUAUUUAUUUUGGUUUUUUUUUAUAGGGUUAUUUCUAUCUCAUAUCUCAAGUUGCAGAUAAGUUAGGUUGGAUGCAUACUUAAUUAAUUAAUAAAAGUCAUGUAUAUAUUUUUGCAAAUUGGAUGCACACUUAAUUAACAUACUUAUUGAAUAUUAAGUCAGGCAAAAAAUCUAUAAAAAGAAUAUACAAGUGAGCCAAACAACAAUAUUAAGAACGAAUAAGAGGUAGUAAAAGAAGAUGAUACCAAAGGACGCAAAAUCACAAAAAUUCAUGAAACUACAUUAGGCUCUCUACAAGUGAAUUGUUUAAAAAGUUAAAAGAAAAUAAAUGCACUUUUGUCCACAGCAACAACUAAAUGCACUUUUGUUCAAUACCAAGAAAUUAAACAUUUUUUAAAAAAAAAACUAAAUGAAUUGUUUAAAAAGUUAAAAGAAAAUAAAUGCACUUUUGUACACAGCAACAACAACUAUAGCAAAAUGCUGGGCUGUAGAAUCUAGAUGAUUGUCCACAGCAACAUGAAAAAAUCAUAUAUGCUUAAGUAACUAUUUGGCAUCUCAAUCUAGUAAAUUAAUCUUAAAUUUCUUAUAUCCGACUCUUUACCUAUAUUAAAUUUAAAAUUAACCAACAUAAAAAUUGUUUUAAUAUGACUUAAUCGAUAUAGUUGGUUCAAAGUCAAUCCAUAUGACCGAUAAAAAAUGUAAUUUGGCUUAAAAAAUUUCAAAAUAACAUCUUUUUUAUAACAUUGAUACGACAAUAUAUUAGAUUGACCCUGAUUUCAUGACUUAACUCUCUAAACCCACUACCUUAAUAACGGACUCCUUCUAGUUUAAAAACUUUUUUUUAAUUAUUUUUUACUUCAUGAUAUUAUAACAAAAAUAGAUGCUCAUAAAAUUAAGCACCAACCAAAUAUCAAGAUAUUUGUUUGAGAUUACAAUAAUAAAUAUCAUAAAAAGCGAAACCGAAACAAGACCAAAUCAAAAUAAAUCAAAUGUUAAAGGAUUAAACCAGGAAAAAGCCAAAGAGGAUUCAAUUAAAAGAAAGAAAAAAAAAAUAGAAGGUUGAGUUUAAAAACAAAGUAACAAUAUGACAUUGUUAUUAAACUUAAAGGAAAAAAAAACUAAUUUAAAAAAUUAAAGUGUUUCACUAUUCAUGUAAAAAUGAAAUACCAUUAUAGUAUCCAACUAUAUAGGUGACCUGCACUAUGGGUUAUUCUAUUUUUUUAAAAGCAAAAAAAUAAAGUUUCGACAUUGUUAGAUUGUGAGAAAAAAAAAGUUUUAAAAAAUAUCCGUGUACAAAAGAGGAGAGAGAUUUGGUUUGAGAAUGCAUGGUAAAAAUCUAAACAUGAACUAAAAAACAAAGUGGAAUUAUAAAAAUUAAAAAAAAAACUAAAAGAGGUAAAUGAUUCAAGUGAUUCAUUAUAGACUAUAAGGUAAAACACUAUGGAUUACACACAAUAUAUUUACUUUUUUCUCUUCUAUACACAAAAUAAUUGUCUUGCUAAUGGGGAUAAAGUUGUUUUUUUAAAGGGAUCUAAAGGUUAUUUGUAUAUUGAUCGGGGAUAAUUUAGUAGAUUUACUGCUUUUUUUGAACAUUAAAACUACAUCUUUGCCUUUGCAAGCAAAAAAAAAAAAUUGUCCUUUCGUUUAGGUUUAGGGUUUAUUUUAUCUUUCCUAUUUUUUUUCAUAGUAAAAUAACAUCAAUAUCCUUGAUAACAAUACAACAACAAAGGAAAAUACCAAUAUUUAAAAUACAACAACUCUUUUUUUCCCAUCUUCUGUUUUCUUUUUUUCAUAUCAAUACAACAACAAAGAAAAAUACAAAUAUUUAAAAUACAACAUAAAAUUUAUUUUCCUGUAGAAUCAAUGUAACAUUAAAGAGGCAUCUUCCGUUUUCUAGUCAGGAGGGAUUAUAAGAACUCAAGAAAAUUGCCAUAUGACUUGAGGAAAAGAUUUAUACUACCGCCACCAAUCAUGUGUUUGCCUAAUGCGAGGUUCGAUAAUUACGGUAUUCUUUAGACAUGAAUAUACACACGCAUUUAUGCAUGUACAAAUGUGUGUGUAGUGUGCCUACACUUCCUCACCGUUCAUUCUGUAUGCAAGGCUAAUUGGGAGUUCACAUCUUUUUGUUAAUUCUCUUGACAAGUGUUUUAUUGAGAGUGACCAGGUUCAAGUAUUGGGGAAGUGUGCAAAAAGAAAAUAGCAAAUCAAUACAUAAAUAAUUAAAUUAAAAGAGAGGAAACAGAACUAUAUCCUCACAGAAGAUGAAAUGAUAGAGCAUAUAUCCAUUUCCCCCCUUCUCUUGUAACAUGGAUUGCUCUGAGAGCUAAUGUUUUGUUAUUGAUAUCUGAUUUCGGUCUGAUUAUCUGCGUAAAAUAUCUCUGGAGAUUCUUUCGAUGGAAAUCAGGUCUCAAAACGCCAUGCCCACUGCCCCCAUGGACCCAUAAGGUAAUAAUGCAGCCAAGCAUUGAAUUUCUAAACAUCUUACCUUUUGUUUUUCUUUUCGCAUUGUUAUCGAACUCUUUUACAUUUUAUUGCUGCAUAUUGUUAUGUAUUUCGCCUUGCUGGAAAAAUCUCAUGAUCACCUCCACGAUGCUAAUUCUGUAAUGCAUGUGAAGUGUUUCUGAUAAGGUCCCAAUCAAGAGUGAUACACAAUUGCAGAAAUGCUAGGAUUCUCUUAGGGUGAGAAUUUACCACAAUAUUGUUUGGAUAAACAUAAUGCUAUUCUUUUUAUUCUUCUUCAUACAUAUAAAGAACUAAACCAUAACAACUUUCAGCAAAUCCAGCCGAAAUGGAAAUAACAGAUUACAAAACAGAAAUGCAAAUAAUGUGAAAGUGGCUGCUUUAUUUUCUCCCAUUGAAUCGGAAGCAUGAUUCCAAUUGACUUGCUUGUAACUCCCUUUAAUCACGAUAUCUUUUAAUCACGAUAUUUUAAAUUCUUCUUUAUGACACGUGGGGUCCUUCGUGGCAGCAGCUCUCCAAGCUGCGUAUCAUUACCCCCCACAUCAAGUGGAUGCUUGUCCCCAAGGUCCAAGCUUGGGUGGUUCGUUAGCAGUUCAGCCGUUGGUUCCCAGAUGGCAUCAUUUGUAGACAAAUGUUUCCACUUCACCAAACUCUCCUCAAUAAAUCUUGCCCCAUGUGGAAUCCAACGUGUGUCCAGAAUAGCUUCUGGUGUGACCACAAUGGUGCCUUCUUCAUCAAUAGGUGGAAGUUCCAUACUAGUGUCUGCUUUGUCACCCAACUUCCUUUUAAGCAACGACACAUGAAAAACUGAAUGUAAACGUGCCCCCUCCGGAAGCUUGAGUUUGUAGGCCACAUCACCGACUCGCUUUUCAAUUGGGAACGGACCAUAAAACUUGCAAGCAAGUUUUUGAUGAGCUCGUCGAAAAGCAGUCUGUUGGCGAUAAGGUUGUAAUUUGAGAUACACAAGGUCACCUUCUAUGAAUUCGACAUCCCUUCGCCCACGAUCAACCAACUGUUUCAUGCGAUUCCUAGCAUUCGCUAAAUUCUGCUUGAGAUUCCUAAGAAGUGUGUCCCGUACCUGAAGACUGUGAUCAACUUCAUUAACUGGUGAAGAGCCUGUAGCAUAAAGUGGAAAUGUAGGUGGUAAGCGUCCAUAAAGAGCUUGAAAAGGUGUCGUUCCUGUUGAUGAAUGGUAAGCUGUAUUAUACCACAGCUCUGCCCAAGGAAGAAAUUGGCUCAACUGUCGUGGUCUUUGGUGAACAAAACAGCGCAAAUAUUGUUCCACACAAUGAUUAACCACCUCUGAUUGACCAUCCGUUUGAGGAUGAUAUGCUGAGCUCAUCUUAAGCUGAGUACCAGACAUCUUAAAAAAUUCCUGCCAAAACUUACUAAUAAAGACUUUAUCUCUGUCGCUCAUAAUAGAACUAGGCAUGCCAUGUAGCUUCACCACACCAUCUACAAACUUUUCUGCCACCAUCUUUGUUGUGAAAGGAUGUGUUAAGGCCAAGAAGUGAGCAGAUUUGCUUAGAUGGUCCACUACCACUAAAAUGGUAUCGCGACCAUGUGAAGUAGGGAGACCUUCAAUAAAAUCUAUAGUAACGUCAUCCCAUACCUGACACGGAAUAGGAAGAGGUUGCAAGAGCCCAGCUGGUUUGAGAUUAUCAGCUUUAGUUUUCUAGCAUGUCACACAUGUGUGGACAUAUUCUUUGACAGAAUGAUACAUAGAUGGCCAAUAAAACUGCUGAGAUAGACGUUUGAAUGUACCCAAUAUACCAGAAUGGCCGCCCAUCUUUGUAUCAUGAAAUUCCUGUAGUAAUUGUUCUAUCACAGCUGUGUUAGGAGGCACCACAACACGUGUUUUGAAGAAAACUAACCCAUCUCGCCAGGUAUAAGGUUUUCCAGGACUAUUUUGAGCUUGCUGAAUAAUUUGUUCCAUAUAUGGGUGUCCAGUGGAGGCCUUUUUUAUGUCUUCCCAUAAAGUUACUUGUGGCACAGACAACGCAUUAAGAAUAGGGCUUCCAGACACUCUUGAUAAUGCAUCAGCAGCUGAGUUGUCGCGUCUUGGGCGAUAUAUGAUUUCAUAGUCAUAGCCAAGUAAUUUAGCCACCCAACGUUGUUGUUCUGGUGUCCCAAUUCUUUGCUCCAAUAGAUACUUUAGACUGUGCUGGUCCGUUUGAAUGAAGAACUUUUUGCCCAGUAGAUAUGGUCUCCAAGUGCGUAUUGCCUGAAGGAUGGCAAUCAUUUCUUUGGCAUAUGUUGACCAUGAAAGUUUGGCCACUCCGAGUUCUCGGCUGAGGAAAGCAAUGGGUUUACCUUGCUGUGUCAACACUGCACCAAUACCCUCUCCAGAAGCAUCAGUUUCAAUUGUAAAUGAUUCAUUGAAAUUUGGCAUAGCUAAAAUAGGUGUGGUUGUCAUAGCUUGUUUGAGCUGUAGGAAAGUUGCCUCCGCCUCUUGACUCCAUCUGAAUUGCCCUUUCUUCAAGAGAUUGGUUAAUGGCUUUGCCAGCAGACCAUAGUUGCGCACAAAUUUUCGAUAAUAACCUGUAAAGCCUAGAAAACCAGGUAAGUCUGAAAUAGUGCUUGGCCUUGGCCAAUUUACCAUAGCUGUAAUUUUGCUUGAAUUAACCUUGACCCCUUUAUUAGUCACAAUGUGACCGAGGUACUCGAGCUCUGACUGCCCAAAUGUAUAUUUGCCUUUACAAAAUAUGUAUGUUGCCGUAGAAUUUCAAAAACCUUUGUAACAUGUUCAAGAUGCAUGGUCCGGGCUAUAAAUCAAAAUAUCAUUAAAAAAAAAACUAAUAUGAAUUGACGGAGAUGAGGAUGAAAAAUAGAAUUCAUAAUAGCUUGGAAAGUGGAAGGAGCGUUGCAAAGACCAAAGGGCAUGACCAUAUAUUCGUAGUGGCCAUUAUGGGUACGGAACACAGUUUUGUGAGUGUCUUUUGGAUUUACUCGUACUUGAUGGUACCCUGCUCUUAAGUCUAAUUUUGUAAAGAAGGCAGCUCCAUGGAGCUCAUCAAGCAUGUCAUCAAUGGUAGGAAUAGGAAAUCGAUCCUUAAUGGUUACGCUAUUGAGAGCUCUAUAAUCAGUACAAAAACGCCAAGUGCCAUCUUUUUUUUUAACUAACAAAACAGGUGAAGAAAAGGGACUAGUACUUGGUUUUAUAAGUCCCAAUUUAAGCAUGUCUUGAACUUGUUUUUCAAUUUCAGUUUUUUGAAAAUAGGCAUACCUGUAGGGCCUCACAUUAAUAGGCUCAGUAUCUUCUUUAAGAGGAAUGCAAUGAUCAACUUCACGAGCUGGAGGUAACUGUGUGGGCUCAUAAAAAAUGUCCUCAAAGUUGUUGAUGAUUUCCUUCAUAUCUGUUUGCAUAUUGGGUCGUUCCAUCUUUUCUAUGGAUUGACAAUACACUGUAAAAGUGGAACAGCCAUGACGGACAUCUUUAGUAAUUGCUGAUAGUGAAGCAGGUUGUAUAGCUUGGCUAUUAGAACCAUUUAAUGUUUGAGCUUGAUUCUUCCACCAAAAGUCCAUUGUAAAUUUUUUCCAAUUACACACCACUGGUCCGAGUUGUUCAACCCAUUGUACACCAAGAACAAGAUCAAGGCCUGUGAUAGGUAUUGAAUAAAGGGUUAAUGAAAAUGGAAUGUUUUGGAGAAUAACCUGGACUUGUUCAAACCUUCCUUGGCACUUCAUUUGAUUGCCAUCUGCCACCCUUACAGUGAAGGGUCUCAUAGGAAUAACAGGUAAUUGAAGCUCCUCUGCUAUUUUAGAAUUGAUGAAAUUAUGGGUAGACCCACUGUCGAUGAGCACUGUUAGAGUGUGAUUCCCAACUCGUCCUUCAAUCCUCAUGGUUCGUGGUGUGGACCAACCCGUGAGUGCAUGGAGUGAAAUUUCUGGCUCAGUGUUCUCCUCAGCUAUGUCCUCUACUGGAAUGUCAUCAGUAACUUCUUCGCACAUGACUCUGACAGGUUCACUAAGGCUUUCUAGUAAUAACAGUUGCGGUCUUUGGCACUUAUGUCCAGCAGUGAAUUUGUCAUUGCAAUUGAAACAAAGCCCUUGUGCACGCCGUCUCUGCAUUUUAUCCCAUGUUAGUCUUUUUAUCGGAACUGGAAAACUGGAUUUUGGUGGGGGAAAAGUCAAUGGUGUGCGAGUUAAUUGUGUUGGCCGUGUAAAUUUCCCUUGCCGCAUUAUUUGUUCAUCCUUCAUUUUAUCUAAACUGAUAGCCUCUUUCAAAGUCCGUGGUUUGAACAUCCGAAUAGCAUCAGAAAUUUCUACUUUAAGUCCACCCAUGAAUGUUGUAACAACCCCGAUUUUUCUACAUUCUUUUUCGCGAUAUAUUGGAAAUUUUCAGGUAAAUUUUUUUUUUUGUGAUAUACAGGUUCCACCAAAAUUUCUACCAAAAUUUCGGCAGAGUCUCCCCUAUACUGGUAGGUCCCAGGUUAUCGACAUAUACCAUGUUUACACUUCUAAUAUCUCACAUCUCAUAACUCAAAAUCACGACCCAAUCAUCCUGGGUCUCAACCCAACUCAUUAUCAUCAACACAACACAUCUUAUUCAAUAACAUCAUAUAAUAUAGUUCAAAUGAAAGAUUCAAUUUCAACUAUAAAUAUGCAUGGUCAAAUAGGUACUAAGAGUUUAAACCAUUAGAGUAAAGACAUACAUUCAAAUUUACGGAUUAAUAUUACAUCUCAAGUUUUAUAAUUUACAUAGUCAAAAGCAAAAGAUAUCUAAACUAGCAUUACCCUUGACGCGACCCUGAUGGACCUGAAAAUAGAAAUUAACAUGUACACAUAAAUAUAAAAGAUAGUAACAAGCAAUAACAAUGGCAAACAAUAAUCUCUACGGAAUUUCUUUUGAUAUAUAAAAUUAGGCAUAAACCUCUUUUACAACAUAUAUUUUACAUUUAUUACCAAUAUCCAUCUAAUAUCCUAUCUCAUUUACCAAGAAUAAUUCCAUCUUGGAAAUCUCAACACAACUCAACGGUUUGCGAACACCAUCUCUUUAUAAAUCAAUUCUCACUUGAUACCAAGAUAUUCCUCUCUUGGUAUUAUUAGCUUAUCUCAUUCUUUUGGAAUAACUAAUUAAUAUUUUCCCUUUUCUGAAUCUGUUGCUAGAAGGUAAUCACUGAAACUAAUAAAUCUCAUUAGUAUCAUUAGUCUUCAAAUAUUGGGCUAGACUAAUCAAUUUAAGAAAUACUGGCACCGAUGAAACUUCAUCGAUACCAUUAGCAAUCCAAACUUGGAUGGCUAAUCAAUUCCAUUUGAUUCUUCCAUUCGUACCGAACCCCUUUUAUCUUUCUUAUUAACAUCAUAUGCAUUGUAACCACGGUUGCCAAGUAUCAUUUGCACACAAUCUUAGUUAUCGACACUACGGUCACUAAGCAUCCUUCACAAAACCUUGGUCACCUUCAUCACAGUGCCAAGUAUCAAUUUAUGCCCUUAGCCACCAUCAUUAUGGUGUUAAGUAUCAUUGUAAUGUAUCCUUAGCCACCGACACUAUGGUAACCAAUUAUCUAUCAAUUCACCUCCAAUCUCCAAGUCAUUGUGUCUACCCAAUAACCACAUUAAUUAAUUUACUCAAUAUGUUAGUCAUAUAUUAAUUAUUUUACUCAUAACAUUUAGAAUUUACUAUUUCUAACUUCAAUCAAUUAAUUCACAUAAUCUUUUCAAAACUUAACUAUCCGGCUAACUCAUCUCGAUUGCCAAUAAUUCUGGUAAUUUCAUAUAAUUACCCACACUUUUGGUUAACCUCCAUCGGUUACCAAUACAUCUGGUAAUUCCAUACGAAUUACUCAGCCUCCAGCUAACUUCUUUUGUUUGUCAAUUAAUCCUGUAAUUCCAUACGAAUUACCCCAUAUCCAGUUAACCUUCUUGUUAACCAAUAAACCCGGUAAUUCUCUUAAUUGUCCAAGAAAUCUGGCUAACCCAUCUUGGUUGCCAAGGUCAAUCCGGUAAUUCCAUACGAAUUACCCAUCAUCCAGCUAACCUCUCUUGUUAGCCAAUGAAUUCGGUAAUUCCAUACGAAUUACCCAUCAUCCAGCUAACCUCUUUUGUUAGCCAAUCAAUCCGGUAAUUCUAUACGAAUUACCCCAUAUCCAGUUAACCUUCUUGUUAACCAAUAAAGCCGGUAAUUCUCUUAAUUGUCCAAGAAAUCUGGCUAACCCAUCUUGGUUGCCAAGGUCAAUCCGGUAAUUCCAUACGUAUUACCCAGCAUCCGGCUAACCUCUUUUGUUAGCCAAUGAAUCCGGUAAUUCCAUACGAAUUACCCAUCAUCCAGCUAACCUCUUUUGUUAGCCAAUCAAUCCGGUAAUUCCAUACGAAUUACCCAAUAUCCCGGCUAACCUCUUUUGUUAGCCAAAUAAUUUCGGUAAUUUCUCUUAAAUUACCAAUAAUUCUCAUUUGUAAUAAUCACUCAACUUAUUCAUUUGUUUCAUUCUUUUAACAUCAAUUAAACACACAACACAAAUAUUUAAGAAAAACUAAUAAUUACAAAAUAAGGUGAUGAAUCACCUACCUAGAAUAGGUGCACGUGCUGCCACUCCAUGCAAUUGUCCAGUCCCCACAGCUUUCCCCUGUACCACCAGGGAUUCAAUUUUUAUCAACAAUACAACCAACAUCACAUCUUCAUUUAAUUCUCAUUCAACUAGUAUUCUCAAACUAAUCACAAGGAAUUUUCUUUAAGAUCUCAUACUCUUACUCAUUUUAAUGUUUAUAUUUAUUCUUAUAAUUUUGUUAUCAAAACCAUCACUCAACAGCAAUUCCAAGCAACGAUUAAAAAUUGUCUAAUUCCGAUCAAUUAAGCUUAACCAACCCAUAACACUAUCUAGUGUCUUAAUCAUAACUAAAGUUGUAAAACUCAGUUUUGGGCGUGAUUUAUAUCUCUAUGAAAGGCUAAACAUAGAGAUACAAAUUUUAUGAAGAAACCAACUCCAAAUUAUUUUGUUUUAAGGCUUAAAAUCAACAAUCACAAUAGCCCUUCUUUAUGGCUAAAAUUUUGGACAACGAGGAUUUUCAUUCCUUGGAAAUCCUUUUCAACUUCCAACUUAUUUUCAUGCAAAAUCAACAUCAUCCAAGGUCAUUUGGCAUCAUUAAAUCACAAGUUCAAACCAAUUCUAAAGCAAAACAUUCAAACAAUUUCCCUACCUCUACAAUAUAGCAAGAUUAGACCAAAAUAAGGAAACUCAUUCCUUUUGAGAUUUCUCCUAUUAUUAUUAUUAAUACAACAAAAUGAUGAACUAUUCAUUUUCUUUCGCUUUCUCCUCGUGCGAUUAAACAUAUACGGCAAACCUUAACAAUUAAUAUUCUCAGAUCAUUAUCACAACAAUAAUUUCACUCUACUAAUUGGGAUCCAUGACAACCUUCAUUAACUAACCAUUUGCUAAAAACACUUAUGGCUAGCUUUAAAUAUGUUUUAUUUUUUUCAAAUUUUUUUCAUUUCAAUUUCUUCAUGGUUCCACCCCAUUUAUAUCCACACAACCAACAAGUUAGCUUUCUAUUCAAUCAACAUGUUCUAUUCAAUCAACACGUUCAUAUAGCAAUAUUCUUUACUAUUCUUACACAACAAUCAUUCUUCCCCUCAUAUAAAGAAUACACAAUUAAUCUAUAAUAUUACUAAUAACAGGAACAUAUUUUAUCAUUACAUCUUCCAUAAAACCUACACCCACACAAUUCUAAUUUCAUCAAAACAUGUAUUUAAUCAAGCUUACUACAUUUUGCAAAAACUAGCAAUAGAUUCAAAAAGCAAUAAGUCAUCAACCUCUGAUUAUUGUUUCCCACCCAACGGUCAGACUACAUAUCAUAGCGUUGUGCAUAAUAUAUCUCAAAUUCAUAAUGAUCCAACGGUUAAAUCUCCCUAGAUCUGAAGAAAACCGAGCUUACCUGAAAAUGAACGAGCUACUGUUCAACAUGCACGCAACCUUGCCGGAGAAAUAUGUUCCGAUCUCCACUGUCCAGAAUGAAUUUAACAUCUACGCGCACCACAUAUCCAACAAUUAGCAUGAUCCAACGGUGGAAGAGAGAGAAAUCGGCCGGCGACCAAACUGCCCUGCAGGUGCAUUUCCUUUUUGUUUUCCAUGAAAUUCCAGAUGAUGAUUUCUGUCAAAUGGAUUGUGUUCCUUCCAAUCACUCCGGUCAGUUAGUAGAGGAGUGUAAUGAGAACAACACGUCCAAAACGCAGCUUGAUCCAACGGUUGAUUCCCGAGAUAUGACCACCGGAGCAUUAUUGGUUUUCUCCAAAAUUUGCAGCUCUCUCCCCUUAUCCGCUUUUCUCUAUUUUUUUUCUUUUUUUUCUUUCUUUUUUUCUUAACUGGUGGCCUCUUUGCAGAUUUAUAGGCACCUUUUUUUUUCAUAAUUACAAUUUUGUCCCUCUUUCAUGCUUUUAUGUAUUUUAUUUUAUUUUUCAUGUAAACUAUCUCGUUUAUUUCUGUUUAAAUCGCUAGUCUUUACCAAACUCUGAUUGGGAUGAGAUAUUUAACCAAGGUAGGAAAACAUAUUAAUAGGCUUCAUACAAAAUUUCAUCCCGAUCCGACGAUUGGAUUGAGAGCUCUGCUUCCUAAUGUAAAAUUGAUCAGUUCAUAACUUUUCGUAAACAAUCUAGAUUUUUUUUUUGUUCAAUCUUCACAAAAAAAAAAAACAUAUCAAUUAUCAUUCUAAACCUUUAAGGUCAUUUAAUUAUUUUGGAAUGUAUUCAUUUUAGGAUUUCCACCUUUAUUUAUUUAUCGGGCUUAUUAUCGUUUCAAAAUAACAUCACUGAUUUUUAAGCGGUGCUUGCACCUUCAGUCCUACCCUUUUCAUUGUACUAUCAUUUAUUAUAAUGUAUUCUUUAUUACCUCACUUAUUUCCUAAAAAUAUUUUGUCAUUUUUCUCAUUAUUUCAUCCAUCAAAACACGUUACCAGUUUCUCUAUCCUUAUGAAUUCUAAACCAAAAUUCAUUUUAUGAAGGUCAUCUCUUCUAUUAUAUAUCAUUAUUUAUCUAUUAUUUCUAAUCUUGGUUUCCAUCACUCAUUGAAAUAUUACCACUUUCAGUCUUAUGUUUACAUGAGGGUUUAUACAUCUACAUAUUUAAAUUAUAAAUUUCCAGGGUUUCACAAAUGUGCCCACCAGCGCCUUUUGAGUCCAACCAUGAACUCGAUUGCCCAACCUCUCAAAUUCCUUCUGAUAGUCCCUUAAGGAACCCACUUGUCUGACCUUUGAUAAUGCUUCAUCAAAAUCCUCAUAUUCUGUGGGCCCAAACCGUGCCCAAAGCUCUUCUUCAAAUAUCUCCCACGUGACAGUGCGCCCUUCUUCCUUGUGAGCUCGAUGCAACCAUUGCCACCAUUGGUUGGCUUCUCCUUCCAAAUGGAAUGAGGCCAAUGAUACUUUUUGAUUGUCCGCAGUCUCUUGAUAUUCAAAAAAUUGGUCCACCCAAUUGAACCAUUCGGUUGGAUCAUCCCCAGAAUAUCGUGGAAAGUCUAACUUGGCCAUUUUUUAUGAGAAGACGUGGCGUCCACACUCAUUAUCAGUUUUCUUCUUUCCCCCAUCAGUGUCAUCCCGAUAUGUGCGUGAGAAGCCAUCCCGGUCGUUGUUGUGGUAACUUGAAGACGCCUUGGAAGCGAUCAUGACCUCUGAAAGUUUGUUGAUGGUUUCCUCCAGGCUGUGCAAUCUAUUGAUCAUGUAAUCUUCCAGUCGCUGCAUGCCAUCUUGGACUCCACCAAGUCCUGUCUCCAAAAGCUCAAUUCGUUCUUUGUUUGUUGCCAUUGCGUAGGCUCUGAUACCAAUUGAUAAGGUCCCAGUCAAGAGUGAUACACAAUUGCAAAAAUGCUAGGAUUCUCUUAGGGUGAGAAUUUACCACAAUAUUGUUUGGAUAAAAAUAAUGCUAUUCUUUUUAUUCUUCUUCAUACAUAUAAAUAACUAAACCAUAACAACUUUCAGCAAAUCCCGCCGAAAUGGAAAUAACAGAUUACAAAACAGAAAUCCAAAUAAUGUGAAAGUGAUUUCUUUAUUUUCUCCCAUUGAAUCGGAAGCAUGAUUCCAAUUGACUUGCUUGUAACUCCCUUUAAUCACGAUAUCUUUUAAUCACGAUAUUUCAAAUUCUUUUUUAUGACACGUUGGGUCCUUCGUGGCAGCAGCUCUCCAAGCUGCGUAUCAGUUUCAUUCUUAACUUGUUAAGGAACAAGGACUGUGAUGCAUGGCUAUUUUAUAUUUUAUGAUUGAGAUGGUAGAUUUUAAAGAUUUUCCUGUUUAGGAGGUAAGACGUCACUUUCUUGCUUUUCUUCCGAGAGAAAGUAUUUGAUCCUUUCUUCAUAUAUAAUAAUGCUGCCAAGCAUUGAAUUUCUAAACAUCUUACCUUUUUGUUUUGUUUGUCGCAUUGUUAUCAAACUCUUUUGCAUUUAAUUGCAGUAUAUUGCUAUGUGUACGGCAUGCUUUAAUCAAAAAGUUGAGUACUCGAUGAAUGUUAGGCAAGAAAAUUACUGAUUAUUUUUGUUUUCUGCCUCCUCCUUUUCUUUCUCCCAACCUGAAAAUUGUCAUAUUAUUUUUGUUUUCAGCCGCCUCUUCUUCCCCCAACCCUGAAAAUUGUCUGAGGACACUUUUAUGCUUUGAAUCAAAUCCAUCCUAAUUCUUUCGCUCAUAACUUUAUGUGUGAACUGCCGAUGUUUGAUCAUUUGUCUUCCUUGUUCAGUGCCUUCUUUUUUUCUUUGACAUGGUUUCCUUUUUUCCUUUUAUCUUGAACAGCAUCCCAUAGUAUGCCCCCUCAAGUUCAGAAUCAUGGGCUAUUUCUCCCUAUCCUAUUGUCCACUGAUCAAUCUCAAGUACGCUAGCAGUUGUUAUCACAGAACAUGCAGAAUUGCAUGGCAUCUAAUGCAAUUCAAAGUUCUGCUGGUUUACUAGCGGCACUGCCUCUUGUCUCCGGUGUAACCCAGACUAUCCCCAACACUGUUGUCCAGAAUCCUAACAUGCAGAGUAUCCCCGGUGUUUCACAGAACUCAGUGGGGAAUUCAAUGAGACAAGGGAUUCCCUCCACUAUGUUUGCCAAUUCUCAUAAAGAAAUGCCAGGUAAUGCUCUUUUUGGUAGCUUUAUGUCUUCCACUUAUGGCAUUAGAAAUGCCACUGCUAUUGGAACUAUUGCAAUCACACAUGCAUUUGGCAUCACACGAUGCCCUUCAGUGCUCUGCACCAACUUUUCACCUCCCAUAAUGGUUCUAGUCAGUAAUGCUUUUUUAGGUAGCUUUAUGUGCUACUGCUGCCACUUAUGGCAUUAGUAAUGCCACUGCUAUUGAAACCAUUGCAAUCACACACACAUUUGUUACCCACAUCAUACCCUCCAGUGCAUUGCACCAGCUGUUCACCUCUCAUUCUGGAUUUAUAGGGUUUGUCCGUCUGUUUGAAUGAUUACAUAACGUUUAGAUGGAGUUCCUAGUACUCCUAGUUCAAAAAGACUUGUAUUCCUCUGUAGGAAAAUACUAAUAGUCCUAUCUAGAAUAGGAAAACCUAAUGAAGCUCGCUAUACUUUGGGAUAAUAAAAUACUAAAUGGAAAAUAAAAUGAGACUUGCAAUAUUCCAUAAUUUUCAGCAAGCGUGAAAAUUACAGAAAUACCCUUGUAUAUGGAAAACACACAAAAAUACAUGAAUUCUAAUCUUUGUUGCCCGCAUUGAAAUAUUUGUAGCAUCCCUAGAUUCUACAGCACAGACUGGACAUGCAAAAGGCGCUGAUUGACAAGAGUAGAUCUAUCAAAAGGUAAUUUCUGUGAUUUACUGUUCAUUAGAUGGAGUUCAUGUAUGCCAUAGUCUUAAAAAUAAAAGUGCACUAUUUCUGAAUGACUUACAGUUUAUCUUUUGUUAAGUGAAGAGUUAUUUGCACGAUUGCAAUCAACUUGUUGUGAAAAAUUUCCAGUAUUGAAUUUUAUAGAAAAUGAGGUUGAAAUUCUGAAUGUCUCAAGUCAUAACUGCAUAUUUGAUAAGGACAUUUUUCUUGUGCUUAAGUGAGUAUUAAAACGGGAAUAAGAAUGGUUGUUGUUAAGGAUCCAUGGGGUCAUGCAUAGGAUCUAAGGCUAAGAAGCGUCGCUAAAGUUGUGAAAUCCAUUGACUUGAGCUAGAACAGCAGAAAACAAUGAUGUGUAGUUUGCAGGGAGACAGUAACUGAACUUAACCAACCCCUGAAUCUUGUCUAAUGGUGUACUUACACAGUCCUUUGCAUCUUUCCAUUCCAUCAAUAUCGACAUCCUGUUGAGUUUCUAGCAUUAAUUCCACUCUAUUAUUUUUAUCUCAACUAAUUUAUGUUGUCCUCUGCCCUUUUUUUGUUAUUUUAUUUUUAUCAAUUCCCUUAAGUUUGUUUGUUUUACUUUCUUUCUGACUGGCACCUGAAGAGAUCAAGCAUAUGAGCGAUAAUGUUUUGCUGGUUAUUUGUACUUCCUAGAUCAAAGUUAUGAAGGAGACUUAUUUCCCUGAAAUAAAUGAAAUGUAUCAGAGAAUUGCUGCCAAGUUACAGCAGGUAAAUUGUCUCUGAAAUUUCUUCCGGAUUAUCUGUGCAUGCAUGAUUAUCUGCAAUUUCCCCAUGUUGAGUUUUGUAUUAGUUUGUUUUCCUCAUCAGCAUUGCCUGUCACUGUAUCAUCUGCACUAUUCACCUACCCCACCCCCAACCGCCCCCACAACCAUGCAUCGACACAGAAGAAGUGGAAUAGAAACAUUUUGUUUCACUAAUGUUUUGCUACAAAGGAUCAAUGCAAUUUUUAAUUCUCGUGUAUGUUAACUUUGCUUUCUAGCAUGACUCUCAUCCGCAACAACCGAAGUCGGAACAGCUUGAAAAGCUGGAGGUAUUCAAGGCCAUGUUGGAGCGCUUGAUAACAUUCUUACAGGUCUCUAAAAACAAAAUCACACCUAGUUUCAAGGAGAAAUUGGGUUCCAAUGAGAAGCAUAUUGUAAGUUUUCUAAACCCAGGCAGAUCAGGAAGCCAAUUCCUAAUCUACAGCGAGGACAACUUCCCCAGCCUCAUGUGCAACCUAUGCAGCAAUCCCAGUCUCCAGUUCCUCAAUUGCAGUCCCAUGAAAAUCAACUGAAUACCCAGUUGCAAUCAAUAAAUGUGCAAAAUUCUAUACCAACAAUGCAGCAGAACAAUAUGUCAAGCUUGCAGCAUGGUUCUCUUUCAUCUUUAUCUGGGUUUUCUAUGUCACAACCAAUCAUGAUGAUGUGGGACGAGAGAUUUUACGAGAAGAAAAGGGGGUAGAGAGAAUGAUAUUGUAGCAAAAAUAACUAAUCAAAUAGAAAGGCUGAGCUUAGAGACAGCACACUACAAAGGAAGCACCCAAUAGCUAGACAUACAAUCAUAACAAAUUCAUCUUCUAAAGUUGGAGAACUUGCGAAAACUAGCAACCAUAAAAUAGUAACAAGUAUCUAUGCAAUCUUCGAUGAAGUACAACCACCUACGUCGCCAAUAUGGAUUGAUGUAGAGAACUGCUGCAAUCGUCAUCACCACAACUGUGUAACAUACACUGAAACUGAUGUAGAAAAACUCCAUGUCUAUGAAACCAUCAUCUUCUUGUUCAUCAUGAGGCACUGGCUGGGACAACACUACUUCUUCACUACAAUUGUUUCGCAAUGGAGGUCCACACAAGAAAGGAUUUCCUUCGUAACAGCUUUCAUCGAAGGUCCCAAACUGAUAUUUUCUCUCGGGUGUCUUACCUGACAAGUUAUUGUGCUCCACACUAAAAACUUCUAGUGUGGUCAUUUCAGUAAGUUGUGGAGGGAUGUCACCAUUCAAGUUGUUGUAAGAAAGAUCCAAACUCUCAAUCCGCUUCAGGUUUGAGAAUGUUGCAGGGAUAGAUCCAGUGAGAUUGUUGUGUGAUAAGUUUAAUGACAGUAUCUCGCUUAAGUUUCCAAAUUCUGGUGGGAUUGCUCCUACAAAGUUGUUAUUGGAGAGAUCAAUACCAGACAUGUAGAUGAGAAUUUUCCCUUUGUAACCAUAAUACAUAUUUUUAGUUGUAAAUUCUAUCACUUCUUCUGUAAAGUUAGUCCAAUAACCCUUUAAUAAGGUGUAUAUGCUAUCCACUUGUGGUGGACCCAUUAUUUCAUAAUAAGCCUUUUCUAAGAACCCUGGUAGUAAAAGAACAUCGAGAUUCACUAAUGCUUUCUGGGAACUUUCUUUGAAAGUAAGAUUUUCCAAACAGGAGGGUAAUGGACCAGAAAGCUGGUUUUGUGAAACAUCCAAAAUGCUUAAUUGUUUUAAUAAGCAUAACUGAACAGGGAACUCACCAUCAAAGUGAUUAGCUCUCAGAAGAAGAACACUCAAUGAUGAAAGAUUGCCAGCCCAAUUUGGAAUUGAGCCGGUGAAGCUGUUAUCUCUAAGAUCCAUCGUAACCAGGGAAGAGCUAUUAUAAAAUCCAUAUUUUAAUGGACCGCUCAAUCUAUUUUUGGAUAGAUGCACAUGGGUUAUUUGUGGUGAAUUGAAACAAGAUGGAAUAUAUCCAAACAAAUUGUUCUCAGAAAGGUCCAAAUAUUCAAGCUGGUCAAACUUACAAAAAAAGUCUUUUGGGAUAGGACCCUUAAAAUGGUUUUUUGAAAAAUCAAUUGCUCUAAGGUUCGUCGAAUUGACGAACCACCUUGGAAGCAUGCCUGAAAAUUGAUUGUUACUCAAAUCCAAUACAAUCCACGUUUUCCACCCGUUUAAUGGAAAAUCUGAUAUUUGACCCCAAAAGUUGUUAUCACCUAGAUAGAGAUAUUCUGAGGUAGAAGAAUUGAACACGGAGGUUGGUAUUUGCCCACCCAAAUUGUUGUUUGACAGCUUGAGAAACAUUAAUGUUGUUAGUAGUUCUAGUUUUACCGUGGACAAUUGAUUGUUGGAUAAAUCUAAAACUCUCAAAGAGCUAAUAUUUCCUAAACAAGAAGGAAUACAACCCGUGAAUCCAUUCUUAGCCAUCCUUAAUCCCUUCAGAUUUGGAAAGAUCAAACAAAUAUCCUUUGGAAUUUGACCGCUCAUGUUGUUGUUGGAUAUAUCCAAUUCGGUCAUUUUCGGAUAUGGGUGAUCUUGCAACUGCAAAGUACCAACAAAGGAGUUCCCGCUCAGAUAUAGUUGCUCCAAUCGUGUAUUGUUCUUAAGCAACCACGAUGGAAACAUUCCGGUGAUGUUGUUGUGGGAGAGAUCAAGGAAUCUUAAGUGGUAUUGGUAAUAGAGGAAGUUGGGAAUUUCUAUAUUGAGUGCUUCCGUUGUUUUUGUCGAGCUAAAAAAGACUAGUUGGAACUUUGGAAUCAACUGAUCAAAUGCAGCAGGUUCUAUUACUAAUCUGUUGUUCUCAUUGCAGAAGAACUUGAGGCUUGAGUGGUUCAUAAAAGGUUUCAUUGAAGUGGGAACUUCAAAGAGGUUAUUUGAUAGUGAGAGGAAUUCAAGGGAUAUGAGGUUGGUAAGGGGACCGAAGGCAAUAUUUCCAGUAAAUUGGUUUUCAGAAACAUCUAAUAGUUGUAGAGAAGACAAGUUCCCCAAACAAUAUGGGAGUGAACCUCCUAAAUCAUUUUCAGAGAGAUCUAAUUGCUUCAGAUUCUUCAUUUCACACCAACCUGUACAAUUUAUGGAUAUAAAGUCGUUAAAGAUGAAGGCUAAGUCAAACAUGAUAAAAUACUAUCAUUAAAUUGAUCAUUGCAUAGAUAUAAAGUCCUUUUUUAUAUAUAUAUAUAUAUAAUGUAAUGAAUAUUAUUGAUUAUUCAACAUAGUUUUAAAUAAUAUAAUAUUUUUUAAAUUUAUAAUAUUAUAAAUUAUAAAAUUAUUGAUACUUGCAAUGAAGACCAAGUCUCAAAAUACCAUAUCCACUGGCAGUGGUAAUGCAGCGAAGCAUUGAAUUUCUAAACAUCCUUACCUUUUGUUUUAUAUUGCUAUGUAUAUACAAUGCUUUAAUCAAAACCUAUAAUGCAGGAAUAUCUGCAGAUGGCCAUUCCCAAAGGGAAAACUAAUCUUCCCUAGAAUAUUACAAAGUGCCAUUUCUACAGUGAGACACUGAAUAGUGAAAUUAGUGUUUCGUUUUUGUUGUUUUGUUGCUGAUAACUAGAUCUGUUAAAUCUUUUCCCUGUACUUUUACAUUAUGCAGUAAACUGGUCCCUUCAUUAGUUUUUCGUUAGUCAAAUAUUGUAGAGCUGUCAGCAAUAUUUCCUCUGUUUGUUCCACUAACUUGACGGUAAAAUGUGAUUAAAGAAUCAAUUAAUUAUUUAAAAAACGUCGAGGGAUUAAUUUGUUUGUUUCACAAAAAACAGACACUGGUUAUAUAAAAUUAUACUCAAAUUUUUUUCAUCAUAUGCGUGUGUUUACUUGUAAAUAUUUUGGAAGGAACUAGUUUAUGUUUUGCGCAACAUAAAAAAAAUCAUCUAGGCUUAAGAAACUAGCUCGAUCUAGUGGAUUAAUUUUUAAUUUUUUUUAUUUGACUUUUUAUCUAUAUCAAGUUUAACAUGAAAGUUAAUGUCUUUGUUUAAUUCGCAUGAUAACAAUUCUAUGUCUAAGAUCAUUUGGUUGGCAUACAUAUGUAAACCUAGGUGUUGUUAGUUCGAGGGAAGGAAGACACAAUAAAAAAUAAACAAACAUGGAUGAUAUGUCAUUUAUGUUUUACUUUUUUUAAUUAAAAAAACAGGCUUAAUAAAAAAUAUCAAGCGAGGUCAGAUGCGCGAGCCUUGUUUUAUAAUUUUUUAUUCAAAUUUUAAUAAUUGUUUUCAAUUAUUAUGCAUAUGACAUAAAAAUCUGUUCAUGAAAAUUAAAUUCAAAUCACUUUUUUAAUCUUAGAAUUUUUAGAUAUAUUUUUAGCAUAAUUUUAUCAUAUUUAUGAUUUUUUUUAACUUUCAAUCACAUGAAUAUAUUAUUUUGAUACAUUUUUAAUUUGUUGUGACAAUUAUAGAAUAUUCUUUUAAUAGAAACAAUGAUUCUAGUUAAGAAAAAAAUCUUGCAUUCAUCGAGAUAAACAAGAAAUAUGUUAAUAAGAAAAUUUAUCUUGAUGGAGAAAAAUUCAAAACGACUAAAUUUUCAAGUUUAAUAACAAUGCCAAGGAGUUUCCUUAGACUUGGAUAUUUUGUUCUACGUUUAAAGUUUUUUUUAUCUCCAUAACAUAGCAUUAGCAUACAAACUUGUAUAUUUUUAAGACAGCGUUUGGUUACUAUCCGGGACAAUAAAGACAAAGACAGAGGAGACAAGACAUAAAAGAAGAUGGAGAUAGAAUUGUGUUCAGUAGUGAUGUACAAGAUAAAAUAAUUGUCUUUGUAUCAUAUUUAGUUAUGUUGAAUAAGAAAGAAUAAAAUACAUAAAAAACUAUUUUACCUUUAAUAUGUAUUGUUGUCAAACUUCCAUAUUUAAAAAAUAAUUAUUUUUAUUUUUUUACUUUAGUUUAUAUUGAAUGUUGAAAUUAUUAAUAUUAUAAUAACCCUAAUUAUAAAACCAGGACUGAUUUGACAGGUUGGUUUAAGGCGUAGACUUGCCCGAGUUUUAGAAAAAUAGAUUAAUGAUUAACUAGACCUGACCUGGUAAAAAAUAUGAGUCAGGUUAAGAUAAAACACAAGUAAAAAACCCAUUGACUUUUUUGAAAAAGAAAAUUGGUCAAAACAAGGUUUCUUUGACUAUUUUUUUUAAAAAAAAAUUGGGUCAAUCAGGUUGACCUUCCCAACCCAUGACCUACACCUUUCCUUUGGUCAACUCCUAAGUUGAGUUUUAAAACUAUGAUAUUAAUAAUUUUUAUCCAUACUCAGGUCAACCUGUGUUGACCCUCUCGAUCCAUGACCUAGGCCUUACUUCUGUCGACUCCCGAGUCGGGUUUUAAAAUAUGAUAAUAACUAUUUUUAUCCUUACAUUAAUCCGGGUCGACUCUCUUGAUUCGUGACCCGAGUCUUACCCCAAAUUGACUAUCGAAUCAAAUUUUAAAACUAUGAUUAUAACCACCUUUAUUUUAUGUUGACCCGGGUCAAUCCGGGUUGACCCAUAUAACACGUGACUCAAGCCUUAUCCCGAGUCGAUCCCCGAUUUGGGUUUUAAAACUAUAAUAAUAACUAUUUUUAUCAUUACAUUUACCUAGGUCAAUAAUCAACCUCACUUGUGACCCCAAAAUUGCCCGGGUCGACCCUUAAAUCGAGUUUCAAAAUAUGAUAAUAACUAUUUUUAUUUUUAUACUAAUACAGGUCAACUCAACUCGUGACUCGGGCCUCAACCAGUGACCCAGAAUUUACCCCGGAUCGACCUCAAAGUUGGAUUUUAAAACUAUGAAAAUAAUUAUUUUUACCUUUAUAUGUCUUAAUUAGACAAUUUAGAAUUGAGAGUUUUUUAUAAGGAUAUUUUAGAAAUAAAAAAUAAUAAAUAUUGUCUCUAUAAACAUGUCCCUUCUAUACCUCAUAUUUUGAAAAUAUAAAAAUUCACUCUAAAAUUAUUCUAGAGACAAAUUUAUUUUUAUGUAUUUGUCUUUAUCUCUUUAACCAUAUAUAUUUAUAUCUUUAUUGUCUUCAUCCUUUUUAUCACACGACAAUGACCAAACAUUACCUAAAGGAUCUACAACUACUGAUGACAAACUUGGCUUUAUUUCAUCUUUGAUUUCUUCUCAAUGAUAUCUCACCUAUAUGUGUGGAGGCACUAGAUCGUUGAUUGAAAGGUUGACUUUGAAAAAAUAUAUUCAUAAAGUAAUGUUUGAAUCUUGGUGUUUUUUAUUGGCUCAAAAAAAUUACCAACCCACCAAAACCAACAUGUAUGAAACAUUUAGAUUUAAUAUUAUAUGUAUAAUUUAUUAUCAUAAUUGAUAUGCUAUUCAACUCACUAACUUAGUAGGAUGACCUAUAAUACCUGUUGAUCUAGGAUUUUAGCCGAAUCAAGCUUUAAGCCAGAUAUAAUAACUAUGAUUUUAUAAAAUUACUAUGAACUUCCCUUUUAUGUCUUCUUAUUUACUCAUUUGAUUUUAUGAAGUUAAGAUGUUUGCAUUUAUAUCAUGAUUAAACUCUAGGAUAACAUUUAGUUAUUACUUCAGGAUAACAAAAAUAAAGAUAGUAAAGACAAAAUUAUGUUUGGUUGAAAAGACAUAGAUAUAAAAAUAAUUUUUUUCAUGGGAUAAUUUUAGAGUGAAUUUAUGUACUUUCAAAAUAGAAAGUACAAAUAAGAUAUAUCUUCAUAAACAAUAUUUUUUAUUUUUAUUCCUAAAAUAUCAUUGAAAAAACUUUCAAUUCCAAAAUUGUCUAAUUAAAACAUGUAAGAACAAAAAUAGUUAUUAUCACAGUUGUAAAAUCUAACUCGAGGGUCGACCUGGGACAAGGCUUGGGUCAUUGUUUGGGUUGACCAUUGACCCGAGUCAACAAAAAAAUAAAAAUAGUUAUUAUUAUAAUUUUAAAACCUAACUUGGAGGUCGACUCAGGGCAAGACCCGGGUCAUAGGUCAGGAGGGUCAACUCUGGUUGAACUGAGUUAAUGUAAGGAUAAAAGUGGUUAUUGCAAUAGUUUUAAAACUUGACUCAGAGAUCGACCUGAUGUAAGCUCAGGUCUUGGGCUAGGAGGGUUAAUGCAUGGAUAAAAAUAAUUAUUAUCAUGAGUCGAUUUGAGACAAAGCCUAGGUUAUGGGUUGGGAGGGUCAACCCGAGUUGACCCAAUUUUUUUUUUUAAAAGAAUCAACACAACUUUGUUUUGACCAUUUUUUUUUAAAAAAAAAUAGCUGGUUUUGCCCUAUGUUUUAUCCCGAGUCGACCUGUGUUUUAUCCCGAAUCAACUCGGUUUUUUAAUUCACCUAUCUAUUCUUAAACUUAGAUUAAUACAGGCUUAGAGACGACUAGGUCCCGAAUAGAUUCACUAGGUCAGUCUAGGUUUUAUAACUAGGAUUAUUAUAAUAUUAUUAAAAUUAAACUAAAGUAAAAAAAAAUCUAAUUAUUUGUAUAAAUAUGUAAGUUUAACAAUAAUGCAUAUUAAAGGUAAAAUAAUUUUUUUAUUUUUUAUUUUUUUUAUUUAUCAUUAUCAAAUAAGAUAUAGAGACAGUUACUACCAAACACAAUUUUAUUUUCAUCUCCUUUUAUAUCUUGUUUUCAUGGUCUUCUUCCUUUUUAUUCAGGACAGUAACCAAAUAUUACCUAGUUAUAACAUAUAGAAACAUAUAAGUUGUCAAGUUCAAGCCUUUCUCUUAUCGAUUUAAAUAAAUUGAAACACAAUUGCAAGAAGAUUCGAGUGUGUUUGGUAUUGUGAUAGCUUUUGUGGUUGUGAUUUGAAAAAAAAUUGUUUUAUAAAAAAUACUUUUGGUUGAGGUUGGUUUGGUAUUUAUAUAUAUUUGGUUCAAACUGUGGUUGAAAUUGAGGUUGAACAAAAAGUAGUUUAAUGUGUUUGGUUAAGAAUGCUUUUCAAAUUGAGGUUAUAAAAUAAUUAAAAAAAGAUAUUAAUAUUAAUGGUUUUUAAUUUAAAUAUUGUAGAUUUAACUACUGUUAUUACAUCAUGAAAUAAAUAAUACUUUAUAUAAAAUAUUUUUAUUGUUCCAUUAAACUAUCUACAAUUCCAUCACGUACGAAAUCCAUCCGACAAGGACUACAGUUUCCUUGGUUUUUUAAGUGCGCAACAACAUCAUGUAAAAUAUCAUCAAGAACAAAAUUAGGAUUGCGAUCAAAUUCUGUAAAUGUUACGUCAUUAAGCGAUCUCCUUCUAAUUUAUGUAGUGUCAUUGAAUAAUGUUAAACAUUAGUUUUUUUGAAUAAAAUACAAUUAAAAAUAAAAAAAUUGAAUUUUAUUUUAUUUUACUGGGUCGGACCCGGUUCAAUGCAUUUAGCUUUGAACCGGACCCAAUUCGGCCGGAAUAAUAAAACAUUCUCCACUGUUCACGUGAACAGUGGAGAGUGAAGUAAUUCACUCUCACUAGGUGGAGACAACAGAAGAAAAGAAAAGGCAGCUUUGAGCUGCUUUCAAUGACACUGCAUUUUAAACAUAAAUUAUAAUGGAUCCUGUAAACAGUAAAUAAUAUUUUAUUAAUUAUCACAUGAUUGAUUUCUGUGGUUUGUUACAAAAACAGAAGCAACCACAGAAAUAAUCAGGUUCAAAGAAGAAAAGACAUAUGAUUAAAGUGCCACGCAACCUUUUGACAUUAUCAGUAUUUUGAUGUAUUUCCAUUAAUUUAUAAUAUACAAGUAUAUUUCCACGUUUCUUUUAUUUGGAUAGAACAUCUUUCCAAUAGAAUUUGUUUUUAUUAGAAUUCCAUAUUCAUGAUAUUUUUUUAAUAAUAAAAAUAGCAUUGGAUGAGUUUGUAUGUCAAUUGAAACUAAAAAUGUGUUAGAUACGAUCGAUGGAUUGAACAUGAUAAUAUAAAUAUCAAAUAAUGUUUAAUUAGAUUAAAUUGAACUAGAGAAUAUAUGUUUUUAUUCUAUGUUUGGUGCACACAAAAUAAGAUCAAAUAAUUUUAUUUUUAUCAUUGAGAUUUUUUCAAUCAUUUAUUUUAGUCUUUGCAUUUUAUUUUUAUGAUAUUUUAGUCCUUACUAGAAUUUCUUUAUCAUCUAGAACAAUCUAGUUCUUAAAUCAAAAAGGUUUUUGCAAUUAAACUCUUACAUGUAAAUAUUUAUUUUAAUAAAAUUGGUCAAAUUUUGGUUUUCCAAAUUAAAAAAUAAAUAAGUGAUAAAUAAAUAAUAGAUAAUAUAAAAAUUAAGAAAAAAUAAUUUUGUACAAAUUUUUUGUCCUGAGGAAAACUUUGGACAAGACAAUGACAAUGAUCAAUCCUUGUCAUGUCCAAAGUGUAUAUCAAACAUUUCAUAGCUUGCCAUGUGCAACAAAUAUAUCACAACUUGUUUUUAUUGUAUUCUAUUAUGAUCUCUUUUGUGUUUUAUAUUAUUUAAUAUAUUAAAAUAAAUUUAAUAAAUUAUACUGAAGCAAGAUCUAAUAUUAGAAAGUUAACGGAAAUAAUAAAUGUACCUUUGCCCGUCCCUUCAACAAAAUGCUGAGCUGUAUACUAAUUCUCAGAGGCAGUGAUAACUAGUUGUUCUAACUAAUCCCUAUACUUUUAAAUAUGUUUACAAUUCAGUCCCUUCAUUAAUUUUUCGUUAGUAAAAUGUUGAGCUGUCAGCAAUAUUUCCUUAGUUUGUGCCGCUAACUUGACGGUAAAAUGUGAUUAAAGGAUCAAUUAAUUAUUUAAAUCAACUUGAGGGAUUAAUCUGCAUUUGCUUAACAAAACGACAAACACUAGUUAACUCAAAUUUAAGGUAUGUUUGUUUUUAUAUUUCAAAAACGUUUUGAAAAAAUUUGAAAAUUUUUUAUUUUUUUCUUUGCUUCAAAUUAAUAUUUUUUGGUAUUUUUAGAUCAUUUUGAUAUGCUAAUAUUAAAAAUGAUUUUUUUCAAAAAACAUAUUUUAAUAUAUUUCUGAGUGAAAAACAUUUUAAAAAAUAUCUGUAACCACACUCUCAAACAAUCACAUUCCCAUACAGGUUAAUCAUCAUAUGCGUGCAUGCGUGCGUGCAAGUGGGGUUCAAUCCGGGUGCCCUAGCAUUAUAUUAUAAUACUUAUAUAUAUAAGAAACCCUGUAUGGAUUCGUACAACACUGGAAUGCAAUGAUUGAAUGAAAUAUUACAUGGACAUUGGACCUGCUGUGUAAACAUGUUUAGGAUGGAUGCGACGACAUUUCAGAGUUUUUGCUUUCAACUUGGAAACCAAUGUCAUAACCCAAUUCUGGGUUAUUCCCCAAAAAUCAUUUUUUUUUCAAAAUAAAAAUCAAAAUAAUAAUAAUAAAAGCUGGAAACGUGGAGAAGGCAAACCGGGGAAUCAAGUUGUAAUUUUGGAGGAAAUUCAAGGCCUAAUUGUACCCCAUUAUGCCAAAAAAUGGAGGAAAAAAAUGCAAAUUCAAGGUCAAAUUAAAUGACUAUUGGAUGAAUUUGCAUAAAAAUUAAGUCCAAGAACAUAAUUAAAUUUUUAAUAGGCCAAUUUGAUUUAAUCAUGGGCCAAAUUGAAUUUUAAUUAUGUUUAAGAAUUAAUUUGGGUCCAAUUGAAGGAUUUAGUUAAGUGCAAGGACUUAAUUAUACUUUAAAUGGGUAAAAUUAAUUUUAUUUGGGGCUUAAUUGGUGAAAAAUUAAGUUUGGGAGCCUAAUUUGGGCUUAAUUGAGAAGAUUGGAAUUUUAAGAGAUCAAAUUUAAUUUUUUCCAAGUUAAUUGCUUGAAAUCAGGGGCCAAAUUGCAAGAAAAUUGAAGUUUUGGGGUCAAUUAGGGGUUAAAUUGACAAAAUUUGCAGCCAAGGACCAAUAUGCAAAAAGUGCCAAACUAUAGGGCCUAUUGGCAAAAUCCAGGGUGAAAUUGAAGAAAUUGAAAGUUUAAUGGUUGAUUAGGGGUUAAAUUGCAUAAAUCCAAGACUAAAGACUUAUAUGCAAAAGGCGCGUAAAUUUGGGGUUCCAAUUGAAGUUCAGCAAGGGCGUAAUUGCAUUAAAUCAAAAGUUUAUGGUCAAUUAGGAGUUCAAUUAAAACAAAUUGAAAUCUGGAGGACUAAAUUAAAACUUAGUUAAAAUCCCUAAUUCAAACCUAAAACAACAUUGUUUUGAAUAAUAAUAAUAAAAAAAGAAUCAGACAACACGUCGUCUGGUCAUUAUUUAUUGUCUUCUUCUUUUACCCGGUUAAUCAUCAUAUGCGUGCGUGCAAGUCAGGGUUAUUGUGUUGUCUAUUCCGUGUGUAAUGUGGGGUUCAAUCCAUGUGAAUCGCACGACUUGUCCAUAUCUUUCUUAUUGAUUACAAAUAGCAUUGAGAAUUAAAGAAUAUUAUCUUAAUAAGUUCCAAUUUAUUCUACAAAAACUAUAUAUAAAGAUGUGACAAAAUCUUAAGUUCCAUUUUAUUCUACAAAAACUAUAAAGAUGUGACAAAAAGAUGCAGCUUACGGAUCAAGCCUGGUUCAGGUUUUGAUCCUGUUAAAAAUCUAUUUUGUUGAAUUGUUCAUCAACUCGUGAAUUAUUGGGUUAAAUAGAUUAAUUUUUUAAACAAAACAAUGCCAUUUUUUUUAUAUAUAAAAAAUUUGGUUCUGGCGUAUAAAUAUAAUAUUAGAAACUUAAACCUUAUUGAUUAGCAAAAACUCAAAGGGAAAUUUUGAAAUAGAUUUUUGUAAAAUCAAAUAUGAACCAAGUACUAGAAAGUUUGUUUGAAAUAACAAUUACUUUAUAGAAAGCAAAUAUAAAUAUAUUUAUUAAAUUUAAUAAAGUUUAAAAUCAGCAAGUUAAGCUACGAAACCCUGAUCAAUUUAAUAUAAUGCCGUUCAAUACAAAAAAAAAAUACAUCUUAAAAAAAAUUUAAGUUAAAUCAUGUUUCUACCUAUUAUUUAGGUUGUCUUCAGACUUAUAAAGUCGACUAGGUUAUAUUAGAAAAACUUUUAUAUAAUUAAAUUUAAAACUCGAGUUAGGAAAUUUUAAUAUUGAUUUGUUGAAUCGGAUUUAAUAACAAUACCAAAAAUCUAAAAUUUACUUUUUUAAUCAAUUUUUUUUAAUUCAACUCGUAUCAUAACACAGUAUAGUAAAAUAAAUAGAUAUAAAAUAUUUUGAUGGAUCCUCGGGAUAAGAGAUUGUUUUAGGACAUUUUGCUAAUUUCUUUUGUUAUCUAAUCAACAAGCUCAUAGUGAAUAAGUAUAUAAAUAUAUACAAUUAAAUUAAAUAACAUAUAAGAGAAAAAUGGUCGAAAGGUAAAGCUAAAGUGAUGCGACGUUGAGCCACUAGUCGAUAGUUGUAACGUCAGUUUGUUGGUUCGUCGUUCGUUUCUCGGAUUUAUUGAUCUUUAGAUUGUCUGUUUCUAGAAAAGAAAGAAAGAAAUAUUUAUAUUAUCAAUGCAAUGCAAUGCAAUGACUAAUAAGAGCUUGAAAUUAAGAGGUUUGCUUUCUCUAUAGUUUCAGGUUCGAACCCUGUGGUUGCUCAUAUGAUGGCCACUGAAGAUUUACAUGGUCGUUAACUUUAGGGCCCGUGGAAUUAGUCGAGGUGCGCAAAUUAUUAUCAUUUUAUCAAUGUAUACUACAUCUUUUUCUCAAUUGUUUGAGUUUGAAAUUAUAUCUGUGAACCCAUUAAUUUAUCUAGAAAAAAAAAAUUUAGGUAAUUGGAUCAAUCCUUGAUAUCAUAUAGAGAUAAAUUAAUUGUUUUGAUUAAAACAAUAUCAUUUUAUUUAAAAAUAAAUUUAUAAUAUUAAUUGAAUCACUAAAAACACAACUAGACCAAUCAUGUUUUAAAUAUUUUUAAAUAUUUUUAUAUUUAAUUUGAAAUUGAUUUAAAUUAAACUUUAAAUUAUGGGUUUUUCAAACUAACAUGUGUUGGGUUACGUCGAUUGAGUUAGGUAUAACAUAUCUAGAAGAAUUUAUUAAAUUUCUCUAUAAUUAGUCAAUCGAUGAGGGAAUUUAGUUUUAAUUGAUGGAGAAAUUAAUUUAAAGAUACCAUGCAAGAUAUAAAAAAAAACAUUUAAAGAUAUCAAUUAUUGUUUUCCGUUUAAUUAUAAAUAGAAUGAAGAGAGCGAUGCUCGCUGCACUUUUAUAAGCGACUAAAGUAGUUUCCAUCUUAGAUACAGUUAGAAUCUCCCAUAUCUGUCAAAAUGCCAAAAAAGCUAUUCGCAAAGAAACUCUCAAAAACUGACAUUAAUUAAAUAUAGAAUGGCAGUUCCAAUGGAAAGCCUCUACGCUUUCCAAAUCCCAGAAGGAGAACACUCUAAAGAAUUUGGUGUCACUGGCAUCCAUGGCAAGAGGUGGAGGUUCCGAUGUUGUACAAGAAAAACUGAGUUGAUCACCUUAAACCAGUCAUGUUUUCAGUUUGGAUUGAGUUCGCCAAAAAAAAGGGUUCUCAAAAAAGGUGAUGAAGUCACCUUCUCUGUGCUGGACAUGAAGGGAGCUGAGGAUCUGGAAUUGGGAAUUCAAGCUCGGAAAAGAAUCAAGCUAUUCGGCCAAGAUUUUUGGAGUAAUCCUUUGUGAAGAAGAAGAAGAAGAAGAAGAAGAAGCUACUCCUCGCAUAAGUAUAGAUUUUGUGCACCGAAGAUUGUGUCUGUGAGUAAUAGAGCUGGUUGCCUAUGUACAAUUAGUAUGCUUUGGCAGGAACUUCGUGACUGGUCCUUGGAUAGCUGAGAAAGCCAAGUCUAUGGCAACUUCAGGGGAAUCCAGGAGCAGGAAAAAAAUCAAGGUGAAAGGAUAUGAAUUUGCUAGUGCAACUGCUGCAAAGGAUCUAGGAGACAUAAAUUUGCGAACUAGAGAAGAGUUAAUUUUGAGCUCUGCAUUCUUCUUGCAUGUUCAUCUGUUUCCCGUUGUGGUUGAUCUUAGCAGUUCUCAGUAUAGUAAUUUGCAUUUCCUUCUAGAUCAGAUGAUUAAUGGAUUAUCAGGCAUGGACUGCGAUGUAGUCGGUGCUAGGGAAUCAACAAAGUUAACUCAUUGUAUUUUCAUAAAUUAAAGGGAUUUCUCUUCUUUUCUUUGUCAAUUACAGUGCAUGAUGUAUAAAAGUUUUCUUACUCAGAGUAAAUGCUAUUGUAAUGUUUUCACAGAGACUCCUCUAUUUUGCAACUAAUUCACUUAUAUAUCUUGGAAACAGAAAGGCAAUCAACGAAGAGUAAGGCAUCUUCUGAAGAAACAAAGAAAUUUAAUGCCCUAAACUAAGCAGCAGGUAGAAGGCAAAAACUGAGCUCAAAUUUUCAGUAAGGGACAAACGAAAAAAACCAAAAAGAAAGCAGAGAAAAAUACAGACUCAAAUUCACAACACCCAUUUUCUUUCCAUUGGAACACUUUAAAUAGUUUAUUAAAUUUAUAAUGAUCUGAUUUCUACGCAUAUUACAAAAUCAACUUCAUGAUCAAUUCUCUAUAAUUUCGGCAUUACUAAAAACAUCCAAACUAAUAAACUAUUAGUUAUUUUAGCCAUUUUAAUAAACAUUUUAGUUAUGAAUUCACCAAACAUUUUGAACAAUUCAUAUGGAUGAAUUAACAUGUUAAUUUUAGAUUUUUUAACUUAUUAAUUCCUUCAUGAAUUACUUCUAAAGCAUGUUAUAUAUAUCUAAGCACUUUUAUAUAAUAUAAUUCUAUCAAAUUCACUUUUACCCAAUGUAUAAUAUAAACAUCCAUAAAAAAUAACUUAUAUUGUCAAUGCAAUGAAAUGACUAAAUAACAUUUAAUUAUUAUAAUAGCUUUGUCCUCAUACCUAAGGAAGUAUACUACGUCUUUUUCUCGAUUCUUUGAGUUUGAAAUUAUAUCUUUGAACCCAUUAAUUUAUCUAAAAAAAAAUUUAGGUAAUUGGAUCAAUCCUUGAGGUCAUCAUAUCAUAGGGAUAUAAAUCAAUUAUUUUUAUUAAAAAUAAUUUUUUUUUUAAUAUUUUCAUAUUUAACUUGAAAUCGAUUCAAAUUAAAUUUUAAAUUACAGGUUUUUCAAAUUAACAUGUGUUGGGUUAGGUCUAAUAUAUCUAGAAGAAUUUAUUAAAUUUCUCUAUAAUUAGUCAAUCGAUGAGGGAAUUUAGUUUUAACUAGUUACAUGACCCGCGCGAUGCCACGGGUCAAUUUUGUUUUGCAUAAAAAAUAUCAAAAAAAGCUAAGAUCUAAAAGUGUUAGGUCUUUCUAUAAAGUUAUACCCAAAAGUCUUGGGUUUGGCUACAACGCCUGAUCCAAAAAUAAUAUUUAUAAUAUUAAUAAUAACAUUAAACUUGCAUAUAUCCACGAAUAUGUACAAUAUUUGAAACCUAUAAUGCAAGAAUAGCUGCAGAUGUACAAUAUUUUUAAUUUAAAGAAUCAAUUAAUUAUUUAAAAAACUUGAGGGAUUAAUUUGUUUGUUUUACUCAAAUUUUUAUUGUUUACUUGUAAAUAUUUUGAAAGGCACAACAUGAAAAAAUCAUAUAUGCUUAAGCAACUAUUUGGCAUCUUAAACUUAAUCUCGUAAAUUAAUCUUAAAUCCUUUUUAUUUAACUCUUUCCCAGUAUCAAGUUUAAAAUUAAUCAACAUAAAAGUUGUUUUAAUAUAACUUAGUUAAUUUAAUGGGUUCAAAAUUAAUACAUAUGACAUGAGAUCUACCAGCCAUCAUCUGGCCGGAAACGGGCCGCGAUCGUCGACUGCCACCGAAGCUUCAAGUCGUCGAUUCUCGCUCAUCAGCCAUCAACGGCCGUCAAGACCACCACCAUAAGAAUCCUCGACAUCAGAUCUACCAGGAUCGACCAUCGGUUGGCCAGAAAUCGCGCCGGAAAAUCUCCCCGCCGCCAACAGUAGCCGCGCGUGUGCCACACGCGCCGCCAGUGGCAUUUUUGUAAAUUUUGGAGAAACCCGAGGGUAUUUCAGUCUUUUACCUAUACAGUGGCACUCAGGUAAUUUUUCGGGGUUUCUACUGGUAUUUUUGAUAUUUUUUAUAUAUAAAUGCUUGUAAAUUUUCUUGCAUGUUGUAAAAAAUACAAAAACCAAAGUCGACACGUCUCUUUUUUUAAAAGGACCGAUGUCAAAAAUGUAAAUACCAAAUAUGGCAUAUGUCCAUUAUUUUUUUUUGGUGACCCAGACGUAAUUCUCCUUUUUAGGGUUGAAACGUCAUAUUUUAGACAAGUCUCCUAAUUUUUAGGGACUGAUGUCAUUUUUAACGUGUCUCCUAUUUUUAGGGACCGACGUUAACCAUUUAAAAAAACAAAUUACCAAUAAACCCAAAAUAUAAUGGAUUAUAUCCAUUAUUUCUUUUGGUAACUCAGACGAGUCUCCAAUUUUUAGGGACUGAUGUCAUUUUUAACGUGUCUCCUAUUUUUAGGGACCGACGUUAAUCAUUUACAAAAAUUUACAAAUAAGCCCAAAAUAUAAUAGCAUUUGAAUCAAAUAAAAACACACAAGUAAGGGUAACCUUUCUUUUGAAAGGAUGUUUUAAGGGUGGUGUCUACCUUCCCUUAAUCAUAACUAACCCCGUACCCGAAUCUCUGGGACCAGUGUCUAAUUUGGGAUUUCUAGUUCCCUCAAAUUACUAGAUGGCGACUCCAAUAAAAUCUUUGUUUCCCCCAAUCGAGAAAAAAACCCUUUUUGUUAAACAAACAAAAAAAGCGGGAGCCGUCGCCCGACGUCGUGUAUCGACAAAUGUCUGCAAAUCUUGUGGUCAUAUACAGGGUGCCGGUUUUCUUUCCACGAGCCAAAACCAUUGCUCCCUUUGAUACCUUCCACAUACCUCCAGAAAAAAGGAUUGAAUGACCACUAUCAUCAAGUUGUCCGACCGAGAUCAGCUUCUUCUUUAGAUCAGGAACAUGCCUUACAUUUUGCAAGGUCUAUAUAGAUCCAUUCAUUGUCUUGAUUUGUACAUCUCCUAAACCCACAAUAUCCAAUGGUUGUCCAUCGGCCAGAUAGACUACACCGUGAUCUCCAGCAAUAUAGUUUUGCAUCAUUUCAUGGUGUGGUGUACAGUGAAAUGAAGCACCAGAAUCAAGAACCCAAUCAUCAACAGGACUAUGCACAGCAAGAAUCAAAGCAUCUUGCACCUCAUUUGUGGUAGCGUUUGCAGAGUCAGCUUCAGGUUUUUUCGGUUUUGUGCAAUUCCUCAUGAAAUGACCGGGUUUGCCACAAUUCCAACAUUCAACCUGUUUUCUGGGUCCAAACUUGCUUUUACUUCUAUAUCUUGAUUUUGAUCUGCCUCUGGAUAAGCCUCUAUCAUGUCUCCUCCCUCGAGUGUUGAUGUUGAGAGCUGAUCCUGAGCUUGAACUUUCACCCGAGUCUUUCCUUCGCACUUCUUCAGCCAAAAUCAAGUCUCGAAUGUCAUCAUACUUCAGUUUGGAUUUUCCAGCUGAAUUGCUCACGGCUGUCCUCAUGCCUUCCCAACUGCUUGGAAGUGAAGCUAGCAAGAUGAGUGCACGAAUCUCAUCAUCAAACUCAAUCUCAACAGAUGAUAAUUGAUUUGUGAUGGUAUUAAAGUUAUUGAGGUGUUGUGUCACAGAAGUGUUUUCGACCAUCUUCAAGUUGAACAACUUUUUCAUCAGGUGCACUUUAUUAUUUGCUGAUGGCUUCUCAUACAUCCCAGACAAGGCUUCCAUCAAUCUUGCAGUGGAUCUUUCUUUCGUAACAUUGUGAGCAACUCUUCUUGAUAAGGAUAACCGGACAAUGCCCAGAACUUGUCUAUCAAGAAGUAGCCAAUCUUCUUCUUGCAUAUUUUCUGGUUUGCUCCCCAACAAGGGAAGAUGAAGUUUCUUCCCAUAUAGAUAAUCCUCAAUUUGCAUUUUCCAGUAUCCAAAAUCUGUCCCGUCAAAUUUUUCAAUUCCAGCUGCUUUUAUUUCAUCUGCCAUUUUUACUGCUUCUCCGAUUCGAAUUUCCCAAAUCUGACCUUACAGAUGUGUCCGGAACAGCCGAAAACCUUGGAAAUGACACUGAGAUAACCCCAAUCGGACUUCGGAUGGCUCAGAUUUUAGCAAUCAAAGUUUUGGAUUAACGGACGGUGCAGAUGCAGCCGCGUGUCAACCAGAGUACCGCCUGCGUCGCACCGGAUCAAAACCUCAGUAGCGGUUCUGAUGAAGCCACGUGUCAGCAGAUUAGGUCCUGCGUCACACCGUAUCAAAACUCAGUAACGGUUAUGAUGAAGCCACGUGUCAGCAGAUGAUGGCCUGAGUCACACUGGAUCAAUACUCAAUAGUGGUCCUGAUUUAACCACGUGUCAACUGAUUGGAUCUUGCGUCGUACUGGAUCAAAACCCCUCAACGGUUGUGAUGUAGCCACGUGUCAGAAUAUCAGCUUCUGCGACACAUCGGAACAAAACUCAGAGAUGACGUGGCAGGUGACGUGGCAGGUGACGCGGACGGUGACCGUACGGCUGUGCUGACGUGGCGGGUCAGCCCGACCCGUUUUGCAGAAGUCGGGCGAAGAUGGAGCGUGGCGCGCGUACGGCGCGUUGGUGCGCGUGGGCAGUCUGGGCGUCGGCGCGUGUUGGCGCGUGCGGGCAUGCAGGACGUCGGUUCUUCGCCGGGUUUUCAACAGUGGAUUCGUCCGGUUGUCCUCUACACGAUGGUAUGUUCAAAAACACGUUUUGAGAACUUUGAUUUUUGAGUUUGGAUCAAACACCCUCUUUGUCAAGAACAAGCUCUGAUACCAGUUGUUGGGUAAUUCCAGAACUCAAACACACAUCAAUUUACGUGGUUCGGCAACUUGCCUACUCCACGGAGCUACUGGUUUGUAUUAAUCAAGCUUAGAAACAAUACAAACAACAAAACAAGGAGGAGGAGAAAAUCUUCUCUACUCAACUCAAGCUCUCUCUCUCUCACGUUUUUCUCUCUGUGUUUUCACUCUUCUCUGUGUUCUUCACGCUUCAACCCUCCAGCUCUUCACUGAGCAUACAUAUAUAUUAAGCUAGGAGUGAAGGGCAUAAAUCAUGCCAUGAUUUAUGCCCACCGUUUGCCUCCACUUGUGCUAAGUGGAGAUUAGGUAUUCCCACUAAGCACAUAGUGGAGGUGGGACAUUGCUUGUCUCCAAAUAGCUAACAUAACUGAGGUGGGGUCGCCCUUGAAACAUUGGUAGAUGUAAGUGUUGCUCACAUGCAUAGAAUAUUUUUUUUCUACUUAGUAGUGGUUUUGGCAAUUUUUUUCAGACAAGUCUUGAGAGUUGAAAGAGUAAUCACACCCGAGUCAACCAACAAUCCAAAUCAGCUCCCUUCCUAAUGGUUCAGGAAUGAGAAGUCCAGCUUAUAUAUUUGAUAUAGAGACGGUACACUACAAAUUAAGCACCCAAUAACUAGACAAACAAUCAUGAUAAACUAGGAACAAUUGUCUUCCCAGUAACAAAUUCACCUUCUCACGUUGGAGAACUUGCGAAAACUAGCCACCACAAAAUAGUAGCAAGUAUUUAUGCAGUCUUCGAUGAAGUACGACCACCUGCGUCGCCAAUAUGGAUUGAUGUAAAGAACUGCUGCAAUCGUCAUUACCACAACUGUGUAACAUACACCGAAGCUGAUGUAGAAAAACUCCAUGUCUAUGAAACCAUCAUCUCCUUGUUCAUCAUUAGGCACUGGCUGUAACGGCACUGCUUCCUCACUACAAUUGUUUCGCAAUGGAGGUCCACACAAGAAAGGAUUUCCUUCGUAACAGUUUUCAUCAUCAAAGGUCCCAAAUUGAUAUUUUCUCUCGGGUGUCCUACCUGACAAGUUAUUGUACGCCACACUAAAAACUUCCAGUGUGGUAAUUUCAGUAAGUUGUGGAGGGAUGGCACCAUUCAAGUUGUUGUAAGAAAGAUCCAAACUCUCAAUCUGCUUUAGGUUUGAGAAUGUUGCAGGGAUAGAUCCAGUGAGAUUGUUGUGUGAUAAGUUUAAUGACAGUAUCUUACUCAAGUUUCCAAAUUCUGGUGGGAUUGCUCCUACAAAGUUGUUAUUGGAGAGAUCAAUACCAUACAUGUAGCUCAGAACUUUCCCCUUGUAACCAUAAUACAUAUUUUUAGUUGUAAAUUCUAUCACUUCUUCUGUAAAGUUAACCCAAAAAUCCUUUCCCAAGUUGUACAUACUAUCCCCUAGUGGUGGACCCAUUGUUUCAUAAUAAGCUUUUUCUAUGGACCAUGACGGAAAACCAUAUCCGAGAUCCGCGAGCGUUUUCUGGGAACUUUCCUUGAGAGUUAGAUUGCCCAAACAUGAGGGUAGUGGACCAGAGAGCUGGUUUUGUGAAACAUCCAAAAUACUUAAUUGUUCUAACAAGCAUAACUGAACAGCGAGCUCACCAUCAAAGUUAUUAGCCCUCAGAAGAAGAACACUCAAUGAUGAAAGAUUGCCAAUCCAAUUUGGAAUAGAGCCAAUGAAGCUGUUGUCUCGAAGAUCCAUCGUAACUAGGGAAGAGCUGUUAUAAAAACCAUAUGUUAAUGGACCGCUCAAUCUAUUUUUGGAUAGAUGAAUAUGGGUUAUUUGUGGUGGAUUGAAACAAGAUGGCAUAUAUCCAGACAAGUAGUUAUCAGAAAGGUCCAAAAAUUCAAGCCGGUCAAGCUUACAAAAGUCUCUUGGGAUUGGACCCUUAAAAAGGUUUUUGGACAAAUCAAGUACUUCAUCGUACGUAAAAUUAAAAAAGCUUCUUGGAAGCAUGCCUGAAAAUUGAUUGUUACUCAAAUCCAAUACACUCCAUACUUUCCACCCAUAUAAUGGAAAAUCUGAUAUCUGACCCCAAAAGUAGUUACCACCUAGGUAGAGAUAUUGUGAGAUAGAAGAAUUGAACACCGAGGUCGGUAUUUGCCCACCCAAACUAUUGUUUGACAGCUUGAGAACCUGUAUUGUUGUUAAUUGUUCUAGUUUUACUGUAGACAAUUGAUUGUUGGAUAAAUCUAAAAAUGAAAGAGAGCUAAAAUUUCCUAAACAAGAAGGAAUAUAACCUGUGAAUCCAUUGUCAGCCAUCCUUAAGAUCCACAGAUUUGGAAAGAUCAAACAAAUAUCUUUUGGAAUUUGACCAUUUAUGUUGUUGUUGGAUAUAUCUAAUUCGGUCAUAUUCGGAUAUGGGUGAUCUAGCAAUUGCAAAGUACCAACAAAGGAGUUCUCGCUCAGAUAUAGUUGCUCCAUUCGUGUAUUGUUCUUAAGCAACCAUGAUGGAAACAUUCCGAAGAUGUUGUUGUGGGAGAGAUCAAGGGUUCUUAAGUCGUAUUGGUAAUAGAGGAAGUCGAGAAUUUCUACAUUGAGUGCUUCCGAUGUUGGACUACUUGACAAGCGGAAAAAGACUAGUUGGAACUUUGGAAUCAAAUUAUCAAAGGCAGCAGAUUCCGUUACUAGUCUGUUGUUCUCACUGGAGAAGAACUUGAGGCUUGAGUGGUUCAUAAAAGGCUUCAUUGAAAUGGGAACUUCAAAGAGGUUAUUUGAUAGUGAGAGGAAUUCAAGGGAUAUGAGCUUGGUAAGAGGACCAAAUGCAAUAUUUCCAGUAAACUGGUUAUCAGAAACAUCUAAUAGUUGUAGAGAUGACAAGUUCCCCAAACAAUCUGGGAGUGCACCUCCAAAAUUAUUUCUAGCGAGAUCUAACUGCUUCAGAUUCUUCAAUUCACACCAACCUAUACAAUUUAUCUUGAAACAAUCAAAACAAUGUUGAAAGAAUCUUUUAUUGAUGAUGUAAUUAUAGGCGGAUGGAGAGUUGUUAAUUUACCUUGAGCGGGUAGGGUGCCAUGGAGGUCACAUUCAGCAACAGACAAAACUUUAAGAGCAGGCAAUGCUCCAGUGUUCUGGAGAAAGUUUAUUGGGAGAGAAGUAUUAUCUAGAUGCAAUUCUUCAAGGGUGCUAGAAUUGAAGAAAGUCCCUGUGAAAAAGAAAGAAGAAGAGAUAUGAUGAAAAUAGUGGUGGUACAGAAUAGCCAUUCCAUUCAAUAUUAUUAAUUAAGAUUUUAAGAAACUAAACUAUGAUUAACCUUGACUUAAAUUAGUAUCCUUGAGAGAAAGGGUCUUCAGCGAUGGCCAUGAACGCAAUGACUGCAGGAUGUCCAGAUUCCUUAAACCUAUGAUAUUUGGAUAGAAACAACAAAUUGCUUGAAGAAUCUAGAGAUUUCAAAAGGUAUUGUUAAGAAAUGAAGUAAAUAAUAGAAGAUGCCAAGAGAUAUUCAUAACUUUACCAUUGAUAGUCGUCGAUCCUAGCAACAUAUUGCCUGAUAAAUUUAAAGACUUGAGAUGAGAAAGUCCACGCAGAUGUGAUAAAAUGCUGUCAUUGAAUAUAUUAUUAUGGCUCAGGUCCAGGUUCUCGAGUUUCCCCAAAUGUGAUGAUAUGAUCUCAAAACCUGCAAGAGUAAGUCGUUAAAGUCGUUAUAUAAAAUAUAAUUCUAAUUUUGAUCUUAUUGGAAAUAUUACGAAACAAUUUUUAAAUAUCAUUCUAGUUUCGAUCUUAUUGGAGAAAAAAAAACAAUUUAUGGAUAUAAAGUCGAUAAAGAUGGAAGCUAAGUUAUGGAUAGACUUACAAAACAAGAUAAAGAAACUUAUAAUUAAGAUCUCAUCGGUAAUUAAAACAAGAAUAAUAAUCGAUCCUAGAUAGCAACAUAUUGUCCAAAUAUUUCACCAUAAAAUCACCCAUCACCAUUCACCACGACCAUAAGGCAAAAUCCUCCACCACAUAAUAAUAUUUUGAUUAAAAAAAGGUCCAAAAUAAUAUAAAACCAUGAUUAAAAAGGAGAGGAAAUAAUAAAUGGCUACAAACAAGAAUUAAAUAUCAUAUAUGUGGGUUUUAUGUUGUUCUCUUUAUUGAUAAAACAGUCGAGAGUUUUUCUAAUAGAGAAAUUGGCUGUCGAGAGUGAUUUGUAUUGGAUAGUUUUUUUGAUAGUUUUUAUUAAAUAGAUAUAAAGUCCUCAUUUUUGUUGAUAAAGAAACAAUAUAAUUAAGAGAAUGUCAUGUGAAGCAUUUAGGUAGGUAGAAACUGUGUAUUAUACCUGAUCCUGUCAGCUGAUUGCCUGACAGAUACAAAGAUUUUAGGGAUGAAAACCCAGUUAGAGAUGGAAAAAUGCUAUCGUUGCAUUGAAUCUCACUUAGAUGAAGGUUCUCCAGCUUUUUCAACCUUGAUGACAAGUCUUUGAGACCUGCAUGAUGUUCCUCAAUAGCAUAUUGGAAGGAAAUAAACGCAUAGAAAAAAAAUGAUAUGAGAAGGAGAAAAGAAAAGGUUUCAAAGCUAAAUAAUUAAAAGGUUACCAUAGAAGCUACCUCCUAAUCCAGCUGUCAACCCAUCGGUAAUUAAAACAAGAAUAAUAAUCGUUAAAUAUCAUUCUAAUAAUAAUCCAUGGCAAGUUCAAAUCCGUUGGUAACUGAAUUCCUCUAUCUAUUUAGUUAGUAAGAUGCUUAGUUGUCACUAAUUUAGUAAUUAUAAUUUGUUCCUCUGUUUUCUAGCAACUACUUUCCCAAUUUUAUCCAUUCACCACGACCGUAAGGCAAUAUCCUCCACCACAGAAUAAUAUUUUGAUUAAAAAAAGGUACAAAACCCAUUAUUAAAAAGAGAGGAAAUAAUAAAUGGCUACAAACCGAAAACCGGUCCAAUAUGUGGGUUUUAUUUAAAAAGAUAAAUAUAAAAUAUAUAUUUAUAGGAGAGUUUUGAAGUGAACUUCUGAUUACUAAUUUAAUCUAAAUAUUACAACACUUUUGGCAUAAAAGGGCUAAAAUAAGAAUAAAAUAUAUGCCUCUUGGACCUAAUUCCAAGUGCCUCUUUUCUUGAUAUAAAGUCCUCAUUUUUGUUGAUAAAGAAACAAUAUAAUUAAGAGAAUGUCAUGUUAAGCAUUUAGGUAGAAACUGUGUAUUAUACCUGAUCCUGUCAGCUGAUUGCCUGACAGAUACAAAGACUUGAGGGAUGAAAAUCCAGUUAGAGAUGGAAAAAUGCUAUCGUUGUAUUGAUUCUCUCUUAGAAGAAGGUUCUCCAGCUUUUUCAACCUUGAUGACAAGACUUUGAGACCUGCAUGAUGUUCCUCAAUAGCAUAGAAAUGAUAUGAGAAGGAGAAAAGAAAAGGUUUCGAAGCUAAAUAAUUAAAAGGUUACCACAGAAGCUACCUCCUGAUCCAGCUGUCAACCCAUUGAAUGAUAGAUCCAAAGACUUGAGAGUGGAAAGGUUACCAUUGAAACAUGACAAAAUGCUUUUAUCAUUAGUAAAUUUGUUAACACGUAGGUCAAGAUUGCUCAGUUUUGAUGAUAGGACUUCGAAGCCUGGGAAGAGAAUCAUCAAAGCAAGAUAAUUGACAUUAAACACCAACCAACCAACCUUCAUUUAUUUUAUGAUUAUAAUUAAGUGCAGAAACAUUGAACUAACCUUCAUUCUCCAUGCAACCAACCAAUCCAGUACCUCCCAAAUCAAGACCUCGCAAUUCUUUGAAAGGCUGAAACAAAGAUGCGUUGAGAACCCAAUCGCCCAAGUGGAAAUCCCUUGCCCCCCAAAGAGAGAGUUGGAUCACUCGCCUUGUAGUGUUAUCACACUCGAUCCCACGCCACUCACAACAAUUACUAUUGGUGUCCACCCAAUGAUCUCUCCAGGAAACGCCAUGUGGGUUGAUCAAAGAUUGGAUCUCCAAGAGACCAAUCCUCUCCUCCUCCAAACACCCAUAACAACGACCAUGCCAUUCGCCAACCAAAGUGAAUAAUGCUAGCAACAUCCAAGCCCCAAUUCUUUUCAUCAUCAUCUUAGAUAAUUCUAUGAACUGCUACGUAGAAUAUUGUUGUUUGUUAUGUGCCUUUGGGCAACCAUAGAGGUCCUAUUUAUACUACACUCUGGCCAUUUCCAUGACUUUGAGAUGUUUUCUUUAUUUCAUUUCUUUUUGGAAUAUUUUUGGAUUUGAAUAUUAUUCUAUUUUAUUGUCUAGCACUUAGUCUAUUUGCCAGGUUGGGAAAAAUAUUCAAAUUAGUUUUGUUGGCAUGUAAACCUCACCAAAUAAUUUGCGUAGACCGUAUUGACUGGGAGUCAAUUAUUGUCGUAGUGCUUUUAUGCACGAUCUGUGUGCGUGAACGGAAAGAAAAGCAGGGUGUGAAAAGCAUUAAAGGUUGUGAACGCGGAUGCUUGACUUGCUGUGUACCAUUUUGAUUUUUAAACACGGCCAUGCAGUCAUUUCCUGGCGAUUUCCUUAUGCAUACUGGUGGUCUUUCAUAAUCUUUUUCCAAACAAUCCUCGUUAGGCCGGCUCGGGGGUUAACUUAGAGUAAGGCAUCGUUUGACAUUGCGUUUGUAACUGCGUUUUAUUAAAUUUUGAAUUUUUUAUUUUUGCUAAAAUUAAGUGUAGCUUGUACUUUUUGGAUCUUUUUGAUGUGCUGAUGUUAAAAAUAAUUUUUAAAAAAUAAAAAAAUAUCAUUAGCAUGUAUUUCGGCACGAAAAGCUAUUUGAAAAGUACCCGCAACCACACUGCCAAACACGCUCUAAGAUUUGUAUCAUCGUUUUUUAUCAGAUUCAAGAUCAACUUGGAUCAAUCUUAAUUUUAUGCUAUUGUUUUUUAUAUAUAAACAUAAAUAAAAAUCCAGAUCUCUUUUAUAAUCUUAAAGGUAGUAUAUUAAUAGUAGAACCAUUAUCUAUCCAGAUACAAUUCAUCAUCUUUUCAUCGACAUAUCUUUUAAUUAAGAAAAGCUGUUUAUAGAGUUUUAAUCUAAGCAAUAGGUUUUCAUCGUUAAAGGAUACCUAUGUGGUGCUAAGUUCUUCUAAAGUUGGAGAACUUAUGAAAAUUAAUGCAAGGCUUCAACACUCCGAAGCCUGCAAGAGAAAUAUCAAAGCAAAAUAAGUAGCGUUAAACAGCAGCCAUUUCUUCAUUUUUAAUUUUAGUAUAACACAAUAAUAUGAACCAACCUUGAUUCUCAAAGGCACCCAACUAAUUCAUUAGCCUUCAAAUCAAGACUUUGCAAUUCCUUAAAAGGCAGAAACAAAGAUGCGUUGAGAACCCAAUCGCCCAAGCGGAAAUCCCCAGUACCCCUAAGAGAGAGCCGGAUCACUCGUCUUUCGGUGGUAUCACACACGAUCCUAGACCACACACAACAAUUACUGCCCAGGUAUUUCGACAGUUAUGGCUUGUGUGGGUUUUGGUUCACGAUGGAGAUGAUGGAUACAAUGAUGUAUUUCGACAACAAAAUUUUCAGUUCUUGUGAAUGGCUCUCCAACUAAAGAGUUCUUUAUGGAAAAGCGAUUGCGACAAGGGGACUCUUUAUCAACAUCUCUAUUCAACAUAGCAACUGAGGGUCUUGGUAGAAUGCUAAAAUUAAAAGGAGAUGUGAUUUGGGACUUAUAAAAGGUAUUUGUUUUGAUCACUUUCAAGUUUGUAGAUGAUACACUCAUCUUCAGUUCAUAUGAUUAUCCAUCUCUUCAAAAGAUCAAAAGAACUAUGUGAUGUUUUGAGUUGAUUCCUAGGCUGAAGGUUAAUUUCCACAAGAGCUCAAUCACUAGAACUAGAACUAGAAUUGAUGAUGUUGUUAUUUCUUCAACUGCUAGCAAUCUAAUAUGUAGGAUGGAGGGGAUGCCAUUUAAGUAUUUGGGUCUGCCUAUUUAUGCAUCUUCAUCUCAUACAUCCGUUUGGAAAACUAUUGCUUGAUUAACUCAAUUAUAAAUAACCUUUCUUUAUUUCCUAUCCCAUCCACUGUUGCUACCAAAAUUGAGAAACAUAUCAUAUCUUUCUUUGGUUCUCAGGAGGAAGGAGGGAAAAAACUAUGCAAUGUUAAAUGGGCAUCAGUGGUUCCUCCAAAAAAACAAAAAAGGUGGGUAUAGACUGCAUUAUUGAUAAAAAUAAAGCCUUGUUUUUCAAAUGGCUAUGGAGGUUUGGGAGGUCUAAUACAAGACUAUGAAAAGAUGUUAUCUACAACAUCCACAACCAAAAAGCGUAUUUGAACAUGCCUUUAGUUUGUGUUAAUUUAAAGGGUAGUACAUGGUCCAGGAAUGUCGUUACUUUUUAUAAGAACGAGGGACUUCAAAAUAUUGCCAAGAAAGAAGUUUGUGGUUUGGUUGGCAAUGGUAGAGAUAUUAACUUAUGGAAUGAUGUCUGGCUGAUAGAUUCUUGUCUUGCAGUUCAAUUUCCUAGACUUUAUAGUCCACCUGAAGAUCAUGUCUCCCCUGUAGCUACUGCAGCAGUAAAAGCUUCUAUCCAACCAGCCAGUGUGAGGCCUUCCCCUGUUGCUAGCAAUGUAGCUUCUUCAAGUAGCUAAAGUUCUGCUUCAAUAAAUGCCACGACAUCAGCAAUAACUGGUGCUACAACAAUGAGCUUCAACUACCCAAACUUCCCUGGCAAAAUUGCAGAAUGGUGCGUACGAGAUUCUAAUCCCUGAACAUGUUGGGGGCCACGAUAGCCUACAGAGGAACCCAUCCUCAGGCUAUGCCUUUCUUCAAUGGAUCAAUUCUAUUCUUCUUGAAUGUUUCAUCCUUCAUAGCUUCAGCGACAGCAACAACCAUUCAUACAGACACAACAAAGCCAACAGGGUCAUCAAAAUCCAAGUAUUUCUAGUGGCUCCUCGUCAUCCCAGAAGCAUUUGCUGAAUUAGGUGGAAUCAGCAGCGGUCAUCAAGAUCCAACCAUUUACAGAAUCAUCAGCAGAAUCAUUCCCUGCCGAACUAGCAGCGGCAGCUGAUGCAAAAUCAGAAUGUUACUCACAAACACCUCCUCCUUUUGCAAUGUCAUUUGCUCCAUCAACGGAACCACAACUUCCCCAGGUCUUGAUGUUUCAUUGCUGGUACAGAAUCAUGCUCUUCUCCAAAGCCCUCCAGAGGCAGCAAGUCAUGGCUAUCACUUCAUCACUGCGGCCCAAGCAACACAGCAGACGAAUUACCGUGUGCCUGAAGAAGGGAAAAAUGGAGGAAAUGACACUUCAAAUAUGGAAGGAGAGAGAAAGGCCGAUAUGGUUGGAGGACAGACCCCAUUAACUGGUGGGCAGUCAAUUGUGUUCUCUCGGCUAGAUUUUGUGUUCUCUCGGCUAGAUUUAACAGACUCCUCUGUUUCAACAAUGCCUGUGAACAAUGUUGUUGAUAGCUCAGCCCGAACUCUUAACCUUGGGUCCACUCUUGCUCGGACCUCAAGCCCUGUUAUGUCAGCUACUAUUGGCAGUGUAAAUGCACCAAGUAUACAACAACAGAUGCAGUGGAAUCAGCAGCAGCAGCAACGAAGUCAGCAAAUCCUUCAACUUCAGAAGCGUCAACAAUUUGCAGCUGCAGCUUCCACUCGAAGUGAAACACCAACAACUAGUAAUGGAAGUGUUUAUUCGGACCACAUCUCAUCAUCAUCAUCUAUGGGCACCAAGUUACCUAAUGCACUUUUGCAUUUCCUCAAAAUCUUGUUCAAAGCGGCAGUAGCAGCAGCAGUUAACAAAGCAUGCACUGCAACAGGCUCAACUAAUCUACGCUAAUGCUUUUAUGCAAGCUCAAGCUCAAGCUCAAGCUCAACAUGUGGCAAAUUCAACAAGCUUUGCAUCAACAGCUAGUGGGUUUCAUCUGCAAAGACAUCGCAAUGAGCAGCAACCGCAAUGCAUCGGCAACCUCUUCUACAAGGAUGUUGUUGUUAUGUCAUCCGAUCAUGUAAAUUUUUGUGACUCCCAACCUCCUAGCAACCACGAGAGGAUGUUUCCAGUUUUUUUUUUCAACAGCUAAUGCUUAGAUAACAAAAAUAGAGGAAUAACUGAUAGAGCUCCAGCAUUCGAGCAGAGUUUAAUAAAAAAAUAUAAAGUAAGGUUAGAUGCGUGAGCCUUGUUUUGUAAAUUUUUAUUUGAAUUUUAAUAAUUGUUUUUAAUUGUUAUGUAUAUGAAUAAAAAUUUGUUCAUGAAAUUUCAAUUUAAAUCACUUUUUUAAUCUUAGAAUUUUAAAAUAUAUUUUGAGCAUGAUUUUAUUAUAUUUAUGAUUUAUUUUAACUUUCAAUCACACAUAAAAAUAUAAACAUACUAUUUUGAUUUUUUUUUAAUUUGUUCUGACAAUUAUAGAAUAUUCUUUUAAUAUAAAAAAUGAUUCUAGUUAAGAAAAAAACUUGUAUAUUCACCAAGAUAAAACAAGAAAUAUGCUAAUAAAAUUUUUUAUCUUGAUAGAGAAAAAUUCAAAACGACUGUAUUUUCAAGUUUAAUAACAAUGUCAAGGAGUCCCUUAGACUGGGAUAUUUUGUUUUACAUUUAAAGUUUUUUUGAUCUCCAUAGCAUAGCACUAGCAUACAAACUUGUAUAUUUUUAAGGCAGCGUUUAGUUACUAUCCGAGACAGUAGAGACAGAGACAAUGGAGACAGAGGAGACAAUACAUAAAAGAAGAUGGAGAUAGAAUUGUGUUCACUAAUAAUAUAUAAGACAAAGUGAUUGUUUUUGUAUCAUAUUUGAUUAUGAUAGACAAGAAAGAAUAAAAUAUAAAAAAAAUAUUUUACCUUUAAUAUGUAUUGUUGUCAAACUUACAUGUUUUAAAAAAUAAUUAGUUUUAUUUUUUUACUUUAGUUUUAUAUUGAGUAUUGAAAUUAUUAAUAUUAUAAUAACCCUAGUAUUAAAACCAGGAUUAACUUGACAGGUUGACCCGAGGCCUAUACUGGUCUAAGUUUCAGAAAAAUAGAAGAAUGAUUAACUCGACCUAACCUAGUAAAAAACAUGAGUCAACUUAAGAUAAAACACGGGUCAAAACCCAUUAAAUAUUUUGAAAAAGAAAAUUGUUCAAAACAAGGUUUCUUUGACUAUUUGUUUUUAAAAAAAAUUAGGUCGAUCGGGUUAACCUUCUCUUGGAUUAACUCCUGAGUUGAGUUUUAAAACUAUGAUAAUAAUCAUUUUUAUCCAUACAUUAACUCAGGUCAAUCUGUGUUGACCCUCUCGACCCAUGACCUAGGCCUUGCUUCUGUCGACUCCCGAGUCGGAUUUUAAAAUUAUAAUAAUAAUAAUUUUUAUCCUUACAUUAAUUUGGGUCAACUCUCUUAAUUCGUAACCCAAGCAUUGCCCCAAGUUGACUAUCGAAUUAAAUUUUAAAACUAUGAUAAUAACCAUCUUUAUUUUAUGUUGACUCGGGUCAAUCUAGAUUAACUCAUCUAACACAUGACCCAAGUUUUAUCCCGAGUCGAUCCCUGAUUUGGGUUUUAAAACUAUGAUACUAAUUAUUUUUAUCAUUACAUUAACCUAAGUCAAUGAUCAACCCCACUCGUUACCCAAGAAUUGCCCAGGUCGACCCCCAAAUCGAGUUUUAAAAUAUGAUAAUAACUAUUUUUAUUCUUCUACUGACACAGGUCAACUCGACUCAUGACUCAAGCCUCAACCAGUGACCCAGAAUUUGCCCCGGAUCGACCCCCAAGUUGAAUUUUAAAACCAUGAAAAUAAUCAUUUUUACAUUUAUAUGUCUUAGUUGGACAAUUUGAAAUUGAGAGUUUUUUUAUAAAAAUAUUUUAGGAAUAAAAAAUAAUAAAUAUUAUCUCUAGAGACAUGUCUCCUCUAUACCUUACGUUUUGGAAGCACAAAAAUUCACUCCAAAAUUAUUCUAGAAACAAAUUUAUUUUUAUGUAUUUGUCUUUGUCUCUUCAACCAAAUAUAUUUAUAUCUUUAUUGUUUUUAUCCUUUCUAUUAUAGGACAAUGACCAAACAUUACCUAAAGGAUAUACAACUGACAAGGAUGAACUUGGCUUUAUUUCAUCUUUGAUAAUUUCUUCUCGAUGAUAUCUCACCGAUUUGUGGAGGCAAUUGAUCAAAACCUAGUUGAUUCAAAGGUUGACUUUGAAAAAAUAUAUUCAUAGAGUAAUGUUUGAAUCUUGGUGUUUUUUAUUGGCUCAAAAAAAUUACCAACUCACCAAAACCUGUAUGAAACAUUUAGAUUUAAUAUUAUAUGUAUAAUUUAUUAUAAUAAUUGAUAUACUAUUCAACUCAGUAACUUAGUAGGAUGACCUAUAACCUGCUGAUCUAAGAUUUUAGCCGAAUCAAGCUUUAAGCUAGAUAUAAUGACUAUGAUUUUAUAAAAUUACUAUGAACUUCCCUUUUAUGUCUUCUUAUUUACUCAUUUGAUAUUUUUUUUUAUGAAGUUAAGAUGUUCACAUUUAUAUCAUGAUUAAACUCUAGGGUAACAUUUAGUUAUUAUCUUGGGAUAAAAAGAAUAAAGAUAGUAAAGACAAAAAUAUGUUUGGUUGAAAAGAUAUAGAUAUAAAAAUAAUUUUUUUCAUGGGAUAAUUUUAGAGUGAAUUUAUAUAUUUUCAUAACAGAAAAUACAAAUAAGACAUAUCUUCAUAAACAAUAUUAUUUUUUAUUCCUAAAAUAUCAUUGUAAAAAACUUUCAAUUCCAAAAUUGUCCAAUUAAGAUAUGUAAAAAUAAAAAUAGUUAUUAUCGUAGUCUUAAAACCCAACUUGGGGGUUGACUUGUAGAAAGAUAUGUGAUCUUUGUUGACCCAAGUCAAGGUAAAAAUAAAAAUAGCUAUUAUCAUAGUUGUAAAAUCUAACUUGAGGGUCGACCUGGGACAAGGCACGGGUCAUUGUUUGGGUUGACCAUUGACCCAAGUCAACAAAAAAAUAAAAGUGGUUAUUAUUGUAAUUUUAAAACUUAACUUGGAGGUCGACUCAAGGCAAGGCCCGGGUCAUGGGUCAGGAGGGUUAACUCUGGUGGAACCGGGUUAAUGUAAGGAUAAAAGUGGUUAUUACAAUAGUUUUAAAACUCGACUUAGAGAUCGACCUGAGGUAAGCUCAGGUCUUGGGCUAGGAGGGUUAAUGCAUGGAUAAAAAUAAUUAUUAUCAUAAUUUGAAAACUUGAUUCAAGAGUCGACCCGAGACAAAGCCUAGGUUAUGGGUUGGGAGGGUCAACCCGAGUUGACCCAAUUUUUUUUUAAAAAAAAAGAAUCAACACAACCUUGUUUUGACCAAUUUUUUUUAAAAAUAACAGGUUUUGCCCCGUGUUUUAUCCCGAGUCGACCCGUGUUUUAUCCCGAAUCAACUCGGUUUUUUAACUCACCUAUCUUUUCUUAAACUUAAAAUUAAUCCGGGCUUAGAGACAACUAGAUCCCGAAUAGAUUCACUAGGUCAGUCUAGGUUAUAUAACUAGGAUUAUUAUAAUAUUAUUAAUUUCAACACUUAAUAUAAACUAAAGUAAAAAAAAGUUCUAAUUAUUUGUAUAAAUAUGUAAGUUUACCAAUAAUACAUAUUAAAGGUAAAAUAAUUUUUUUAUAUAUUUUUUUUAUCAUUAUCAAAUAAGAUAUAGAGACAGUUACCGCCAAACAUAAUUUUAUUUUCAUCUCCUUUUCUAUCUUUUUUUUCUUUAUUUUCAUGGUCUUCUUUUUUAUUCAUAACAGUAACCAAAUAUUGGCUAGUUAUAACAUAUAGAAACAUACAAGUUGUCAUGUUCAAGCCGUUCUCUUAUCAUUUUAAAUAAAUUGAAACACAAUUGCGAGGAGAAGAGUGUGUUUUGUAUUGUGUUAGCUUUUGUGGUUGUGGUUUGAAAAUUGUUGUUUUAUAAAAAAUACUUUUAGUUGAGGUUGGUUUGAUAUUUAUAUAUGUUUAGUUAAAAUUGUGGUUGAAAUUGAGGUUGAACAAAAAGUAAUUUAAUGUGUUUGGUUAAGAAUGCUUUUCAAAUCGAGGUUAUAAAAUAAUUAAAAAAGAUAUAUAUUAAUAUUGAUAGUUUUUAAUUUAAAUAUUGUAGAUUUAACUACUGCUAUUACAUCAUGAAAUAAAUAAUACUUUAUAUAAAAUAUUUUUUUAUUGUUCCAUUAAACUAUCUACAAUUCCAUCACAUACGAAAUUCAUUCGACAAGGACUACAGUUUUCUUGGUUUCUUAAGCGCACAACAAUAUCAAGUAAAAUAUAAUCAGGAACAAAAUUAGGAUUGCGAUCAAAUUCUGCAAAUGCUAUGUCAUCAAGCAAUCUCCUUAUAAUUUAUGUAGUGUUAUUGAAUAAUGCUAAACACUAGUUUUUCAAAUAAAACAUAAUUAAAAAUAAAAAAAAAUUGAUUUUUUUUUAUUUUACUGGGUCAGACCCGGUUCAAUGCAUUUAGCUUUGAAUCGGACCCAGUCCGGCCAGAAUAGUAGAGACAUUCUAAGCAACUUCAAGUGAGUCUCGUAAACAGUAAAUAACGUACCAAACAAUUAUUUUUAGUAAAGCAGAAGCAACCGAAGAAGAAGAAGAAGACAUGUGAUUACGGUGCCAUGCAGCAUUUUGACAUUAUGAGUAUUUUGAUGUAUAUCCAUUAAUUUAUAAUAUACAAGUAUAUUUCCAUGUUUCUUUUAUUUUGAUAGAACAUUUUUCCAAUAGAAUUUGUUUUUAUUGGAAUUCCAUAUUGAAUGGAUGUCAAUUGAAACUAAAAAUGUGUUAGAUAAGAGCAUACUAAUAUAAAUACCAAAUAAUGUUUAAUUAGAUUGAAUUGAACUAGACACCAUAUGUUUUUAUUCUAUGUUUGGUGCACUAAAGAUAAGAUCAAAUAAUUUUGUUUUUAUCAUUGAGAUAUUUUCAAUCAUUUAUUUUAGUCUUUGCAUUUUAUUUUUAUGAUAUUUUAGUCCUUACUAGAAUUUCUUUGUCAUCUAGAACAAUCUAGUUCUUAAAUCAAAAAGUUUUUGCAAUUAAACUCUUACAUGUACAUAUUUAUUUUAAUAAAAUUGGUCAAAUUUUGGUUUUCCAAAUUAAAAAAUAAAUAAGUGAUAAAUAAAUAAUAGAUAAUAUAAAAAUUAAGAAAAAAUAAUUUUUGUACAAAUUUUUUGUCCAAUCCUUGUCAUGUCCAAAGUGUAUAUCAAACAUUUUAUAGCUUGCCAUGUGCAACAAAUAUAUCACAACUUGUUUUUAUUGUAUUCUAUUAUGAUCUGUUUUGUGCCUUAUAUUAUUUAAUAUAUUAAAAUAAAUUUAAUAAAUUAUACUGAAGCAAGAUCUAAUAUUAGAAAGUUAACGGAAAUAAAUGUACCUUUGCCCGUCCCUUCAACAAAAUGCUGAGCUGUAUACUAAUUCUCAGAGGCAGUGAUAACUAGUUGUUCUAACUAAUCCCUAUACUUUUAAAUAUGUUUACAAUUCAGUCCCUUCAUUAAUUUUUCGUUAGUAAAAUGUUGAGCUGUCAGCAAUAUUUCCUUAGUUUGUGCCGCUAACUUAACGGUAAAAUGUGAUUCAAGGAUCAAUUAAUUAUUUAAAUGAACUUGAGGGAUUAAUCUGUUUGUUUAACAAAAAUACAGACACUAGUUAAAUAGAAUUUAACUCCAAUUUUAAUCAUCAUAUGCGUGCGUGCGAGCGAGCGAGCGAGUGUUUACUCGUUAAUGUUUUUUUAGAAGGAAUCUGGAAAAGAAUAAAGUCAUCCAUUUCACUUUGGUCCAGCAUUCCUCACCUCUCCCCGCCAGAGCUCUCCCUCCCUCCCUCCCUCCCUCCCUCCUCCGCCUCUCGGAAACCGCCGCCGCCAAGAAGGCUUCAGAUUUCUGCCAGGUGCUUCUAUUUCUAUCAUGUUUUUGUUUUUAAAAUUUAUGGGUGUUUUCAUUUAUUCUAUUGGAAUUAUUAUUCAGAGACAGAAAUUCUAUUUUAAUGAGAAAAUUAAAAAAAAUAAUCGAUCCGAUGAAAUCUCUGCUAGUGAACGCAAUUCGAUUUUAAUAAGUAAAUUAAAAAAAUAUAUAAUCGGAUCCGUUGAAAUCGCUGCUCGUGAACGCAAUUCAAAGAAACGCACAAUCAGCCGAUUCUAAUAUUUUCUUUUUCAAUUUUUCCCCUUAAUUUACAUGAUAUUAUCCGAUUUUUCUCACAGUUAUUGUUGUAAUAAUCAAGCCCUGAAUUCUUGAACCCAAAUUUAUUUUAUUUUAUUUUAUUUUAUUUUUUAGUGGAGAAUAGAAAUCAAUUCAAAUCUUUUAGGCUCGAUCGAUAAUUUGUUAAUUAGUUUAUGCAGCAGCUGGAGUGGAAGAGAUUUUUCUGCCGGAAUGGCCGAAAAAUGAGCUGUUUGGUUGAUUCUUCUUUUUUGGAAUUUACUGAAUUCUUCAAAAUUAUUGUGUUCUUAACAACAAUACGAUAUCCUUGGGUUUUAUGCUCGCUCACACAUGGAAAAAAGAAAGAAAGAAAAGGACUUUACAUUUUAUAAUUUGGUCAUGUUAACGCAAAAAAAAUAAAAAUAAUAGUUUAUGAUGACUCAUUGUUUGGUUGAUAACCCUACAUGAUAUAUCUUUCUUUUUAGGACUUCCUAGCUGGUCUUGAGUAUGAGGUGAAAGCUUGAGGAGGGCAGUUGGUCCUAACCAAGGACUGUAUUGUGAUUGAUUGAGUUGAAAGUUAAGAGCAUGUGGAAGUGUAAAACAAAUGACUUUGUUCACUUCACCCCAAAGGCGCACCUGUGCAUCUAGUUAGGAAGAACAUUUUAUAACUUACCUCAAGGUCGAGCAUGGUCAGGGUUAUUGUGUUGUCUAUUCCGAGAAAGAUGUGCCUGCAAAUUUAAUCUUAUUUCAACAAGAGUUGUUAAGUUAAUUCUUAUCAGUCCUCUUUAGAGUUGAUGAUGACAUGAAAUAUUCAUGGUUAAUGCUUGUCGUUUUCUUCUUCAUUUUCCUAGCUUAAAACAUCCUAGAAAUCUAUCUAUUGAAGUAAAGCAUUUAAAUGCGUAUACAAUGUUUUUGGAACUUUAAAUAUCUAUUUGAUCAGAAUCUGUGAACCUAAAACCACAAUGAAUACAAAUGCAAGUUUGUCAUUGUAAACAUUGCAUCAAUGAUGUAUCACGAGUGUUGCUAGAAAACAUCAAGUUAAAAUUGAAGCACCAUGAGUUUCUCCAUGGCUUGGUUUACCAACACUCACCAUCUGAUGGUGUGGCAAGUUAUGAACUAGCUGGCUAGUUUUUUGCUUCCUUGGUUUUAGAAGGACCAUGAAGAUUCAGGCCCAAAUCUUGCUUAUAAUACCUAAAUACCCAAGAUCCUAGCACCUUGCCCUGAAUGGUCGUGUAUAUUUGUUAUGGCUGUUCAGAUUUUAUGCAUCCAUAUUUGGUAGAAUUCUUUAAUAAAGUACAUGCUAUUGGAUGGAAGUUCUUUUUAAAUCUAUUCAAGUCUGAAUAAACUGACAUUCCAAUUUUCAUGACUUUGAUAUGCUCUUACUCUUCUGUUGUUCCUGACUUUCUUUUUAGGGUCUAUUCUAACAUGCAAUAUAAUUAUUAUUUUUUUUUUUGGUGAUUGAAGUGAUUUUUUUGGUUGGCCAAAACCCCAUGGAUGCCAAUAAUUGGAGGCCCACUGCCCCAGGCGGAGAACCUGUUAUGGACACAGGUGAUUGGAGAACUCAAUUGCAGCCUGACUCACGGCAAAGAAUAGUCAACAAAAUGUAAGUCUCUGUUUCCUAAUAUGUGCAAGUGCUGCAAAAUAGUAAAUCUUGUAUUUAAAUGAAAGAAAAAGAGAAGGGAAAAAGGUUAAUUAAAAUCAGCAGGACUGCCAUGAGGCAACCUCAAGUAUCAUACACCUCUGUUUUUGUCUUUUUCAUUUUUCACGUGUUUCUCACAAGAAGUGAACUUGAGGGAAUAAAAAGUGCUGGGAAGUAAUUUUUGUUGGAACUUCUUGUGUAACAUCUUUCGAUGAUGACCUCUAGGAUGGCUGCAUGAAGCUUCUUCCGCUUUAAAUUUCAAGGUUAAUCUAUUGCUAUGAGCAUUGGUGUUUCAAUUUCAACCUUGAGUUGCAACUGAACUUAAAUGAACAGUGUUGGAUUUGAGCCUUCCAUUUGCUUUAACUUCUACAGGGUUGAAAUGAUAGUUAUCUUAAAGUACAAAAGCAGCAGACAAAAAUCAAUUAGUCACAAUAGUGCAUGGUUUCCUAGUUUCUCAGUAUAAAGUGGAAUGUUUUGGUGAUAUCUCUACAUCCAAAUUCAUAUAGACAGCUACUGUUGGCAUUUGCAGUAGCCAAUGAGCACUGUAGAGUAUAUAUUGCAGCGUGAGAUAAGGUUAACUCAUUGCAUUUUCAUAAAUUAAAAGGAUUUCUCUUCUUUUCUUUGUUAAUUGCAGUGCAUGUAUAAAGGUUUUCUUAUUUAGAGUAAAUGCUGUUGUAAUGUUUUCACAGAGUUCCCUUGGUUUGCAGCUAAUUCAUUUAUAUAUCUUGGAGCAUAGCCAUAGCCAUAAAUGGAAGGUUCUUCCAGUUCAAGAAAAUUAACCAUGAAGCUCAUAGCUAGAAUUUUAAACAUAAGGGUGGCCAAGUGAACUCCUAUACCCUGUACCUGUGGAAUAAUACGGGGAAAGGAAGUAAAAAUAGAUGUGUAUUUUGAUGCCAUAUAUUACUUGACCGACACUUGGCUAUAUCAUUAUUUGUUUUUACUUUUUCCUAAUGAUUCCGUUGUAUACAUUUCUGAUAUUGGUGUGGUGUAUGAGUUCACGGUUCUUUCUCACUGCUGCUAACUUCUCUAUACCUGCCUUGUCAUUAAAAAUUAAAUGUAAUGUUUUACAUGUGCAGAAUGGAGACAUUAAAGAGGCAUCUUCCGUUUUCUGGUCAAGAGGGAUUACAAGAACUCAAGAAAAUUGCCGUACGGUUUGAGGAAAAGAUUUAUACUGCCGCCACCAAUCAGGUAUUCGGCUAAUGCUAGGUUCAAUGAUUUCGAUAUUCUCUAGACAUGAAUAUACACAUGCAUAAGUUUGUGGAUUAAUGCAUGUACACGUGUGUGUAGUGUGUCCACACUUCCUUACUGGUCAUUCUGUAGAAGUUCUCAUCUUUUCGUUAUUUCUCUUGACAAGUGUUUUAUUUAGAGUGACCAAGGUCCUUUUCAAGUACAAGGGAAGUGUGCAAAAUGCAAAUAACGAAUCAAUACAUAAAUAAUUAAAUAAAAAGAAAGGACACAGAAGUAUAUCCUCACAGAAGAUGCAAAUACAGAAAGCCUAGCAUAUUAGAAAGAGCAUAUAUCCCUUUUCCCCCUUCUCUUGUAACAUGGACUGCGCAGAGAUCUAAUGUUUUGUUAUUGAUAUCUGAUUUCAGUCUGAUUAUCUGCGUAAAAUAUCUCUGAAGAUGCUUACAAUGGAGACCAAGUCUCAAAAUACCAUACCCACUGGCAAUGGUAACAAAACCCUGGAUCCAGGAGGUAAUAAUGCAGCCAAGCAUUGGAUUUCUAAACAUCCUUACCUUUUGUUUUGUAUUUUGCGUUGUUAUCAAACUCUUUUACAUUUUAUUGCUGCAUUUUGCUAUGUAUAUACCAUGCUUUAAUAAAAGAGUCGAGUAAUUGAUGAAUGUUCAAAAAAAAAUUACAGAUUAUUUUUGUUUUCUGCUCCCCACCCCCCCACAACAAAAAAAAAAAAAAAAGUCAAAUGACACUUAUGCUUUGAGGUAAAACCAUCUUAAUUAUUUCCCUCAUAACUUUACGUGUGAACUGUCAUUGUUUCAUUUGUUUUUCUUGUUCAAUGCCUUCUUUUUUUUUCCUUUGACAUGGUUUUCCUUUUUGCCUUUUAUCUUGAACAGCAUCUCAUAGUAUGCCGCCUCAAGUUCACAACCAAGGGCAGUCGCUCCCUAACUCAUUGUCCUCUAAUCAGUCUCAAGCACGUCAGCAGUUAUCACAGAACAUGCAGAAUAGUAUGUCAUCUAAUGGAGUUCAAAGUUCUGCUGGUUUACAAUCAGCAAUGCCUUCUGUCUCCGGUUUAACCCAGACUAUCCCAAACACUGUUGGACAGAAUGCUAACAUGCAGAGUAUCUCUGGUGUUUCACAGAACCCAGUGGGGAAUUCAAUGGGACAAGGGAUUCCCCCCAAUAUGUUUGUCAAUUCUCAGAGACAAAUGCCAGGCAGGCAACAGGUUGUUCCUCCACAGCAACAGCAGCAGUCCCAAAAUCCUCAGCAGUAUCUUUAUCAGCAGCAGAUGCAACAUCAGCUUUUAAAGCAGAAGCUUCAACAGGGAAAUCAUCCACACUCACUUGUGCAAUCUCACAUCCACCAGCAGCAGCAGCAAAAUUUGUUACAGCCAAAUCAGUUGCAAUCUUCUCAGCAAUCUGGUUUGCAAACAUCAACUGUUAUGCAGCCUUCAAUGAUGCAAACUGUCUCUGGCCUUCAACAGAACCAACCAUCUUCUGUUCAACAGUCAACACAACCAAUGCACCAGCAACAUCCACAAUCAGUCCUUAGGCAGCAGCAGCAACAACCUCAACAGUCUGCUGGUAUUCAUCAGCAGCAAACACCAAUGAUGCAGCAGCCACUAUUGCCUCCACAACAGCAGCUAAUGGGGCAACAAUCAUNNNNNNNNNNNNNNNNNNNNNNNNNNNNNNNNNNNNNNNNNNNNNNNNNNNNNNNNNNNNNNNNNNNNNNNNNNNNNNNNNNNNNNNNNNNNNNNNNNNNACAGCAGCUAAUGGAGCACAUCAAGUACACUAACAUGUCGCAAAAUCAGUUAAUUGGACAACAAAACAUUGUUGGGGACUUGCAGCAGCAGCAGCAGCAGAGAUUGCUAGGGCAGCAGAAUAACCUUCAAAAUCUGCAGCAGCAGCAGCAGUUAAUGGCUCAACAAAAUAACCUCUCAAGCAUGCAUCAGCAACAGUUGGCCCCUCAAAGUAAUGUCACUGGUUUACAGCAACAGCAGUUGCAUGGAGCUCAGCCUGGUAACUCAAGCAUGCAAUCUAAUCAGCACUCUCUACACAUGCUGCAACAGCCCAAGGUUACGCUGCAGCAGCAAGCACAACAAAGUGGAAGUGGUUUGUUGCCGAAUCAAGGGCAGCAGUCACACUCACAGCUGCCACAGCAGCAAUUGAUGGCACAGAUUCAAUCACAGCCUGGACAGCUGCAACAGCAAUCAAAUCCAUUACAACGUGAUCUGCAGCAAAGGCUUCAAGCAUCAGGCUCCUUGCUUCAACAGCCGAAUGUGAUUGAUCAGCAAAAGCAGUUAUAUCAACCUCAAAGAGCCCUUCCAGAAACGUCCUCAAGUAAGUUUUUCUCAUCCUUGCAGCUUUCUAGCCUUGCUCCAACUUUAAUUUUGCAGCUUUGUGCUUUCAUGUUAGAUUAUAACAUAUUUAUUUAAAUUUUUUGAAAAUACAAUAAUGGUUCAAGUCAGUAAUGCUCUUUUAGGUAGCUUUAUGAGCUAUGGCUGCCACUUAUUGCAUCAGAAAUGCCACUGCUAUUGGAACCAUUGCAAUCACACAUACAUUUAUUUGAAUGAUUACAUAUCGUUGAGAUGGAGUUCCUAGUACUCCAAGUCCAAAAAGGACUUGUAUUCCUAUGUAAGAAAAUACUAAUGGUGCUAUCUAGGAUAGGGAAAACCUAUUAAAGCUCCUUAUUCUUUAGGAACAAUAAAAUACUAAAUAGAAAUAAAACCAAGACCUACAAUAUUCCAUAAUUUUCAGCAAGUGUGAAAAUUACAGAAAUACCCUUGUGUGCGGAAAACAUUCAAAAAAUACAUGAAUUCUAAUCUUUUGUUGGCUGCAUCAAAAUUUUUGUAGCAUCCCUAGAUUCUACAGCAGAGACUGGACAUGCAAAUGGUGCUGAUUGGCAAGAGGAGAUCUACCAAAAGGUAAUUUCUAUGGUUUACUGUUCAUUAGAUGAAAUUCAUGUAUGUCAUAGUCUUGCAAGAUUUCAAUGGAAAAGGUCUCCUGGAAUAUGGUACAAGGGAGUUUUAUUCAGCUAUGGUUGUGAUUAGUUAGGAAGCAUUGUAAGUUCCAUGAUUGCAGCAACUAAGAAACGAUAAAUUACUGAUAAGAUGAUUAAAGGUAAAAUAUUCAGAUUUCUAGGUCAAGAGGGUUAUUUUCUUGGUAUUGACACGACAAUUUUUUCUAUUGCAAAUCUCUCCCUUUCAAUUUUUUCCCUGUAUUUCCAUACAUUUAGUGUGGUGAAUUAUUAUUUUAUUAUUUCCAACAAGUCCAAUUGACAAUACUUCUUACUGUAAUAGACCGACUUGAAAACAAGAGUGAACUGUUUCUGAAUAGUCAUCGUUAUAUUUGGUUAAGUGAACAGUUAUUUUCAGGAUUACAAUCAAAUUUGUUCUGAAACAUGUGACAAUGGAAGAAAGGAAAAUAAGUGGACCUAAUCCAUUGAAUCAUGACCAUGUCCAGUAUUGUUGAAUUUUAUAGAAAACGAGGUUGAAAUUCUGAAUCAUUUAAUGGCUGUAGUUGCAAUUCAUAACUGCAUAUUUGAUGAGGUCAAUUUUUUUGUGCCUGGGAGGGUACUAAAACGGGAAUAGGAGUGGUUGUUGAUAAUUAGGAUAUAAGGGUUGUAAAUCCAAAGUUAUAAAGCUAGGAAGUGUUUACCAAAGUCGUGACAUCCAUUGACUUGAGUUAGAACAAUAGAAAACAAUGGUGAGUAGUUUGCUGUGAGACAAAGUAACUGAACUUGACCAACCCCUGAAUCUUGUCUGAAGAGGUAACUACACAAUCCUUUGCAUCUUUGCAUGCAAUCAAUAACGAUAUUCUCUUUUGAGUUUUCGGCAUUGAUUCCACUGCUAUUUUUAUCUCAAACAAUAUAUGCUGUCGUCUGCCAUUUUAUUUAUUUAUUUAUCAGUUCUCUCAAGUUUGCUUAUGUUUCUUUCUGACUCUGGCACCUGAAAGAAUCAAGCAUAUGAUUGAUAAUGUGCUUGCUGGUUAUAUGUACUUCCUAGAUCAAAGUUAUGAAGGAAACGUAUUUGCCUGAAAUAAAUGAAAUGGACCAGAGAAUUGCUACCAAGUUACAGCAGGGAAAUUGUCUGUAAUUUUUUCCGAUUUAUUUUCCCACACAUGAUUCAUAAACCCCCACAGUUGAGCUUUUGUAUUAAUUUGUUUUCCCCAUCGGCAUUGCUUGUCACUGUAUCAUCUGCACUAAUUACCUCCCCCACCCCCAACCACCCCACAACCAUGCAUUGACACAGAAGAAUUGGAAUAGAAACAUUUUUUUCACUAAUGUUUUACUAGUUUUGCUACAAAGGGUCAAUGCAAUUUUUAAUUCUCGUGUAUGUUAACUUUGCUUUCCAGCAUGACCCUCUUCCGCAACAACCGAAGUCAGAACAGCUUGAAAAGCUGAAGUUAUUCAAGGUCAUGUUGGAGCGCUUGAUAGGAUUCUUACAGGUCCCUAAAAACAACAUCACACCUAAUUUCAAGGAGAAAUUGGGUUCCUAUGAGAAGCAGAUUCUAGGUUUUCUAAACCCAAGCAGAUACAGGAAGCCUAUUCCUAAUCUUCAGCAAGGACAACUUCCCCAACCUCAUAUUCAACCUAUGCAGCAACCCCAAUCUCAAGUUCCUCAAUUGCAGUCCCAUGAAAAUCAACUGAAUUCCCAGUUGCAAUCAAUAAAUAUGCAAGGUUCUGUACCAAAGAUGCAGCAGAACAAUAUGUCAAGCUUGCUGCAUAAUUCUCUUUCAACUUUAUCUGGGGAUUCGACGUCACAAUCAAACAUGAUGAAUCCAAUACAACCAGGCUCCAAUUUAGAUUCUGGACAAGGAAAUGCACUGAGCUCAUUGCAGCAGACACCUGUAGGAUCUGUACAACAGAAUCUCGUGAGCAUUUCCCAACCAACCAAUGUUAACACAAUGUCAACACAAAGUGGGGUGAGUAUGAUGCAGCCAAAUAUGCCCCUUCAGUCGAAUUCCAAUAUGAUUCAACACCAGCAUCUAAAACAGCAGCAGCAGCAUGAACAACAUAUGCUACAAACACAACAGCUUAAACGAAUGCAGCAACGCCAGAAUUUAAUGCAGAAUCAACAGAUGCUGCAGCAGCAGCAGCAAUUACACCAGCAAGCCAAGCAGCAGUUGCCUGCACAGAUGCAGACACACCAAAUUCCACAGCCGCAACAGAUGAAUGAUGUAAAUGAGAUGAGACAGGGGAUUGGAAUUAAGCCAGCAGUCUUCCAACAACAUCUCCCAACAGCUCAACGCACAGCUUUCCCACGUCAACACAUGAAACCUGCACCUUCAUUUCCUAUUUCUUCACCUCAACUACCUCAGCAUGCUUCCCCUCAAUUACAACAUUCAUCUCCUCAGAUUGACCAGCAAAAUCUACCGUCUUCUGUAACCAAAACUGGAACACCUCUGCAAUCUGCGAACUCGCCUUUUGUUGUCCCAUCUCCUUCAACUCCUUUAGCUCCAUCUCCUAUGCCAGGAGAUUCUGACAAACCAGUUUCUGGUAUUUCCUCACUCUUAAAUACUGGAAAUAUUGUACACCAACCAUCUGUUGCACAAGCACCGGCUCCAUCCCUUGCAAUUGGCACUCCUGGGAUAUCUGCAUCAC
Molecule: long non-coding RNA, 265887 nt
Filed under: Populus trichocarpa (black cottonwood)
Lineage: Eukaryota; Viridiplantae; Streptophyta; Magnoliopsida; Malpighiales; Salicaceae
Description: long non-coding RNA (PTRI_LNC000851)
Rfam family: MIR478 microRNA precursor family (bases 239055-239145)
Source: RNAcentral